UUCUCAUCUCCAAUGUAUGCCAGUGUUCUGCACCCAACGACCGUAAACAUGUUAGCAGUCUCUGAGAAUCUAUAGGGCGUACCUGUCAGGUUCAGCCGCCAGUUUAGGUAAUCCAUUUCCUUAGUGGAGGUGUUGUAGCAAUAAGUCGACAUAUCCAUCCUGAUCCGGGCAAGACCUUGCUGCAGCGAGAUAUUCAGAACCUCUACAUCUUUAUGAAAUGGCCUGAAUGAUCCAUGGCCGACUUCCGUGCAGCUCAGGUUGAAGCCGGGCAAAGAGCAGUGAUCAGGCGAGUCGUAAGGCCCAAUGCCAAAUGGAUAUGGGAUAUCGACUUCGCCGCAUUUUCUCUGACAGUUGUUGCUAGGCGGCGGCAAUGCUUCAACAGAAGAGAGUAUUACCGCAAGCAAGAGCACUACUCCAAGACAUAGCAGUGCAUCUAAUCUAUGCGGCAGCAUGGUGUGGUGGUGUUAGUUGUCUUCCCUUGAUUGAAUCGAGCACUUGGCAGCUGCUACUCCAAGGUUGAGGAAGGUCUAUUUAUGCAAACUCCUUGUUAAGUAUAAGAUGGUUAGCGACGGUGUCGACACCAGUACAGGUCAGAUCCGUGUGUGCAUUUACUAGGACGGCCUGGUCAGAUUCCUGUGUGCAUUGACUGACUUGGAUGACCAGGUCUUUCCAUCUGGCUUCGUCCGAAUUUCUGUUUAAAAAAAUCAAUUUGCAGCAAAACGCUAGUUGCUUUCGGCAUCUUGGCAACUUGGCAGCGAGCAUGAUAGGUGAACGGGAGAGAAUCGAAUAAAAAGGCCACUGCACAUCUCCGUAUAUAUAUUUAAGUCCAAACACCACCGGAGAACUUACCUUCGUGUUUUUGUCCCGGUAAACAUUGGAUCCGGAACUAAAAUACAUUUAGUCCCGAGUCAAAAAUGAGGAACCGAAAGGAUACCAAUAGGAGGGGUUUUAGUCCUGGUUGUAAAGAUCUAGCACUGACGCCCCCUCCUUUUGUCCUGGUUGGAAAUUCCAACCGGGAAAAAAGCACCCCCACUUGUCCCGGUUGGUAAUUCCAAUCGGGACAAAAGAUUUAGUUCCGGUUGGAAUUACUAACCGGGAUAAAAGGGGUUUUUUUUCUCCUGGUUGGAAUUUUCAACAGGGACAAGUGGCCGGGGCGUCACCAGAUUUCCAUGCGGUCCUUGAGGCAGCGCUCUCCUCUCCACUUUUCUUCUUCGUUCCUCUCCUCAUCCUCUCCUCCCUCUCCUCUUCUCUCUACCAACGCUCCCCUCCUCCCCCUCUAUGCGCCGCCACUGCACCCUCACCUCCCACCGCCACCGCCCCCUCCCCCUCUGCUCGCCCCUCACUGGCAGUGAGGAGCGGUAGCGGGGCGAGGGUAGGGCAGUGGUGAGGCCGGGCAGCGGGCGGCUGAGCGGCCGGCAGGCGGAGCCGAGGCGGGCGGGGGCGGAUCCGGAGUAGAGGUGGGCGGCUGGUGGGCGGGGGCAGGCGAGCAGCAGCUGGCACGAGUGGAGGCGGAUAGAGGCGAACGGAGGCAUGCGGCGGCGGGCGGGCACAGGCGGCCGGCGCGAGUACUUUUUUUUAAAACUUUUUAGUCCCAGUUGGUAACACCAACCAACUGAGACUAAAGGUGAUCUUUAGUCCUAGAUGAAUGAUUCGGGACUAAACGACACCCCUUUUGUCUCGAAAAUUUAGUUUCGGUUGGAUUUUCGAGAUCUAUAGCCUUAUGCAACCGGAACUAAAGGUUCAUUUUCAAGUAGUGAAAGAUAACAUCAGAAGACUCGAACAACUAUAAGUGCCGUGCUUGAUUACUGUACUUGUAUUUUACGUUGAACAGUCUUGUGAAACCGGCCAUGCUUGCUUGACUGACUACCAUCUGUGGCUAAAAAUGGUUGCCGGGCCGGGGAAGACCUGCCAGGCACUGCUAAAGCAAGUCAGUCUCCACCUAUAUAUUCGUAGGCUUCCGGGUAUGUACAAACUAGUUGUCUUGUCUAGUUGUCUGUUCCUUGCCGUAGAGAAUAAUUUUUUUUCGAGUAACGUUACAUCAAGGUGAUACAAUAGAACAUGAAGAAUUCCCUACCUCUACCAAAAUAGUACACAGCCUUACAAAAGGAAACACGAAAACAGGCAGGCUAAUGACUUUCGAUCUGAAUACUAGACCGCUAUCCAUGUGCCUCGGUAAAAUGUCCUUAGCCAUUCGCGCCGAGCAUUGAGAUGCCGCUACAACCAAACCUUGUGUAGUAGGCUUCCGGAGGAUAGCCCAUGUACGAAGCCAGCGUGUGAUUGAGAAGAUAACAUGCAAAAAAGAAUGUUGUUUCUUCUCAAAUAUCACACCAUUUCUGCACAACCACAAAGACCAACAUGCAGGCGCUGCUCCAAGAAACACUAAAGGUUUGUAAGCCAUCGUGCCAAACAUAUUUUCCACACUACGAGGUUGUAAAAUACCAAAAGCCGCAUAUAUUGCGCAGAUCAUACGAGCAAGUCGACACUCAAAAAAAAGAUGUGGAAUAGUCUCACCCUUGUGACAUACUGCCCUGGUAGUUGUGCUUAGCUAGAUUAUCCUUUGUUAAGAUAACACGUCUAUGUAUUAUAAUAUUUUUAUUUUUAAUGGGAUCUUUAAUUUCAAGAGUCGUUUGUUGUUACUGGGGACCUCGUUAUAGAUCAGAGCCAAAUAAUCUCCAUUUUGAUGUAGGUUCUAAUGAAAUUCAUCUUCAUUAUGGCUUAGCACAAUAUUAGCGAUUCGUGGAAGGAGAUUGUUCCACACCACCAACUUAUUAGUAAUUCAUGGUUGGAAGAGAUUAGGGGCCGGACGAGCAGGGCCCGACGAGCAGGGACGAGCAAGGACUGACGAGGACGAGCAGGGGCUGACGAGGAUGAGCAGGGGCCGGGCAAGCAGAUCUUGCACAGGGCUGACGAGGACGAGCAGGGGUGGAGGGCGGCGAGCGAGCAGCGCGACCUGGGGCGGAGGGAGGGCGGCGUGAGCUGGGCCGGAGGAAGGGCGACGACUCCCAUGCGUGCAUGCUCGACAUGCUGGGUGCGGCGGAGGAGGACGGCGGCAGCAUGCUCCCCGACGUGCCGCUCCUCACCCGAUUCUUCUCUACCUCAUCAUGGCCGCUGCCGAGCCCUGCGACCCACGGCAAGCUCAGCUGAGGCGGGCUCAUCUUCCCCGUUCUGCGAAUCACCACUGAAUCGCGGCGUCCCUCCCACUCCCCUUCGCCUAGUCCGCUUCGGCUGCGAGCUGCGGCGGCGGCGCCGGAGGCUGCACGGGCAGCCCCUGCUCCGCCUCCGCCCCCGAAGUUGUAGGCCUGGCGCUCGCGCUCGCCGUAACCUAGCGCCGCUAGGGCGGAUGGAGGGCGGCAGGCGGGCGGCGCGACUUGGGGCAGAGGGAGGGCGGCGCGUCGGGGGAGGAGGUGGAAGAGGAAAAAGAACGUACCGAUUCGGUACAUAACCGAUGGUAGGCGUCUAAAUAACCCAGAAAGCUAGUUAGAAGCUCGUUUUCCCCUCCUUUCCAGCUUACCAUUGUAACGUGGCUUUCCACAGCUUUUAGCUCACGAAAAGCUAGGCUCAAAAGCUUGCCGUUUGUUCGGGCUUUCGACUUCUAGGGGCGAGAAGCUGGCUGAAAGCCCAAACAAAUAGGGCCUAAAGAGGGUCUUCCCAGGUGGAUGGAAUGGGAUUAAAGGACCCCUUUUUGUCUCGAAAAAUUUAUCCCGAAUGGUUUUUAGAGAGAUUUGGCCUCUACCAACCGGGACUAAAGUCGAGGUUUCUAGCAGUGAGUGCAGAGGCUGAAUACAGGGCAGUGACAAAUGCAGUUGCAGAGUGCUGCUGGCUAAGGUAAUUGCCUGGUGAAUUACAAUGUGCAGUCCUGUCAGCAACAGUGGUCUUCGGUGACAAUAUAUCUGCAGCUUACAUGGCCAGUAAUCCUGUUCAUCAUCGCGGCACCAAACACAUCGAGUUGGACAUCCAUCCCUCGGUGAGUUUUGCGUCGUUCGUUUACCGACUGAUCAGCAGAUUGCAGAUAUAAUGACCAAAGGAUUAGCUUCAGAUUUAUUCGACUCUUUUGUUUCCAGUCUGUGCAUUUUGUCAGGAGACGAUGUUCAGACUGCCGGGGGUGUUACACUGACAAUUAUAGUUUUCCAUUUGGCCCGCGGCCCGCGGGCCGGCCCACGACACGACAUUUGGCCCGGUACAGGCACGGCUCGGCACGGCGGCCUUGCAGGACCGGGCCGACCCGGCCUACACCACGGGCCGGGCCUAGGCCGCUACCUCAGGCCGUGGGCUGGCUCGGCACGGCCUAGCCCAUUCAGCCCGUGGGCUAGCAACGGCCGGCACGGCUUGUUUAGGCGUGCCACGCCUGCCUCAGCCCGGCCAACGGCCGUAUAAAACACCAGCACCCGGCGGCCCCCGGCCGAAACCCUACCUCGCGCCCGCACCGCUCCCGCAUUGAGCCGCCUCUCGCCCUCUCCAGCGCUCCCCUCGCUCCCUCCCGGCUCCUCGCCUCCUCCCUCCGUCCCUCGAUGCCUGCGCCUCCUCCCCUAGAUCCUCCGCCGUCCUUGCCCGCCGUCGUCUCACACUGUCCCUCCCCUCUCAGAUCCGGCGUCCUCGCCCACCGCCGGCUCGCCGGUGGCCCCUUCGCCUCCCUCUCCCCGUAACUACUCUUCCACUCUCAGAUCUGGCGUCCUUGCCUGCCGCCGGCUUGCCGGUGGCCCCUCCGCCUCCCUCCCCCUGUAACUGCUCCUCCACUCUCAGAUUCGGCAUCAUCGCCUGUCGCCGGCUUGCCGGUGGCCCCUCCACCUCCCUACCCCCGUAACUGCUCCUCCCCUCUCAAAUCCAGCGUCCUUGCCCGCCGCCGGCUCACCGGUCACCCAUCUACCUCCCUCCCCGUAACCCCACUUCUCCCCUAGCCCCUCUGGCCCUCCGCCUUCCUUCCCGGCUCCUCGCCUCCUCCUCCCGACCCCUCGCAGAUCCGCCUCACUCCCUGGUUCCCCACCAUUGCGGUUCGUCUUCUCCGGCUUAGGGCUCCGGCUGCACAGGUAAACAACCUCCUCUCGUUCCUCUUCUUGUUUUGACCCCUCGCAGAUCCGCCUCCCUCACUUUUCUCCUCUUGCAGGUCUCCUAUAGGUGCCGCGCGUUGUUGAGGAACGGAACUGCCGAGGCGACGACGUCAAUGGUGGAGGGCUUGAGGGUGUGUUUCCUGUUCCAGGUGUGCUCUUCAUUUGAGGUCUUAGGAUGGACGACAACUAUCCAACCUGCCUCAAUGAUGAGUUGCGGUUGAUGGGGGGAGACCGGAGAUGAUAAUUCUGAUUUGGAGGCGGAUCGGCGGGCGCUGCUCGGUGGUGCUGUCCUCGAUUCUCAGCCAGGUAGUGGAGAUUCUCCACCACCUGCUGCUACUGGCUCUGGUGCUUGUCCGGGCUCGGAGAGUACGGGCAGCAAGAGGACUCGUUCUUGCACCUCUAAGGUAUGGGACGACUUUGAGCCACUAUACGGGGUAAUGAAUGACAAGAGGGUAAGAACUGGUGCUAAGUGCCUACAUUGCAAGAAAGUUUAUUUUGGUAAGUCUUCUAGUGGUACUGGACACUUGCAUAGGCACCUUCCAAAGUGCCCAGUCUUGCUAGGUGCUUCACGUAUGGCUCAGUCCCAACUCAAGUACAAUCCUGAUGGCUGUCUCCAUAUGUGGGAGUACAAUCCUAAUGUUGCUCGUAUCCAGUUGUGCAGAUUGAUUGCUAGACUAGACCUUCCUUUAUGCUUUGGUGAGUCUGAUGCAUUUGAGGAGUAUAUUAAUAUUGCUCAUAAUCCUUGAUUCAGUUGUGUGUCUAGGCAAACCACCACCAAAGAUUUUGUUAAGUAUUUUGAUGAGUGUCGUACUAAACUUGUGGCUUCUUUGCAAUAUGUUUCCUUUGUUGCUCUUACAUCUGCCAUAUGGUCUGGUAAUGCUAAGGAAGAUUACCUUAGUGUGGUUGUUCAUUAUGUUAAUGCUGAUUGGCAACUAGAGAAGGCCUUCGUUUCAUUGAUGUUUCUCAUAAUGCUGAUAAUAUUGCUGAGCGCAUUACAUCUGUUGCUACUGAUUAUGGUUUAAAUGAUAAGAUAUACUUUUGUGUUUCUUGACAUCUGCCCACAACAUAUACUUUUGUGUCUGCAGGAGCAUGAAUGGAACAUCUUGUUUACCGUUCCAUUCUCUAAUGCUGAUGGGCACGUUGUCCCUUACAAUAGCCUUGCACCGACUCACGAACUUUUUAGCCACAUGUUUGGGAGCAAUUGGCUUGCCCUUUUCCAUCAAUUCCGUGAUGUGAAGCCUUUCCUCCAUAAUCUUGGUAUGACCUCAUGGCUUGUUUUGCUUCAUUGAUCCAGAGGGCUAAUAGUUCAAGAUUCAUUAAUUAGUACAUAGUAAUAAUAAAUAUGAAAUUAUAGAUGGGUUAAAAUAAUGAAAAUGAUAUAUAGCUCGCCGGUACCUUCCGUGACGGCAAGGCUUUAUUCCGCAUUGUCAUCAACGUGGUGCUUGGGCUCAUCAUUGCCAUCACUGGACAUGUUGAGCAACAUGUCUGCCUGGCUACCCUCAUCCUCGGUGUACGUUAUUAGAACGUUGGAGCCACUACCACCAGCAAUAAUCUCCUCCAUUAUAUACCUUGCAUCCUCUUCAUAUCCCAUCUCAACUAAUUUAAACACACAUGAAAUCAUAGAUAAAUUAAAUUAAAAAUUGUAUCAUAGACUUUGAUGUAGCAUCAAUGAAUCAUUCAGCAUCAAAGUUUGAUUUUGUUGAUUUCAUGAAACCAAAACUUCACUAUUCUAGUGGUUGAAUGAAGCAGUGCAUAAACUAUAAUAAAAAAAUAUAUUCAAAUUUUGGUUGUACAUAUAUGCUGUUAUGCAUGAAUAUUUGGAUGAGCAUAAUAAAAAUUUGUGCCAGUUUGUCUAGCAAUAUUCUAGUCUUCUACAUUUAACAUCAGGUUAAGUGAGUUUAUAUUGGUUUUCGUAAUGGAAGGUUCCACUUGGUCUGUCUCUUAAAGUUUGACUGUAACAUACGGUUGAUUUGUUUUUUAAAUUAACGUCCACAUUUCAAAUAGGUUCAGGCGCACGGACGGCGGGGGCAGCGCUCGGAUGUAAGGGCGGCACGCGGAACAACAUGCUGGGGCAGGCUACAAGGUGGGCGCGAUGGUGGGGGUCCUGGACGGUGGCAGGGAAGGGGCGCGGGUGAAGGUGGGGUGCGCGAAUCGACGGCGAGGGUCUUGGAUGGGGCGGGCAACAACAACAAUGGCAAGGGUGGACGGAGGCGGGGGGAGCUCGGAUGGUAGGCAGGCUGGGGCACCGCGAGUGACGGCGUCCGGGGCAGGAGGACGGCGGCGGCCGGUGCAGGCGGAUGGCGGCUGGGUGGUAGAUGGGAGCGAGCGGACGACAGCAGCCAAGGCAGGCGGAUGGUGGCAGGGUGGUGGACGGGAGACGAGCGGGCGCGGGGCAGCGGAUCGAUCUAGUGGAGUGUGUGGGAGACGAGGCAUAAGGGAGAAGGGGCGUGUCUUAACCCUCCUAGUCCUGGGUUGACUUUGCAACCGGCACUAAGGGGCCUUUAGUCCUGGUUGCAAAUUCAACCCAAGACUAAACCCCCCCCCCCCCCCCCGCUUAGUCCUAGUUGCAAUUUGCAAGGGUGCUUUUCGCGUAGGAGCUGAAAACACACCCUUUAGUCCUAGUUCCAAAUUGCAACCAGGACUAAAGGGUGGGCCUUUAGUUCCUGGUUGACUUUGCAACUGGGACUAAAGGCUCUUUAGUGGGGUUUUGCAUUUCCCGCUUGUUUUCAGUUAUUUUCCACUUUACAUAUUUUGAACAUGAAAUUAUAUUAAAUUAGCAAGUAUAUUUAAAAUAAGUUUAAAUCAGUCAUUAAUUCUAUAUUAGUUGAUUAAGUUUUCAAAAUAAUUAUUUUGAUGCAUCACUAUCAUCAACAAACUCUUCAAUUAAAUAAUUUCAACGUGCAAAAAAUGCAAUUGAUGUAUGUGGUUAAGUUAACAUUGUUUAUAUUGAUCAAAUAAAUGUUCACCAUAGAGAUUACAAUAAAAUUCAAAGGUUUUGAUGGCCAUAGAGCAUUACAUAAAGGUUAACCAUAUUUAGUGCAUUACAAUGUAAUGUUAAAAAACUUCUUGUUGAUGAAAAUUCUUUGGUCAUGAUCGUGGUGCAAGUACGGAGCCUCUUCUUUGGCUAGCUUCAUGCUUGGGUCAACUUCGAAAGCGAAUGGAGGCAUAUCAUCAAACUGAUCAUAAUCAUCUGACUAGUCUGUUUUAUCCUCGACUCCCACGAUUUUUCUUUUACCUGGAAGAACUAUGUGGCGCUUUGGCUCCCUUUCUUUAUCUUCUGAAUUUUUCUUGGGUUUGCUAGACAUAUCCUUCACAUAGAAAACCUGGUGCACAUCAUUAGUAAGGACGAAUCGUUCAUCAUUGUAUCCAGUGUUGGUAAGGUCAACUAUUGUCAUUCCAUACUGAUCUUUCAUUACGCCACCUCCAAUUAGCUUCACCCAUUGGCAGCAAAACAGAGGGGUGUUCAGCGGUCCGUAUUCGAGUUUCCUGAUCUCCUCCAUGAAACCAUAAUUUGAGUCCCUGCUCCUGUUUGUGUCUAUGGCAUCAAUGCGGACACCACUAUUAUGGUUGGUGCUUAUCUGAUCUUGGGCUCUCGUGUAAAAUGUAUAACCAUUUACCUCGUAACCUUGGAAUUUCACGAUUAUGCUAGUAGGUCCCCUGGCUAACCAAGCGAGUUGUUCAUGAAUCACGGAGUUACUCAUAAGGUGUUGACGCAACCAAGAGGUUCAUAUCCAUGUGAUUAUAUAUAAUCCACGCAUCAGAUUUCGUCGAGUAUUAGGAAAAUAAAAUCCGCUUGUGCUCCUCGAUAUACUAAGCCACAAAGAAUGAGUGUUGCAAAACAGUGAAGUGUGCUUUCUGGAAUAAAUUAGUAUCAUUGCUCAAACUUGAUUUCCUUCCAAUGGUGCCCGUUCCGUGCAACCUCCCCUUGUGGCAUCAUGUUGGAACCCCAAUCGAAUUAAUUGAGUCAAUAAAAUCAACACAAAACUCAAUGACCUCUUCUGCUCCAUAUUCCUUGGUGAUGCUUCCUUCUGGACGGGCACGAUUAAGUACAUAGUUUUUUAGAAUGACGUGAACCUCUCGAAAGGUCACAUAUUGUGCAGGAAUACUGGACCGAGAAUAGUAAUCUCUUUGACUAGGUGAACUAGGAGGUGCGUCAUAAUAUUGAAGAAGGAUGGUGGAAAUACCAACUCAAAGCUAACAAGACAUUGUACCAUAUUGUUCUGUAGCUUUACUAGCUUGGUUGGAUCGACUGCCUUCUGCAAAAUCACAUUGAGAAACACGCAUAGCUUUACGAGUGCCAAUCGUACAUUCUCUAGUAGAAUACCCCUCAGUGUAACCGGAAGCAACUGGGGUAUCAACAUGUGGUAGCCAUGGGCCUUGAGAUUUGUGAUCUUCUUUUCUUUCAUAUUUAUUAUUCCCUUUAUAUUCAAGGAGUACCUAGACGGAACCUUAAUACUAUUCAUGCAUUCAGACAUGGUAUCCUUUUGUUCCUUGUGGAGAGUGUAAUUGGCAUGAUGUAAGUAGUGCUAUCUGUUAUCUCCCUUUUCUGAUUGUAGGUCAUCUUGUUGCUUCAUACAUUUCAGGUCUUGUCGUGCUUCCAAUGUAUCUUUUGAGUUCCCAUAACAACCCAUGAAGCCUAGCACGUUCAUGCAAAGAUUUUUGUUAGGUGCAUCAUAUCUAUUGCAUUGCGGACCUCUAGGAUUUCCCAAUAAGGUAGCUCCCAAAAUAUAGACUUCUUCUUCCACAUGGGUGCACGUCCGUUAUCAUCGUUCGGAAUAGGUUCGCUACCAAGACCCUUUCCAAAGAGUACCCUUACAUCCCUUAUUAUCUCAAAUACACGCUUUCCAUUAUAGUGUGCAUGUUUUUUACGAUAAUCUGGCGCCCCUUUGAAAUGCAUCCCUUUCUUUCUUAACGGGUAGUUACCAGGAAGAAAUCGAUGAUGGCCCAUAUACAUGACCUUCCUAUAGUCUUUCAAAUACAUACUAUCUGUGUUGUCUAAACAGAGGGUGCACGCUCGAUAUCCCUUAUUUGUCUGUCCUGAAAGGUUACUCAAUGCAGAUCAAUGCUCGUAGGUCAAAGCUCUCUUGUUUAUUAUCAUCCUACAAAUGUACACAUUCUUCCUUCCAGAGCAGUAAAAGUUCAUCAACCAAUGGUCCUAGGUACACGUCAAUAUCAUUGUCAGGUUGUUUUGGGUCUUGGAUAAGCACUGACAGCAUAAUGAACUUCCGCUUCAUGCACAGCCAAGAAAGAAGGUUGAACAUACAUAGGGUAAUAGGCCAAGUACUAUGACCACUACUCAACUCACCGAAUGGAUUGAAUCCAUCAGUACUUAAACUAAACCUUAUGUUCCUUGCAUCACCUUCAAUGUCUGAAAAUACUCUAUCAAUUGAUCUCCACUGGACUCCAUCCGUGGGGUAUCCCAAUAUCUCAUCUUGCUUGCAUUCUUCUUUGUGCCAUCACAUCAACUUAGCAUUUGACUUGUUUCUAAACAAAUGCUUCAAAUGUGGUAUUAUAGGGAAAUACCACAUCACCUUCACGGUAACUCUCUUCUUGGGAGGCUACCCCUCGACAUCACCAGGAUCAUUUCGCCUGAUCUUAUACCGUAUUGCUCCACAGAUAGGACAAGCAUCCAAUUUCUCGUAUUCAUCAUCACGAUAGAGGAUAUAGUCAUUAGGGCAUACGUGUAUCUUCUGAACCUCCAAUUCUAGAGGGCAAAUAACCUAUUUAGCUUCAUAUGUUGUGGACGAAAAUUCAUUAUUCUCGGGAAGAAUGUUCUUUACAAUUUUCAAUAUCCCCUGAAAUGCCUUAUCGGACACACCAUUUUUUGCCUUCCAUUACUGCAAUUCUAGUGUGGUACCUAGUUUUUUAUGCCCCCGCUUGCAAUCUGGGUACAAUAAUUUUUUGUGAUCAUCUAUCAUGUGCUGCAACUUUCUUGAUUCCUUCUCAGUUUCACAAUCUCUGUGUGCAUCCUGUAGUACCUGACCAAGAUCAUCAAUAGGGUCAUCUUCUGCAAACUCAUCUUCAUCAGCCUCGCCCAUUUAGCAUCUACAAAAGUUUGGCCUGCAGCCCAGUCCGGAAUGUUGUUAUCAUCCUCCUCUUCUUCGUCGUCUUCCAUUAUAACCCUGCUUUUGCCGUGUUUGGUCCAAAUUAAAUAGUUAGCCAUGAAAUUGUAUCUAAAUAAGUGGUUCUGAAUAAUCCCUAAGGAAGAGUAGUCCUUAUUGUUACUGCAUUGGAAGCAUGGAUAACAUAUGAAUCCAUUCUUUGGCUUGUUGGCUUUGACCCCUUCGAGAAAAUAAUGCAAGCCAUCAACAAACCCCUUGGUCCAUCUGUCCUAGUUAAACAUCCAUUGCCGGUCCAUCUAUAUCGUAUUACGUGUGAAAUGGACAUAGGUCUUUGUAUUAGAUAAAGAACUUGAUCAAUAUUAGAUAGGGGGGAAAUAGAGUUAAUGUGAUUAUAAUAUUUAGUCCUUGCAAAAAACAUUAGAUAAAUAAAUUAUUACAUGAGAAAUGGACAUAGGUCUUCGUAUUAGAUAAAGAACUUGAUCAAUAUUAGGUACGGAAAAAAAUAGAGGAAAUGUGUUUAUAAUAUUUGGUCCUUGCAAAAAAUAUUAGAUAAAUAAAUUAUUACAUGAGAAAUAGACAUAUGUCUUCAUAUUAGAUAAAGAACUUGAUCAAUAUUUAUAAUUUACACUAAUCAACCUUCAUGAAGAUAAAAACAAUUCACAUGAAAAUUACACCAUUCAAAAUUCAUAACAUUCACUAAAGAUACAUAUAAAGAUUACACUCAUAAUAAGACAAUAAAGAUACAUAUACACUAAACAUUACAGACGCUCCAUAGUGAAGUUCACGUAGUCAAUUAUCCUAAAAUAAUGGUACAACAUAGCAGAAUGUUCGCCCUCCAAGUCAUCUUUGCACAUAACUCAAUUUUCUAUGAAAUCUAUCGAGAGUCACCUUCACAUAUCCAAUACCAUAAAAUAAUGGUACAACAAAAGAUCUUCGAGUCCACGUACUCAGGCUAAAUAACAUAAAGGAAUCUUGAAAUAAUUGUCCAAAUAUCUUUUGGAGCAAGUGCCACAUUCUUACAAUAGAAGUAUGGUGGCACACACACAAUAGCCCAUCCAGGCAAAAAAUCUGUUCACUGAGCAUGACCCAUGGCGGCAAGCCAAAACCAACCAAAAGCCGCUAGGUCAAGGUCAGUGAACAGAUCUUUGCCUGAAGAUGAUAUUGGGCCAGCAUACUUCUAUUAUGAGAAUUAGGCUCCAAAAGGCAUUUGGAAUAUUAUUUCAAGAUUCUUUUAUGAUAUUCAGCCCGAGUUUGUGGACUCGAAGUUCUUCUGUUGUACCAUUAUUUUCUGGUACUGGAGGAGCGGAGGUGACUCUCCAUAGACUUCGUAGAAAGUUGAGUUCUGUGCAUAGAAUAAUGUAUGCACACUCAUGCCAUGUGCAGACACUGUUCUCUGGAUUAGAGGAGCGGAGGUGGUACAACCAUUGCCGGUCCAUCUGCAUCGUAUUACGUGGAAAAUGAACAUAGGGCUUCGUAUUACAUUAAGAACUUGAUCAAUAUUAGGUAGGGGAAAAAUAGAGUAAGUAUAUUUAUAUUAUUUAGUUCUUGGAAUAAACAUGAGAUAAAUAAACUAUUGGUCAAAGAAUUGCAAUUAUUGUUAAAUUACAGUGACAUGAAAAAUUGUAGCAAUGACCAAAUUCUAUUUCUUACACCUACAAUUUAUUUACCUUAAUUUUAUUACAAUGACUAAAUAUUAGAAACACAUUUACUCUAGUUUUUCCCAUACCUAAUAAUGAUCAAGUUCUUUUAACUAAUACAAAUCAUAUAUAACAGGAAGCUAUCCAUCAAAUUCUAGGUCAAAAACAUGUAUAAAUGAAAAUCCUCUCCAUUCUCCCUCAUUCUAAAAAAAAUCAUUUUUCUCCCUCUCUCAAGCAUAAAAUAAAGCAUAAUAACAAUAAAUGAAGGGAAGAUGAAGUGCCUAACCUUCACAACACUUUGGAUGAGUGAAAUCCUCACGGAAAUGAGGAAAAAAAUUCAGGUAGCACCUCCCCUAAGGUUGUUUGCUCGCCAUGGAGAGGAGGAUGAAGCUCUCGGUCUCUGGUGGAGUGGCUCGGGCUGGGGGAGGAAGAAGAGUUUCAGGCUGGUUGGAUUUUUAGGGGAGGAAGAAGAGUUUCCAACUGGGAUAAAAGAGCCCCUUUUGUCCCGGUUGGUAAUUCCAACCGACACUAAACCUUUUGUAAUUCCAACCGGGAUAAAAGGGAGUGGGCGUCGGUGCGAUAUUUCUAGCCGUUACAAUUGGGACUAAAGGGGGUGUAGUCCUGGUUGGUCUUUACAACUGGAACUAAAGGAAGCUUUAGCAACGCCCCCCCCCCCCACGGUGACCUUCGAUGCCUCAUUCUUGACCCGGGAUGUCCCGGGUCCAAAGUCAACCGGUACAAAAGUACCUAGAUGGAAGGUCAAUUCUCUACUAGUAGGUUAUACUUUCGCCAUAUGCUUAUGGCUCAUUUUAUGUUAACGUGGGUUGGUAUAUACUUAUACCUUAGUAUUCAGGUGCUAAUAAAAUUUGACCAACUAAAAUUGCUUAUUGUAGUAAACCAGUAAGCCUCUCCUUGUUUAAGCCUUGCAUUCAUUUGUUCCCCACACUUGCUGAGUACGACAUGCGCUUACCCUUGCUAUAACCAAUGUUGCUCAGAAGAAGAGGCUGCUACGAAGUUGUUGUGAAGAUGAUGCUGAGUUCUAGGCGUACGCAACCCCCGAUCGAUUUCCUGUGAAGUUUGGAGCCUCCAUUUUCAAGAUUACGCUGUAAAUCUAUUAUAGACUCUCUUUCCUUUCGUGAUAGCGUUGCUGUUACUCACUUAUGAUGUCACUAUAUGUAUGAAAUUAGAUCCUGGCAUCCAUAUAGGUAGCACUUGGUUUUGUUUCAAAAUUGGGUGUGACAGAAGCUAUGCACGAGGCAAGAGGUUGCGGGUUCGAAUCACACGCACCGCACAAGCAUAUAUUUCGCGUGAAAAAUUGCGUGACUUGAGCGAAUGUGUGAACAUCCCCGGAAUUUAUAAUAUUUUUUUCGGGACUAAAGAUCCCGACCUUGGUCCUGAAUUCGUAAUCCUGGUUGGGAAAUCGGGCUUUAUAUGAGGUUUCCAAACAAGGACUAAAGCAGAGUUGUUCGUGUACUGCACUGCACGUCAAAUGUGCCGCCGCGUGAGAAACACGCUCUUUUGUCAGUUUACACCGGAUGAUUGAUAGAAGCAGGCGAAACUGAUGCCAGGUUGGCAACUUUUGCCGGGUCAUCGCACUCGCCCGCGCCCUCCUCCUGUCUUCCCAUCGAGUAGACUGACCAAAAAGGUGUGGGUAGGUGCUUCACGAAGUAUCACCAUCAAGCCAACACGUAUUUACUCAGUCAACCAACGCACGAGGGUUUUAUGUUUUCUUUUCAUUCUAUCAUGAAAGCAGUACAUCUCUCGCGACUUUGACAAGUUUACUCAGUCAACCAUUCUACCAAAGAAGAAGAUGAUGAUGAUGGCGGAGAAAAAGGGGAAGAAAGAGGGGUAGGGUGAGGAUCGGGUGGAGGAGAGUGUGUGCCAGGUACGGUGGUUUGUUUUUUUCUUGCAUGGGUGCAAAAGUAUCUGCUACAGUUUAUGCUAACAUUCAACCCUCUUUGAUCGAAAGGUUAAAGGGCUUCAAUCUUAUAUAAUGUUAUGCGAAGUUAUUCGAAAUGAUGCAUUGCUAAAUGUGUUAGGCAUCUUGCUGGCUCCUGUUAUAGUGUUAUUACAACGAAACUUGAGUUCCUAUAGAAAGUAUGUACAAAUUUUCUAUACCAUAACUUCAUUGCAUCUUUUAAGAGAAGCAUAAGUGGCAACCUUAUGAAAACCAUAUACAGACUAUUAAAAAUGGUACUAGAAUCCUGUGAAUUAAUUGAAACAAAUAUCAAGCUCCAUGUGUUAUGAAACUUGUGCUUCCCUUUUAUAGUCCUUCAUUUUUUAUCACUAACUUUUAGCACCGGAAGACCAAGGCAUUAUUAUACUAGUUAUCACGUGCUUCAACAAAUUCAGUCAUCUGUCCAUGUUGAUUUCAUCUUGCAAACUCUAUGCUCAUCGAGGCUUUCUUCUGGAGGAUGUAAUAAUCUGUGCUUUCUUCACUAGUAUAGUCACCCGAUGAAUUGUCAGACGACCGUCCCUGCAUCAUGAGUGCACUAACACCAUGAAACCCUUGAGUGCGAGGUGGUACUGGACGUGCCAAUCGCUGGAGUUCCUCUGCUACCUCUCUCAUCAUUGGCCUGCGUUGACCGGUCAUGGCCAAGCACCGACUUGCUACCGCAGCCACUUGAAGUAUUAACUCCAUGUUUUCUUGAUUGUCUAUCUCCCUAUCUAUGAGUUCUGUAAGCUUGCCCUCCUUCACACCUUCCAUGAAGACAGACACGAGGCUUACCUUUGUUUUGGACAGUGCCCUCCUUCGUGUUAAGAGCUCCAAAAGAACAACACCAAAGCUGUAAACAUCGCUCUUAUCAGUAAGCUCAAAGUUCAAAAGGUACUCUGGAUCUAAGUAGCCCAUCGUCCCCUUCACUACUUGAACAUUUUCAUCAGCUGACCUAAUCAUGGAGCACCCAAAAUCAGAAACUUUUGCAGAGAGAUCGUGGCCUAGAAGAAUAUUAACGGACUUGACAUCUCCAUGAAAGACAGGGUGGCUAAGAGAAUGUAGGUAUGCAAGUGCUGCAGCAAUCUCAGAGGCAAUUUUAAGACGGACCUCUAGAGUUCUUUUGGACGGAUCAACUUGUGUAUGAAUAAGAUGUUGUAGAGUUUGAUUUGGAACAUAUUCAUACACCAGAACUGGAGCUUCAAACUGCAAGCUGCAACCUAGAAGCUGGACGAUGUUUUCAUGUUUGACUCGAGAAAGUAUAAGAAGCUCCUUACCAAAUUCCAUUCUCCUAUUCUCAUCAAAUCCCUUGCAGAUCUUGAUAGCAACAGGAUAAUUAUCUAAAUCAAGAUUUACNNNNNNNNNNNNNNNNNNNNNNNNNNNNNNNNNNNNNNNNNNNNNNNNNNNNNNNNNNNNNNNNNNNNNNNNNNNNNNNNNNNNNNNNNNNNNNNNNNNNNNNNNNNNNNNNNNNNNNNNNNNNNNNNNNNNNNNNNNNNNNNNNNNNNNNNNNNNNNNNNNNNNNNNNNNNNNNNNNNNNNNNNNNNNNNNNNNNNNNNNNNNNNNNNNNNNNNNNNNNNNNNNNNNNNNNNNNNNNNNNNNNNNNNNNNNNNNNNGGCAAAAAACUAAAGAAGUAUGGUUAGACCUAUUCACUGAAACAACUACUAAUGUACUGGUUGGUUUAUAUACUUGUGUCACUUAAAUACAAUAUUCAGUCACUUCACAAAUGUGACACCAUGAGGAUAGAUUUGUUUCAGUCAUGCUUUCACAAAUCUAAUUGAACAGUGGGGAAAGAUGCUUUCACAAAUCUAAUUGAACAGUGCGGAAAGAUACGACUAUACGAGUAGUACCUAUUGGAAUUGUGACUUUUAGAGGAAUUGACUGGUCCUUCUCACAUGUCCCAGUGUAUGCGUUGCCUUGGUAAUGCGGAGGACAAAUGCAUUGAAAUCCUCCUUGAGUAUUCUUGCAAGUUCCCUUCACAGAGCAAGGGUAUUUCUCCAGAUUGUUAUUACAUUCAUCAACAUCUGCAAUGUUAGCAGUGGUAUAUAAAAUAUUGAGUAAAGAUUUCCAGUGGCAGUAGAUUAUCUCAUGACCUAAUCAAAGGUCAAAACAUCGCCUCUCUUAUUUAUACAAACAUAUCACGCAAAAGGAAUUGCACCUAUAGAUUUCAUUACCUUUGCAUCCGUCAACAAGGUACGGAUUGCCUUGGAAUCCUUUGGUGCAGUUGCAGAUGUAGCCUUGUCCAUUGUCCGAAUUAAAGCACUCACUGCUACUGCUGACACAUGCAUAUGACUCAGGCUUGUUCCGGGCUUCAUCGCAAGUUCCGUUCCCAAUAGCCCAGUCCACGAUCAACGGUGGCUGCCCAGAAUAAGUAUCGUAGAACUCCGAUGAUGUAGCGUAGCUUUUGGAGAAUGUGAAUUUGGAUGCCUCGACCAGCGCCGCGUAGCUGCAGCGGCUGGUGUUGUAGAUCUCCGACGUGUUGAAGCCUUCAUCGAACCACACCUGGUAGUACUGCAGACCCUUGGGGAUGGCUGUCUGGCAGCAGCCAAUUCCGGAGCAUGAGCCAUCAGUAAGUGUUCUUACAUCGCCUCGCCGGCACAUGGAGACACAACCGCUCAUGUACCUGCCGACGUUAUUCUCAUCUCCAAUGUAUGCCAGUGUUCUGCACCCAACGACCGUAAACAUGUUAGCAGUCUCUGAGAAUCUAUAGGGCGUACCUGUCAGGUUCAGCCGCCAGUUUAGGUAAUCCAUUUCCUUAGUGGAGGUGUUGUAGCAAUAAGUCGACAUGUCCAUCCUGAUCCGGGCAAGACCUUGCUGCAGCGAAAUAUUCAGAACCUCUACAUCUUUAUGAAAUGGCCUGAAUGAUCCAUGGCCGACUUCCGUGCAGCUCAGGUUGAAGCCGGGCAAAGAGCAGUGAUCAGGCGAGUCGUAAGGCCCAAUGCCAAAUGGAUAUGGGAUAUCGACUUCGCCGCAUUUUCUCUGACAGUUGUUGCUAGGCGGCGGCAAUGCUUCAACAGAAGAGAGUAUUACCGCAAGCAAGAGCACUACUCCAAGACAUAGCAGUGCAUCUAAUCUAUGCGGCAGCAUGGUGUGGUGGUGUUAGUUGUCUUCCCUUGAUUGAAUCGAGCACUUGGCAGCUGCUACUCCAAGGUUGAGGAAGGUCUAUUUAUGCAAACUCCUUGUUAAGUAUAAGAUGGUUAGCGACGGUGUCGACACCAGUACAGGUCAGAUCCGUGUGUGCAUUUACUAGGACGGCCUGGUCAGAUUCCUGUGUGCAUUGACUGACUUGGAUGACCAGGUCUUUCCAUCUGGCUUCGUCCGAAUUUCUGUUUAAAAAAAUCAAUUUGCAGCAAAACGCUAGUUGCUUUCGGCAUCUUGGCAACUUGGCAGCGAGCAUGAUAGGUGAACGGGAGAGAAUCGAAUAAAAAGGCCACUGCACAUCUCCGUAUAUAUAUUUAAGUCCAAACACCACCGGAGAACUUACCUUCGUGUUUUUGUCCCGGUAAACAUUGGAUCCGGAACUAAAAUACAUUUAGUCCCGAGUCAAAAAUGAGGAACCGAAAGGAUACCAAUAGGAGGGGUUUUAGUCCUGGUUGUAAAGAUCUAGCACUGACGCCGCCCCCUCCUUUUGUCCUGGUUGGAAAUUCCAACCGGGACAAAAGCACCCCCACUUGUCCCGGUUGGUAAUUCCAAUCGGGACAAAAGAUUUAGUUCCGGUUGGAAUUACUAACCGGGAUAAAAGGGGUUUUUUUUCUCCUGGUUGGAAUUUUCAACAGGGACAAGUGGCCGGGGCGUCACCAGAUUUCCAUGCGGUCCUUGAGGCAGCGCUCUCCUCUCCACUUUUCUUCUUCGUUCCUCUCCUCAUCCUCUCCUCCCUCUCCUCUUCUCUCUACCAACGCUCCCCUCCUCCCCCUCUAUGCGCCGCCACUGCACCCUCACCUCCCACCGCCACCGCCCCCUCCCCCUCUGCUCGCCCCUCACUGGCAGUGAGGAGCGGUAGCGGGGCGAGGGCAGGGCAGUGGUGAGGCCGGGCAGCGGGCGGCUGAGCGGCCGGCGGGCGGAGCCGAGGCGGGCGGGGGCGGAUCCGGAGUAGAGGUGGGCGGCUGGUGGGCGGGGGCAGGCGAGCAGCAGCUGGCACGAGUGGAGGCGGAUAGAGGCGAACGGAGGCAUGCGGCGGCGGGCGGGCACAGGCGGCCGGCGCGAGUACUUUUUUUUAAAACUUUUUAGUCCCAGUUGGUAACACCAACCAACUGAGACUAAAGGUGAUCUUUAGUCCUAGAUGAAUGAUUCGGGACUAAACGACACCCCUUUUGUCUCGAAAAUUUAGUUCCGGUUGGAUUUUCGAGAUCUAUAGCCUUAUGCAACCGGAACUAAAGGUUCAUUUUCAAGUAGUGAAAGAUAACAUCAGAAGACUCGAACAACUAUAAGUGCCGUGCUUGAUUACUGUACUUGUAUUUUACGUUGAACAAUCUUGUGAAACCGGCCAUGCUUGCUUGACUGACUACCAUCUGUGGCUAAAAAUGGUUGCCGGGCCGGGGAAGACCUGCCAGGCACUGCUAAAGCAAGUCAGUCUCCACCUAUAUAUUCGUAGGCUUCCGGGUAUGUACAAACUAGUUGUCUUGUCUAGUUGUCUGUUCCUUGCCGUAGAGAAUAAUUUUUUUUCGAGUAACGUUACAUCAAGGUGAUACAAUAGAACAUGAAGAAUUCCCUACCUCUACCAAAAUAGUACACAGCCUUACAAAAGGAAACACGAAAACAGGCAGGCUAAUGACUUUCGAUCUGAAUACUAGACCGCUAUCCAUGUGCCUCGGUAAAAUGUCCUUAGCCAUUCGCGCCGAGCAUUGAGAUGCCGCUACAACCAAACCUUGUGUAGUAGGCUUCCGGAGGAUAGCCCAUGUACGAAGCCAGCGUGUGAUUGAGAAGAUAACAUGCAAAAAAGAAUGUUGUUUCUUCUCAAAUAUCACACCAUUUCUGCACAACCACAAAGACCAACAUGCAGGCGCUGCUCCAAGAAACACUAAAGGUUUGUAAGCCAUCGUGCCAAACAUAUUUUCCACACUACGAGGUUGUAAAAUACCAAAAGCCGCAUAUAUUGCGCAGAUCAUACGAGCAAGUCGACACUCAAAAAACAGAUGUCGAAUAGUCUCACCCUUGUGACAUACUGCCCUGGUAGUUGUGCUUAGCUAGAUUAUCCUUUGUUAAGAUAACACGUCUAUGUAUUAUAAUAUUUUUAUUUUUAAUGGGAUCUUUAAUUUCAAGAGUCGUUUGUUGUUACUGGGGACCUCGUUAUAGAUCAGAGCCAAAUAAUCUCCAUUUUGAUGUAGGUUCUAAUGAAAUUCAUCUUCAUUAUGGCUUAGCACAAUAUUAGCGAUUCGUGGAAGGAGAUUGUUCCACACCACCAACUUGUUAGUAAUUCGUGGUUGGAAGAGAUUAGGGGCCGGACAAGCAGGGCCCGACGAGCAGGGACGAGCAAGGACUGACGAGGACGAGCAGGGGCUGACGAGGAUGAGCAAGGGCCGGGCAAGCAGAUCUUGCACAGGGCUGACGAGGACGAGCAGGGGUGGAGGGUGGCGAGCGAGCAGCGCGACCUGGGGCGGAGGGAGGGCGGCGGGCGGCGUGAGCUGGGGCAGAGGGAGGGCGGCGGGCGGCGCGAGCAGGGGUGGAGGGCGACGACUCCCAUGCGUGCAUGCUCGACAUGCUGGGUGCGGCGGAGGAGGAUGGCGGCAGCGUGCUCCCCGACGUGCCGCUCCUCACCCGAUUCUUGUCUACCUCAUCAUGGCCGCUGCCGAGCCCUGCGACCCACGGCAAGCUCAGCUGAGGCGGGCUCAUCUUCCCCAUUCUGCGAAUCACCACCGAAUCGCGGCGUCCCUCCCACUCCCCUUCGCCUAGUCCGCUCCGGCCGCGAGCUGCGGCGGCGGCGCCGGAGGCUGCACGGGCAGCCCCUGCUCCGCCUCCGCCCCCGAAGUUGUAGGCCUGGCGCUCGCGCUCGCCGUAACCUAGCGCCGCUAGGGCGGAUGGAGGGCGGCAGGUGGGCGGCGCGACCUGGGGCGGAGGGAGGGCGGCGCGUCGGGGGAGGAGGUGGAAGAGGAAAAAGAAUGUACCGAUUCGGUACAUAACCGAUGGUAGGCGUCUAAAUAACCCAGAAAGCUAGUUAGAAGCUCGUUUUCCCCUCCUUUCUAGCUUACCACUGUAACGUGGCUUUCCACAGCUUUUAGCUCACGAAAAGCUAGGCUCAAAAGCUUGCCGUUUGUUCGGGCUUUCGACUUCUAGGGGCGAGAACCUGGCUGAAAGCCCAAACAAAUAGGGCCUAAAGAGGGUCUUCCCAGGUGGAUGGAAUGGGAUUAAAGGACCCCUUUUUGUCUCGAAAAAUUUAUCCCGAAUGGUUUUUAGAGAGAUUUGGCCUCUACCAACCGGGACUAAAGUCGAGGUUUCUAGCAGUGAGUGCAGAGGCUGAAUACAGGGCAGUGACAAAUGCAGUUGCAGAGUGCUGCUGGCUAAGGUAAUUGCCUGGUGAAUUACAAUGUGCAGUCCUGUCAGCAACAGUGGUCUUCGGUGACAAUAUAUCUGCAGCUUACAUGGCUAGUAAUCCUGUUCAUCAUCGCGGCACCAAACACAUCGAGUUGGACAUCCAUCCCUCGGUGAGUUUUGCGUCGUUCGUUUACCGACUGAUCAGCAGAUUGCAGAUAUAAUGACCAAAGGAUUAGCUUCAGAUUUAUUUGACUCUUUUCUUUCCAAUCUGUGCAUUUUGUCAGGAGACGAUGUUCAGAAUGCCGGGGGUGCAUUUUGUCAGGAGACGAUGUUCAGACUGCCGUGGGUGUUACACUGACAAUUAUAGUUUUCCAUUUGGCCCGCGGCCCGCGGGCCGGCCCACGGCACGACAUUUGGCCCGGUACAGGCACGGCUCGGCACGGCGGCCUUGCAGGACCGGCCCGGCCCGGCCUACACCACGGGCCGGGCCUAGGCCGCUACCUCAGGUCGUGGGCUGGCUCGGCACGGCCUGGCCCAUUCAGCCUGUGGGCUAGCAACGGCCGGCACGGCUUGUUUAGGCGUGCCACGCCUGCCUCGGCCCGGCCAACGGCCGUAUAAAACACCAGCACUCGGUGGCCCCCGGUCGAAACCCUACCCCGCACCCGCUCCGCUCCCGCAUUGAGCCACCUCUCGCCCUCUCCAACGCUCCCCUCGCUCCCUCCCGGCUCCUCGCCUCCUCCCUCCGUCCCUCGAUGCCUACGCCUCCUCCCCUAGAUCCUCCACCGUCCUUGCCCGCCGUCGUCUCACCCUGUCCCUCCCCUCUCAGAUCUGGCGUCCUCGCCCACCGCCGGCUCGCCGGUGGCCCCUUCGCCUCCCUGUCCCCGUAACUACUCUUCCACUCUCAGAUCUGGCGUCCUUGCUUGCCGCCGGCUUGCCGGUGGCCCCUCCGCCUCCCUCCCCCUGUAACUGCUCCUCCACUCUCAGAUUCGGCAUCCUCGCCUGUCGCCGGCUUGCCGGUGGCCCCUCCGCCUCCCUACCCCCGUAACUGCUCCUCCCCUCUCAAAUCCGGCAUCCUUGCCCGCCGCCGGCUCACCGGUCACCCAUCUGCCUCCCUCCCCGUAACCCCGCUUCUCCCCUAGCCCCUCUGGCCCUCCGCCUUCCUUCCCGACUCCUCACCUCCUCCUCCCGACCCCUCGCAGAUCCGCCUCACUCCCUGGUUCCCCACCAUUGCGGUUCGUCUUCUCCGGCUUAGGGCUCCGGGUGCGCAGGUAAACAACCUCCUCUUGUUCCUCUUCUUGUUUCGACCCCUCGCAGAUCCGCCUCCCUCACUUUUCUCCUCUUGCAGGUCUCCUAUAGGUGCCGCGCGUUGUUGAGGAAUGGAACCGCCGAGGCGACGACGUCAAUGGUGGAGGGCUCGAGGGUGUGUUCCCUGUUCCGGGUGUGCUCUUCAUUUGAGGUCUUAGGAUGGACGACGACUAUCCAACCUGCCUCAAUGAUGAGUUGCAGUUGAUGGGGGAGACCGGAGAUGAUAAUUCUAAUUUGGAGGCGGAUCGGCGGGCGCUGCUCGGUGGUGCCGUCCCCGAUUCUCAGCCACGUAGUGGAGAUUCUACACCACCUGCUGCUACUGGCUCUGGUGCUGGUCCGGGCUCGGAGAGUACGGGCAGCAAGAGGACUCGUUCUUGCACCUCUAAGGUAUGGGACGACUUUGAGCCACUGUACAAGGUAAUGAAUAACAAGAGGGUAAGAACUGGUGCUAAGUGCAUACAUUGCAAGAAAGUUUAUUUUGGUAAGUCUUCUAGUGGUACUGGACACUUGCAUAGGCACCUUCCAAAGUGCCCAGUCUUGCUAGGUGCUUCACGUAUGGCUCAGUCCCAACUCAAGUACAAUCCUGAUGGCUCUCUCCAUAUGUGGGAGUACAAUCCUAAUGUUCCUCGUAUCCAGUUGUGCAGAUUGAUUGCUAGACUAGACCUUCCUUUAUGCUUUGGUGAGUCUGAUGCAUUUGAGGAGUAUAUUAAUAUUGCUCAUAAUCCUAGAUUUAGUUGUGUGUCUAGGCAAACCACCACCAAAGAUUUUGUUAAGUAUUUUGAUGAGCGUCGUACUAAACUUGUGGCUUCUUUGCAAUCUGUUUCCUUUGUUGCUCUUACAUCUGCCAUAUGGUCUGGUAAUGCUAAGGAAGAUUACCUUAGUGUGGUUGUUCAUUAUGUGAAUGCUGAUUGGCAACUAGAGAAGGCCUUUGUUUCAUUGAUGUUUCUCAUAAUGCUGAUAAUAUUGCUGAGCGCAUUACAUCUGUUGCUACUGAUUUUGGUUUAAAUGAUAAGAUAUACUUUUGUGUUUCUUGACAUCUGCCCACAACAUAUACUUUUGUGUCUGCGGGAGCAUGAAUGGAACAUCUUGUUUACCCUUCCAUUCUCUAAUGCUGAUGGGCACGUUGUCCCUUACAAUAGCCUUGCACUGACUCACGAACUUUUUAGCCACAUGUUUAGGAGCAAUUGGCUUGCCCUUUUCCAUCACUUCCGUGAUGUGAAGCCUUUCCUCCAUAAUCUUGGUAUGACCUCGUGGCUUGUUUUGCUUCAUUGAUCCAGAGGGCUAAUAGUUCAAGAUUCAUUAAUUAGUACAUAGUAAUAAUGAAUAUGAAAUUAUAGAUGGGUUAAAACAAUGAAAAUGAUAUAUAGCUCGCCGGUACCUUACGUGAUGGCAAGGCUUUAUUCCGCAUUGUCAUCAACGUGGUGCUUGGGCUCAUCAUUGCCAUCACUGGACAUGUUGAGCAACAUGUCUGCCUGGCUACCCUCAUCCUCGGUGUACGUUAUUAGAACGUUGGAGCCACUACCACCAGCAAUAAUCUCCUCCAUUAUAUACCUUGCAUCCUCUUCAUAUCCCAUCUCAACUAAUUUAAACACACAUGAAAUCAUAGAUAAAUUAAAUUAAAAAUUGUAUCAUAGACUUUGAUGUAGCAUCAAUGAAUCAUUCAGCAUCAAAGUUUGAUUUUGUUGAUUUCAUGAAACCAAAACUUCACUAUUCUAGUGGUUGAAUGAGGCAGUGCAUAAACUAUAAUAAAAAAAUAUAUUCAAAUUUUGGUUGUACAUAUAUGCUGUUAUGCAUGAAUAUUUGGAUGAGCAUAAAAAACAUUUGUGCCAGUUUGUCUAGCAAUAUUCUAGUCUUCUACAUUUAACAUCAGGUUAAGUGAGUUUAUAUUGGUUUUCGUAAUGGAAGGUUCCACUUGGUCUGUCUCUUAAAGUUUGACUGUAACAUACAGUUGAUUUGUUUUUUAAAUUAACGUCCACAUUUCAAAUAGGUUCAGGCGCACGGAUGGCGGGGACAGCGCUCGGAUGUAAGGGCGGCACGCGGAACGACAUGCUGGGGCGGGCUACAAGGUGGGUGCGAUGGUGGGGGUCCUGGACGGUGGCAGGGAAGGGGCGCGGGUGAAGGUGGGGUGCGCGAAUCGACGGCGAGGGUCUUGGAUGGGGCGGGCAAAAACAACAAUGGCAAGGGUGGACGGAGGCGGGGGGAGCUCGGAUGGUAGGCAGGCUGGGGCACCUCGAGUGACGGCGUCCGGGGCAGGAGGACGGCGGCGGCUGGGGCAGGCGGAUGGCGGCUGGGUGGUAGAUGGGAGUGAGCGGACAACAGCAGCCAAGGCAGGCGGAUGGUGGAAGGGUGGUGGACGGGAGACGAGCGGGCGCGGGGCAGCGGAUCGAUCUAGUGGAGUGUGUGGGAGACGAGGCAUAAGGGAGAAGGGGCGUGUCUUAACCCUCCUAGUCCUUGGUUGACUUUGCAACCGGCACUAAAGGGCCUUUAGUCCUGGUUGCAAAUUCAACCCAAGACUAAAGCCUCCCCCCCCCCCCCGCUUAGUCCUAGUUGCAAUUUGCAAGGGUGCUUUUCGCGUAGGAGCUGAAAACACACCCUUUAGUCCCAGUUCCAAAUUGCAACCGGGACUAAAGGGUGGGCCUUUAGUUCCUGGUUGACUUUGCAACUGGGACUAAAGGCUCUUUAGUGGGGUUUUGCAUUUCCCGCUUGUUUUCAGUUAUUUUCCACUUUACAUACUUUGAACAUGAAAUUAUAUUAAAUUAGCAAGUAUAUUUAAAAUAAGUUUAAAUCAGUCAUUAAUUCUAUAUUAGUUGAUUAAGUUUUCAAAAUAAUUAUUUUGAUGCAUCACAAUCAUCAACAAACUCUUCAAUUAAAUAAUUUCAACGCGCAAAAAAUGCAAUUGAUGUAUGUGGUUAAGUUAACAUUGUUUAUAUUGAUCAAAUAAAUGUUCACCAUAGAGAUUACAAUAAAAUUCAAAGGUUUUGAUGGCCAUAGAGCAUUACAUAAAGGUUAACCAUAUUUAGUGCAUUACAAUGUAAUGUUAAAAAACUUCCUGUUGAUGAAAGUUCUUUGGUCAUGAUCGUUGUGCAAGUACGAAGCCUCUUCUUUGGCUAGCUUCAUGCUUGGGUCAACUUCAAAAGCGAAUGGAGGCAUAUCAUCAAACUGAUCAUAAUCAUCUGACUAGUCUGUUUUAUCCUCGACUCCCACGAUUUUUCUUUUACCUGGAAGAACUAUGUGGCGCUUUGGCUCCCUUUCUUUAUCUUCUGAAUUUUUCUUGGGUUUGCUAGACAUGUCCUUCACAUAGAAAACCUGGUGCACAUCAUUAGCAAGGACGAAUCGUUCAUCAUUGUAUCCAGUCUUGGUCAGGUCCACUAUUGUCAUUCCAUACUGAUCUUUCAUUACGCCACCUCCAAUUAGCUUCACCCAUUGGCAGCAAAACAGAGAGGUGUUCAGCGGUCCGUAUUCGAGUUUCCUGAUCUCCUCUAUGAAACCAUAAUAUGAGUCCCUGCUCCUGUUUGUGUCUAUGGCAUCAAUGCGGACACCACUAUUAUGGUUGGUGCUUACCUGGUCUUGGGCUCUCGUGUAAAAUGUAUAACCAUUUACCUCGUAACCUUGAAAUUUCACGAUUAUGCUAGUAGGUCCCCUGGCUAACCAAGCGAGUUGUUCAUGAAUCGCGGAGUUACUCAUAAGGUGUUGACGCAACCAAGAGGUUCAUAUCCAUGUGAUUAUAUAUAAUCCACGCAUCAGAUUUCGUCGAGUAUUAGGAAAAUAAAAUCCGCUUGUGCUCCUCGAUAUACUAAGCCACAAAGAAUGAUUGUUGCAAAACAGUGAAGUGUGCUUUCUGGAAUAAAUUAGUAUCAUUGCUCAAACUUGAUUUCCUUCCAAGGGUGCCCGUUCCAUGCAACCUCCCCUUGUGGCAUCAUGUUGGAACCCCAAUCGAAUUAAUUGAGUCAAUAAAAUCAACACAAAACUCAAUGACCUCUUCUGCUCCAUAUUCCUUGGUGAUGCUUCCUUCUGGACGGGCACGAUUAAGUACAUAGUUUUUUAGAAUGACGUGAACCUCUCGAAAGGUCACAUAUUGUGUAGGAAUACUGGACCGAGAAUAGUAAUCUCUUUGACUAGGUGAACUAGGAGGUGCGUCAUAAUAUUGAAGAAGGAUGGUGGAAAUACCAACUCAAAGCUGACAAGACAUUGUACCAUAUUGUUCUGUAGCUUUACUAGCUUGGUUGGAUCGAUUGCCUUCUGCAAAAUCACAUUGAGAAACACGCAUAGCUUUACGAGUGCCAAUCGUACAUUCUCUAGUAGAAUACCCCUCAGUGUAAUCGGAAGCAACUGGGGUAUCAACAUGUGGUAGCCAUGGGCCUUGAGAUUUGUGAUCUUCUUUUCUUUCAUAUUUAUUAUUCCCUUUAUAUUCAAGGAGUACCCAAACGGAACCUUAAUACUAUUCAUGCAUUCAGACAUGGUAUCCUUUUGUUCCUUGUGGAGAGUGUAAUUGGCAUGAUGUAAGUAGUGCUAUCUGUUAUCUCCCUUUUCUGAUUGUAGGUCAUCUUGUUGCUUCAUACAUUUUAGGUCUUGUCGUGCUUCCAAUGUAUCUUUUGAGUUCCCAUAACAACCCAUGAAGCCUAGCACGUUCAUGCAAAGAUUUUUGUUAGGUGCAUCAUAUCUAUUGCAUUGCGGACCUCUAGGAUUUCCCAAUAAGGUAGCUCCCAAAAUAUAGACUUCUUCUUCCACAUGGGUGCACGUCUGUUAUCGUCAUUCGGAAUAGGUUCGCUACCAAGACCCUUUCCAAAGAGUACCCUUACAUCCCUUAUUAUCUCAAAUACACGCUUUCCAUUAUAGUGUGCAUGUUUUUUACGAUAAUCUGGCGCCCCUUUGAAAUGCAUCCCUUUCUUUCUUAACGUGUAGUUACCAGGAAGAAAUCGAUGAUGGCCCAUAUACAUGACCUUCCUAUAGUCUUUCAAAUACAUACUAUCUGUGUUGUCUAAACAGAGGGUGCACGCUCGAUAUCCCUUAUUUGUCUGUCCUGAAAGGUUACUCAAUGCUCGUAGGUCAAAGCUCUCUUGUUUAUUAUCAUCCUACAAAUGUACACAUUCUUCCUUCCAGAGCAGUAAAAAUUCAUCAACCAAUGGCCCUAGGUACACGUCAAUAUCGUUGUCAGGUUGUUUUGGGUCUUGGAUAAGCACUGACAGCAUAAUGAACUUCCGCUUCAUGCACAGCCAAGAAAGAAGGUUGAACAUACAUAGGGUAAUAGGCUAAGUACUAUGACCACUACUCAACUCACCGAAUGGAUUGAAUCCAUCAGUACUUAAACUAUACCUUAUGUUCCUUGCAUCACCUUCAAUGUCCGAAAAUACUCUAUCAAUUGAUCUCCACUGGACCCCAUCCGUGGGGUAUCCCAAUAUCUCAUCUUGCUUGCAUUCUUCUUUGUGCCAUCACAUCAACUUAGCAUUUGACUUGUUUCUAAACAAAUGCUUCAAAUGUGGUAUUAUAGGGAAAUACCACAUCACCUUCACGGUAACUCUCUUCUUGGGAGGCUACCCCUCAACAUCACCAGGAUCAUUUCGCCUGAUCUUAUACCGUAUUGCUCCACAGAUAGGACAAGCAUCCAAUUUCUCGUAUUCAUCAUCACGAUAGAGGAUAUAGUCAUUAGGGCAUACGUGUAUCUUCUGAACCUCCAAUUCUAGAGGGAAAAUAACCUAUUUAGCUUCAUAUGUUGUGGACGACAAUUCAUUAUUCUCACGAAGAAUGUUCUUUACAAUUUUCAAUAUCCCCUGAAAUGCCUUAUCGGACACACCAUUUUUUGCCUUCCAUUACUGCAGUUCUAGUGUGGUACCCAGUUUUUUAUGCCCCCGCUUGCAAUCUGGGUACAAUAAUUUUUUGUGAUCAUCUAUCAUGUGCUGCAACUUUCUUGAUUCCUUCUCAGUUUCACAAUCUCUGUGUGCAUCCUGUAGUACCUGACCAAGAUCAUCAAUAGGGUCAUCUUCUGCAAACUCAUCUUCAUCAGCCUCGCCCAUUUAGUAUCUACAAAAGUUUGGCCUGCAGCCCAGUCCGGAAUGUUGUUAUCAUCCUCCUCUUCUUCGUCGUCUUCCAUUAUAACCCUUCUUUUGCCGUGUUUGGUCCAAAUUAAAUAGUUAGCCAUGAAAUUGUAUCUAAAUAAGUGGUUAUGAACAAUCCCUAAGGAAGAGUAGUCCUUAUUGUUUCUGCAUUGGAAGCAUGGAUAACAUAUGAAUCCAUUCUUUGGCUUGUUGGCUUUGACCCCUUCGAGAAAAUAAUGCAAGCCAUCAACAAACCCCUUGGUCCAUCUGUCAUAGUUAAACAUCCAUUGCCGGUCCAUCUACAUCGUAUUACGUGUGAAAUGGACAUAGGUCUUUGUAUUAGAUAAAGAACUUGAUCAAUAUUAGAUAGGGGGGAAAAUAGAGUUAAUGUGAUUAUAAUAUUUAGUCCUUGCAAAAAACAUUAGAUAAAUAAAUUAUUACAUGAGAAAUGGACAUAGGUCUUCGUAUUAGAUAAAGAACUUGAUCAAUAUUAGGUAGGGAAAAAAAUAGAGGAAAUGUGUUUAUAAUAUUUAGUCCUUGCAAAAAAUAUUAGAUAAAUAAAUUAUUACAUGAGAAAUAGACAUAUGUCUUCAUAUUAGAUAAAGAACUUGAUCAAUAUUUAUAAUUUACACUAAUCAACCUUCAUGAAGAUAAAAACAAUUCACAUGAAAAUUACACCAUUCAAAAUUUAUAACAUUCACUAAAGAUACAUAUAAAGAUUACACUCAUAAUAAGACAAUAAAGAUACAUAUACACUAAACAUUACAGACGCUCCAUAGUGAAGUUCACGUAGUCAAUUAUCCUAAAAUAAUGGUACAACAUAGCAGAAUGUUCGCCCUCCAAGUCAUCUUUGCACAUAACUCAAUUUUCUAUGAAAUCUAUCGAGAGUCACCUUCACAUAUCCAAUACCAUAAAAUAAUGGUACAACAAAAGAUCUUCGAGUCCACGUACUCAGGCUAAAUAACAUAAAGGAAUCUUGAAAUAAUUGUCCAAAUAUCUUUUGGAGCAAGUGCCACAUUCUUACAAUAGAAGUAUGGUGGCACACACACAAUAGCCCAUCCAGGCAAAAAAUCUGUUCACUGAGCAUGACCCAUGGCGGCAAGCCAAAACCAACCAAAAGCCGCUAGGUCAAGGUCAGUGAACAGAUCUUUGCCUGAAGAUGAUAUUGGGCCAGCAUACUUCUAUUAUGAGAAUUAGGCUCCAAAAGGCAUUUGGAAUAUUAUUUCAAGAUUCUUUUAUGACAUUCAGCCCGAGUUUGUGGACUCGAAGUUCUUCUGUUGUACCAUUAUUUUCUGGUACUGGAGGAGCGGAGGUGACUCUCCAUAGACUUCGUAGAAAGUUGAGUUCUGUGCAUAGAAUAAUGUAUGCACACUCAUGCCAUGUGGAGACACUGUUCUCUGGAUUAGAGGAGCGGAGGUGGUACAGCCAUUGCCGGUCCAUCUGCAUCGUAUUACGUGGAAAAUGAACAUAGGGCUUCGUAUUACAUUAAGAACUUGAUCAAUAUUAGGUAGGGGAAAAAUAGAGUAAGUAUGUUUAUAUUAUUUAGUUCUUGGAAUAAACAUGAGAUAAAUAAACUAUUGGUCAAAGAAUUGCAAUUAUUGUUAAAUUACAGUGACAUGAAAAAUUGUAGCAAUGACCAAAUUCUAUUUCUUACACCUACAAUUUAUUUACCUUAAUUUUAUUACAAUGACUAAAAUAAAGCAUAAUAACAAUAAAUGAAGGGAAGAUGAAGUGCCUAACCUUCACAACACUUUGGAUGAGUGAAAUCCUCACGGAAAUGAGGAAAAAAAUUCAGGUAGCACCUCCCCUAAGGUUGCUUGCUCGCCAUGGAGAGGAGGAUGAAGCUCUCGGUCUCUGGUGGAGUGGCUCGGGCUGGGGGAGGAAGAAGAGUUUCAGGCUGGUUGGAUUUUUAGGGGAGGAAGAAGAGUUUCCAACUGGGAUAAAAGAGCCCCUUUUGUCCCGGUUGGUAAUUCCAACCGACACUAAACCUUUUGUAAUUCCAACCGGGAUAAAAGGGAGUGGGCGUCGGUGCGAUAUUUCUAGCCGUUACAAUUGGGACUAAAGGGGGUGUAGUCCUGGUUGGUCUUUACAACGGGAACUAAAGGAAGCUUUAGCAACCCCCCCCCCCCCCCGCGGGGACCUUCGAUGCCUCAUUCUUGACCCGGGAUGUCCCGGGUCCAAAGUCAACCGGUACAAAAGUACCUAGAUAGAAGGUCAAUUCUCUACUAGUAGGUUAUGCUUUCGCCAUAUGCUUAUGGCUCAUUUUAUGUUAACGUGGGUUGGUAUAUACUUAUACCUUAGUAUUCAGGUGCUAAUAAAAUUUGACCAACUAAAAUUGCUUAUUGUAGUAAACCAGUAAGCCUCUCCUUGUUUAAGCCUUGCAUUCAUUUGUUCCCCACACUUGCUGAGUACGACAUGCGCUUACCCUUGCUAUAACCAAUGUUGCUCAGAAGAAGAGGCUGCAAUGAAGUUGUUGUGAAGAUGAUGCUGAGUUCUAGGCGUACGCAACCCCCGAUCGAUUUCCUAUGAAGUUUGGAGCCUCCAUUUUCAAGAUUACGCUGUAAAUCUAUUAUAGACUCUCUUUCCUUUCGUGAUAGCGUUGCUGUUACUCACUUAUGAUGUCACUAUAUGUAUGAAAUUAGAUCCUGGCAUCCAUAUAGGUAGCACUUGGUUUUGUUUCAAAAUUGGGUGUGACAGAAGCUAUGCACGAGGCAAGAGGUUGCGGGUUCGAAUCACACGCACCGCACAAGCAUAUAUUUCGCGUGAAAAAUUGCGUGACUUGAGCGAAUGUGUGAACAUCCCCGGAAUUUAUAAUAUUUUUUUCGGGACUAAAGAUCCCAACCUUGGUCCUGAAUUCGUAAUCCUGGUUGGGAAAUCGGGCUUUAUAUGAGGUUUCCAAACAAGGACUAAAGCUGAGUUGUUCGUGUACUGCACUGCACGUCAAAUGUGCCGCCGCGUGAGAAACACGCUCUUUUGUCAGUUUACAAUGGAUGAUUGAUAGAAGCAGGCGAAACUGAUGCCAGGUUGGCAACUUUUGCCGGGUCAUCGCACUCGCCCGCGCCCUCCUCCUGUCUUCCCAUCGAGUAGACUGACCAAAAAGGUGUGGGUAGGUGCUUCACGAAGUAUCACCAUCAAGCCAACACGUAUUUACUCAGUCAACCAACGCACGAGGGUUUGAUGUUUUCUUUUCAUUCUAUCAUGAAAGCAGUACAUCUCUCGCGACUUUGACAAGUUUACUCAGUCAACCAUUCUACCAAAGAAGAAGAUGAUGAUGAUGGCGGAGAAAAAGGGGAAGAAAGAGGGGUAGGGUGAGGAUCGGGUGGAGGAGAGUGUGUGCCAGGUACGGUGGUUUGUUUUUUUCUUGCAUGGGUGCAAAAGUAUCUGCUACAGUUUAUGCUAACAUUCAACCCUCUUUGAUCGAAAGGUUAAAGGGCUUCAAUCUUAUAUAAUGUUAUGCGAAGUUAUUCGAAAUGAUGCAUUGCUAAAUGUGUUAGGCAUCUUGCUGGCUCCUGUUAUAGUGUUAUUACAACGAAACUUGAGUUCCUAUAGAAAGUAUGUACAAAUUUUCUAUACAAUAACUUCAUUGCAUCUUUUAAGAGAAGCAUAAGUGGCAACCUUAUGAAAACCAUAUACAGACUAUUAAAAAUGGUACUAGAAUCCUGUGAAUUAAUUGAAACAAAUAUCAAGCUCCAUGUGUUAUGAAACUUGUGCUUCCCUUUUAUAGUCCUUCAUUUUUUAUCACUAACUUUUAGCACCGGAAGACCAAGGCAUUAUUAUACUAGUUAUCACGUGCUUCAACAAAUUCAGUCAUCUGUCCAUGUUGAUUUCAUCUUGCAAACUCUAUGCUCAUCGAGGCUUUCUUCUGGAGGAUGUAAUAAUCUGUGCUUUCUUCACUAGUAUAGUCACCCGAUGAAUUGUCAGACGACCGUCCCUGCAUCAUGAGUGCACUAACACCAUGAAACCCUUGAGUGCGAGGUGGUACUGGACGUGCCAAUCGCUGGAGUUCCUCUGCUACCUCUCUCAUCAUUGGCCUGUGUUGACCUUCCUUUAUGCUCAGCUGAGGCGAGCUCAUCUUCCCCGUUCUGCGAAUCACCACCGAAUCACGGCGUCCCUUGUGGUGGAACCGUCCAACUUAAACUGAUUUAAAUGCGCCUAAUUGCUGCCGACGCAGCAAUUAUUCGAAACGCACUUAAAACAGUAUAAGUCCGGUCGUCCGUCGAGUGUCCCUAGGACUCCUCGAAAGAUCCACGUUGUGUCUCGUAGCCAUACAUCAGGAUAGUAUCCGCGAUGGGAUAGCAUCAACAAAUAUUACAUUUUUACAUACAUACAAGAGGUACGAGUUAUUACAAGACUUAGUUUGAAGCAAACUUAAUAGUGCAGUGUUAGACAGAGUUCUAGGACUUAAAACAUAAACGGUUCAGAUGGAGAUGAGCAUUAAAAAAAACUUCUUCUAAGGGUAUUGUGAGACUCAUAACAAUACCCUAGGGCUUCGGGGCUUCCUCCUCGGUGGACUCCUGCGGUGCUUCUGAAAAGAUAGCCACAAGGGAUAACCCUGAGUACGAGGUACUCAGCAAGUCUUACCCGACUAACCAAUAUAAUAGCUUUUCUUUGGAAGUACAUGAUAGCUUUUUGGUGUACUUGGCUGAUACAUUUUUGCCGAAAAGCUUACUACAAGUGAUGCCUUAGUUUUAUCUUUUAUUUGGGUUAAGUCAUUACCUAACCAUUCUAGAUGAUGAGAAGAAAGUAAACGCAACCAUAGAUAUUAAGUCAUACAUCAAACAUUAUCAGAAAGAUAUGCCAUUCAUGAAUUUAUGCUACGAUGCUCAACAGUGAUCAAGUGCAUUCAUAACCGAGAAUUGCGGCGAUCCGGAUCAAUUUACAUCCUGCAGGAGAGUACCCCGAUCACCAGUUAUAUACGACUGUCCAGGUCGUACACAACGACCUUUCGAUUAGCAAAAUCAAUGAUUGGGAAUAAGACUACCCGGACCCAGGGACGCACCCCCACAUGGGACCCCAUGUCUGGCCCGAUCACCAUGUGAGUUUCAGGCUACACCCCUGCCAAUCUCCAGCACGUCAAGCGCGGGUACGAAGUAUUCCCGAUCAGAGAGUUUGCUAACCUACUGGGCUUUACUGGUCCCAUACCCAGUAAGUGAUCAGAUGAUUAUCACUUGAUCAAAGGUUAAGACAACGAAUCGGGCCUUCACCACAUUAAUCUAGCAGACAGAACUACAUCUCUAGCUUCUAUCCGCUUCUCAAUUCCAAGUCAUCUUCCCAUAAAUAACAUGUAAGACUCAAAAAGUUUUCCUUAAGGUUGGUAAACCAAGCAUUGAAGCAACUAAGCAUUUCUAGACUUGGGAUACCUACUAGGGUUUGAACAAGUGGCAAAGAUGUCCUUAGAACAAGGUAUGAUCAUGCACAAGAAUAGGUUUCAAGCAACUCCUAGACUUAAUGCAUACAUAUAGCAAAUAACUGAAUAUAGGACACAUGAAAUAUUGACUUCAAAAUAAUAGGUGUAAUGCACCGGGGCUUGCCUUGUUCGCUUAAAAAGUUAGUACUGUCCGACGGGUUGGCCUCGCAGGGGACCAAUUCAAAGACUUCUUCAAACUCCGAAGGUCCUUCUGAAAAUUCCAAGUAAUCUCCUUCUGGUGCUUCGGGGUCUAUAGCACAACACAUGCAGGGGUUAGGAAUGCAAAUUUUUGAAUAAAAGACUAUACAACUUUCCUUCAUGAUAAAGUUGCUAGCCAACAAGGACUAUACAAUUUAUCAUGAUAAAGUUGCAAGCCAACACACAAAAACCCAAAAAGAUUAGCCCAAAAUUUUUAUUUUCUUACCUAACCUUACUCAAGGCCUUUCUUUUAUUUUUUUUGAAAAGGUUAUAAUUAUUUUCUAACUUGAAAAACUAAUUUCCUAUGAGUUGAGAAUAAUUUGUGAUUACGAAAAUGUUAUUCCAUAUUUUAUACAUUUUAUAAAGAUUAAGUAUUUAUUUAAUUACCUUAAAAGAAAGGCAUUAAAUGAAUACCUAAAUUUUUAUAGUUUUCCUAGGGUAUAAAAAUUUUAAUGCAUAAAGGAAAAUAAAACAAGCCUAACAAAAUUGGUUUCACUAAUUUUGGACACUCCUAGAAAUUUCUGUGAUUUAAAUGGUGGGAUUCCAAUUUAAACUAAUUAUUCUAUAAAGGAAAUCCAAAUUUUCCCGAAAAACACCCCCGGCGACUUUUCUCACGCGGCUCGACUCUACCCCCUCUCACUUGCGCUGGGCCCGUGACGCGGACCCACCCCUUCUCCUAUUCCUUCUACCCGCCGGCCUCCUUUUACCCCGGCCGGGCCCUAUUGGGCCGAUUCCUCUUUCCCCUUCUUCUCCUUUCGCUCGCGACGGCCCAACGGCCCUGUUUUCUUUUUCUUCGUUUCCUCGCGAGCGCGGUCUGCUGGCUCCUCUGGGCCUCCGGCCUUCCUCUCCACGGUCGACCGCGCGCGCUCCCGGGCUUUCAAGGCCGCGGCCCAACUGGCCUCCGCGUCCGGCCGGCCGACUCCCUCUCCCUCUCUUCCCUACUGACGCGCGGGCCCAAGGCGCCAGACUCUUCUUCCUCCUCCCGCCAAAACUCGCGCGUGACAGGGGGCGGUGUGGCUCGCCGGCCGGCGCCCUACCGGCGGGGGAACUAGGUCAGGAAAGCACCUCCGUGCCCUCACACACCCGUGCGUGGCAACAGUUCCUCGGGAGAUGGCCGGAGCCAUUCCCUCCACGGCGGCGGGCGGCGGCACCUACGGCCGGUCGCGAUUACGCACGACAACGGCGCAAACUACCCCGACGACUACCACGACACCAUCCUAGCAUCCUAAGGACCUGCUUAAGGCUACCCAAGAAGGAAGAGAACAAGCGCAAGGGGGUGCUCACCGUGAGCGGGAGGUUUAAGGCGUACCGGCGGAGAGGCUGGGCAACAAGCUGCUAGGGUUGCUGGUGGGGUGUGGGUGGAGGUGUGGACGGAGGGAAUCGACGGGAGCUGCGGUGUGGUGGGAGUAUUUUGCUCGGCGGCGGCGGCUUGGACAGAGGAGAUGGCGGCGGUAAAAAGGACAGCGGUAGAAACGGCAGCGCGGGAGCGGUAGUUAUUCAAGCUUUCACCGCGCGCAUGGGCGACACCGUGGCCUACUCGUAGGCUUGCGUGGUGAGGAGGUGGCGUAGCUGCCGCGCUGGCGAGCGACCGACGACGGCGGUGGCGACACGUCCUGCCUGCUCUGUCAUCGUUCCCCCCCUUUUCUUCUGACGCCCGAAACUUCAGAGCUCCACCACGGCCGAUUCCAAAUCCGACGGUGCAUAUGUGUCUUAAGAAAAGUUGUAGAUAAUCUCGAGCUUUCCAAGUCAUAUAUAAACCUUUGCCCGAGAUAAACAUCCAAAAGUCUCCAAAUUUAAAUUUUUCUCGGGCAAAUGACUGAACCCUUUUUCCCUUCCAUUCAGUUUCGUCAGUCACUCGAUGUGGUCAUGUGCCCGACUUAGUGAAUCAUUUCGGUGCUCCAAAUCCUCUUUCUGUAGUCCAACUUCUACCCAAUUGUGUUCUACCAUCUUCAAGGUUUCCAUUUUGCCCAAAAACACCUACCUCUUUUGAUCUACAUUCCUCUGAAAUCCAUUUCAAAGUCGGCCACACACUGCUGUCUUCAGACUUAGUCAUUUUCAGUGAUGCAAUUACAGUGACGAGAUGCUGACUUUAGGCCUUCAUUUGAAAUAGCUCCCUCUGCUAUUCUUGAUCAAAAACACCCAAAUCUAGUAGUCCAAGGUCCACACUUUAAUAUGGUGUAGUUGUUCUGAUUUACUUAUUUGAAAAAUUCAUCAGAAAUCAAUUUUGAAAAUGGACUCUGCUGCUGUUUUCUGAAUUUUCCUAUUGUCAGAUGGUGAAUAGUGCACUUCGGUUUUAUUUGCUUUCUUUGAUUCUUUUGAGAUAUCUAGGACCAAUUCUGUUCCAAUUUCUUGAUCCUCAAGUUCUAAUCACCCUUACACCUUUAUUCCAUAUUUUUGACGAAUUUUUCUGAAUUUCAAUUCAAAAUUCAAAUUUCGGUCAAAUUUGACCUGAAUUUGAUUUUUGGCCAAUUUCUUUUUAUUUUCUUCUCAAAUUGCUUCCAAUUUUUCAAAGUCACUUUGGUGACUAAAAUGGCAAGGUAUUACAUCCUCUCCCCCUUAACAGAAUCUCGUCCCGAGAUUCCCGGGGUGAAAUCCUCGGCUUUGAGAAUGGAAAGGAAACUGCAUCAGGUCAACUAUUUUUCUCUUUUCUGUACAAGGAUAGUGGGGUGGUGGCUUUUGUUCAUCUGUCCCUGAUGGUUUCAAACAAUUCAGGAUAUUUAGACUCUAGGUCUUCAGCCUGUUCCCAAGUAGCUUCAUCCGGAGUAUGAUUUUUCCAUUGUACCUUGUAAAAGGUGAUACUCCGAGUUCGGGUAUCUCUUGUCUUUUGAUCCAGAAUUUUAAUAGGCCUUUCUUCAUAGGUUAGAUCUGGUGCGAGCUUGAUUUCUGGAUCUUCUAGAGUUUCUUCUGGAACUCUUAAACACUUCUUAAGCUGGGAUACAUGAAAUACGUCAUGUAUAGAAGUAAGUUGGUCUGGUAAUGACAGCUUGUAUGCCACUGGACCCUUUCGUUCCAGAAUCUCAUAAGGACCAAUAUAUCUUGGGGCUAACUUACCCUUUAUUCCAAAUCGUUGUACUCCUUUCAUCGGGGAUACCUUUAAGUAUACAAAAUCUCCGGUAUGAAAUUCCAAGGACCCUCUCCUUUUAUCCGAAUAACUCUUUUGUCGGGACUGGGCUAUUUCCAAAUGUUUGCGAAUUUUCUGGACCUUUUCCUCGGUUUCCAUAACCAGAUCUGAUCCCAAAUGUGUUCUUUCUCCUACUUCUGACCAAUUCAAAGGGGUUCGGCAUCUUCGACCAUACAGGGCUUCGAAAGGUGCCAUUUUAAUGCUAGCUUGAUAGCUAUUAUUAUAGGAGAACUCGGCUAGGGGCAAACAUUCGUCCCAUAGCUUAGAGAAGGUAAGGACACAUGCUCUCAACAUGUCUUCCAAGAUUUGAUUAACUCUUUCUGUCUGUCCUCCAGUUUGAGGCUGAUAGGCAGAACUUCUAAUUAGAGUAGUGCCCAUGUCCUUUUGCAACUGUUCCCAAAAUCUGGAAACAAACUGGGAACCUCGAUCAGAGAUAAUUGUCUUUAGUACUCCGUGCAAGGAUACGAUCCGGGCUAUGUAGAGUUUAGCAUAUGUCGACACCGGAUAGGUAGUCUUGACGGGAAUAAAGUGAGCUGACUUAGUAAGGCGGUCGACAAUAACCCAUAUGGAAUCAUACCCUUUUGAAGUGGUAGGAAAUCCAACUAUAAAGUCCAUGGAAAUAUCCUCCCAUUUCCAGACAGGGAUUUCUAAGGGUUGAAGUAAACCUGCCGACUUUUGUAGUAUGGGCUUAACUCUUCGGCAAGUAUCACAUUCAGCUACAUACCUUGCAAUUUCAGGUUUCAUCUUGGCCCACCAAAACCUUUGCUUUAAAUCUUGGUACAUUUUAUUGCUUCUGGGAUGAAUAGCAAACUUAGAUAGAUGUGCUUCUUCUAAGAUCAACUUUCUUAGACUUUCAUCCUUAGGAACUACUAUCUUUUUCUUGAAGUACAGUCCUCCAUCUUCUUCUUGAUUGAGUUCGGGGAUCUUCCCUUCUGCUUUUUGUUGAUAGAGUAUCUUAAUCCAUGGAUCUUCUUUUUGGGCUGUUAUAAUUCUUUCCUUUAAGGUAUCUUGUAUCAUAAUAUUCUGAAGGGUGCCUUGUUUUACUAUUUCCAAACUCAAAUCUUCCAUUUCCUCACAUAAGUCUUAAGGUUAGACUGGACGGUAGUGCAGUGGCAUUGGGCCUUUCUGCUUAAGGCGUCAGCCACCACAUUAGCCUUACCAGGAUGAUAAUGGAUUUCUAAAUUAUAGUCUUUAAUCAGUUCCAGCCAUCGUCUUUGCCUCAUGUUCAAAUCCAUUUGAGUAAAGAUGUACUUCAAACUUUUGUGGUCAGUAAAGAUACGACAUUCACUACCCAAAAGAUAGUGUCGCCAUAUCUUUAAUGCAUGCACUACGGCAGCAAGCUCUAAAUCAUGGGUAGGGUAAUGCUCUUCAUGACGCUUCAGUUGACGAGAAGCAUAAGCAAUAACUCUGCCUUCUUGCAUAAGAACACACCCUAUGCCUGUUUCAGAGGCAUCACAGUAUACAUCAAAGGGCUUCUCUAUAUCCGGUUGAGCUAACACCGGGGCUGUAGUUAGCAACUUCUUUAAGACUUGAAAUGAUUCUUCACACUCAGGUUUCCAUUCAAAUUUUACUUCUUUCUUCAAUAACUCUGUGAUUGGUUUGGAAAUUUUUGAGAAAUUGGGAAUGAACCUACGGUAAUAACCGGCCAUUCCCAAGAAACUUCUUACUUCAUGAAUAGAGGUUGGUGAUUUCCAAUCCAAUAUAUCCUUAACCUUUCCGGGAUCUACUUCAAUUCCUUUUUUGGACAAUAUGUGCCCAAGGAAUGGAACUUUCUUUAACCAGAAUUCCCAUUUACUGAACUUGGCAUACAACUGAUGUUCCCGGAGUCUAUUUAGAACAAUACGCAAGUGUUGCGCAUGUUCCUCUUCAUUUUUAGAAAAGACAAGGAUAUCGUCUGUAAAGACGACCACAAAUUUAUCUAACUCUGGCAUGAACACUGAAUUCAUGAGGUACAUAAAAUGCGCUGGGGCAUUUGUCAGUCCGAAAGACAUAACCAAGUAUUCAUACAGUCCAUAUUGGGUUGAGAAGGCUGUUUUAGGUAUGUCUUCGGGUUUUAUCUUAAUUUGAUGGUAUCCUGACCGAAGGUCGAUUUUUGAAAAGACCUUGGCUCCAGCUAAUUGGUCAAACAACAAGUCAAUCCGUGGUAACGGAUACUUGUUUUUAAUGGUUACCGCAUUCAAAGGGCGGUAAUCCACACAUAACCUUAAUGUGCCAUCCUUCUUUUUAACAAAUAGAGUAGGGCAGCCCCACGGUGAAGUGCUAGGUCGGACAAAACCUUUGUCCAACAAUUCUUGGAGUUGUAUUUUCAAUUCUGCUAACUCCUUAGGUGGCAUUUGAUACGGUCUUCUCGAGAUAGGAGCGGUGCCUGGUUCUAACUCAAUGGUAAACUCUACCGCUCUAUCAGGCGGUAGUCCAGGUAGAUCUUCUGGGAACACAUCUAUAAACUCAUUAACCACAGGAAUAGAUUCUAGAGUCACUGCUCUAGUCUUUUUGACCAUCUGGUCCAAACAAGGAUGAGCGGGUAAUUGGAGCUCGAAUGGGUGGCCUUGGUCAUCUUUCAUACUAACGAUCCGAUUAUCCAUAUCGAUUUGAACUUUAUGUUCCUUCAUCCAAUUUACCCCCAAAAUAAUAUCUAUUCCUUGAUCUUCCAGAAUUAAAGGAUAAGCACCCACCUUAUUUCCUUCUAGGUUUAAAAUCACAUUGCGAGUUACUUGAUUUGUAUUCUGUGUAGCUCCAGUAGCUUGAAUAGCAUACUUGACAUUUAAUGUAUGUACUUCUAGUUGGUGUUGCGUAACAAACCUUCUACUUAUAAAAGUAUGUGAUGCACCCGAAUCAAAUAAAACCAUGGCAGGAUAAUUGUUAACAAGGUACAUACCUGCCAGAAUAGGCUCUCCUUCUGGAAUUUCCUCCACAUUCAUAUAAUGAGCUUGUCCUGUCUUGGUGUUCACAAAUUUGCGACGGACAAACUUCUGCCCAGUGCCUUGACCCGAAGUUUGAGCCCUCAAAUUUGCGUUUCCCCCAACCUUGGGAAAACGGCAGUCCUGGGCAAAGUGUCCCGGCUUCCCACAGUUAAAGCAAACCUGUGGAUUCCCUGGAGGAGUAGGGUUACGAAACCCAAGAGGUGGCGCAUUUCCAGGACGAGGAGCAUUACUGGGAGCUCUGACAUUCCAGGGCUGGAAGGAUCUCUGCUGAAAUGAAGGUCGAUACACAGGUCGAGGAGGACCUCGAUAUACCACCUUCAUUCUUUGUGGAGCACUCCCAAAGGUUCCAAAAGGAAUAUUCUUCCUUUUCAAAGCUUCCUCUUUCCUUAGGGUUUCAUCUAGAAUUCUCAUCUUUUCUUCUACGGUAAUGGCUGUACUUACCGCAGAGCUAUAGUCGGCAAAGGUGCAGGUGGACAACUUCUCCUGCAUUCUUGCAUUGAGCCCACGAAGAUAACAAUCUCUUUUUCUGGACUCGGUAUUGACAUGUUCUGGUGCAUAUUGGGCUAAGUGGUCGAACUCAUUGGUAUACUCAAGAAUGUUGCGGUUCCCUUGCUGGAGUCCUAAAAAUUGCUCCAGUUUCAUUCGCAUGAUACCUUCCAGCACAAACUGUGUCCUGAAGGCUUCCUUAAAGUUCUCCCAUGUAACCUCCCUUCCAACUGGCUGCCUAGCCAGAUAGCUGGUCCACCAGGUCCCAGCGGGACCUUGAAGCUGGAGUCCUGCAAACUCUGCCUUUUGAGUGGUGGUGCACUGGGGGAUUACUCAAAACUUCUGUUCCAUUGUUUGAAGCCAUUCAUUAGCUUCAAGGGGAUGCUCAGCCUUCAAAAAUAUUGGAGGACGAGUCUCCAGGAACUGGGUGUAGGAUACACCCCGCUCUGGAUCCCGCCGAUUUCCAUCGUUACCAGUGUUCUGUACGAUCAUUUGAAGUAAUCGAGCCUGUUCGGCCCCGGAGUUCAUAAGGCUGGCUAUAGCAUCUGCCAGCGUUGGAGCUCUCGGUAAAUUCUCCUCAUGGCCCCCUGACCCUGAAGCUCGUGGACCUCUUGGAUCCGUCAUGCUAUCAAGAGUAAACAAAACAUUAAUAUUUAGGGUGCAUUUUAUCAACAGUUCCCUGCACACUAAUAUUUCACACAUCACAACAUGACCAUACAUAAACCACACUUAUACACAUAUUUAUUUAUAGUACAUGAUUUGAAGUUACUCUUUACAAAACCAUCGUGCUACUCUGUCCAUCACAUGUAUCUUACAUAAAUAUAUUACAACAUCUCUUAGAUAAGGUCUCGCUUCAACCAUCGUAAGGGUAGAUGCCUAGUUCUUCGGCAUUCAGUCCUAGUCGGGCCAUUGCUGCUUGUAGAAUAUCUUGCUCCACUGUCAUCAAUGUUUGUCCUGGAGGAGCGACAGGUGGGGCUUGAUUCACUGAGUUCUCACUUCCUGAUUCCGGCCCGAGGUCGCUCGAAGUGUAAGAAGUGUAGGAUGCAGAGGUACUAACUCCGGAAUUUCCCUCCAUCUCUUCAGGAUCCUCCUCUUCUUCCCCGUCUUCUUGCUCCGCUUCUUCCCACUGCUACAUUGGCCCGUAGCCUUGUGGAUCUAGCCCAUCGGCGUUUGCAUUGGCCCAGACAAAUUGUUGAUUUCCCACGGGAGCUUCACCCUGAUCAUCUUCCAUGUCAACAUCAAACCCUUCUAAGUUCUCAUGAGCGUAUAGAUCAAUCUCAGGAGCUGCAGGUGGAGCAAGAUCUUCCUUCACUCCUACCACAUCCACUAACUGGUCCGCUUCUUCUGGGUUCGGUGGCUGGGGCUCUUCUGGUGGUGGAGGCGGUGGAACAUUAACAAUGUUUUGCGCAGGUACCUGGGCCUGCAUCUCCUCCAAAGCCAGACGAAGUGAUAAGAUCUCGUCCAGCUGCUGGAAUCUUUUUGCUUCAAGCCUAUUAACAUUGGAUUCGGCUUCCUCCCUUGCUCUAUCUGCCAUGCUCCUGCUAGCCUCUAUGAAUCCUUGCAUCACCCUGAGUUUUUCUUUGUAGUCGUCUAUUCUCCUGGACUGUUCCCUUAUUAUUUUCUCCAUGUCGUGUUCCCUUGUCAAUGCCGCCUUUUUGUACAAUUCCUUAUCAUGUCGGGCGCCCAUUAACUCCAUUUUGGCGUCUUCAUUUUUCUGCCUCUGAUUGUAAUACUCUCUGAUGCAAGACUGAUGUAAGUUGUACAUGGCCGUCAUGUAAUCAGAAGCAGCAGCAACCAAGAUAUCGUGCUCUACACGAGAAGAGUUCUUCAGAGCUUUAAUUCUCCUCUUCCAGAUCCCGUCAUCUUGAUUCUUGAUAGGAUAGAACCGAGCAGAGCUCGACCCUAUCUCUACUUUGUGCUUUUCACAUAACUCGGUAAGAGCAGUCAUAGCCGCCCUUUCAAUUGUGUCAUUGAACUCAAAGCCUGACUCCAUUACUUCUUCUAGACGCCAAUUGGGAUUGGUGUCUUCAUCUGGAAUGUGCACAUAAACAGUGCAGUACUGUUUGUGACCCGUAUCUUCCUUCCUCCAAUAAUAUUCUGGAGGGUUGUGAAAGCCUAAUUCCUGCAGCGUCUUCCAUAGCAACUUCACAAACCCCGGCUUAUCCAGAUAAUGGCCGCGGGUCCAUCCAUCUUGAUCAGUGUAACCUUCUUGAAACAUCCUAUAAAAGAAACGAGGUCAGGUCUAACGGCACUCACUAAACCCAAAAAUUUUGAAAAUAUGCUUAUGCAACAUGAUGCAACGAUUCCUACGGACUCACAGACUCAUAUACACACUCGUAAAGAAAUUGGUGGCAUCGUAAUCUCUCCCUAAAUAACAGACUACCGAAUACUAGCGACACGCAGCAAACAGUUAGCAUCUGCAAAACAAACAACCAGUUAACACUACUGCCACCUGUGACUCAUGUUUUCUUUAUUUUAAAAUAGAGUCCCAGUUUUUAAAUGGUAAUACCUGUUGAUUAUCCCAACCUACGGCUCUGAUACCAGCUGUGGCGGAACCGUCCAACUUAAACUGAUUUAAAUGCGCCUAAUUGCUGCCGACGUAGCAAUUAUUCGAAACGCACUUAAAACAGUAUAAGUCCGGUCGUCCGUCGAGUGUCCCUAGGACUCCUCGAAAGAUCCACGUUGUGUCUCGUAGCCAUACAUCAGGAUAGUAUCCGCGAUGGGAUAGCAUCAACAAAUAUUACAUUUUUACAUACAUACAAGAGGUACGAGUUAUUACAAGACUUAGUUUGAAGCAAACUUAAUAGUGCAGUGUUAGACAGAGUUCUAGGACUUAAAACAUAAACGGUUCAGAUGGAGAUGAGCAUUAAAAAAAACUUCUUCUAAGGGUAUUGUGAGACUCAUAACAAUACCCUAGGGCUUCGGGGCUUCCUCCUCGGUGGACUCCUGCGGUGCUUCUGAAAAGAUAGCCACAAGGGAUAACCCUGAGUACGAGGUACUCAGCAAGUCUUACCCGACUAACCAAUAUAAUAGCUUUUCUUUGGAAGUACAUGAUAGCUUUUUGGUGUACUUGGCUGAUACAUUUUUGCCGAAAAGCUUACUACAAGUGAUGCCUUAGUUUUAUCUUUUAUUUGGGUUAAGUCAUUACCUAACCAUUCUAGAUGAUGAGAAGAAAGUAAACGCAACCAUAGAUAUUAAGUCAUACAUCAAACAUUAUCAGAAAGAUAUGCCAUUCAUGAAUUUAUGCUACGAUGCUCAACAGUGAUCAAGUGCAUUCAUAACCGAGAAUUGCGGCGAUCCGGAUCAAUUUACAUCCUGCAGGAGAGUACCCCGAUCACCAGUUAUAUACGACUGUCCAGGUCGUACACAACGACCUUUCGAUUAGCAAAAUCAAUGAUUGGGAAUAAGACUACCCGGACCCAGGGACGCACCCCCACAUGGGACCCCAUGUCUGGCCCGAUCACCAUGUGAGUUUCAGGCUACACCCCUGCCAAUCUCCAGCACGUCAAGCGCGGGUACGAAGUAUUCCCGAUCAGAGAGUUUGCUAACCUACUGGGCUUUACUGGUCCCAUACCCAGUAAGUGAUCAGAUGAUUAUCACUUGAUCAAAGGUUAAGACAACGAAUCGGGCCUUCACCACAUUAAUCUAGCAGACAGAACUACAUCUCUAGCUUCUAUCCGCUUCUCAAUUCCAAGUCAUCUUCCCAUAAAUAACAUGUAAGACUCAAAAAGUUUUCCUUAAGGUUGGUAAACCAAGCAUUGAAGCAACUAAGCAUUUCUAGACUUGGGAUACCUACUAGGGUUUGAACAAGUGGCAAAGAUGUCCUUAGAACAAGGUAUGAUCAUGCACAAGAAUAGGUUUCAAGCAACUCCUAGACUUAAUGCAUACAUAUAGCAAAUAACUGAAUAUAGGACACAUGAAAUAUUGACUUCAAAAUAAUAGGUGUAAUGCACCGGGGCUUGCCUUGUUCGCUUAAAAAGUUAGUACUGUCCGACGGGUUGGCCUCGCAGGGGACCAAUUCAAAGACUUCUUCAAACUCCGAAGGUCCUUCUGAAAAUUCCAAGUAAUCUCCUUCUGGUGCUUCGGGGUCUAUAGCACAACACAUGCAGGGGUUAGGAAUGCAAAUUUUUGAAUAAAAGACUAUACAACUUUCCUUCAUGAUAAAGUUGCAAGCCGACAAGGACUAUACAAUUUAUCAUGAUAAAGUUGCAAGCCAACACACAAAAACCCAAAAAGAUUAGCCCAAAAUUUUUAUUUUCUUACCUAACCUUACUCAAGGCCUUUCUUUUAUUUUUUUUGAAAAGGUUAUAAUUAUUUUCUAACUUGAAAAACUAAUUUCCUAUGAGUUGAGAAUAAUUUGUGAUUACGAAAUGUUAUCCCAUAUUUAUACAUUUUAUAAGAUUAAGUAUUAUUAAUUACUUAAAAGAAAGGCAUUAAAUGAAUACCUAAAUUUUUAUAGUUUUCCUAGGGUAUAAAAAUUUUAAUGCAUAAAGGAAAAUAAAACAAGCCUAACAAAAUUGGUUUCACUAAUUUUGGACACUCCUAGAAAUUUCUGUGAUUUAAAUGGUGGGAUUCCAAUUUAAACUAAUUAUUCUAUAAAGGAAAUCCAAAUUUUCCCGAAAAACACCCCCGGCGACUUUUCUCACGCGGCUCGACUCUACCCCCUCUCACUUGCGCUGGGCCCGUGACGCGGACCCACCCCUUCUCCUAUUCCUUCUACCCGCCGGCCUCCUUUUACCCCGGCCGGGCCCUAUUGGGCCGAUUCCUCUUUCCCCUUCUUCUCCUUUCGCUCGCGACGGCCCAACGGCCCUCUUUUCUUUUUCUUCGUUUCCUCGCGAGCGCGGUCUGCUGGCUCCUCUGGGCCUCCGGCCUUCCUCUCCACGGUCGACCGCGAGCGCUCCUGGGCUUUCAAGGCCGCAGCCCAACUGGCCUCCGCGUCCGGCCGGCCGACUCCCUCUCCCUCUCUUCCCUACUGACGCGCGGGCCCAAGGCGCCAGACUCUUCUUCCUCCUCCCGCCAAAACUCGCGCACGACAGGGGGCGGUGCGGCUCGCCGACCGGCGCCCUACCCGCGGCAGAACUAGGUCAGGAAAGCACCUCCAUGCCCUCACACACCCGUGCGUGGCAGCACUUCCUCGGGAGAUGGCCGGAGCCAUUCCCUCCACGGCGGCGGGCGGCGGCACCUACGGCCGGUCGCGACUACGCACGACAACGGCGCAAACUACCCCGACGACUACCACGACACCAUCCUAGCAUCCUAAGCACCUGCCUAAGGCUACCCAAGAAGGAAGAGAACAAGCGCAAGGGGGUGCUCACCGUGAGCGGGAGGUGCGGCGACGACGGACAGAAACGGCGGCGGUUUAAGGCGUACCGGCAGAGAGGCUGGGCAACAAGCUGCUAGGGUUGCUGGUGGGGUGUGGGUGGAGGUGUGGACGGAGGGAAUCGACGGGAGCUGCGGUGUGGUGGGAGUAUUUUUCUCGGCGGCGGCGGCUUGGACAGAGGAGAUGGCGGCGGUAAAAAGGACAGCGGUAGAAACGGCGGCGCGGGAGCGAUAGUUAUUCAAGCUUUCACCGCGCGCAUGGGCGACACCGUGGCCUACUCGUAGGCUUGCGUGGUGAGGAGGUGGCGUAGCUGCCGCGCUGGCGAGCGACCGACGACGGCGGCGGCGACACGUCCUGCUUGCUCUGUCAUCGUUCCCCCCCUUUUCUUCUGACACCCGAAACUUCAGAGCUCCACCACGGCCGAUUCCAAAUCCGACAGUGCAUAUGUGUCUUAAGAAAAGUUGUAGAUAAUCUCGAGUUUUCCAAUUGAUAUAUAAACCUUUGCCCGAGAUAAACAUCCAAAAGUCUCCAAAUUUAAAUUUUUCUCGGGCAAAUGACUGAACCCUUUUUCCCUUCCAUUCAGUUUCGUCAGUCACUCGAUGUGGUCAUGUGCCCGACUUAGUGAAUCAUUUCGGUGCUCCAAAUCCUCUUUCUGUAGUUCAACUUCUACCCAAUUGUGUUCUACCAUCUUCAAGGUUUCCAUUUUUCCCAAAAACACCUACCUCUUUCGAUCUACAUUCCUCUGAAGUCCAUUUCAAAGUCGGCCACACACUGCUGUCUUCAGACUUAGUCAUUUUCAGUGAUGCAAUUACAGUGACGAGAUGCUGACUUUAGGCCUUCAUUUGAAAUAGAUCCCUCUGCUAUUCUUGAUCAAAAACACCCAAAUCUAGUAGUCCAAAGUCCACACUUUAAUAUGGUGUAGUUGUUCUGAUUUACUUAUUUGAAAAAUUCAUCAGAAAUUAAUUUUGAAAAUGGACUCUGCUGCUGUUUUUCUGAAAUUUCCUAUUGUCAGAUGGUGAAUAGUGCACUUCGGUUUUAUUUGCUUUCUUUGAUUCUUUUGAGAUAUCUAGGACCAAUUCUGUUCCAAUUUCUUGAUCCUCAAGUUCUAAUCACCCUUACACCAUUAUUCCAUAUUUUUGACGAAUUUUUCUGAAUUUCAAUUCAAAAUUCAAAUUUCGGUCAAAUUUGACCUGAAUUUGAUUUUUGGCCAAUUUCUUUUUCUUUUCUUCUCAAAUUGCUUCCAAUUUUUCAAAGUCACUUUGGUGACUAAAAUGGCAAGGUAUUACAUCCCUCCCACUCCCCUUCGCCUAGUCCACUCCGGCUGCGAGCGGCGGCGGCGGCGCCGAAGGCUGCACGGGCAGCCCCUGCUCCGCCUCCGCCCCCGAAGUUGUAGGCCUGGCGCUCACGCUCGCCGUAACCUAGCGCCGCUAGGGCGGAUGGAGGGCGGCAGGCGGGCGGCGCGACCUGGGGCGGAGGGAGGGCGGCGUGUCGGGGGAGGAGGUGGAAGAGGAAAAAGAACGUACCGAUUCGGUACAUAACCGAUGGUAGGCGUCUAAAUAACCCAGAAAGCUAGUUAGAAGCUCGUUCUUUCCUCCUUUCCAGCUUACCAUUGUAACGUGGCUUUCCACAGCUUUUAGCUCAUGAAAAGCUAGGCUCAAAAGCUUGCCAUUUGUUCAAACUUUCGACUUCUGGGGGUGAGAAGCUGGCUGAAAGCCCAAACAAAUAGGGCCUAAAGAGGGUCUUCCCAGGUGGAUGGAAUGGGAUUAAAGGACCCCUUUUUGUCUCGAAAAAUUUAUCCCGAAUGGUUUUUAGAGAGAUUUAGCCUCUACCAACCGGGACUAAAGUCGAGGUUUCUAGCAGUGAGUGCAGAGGCUGAAUACAGGGCAGUGAAAAAUGCAGAUGCAGAGUGCUGCUGGCUAAGGUAAUUGCCUGGUGAAUUACAAUGUGCAGUCCUGUCAGCAACAGUGGUCUUCGGUGACAAUAUAUCUGCAGCUUACAUGGCCAGUAAUCCUGUUCAUCAUCACAGCACCAAACACAUCGAGUUGGACAUCCAUCCCUCGGUGAGUUUUGCAUCGUUCGUUUACCAACUGAUCAACAGAUUGCAGAUAUAAUGACCAAAGGAUUAGCUUCAGAUUUAUUCGACUCUUUUUUUUCUAGUCUGUGCAUUUUGUCAGGAGACGAUGUUCAGACUGCCGGGGGUGUUACACUGACAAUUAUAGUUUUCCAUUUGGCCCGCGGCCCGUGGGCCGGCCCACGGCACGACAUUUGGCCCGGUACAGGCACGGCUCGGCACAGCGGCCUUGCAGGACUGGGCCGGCCCGACCUACACCACGGGCCGGGCCUAGGCCGCUACCUCAGGCCGUGGGCUGGCUCGGCACGGCCUGGCCCAUUCAGCCCGUGGGCUAGCAACGGCCGGCACGGCUUGUUUAGGCGUGCCACGCCUGCCUCGGCCCGGCCAACGGCCGUAUAAAACACCAGCACCCGGCGACCCCUAGCCGAAACCCUACCCCGCACCCGCUCCGCUCCCGCAUUGAGCCGCCUCUCGCCCUCUCCAGCGCUCCCCUCGCUUCCUCCCGGCUCCUCGCCUCCUCCCUCCGUCCCUCGAUGCCUGCGCCUCCUCCCCCUAGAUCCUCCGCUGUCCUUGCCCGCCGUCGGUCUCACCCUGUCCCUCCCCUCUCAGAUCCGGCGUCCUCGCCCACCGCCGGCUCGCCGGUGGCCCAUUCGCCUCCCUCUCCCCGUAACUACUCUUCCACUCUGAGAUCUGGCGUCCUUGCCUGCCGCCGGCUUGCCGGUGGCCCCUCUGCCUCCCUCCCCCUGUAACUCCUCCUCCACUCUCAGAUUCGGCAUCCUCGCCUGUCGCUGGCUUGCCGGUGGCCCCUCCGCCUCCCUACCCCCGUAACUGCUCCUCCCCUCUCAAAUCCAGCAUCCUUGCCCGCCGCCGGCUCGCCGGUCACCCAUCUGCCUCCCUCCACGUAACCCCGCUUCUCCCCUAGCCCCUCUGGCCCUCCGCCUUCCUUCCCGGCUCCUCGCCUCCUUCUCCCAACCCCUCGCAGAUCCGCCUCACUCCCUGGUUCCCCACCAUUGCGGUUCGUCUUCUCCGGCUUAGGGCUCCGGCUGCGUAGGUAAACAACCUCCUCUCGUUCCUCUUCUUGUUUCGACCCCUCGCAGAUCCGCCUCCCUCACUUUUCUCCUCUUGCAGGUCUCCUAUAGGUGCCGUGCGUCGUUGAGGAACGGAACCGUCGAGGCGACGAUGUCAAUGGUGGAGGGCUCGAGGGUGUGUUCCCUGUUCCGGGUGUGCUCUUCAUUUGAGGUCUUAGGAUGGACGACGACUAUCCAACCUGCCUCAAUGAUGAGUUGCGGUUGAUGGGGGAAACCGGAGAUGAUAAUUCUGAUUUGGAGGCGGAUCGGCGAGCGCUGCUCAGUGGUGCCGUCCCCGAUUCUCAGCCAGGUAGUGGAGAUUCUCCACCACCUGCUGCUACUGGCUCUGGUGCUGGUCCGGGCUCGGAGAGUACGGGCAGCAAGAGGACUCGUUCUUGCACCUCUAAGGUAUGGGACGACUUUGAGCCACUGUACGAGGUAAUGAAUAACAAGAGGGUAAGAACUGGUGCUAAGUGCCUACAUUGCAAGAAAGUUUAUUUUGGUAAGUCUUCUAGUGGUACUGGACACUUGCAUAGGCACCUUCCAAAGUGCCCAGUCUUGCUAGGUGCUUCAUGUAUGGCUCAGUCCCAACUCAAGUACAAUCCUGAUGGCUCUCUCCAUAUGUGGGAGCACAAUCCUAAUGUUGCUCGUAUCCAGUUGUGCAGAUUGAUUGCUAGACUAGACCUUCCUUUAUGCUUUGGUGAGUCUGAUGCAUUUGAGGAGUAUAUUAAUAUUGCUCAUAAUCCUAGAUUCAGUUGUGUGUCUAGGCAAACCACCACCAAAGAUUUUGUUAAGUAUUUUGAUGAGCGUCGUACUAAACUUGUGGCUUCUUUGCAAUCUGUUUCCUUUGUUGCUCUUACAUCUGCCAUAUGGUCUGGUAAUGCUAAGGAAGAUUACCUUAGUGUGGUUGUUCAUUAUGUGAAUGCUGAUUGGCAACUAGAGAAGGCCUUCGUUUAAUUGAUGUUUCUCAUAAUGCUGAUAAUAUUGCUGAGCGCAUUACAUCUGUUGCUACUGAUUAUGGUUUAAAUGAUAAGAUAUUUUCUAUAACAUUGGAUAAUGCAUCGGCAAACACUGCCGCAAUUGGUAAGCUUCAUCCUUCAUUGACUGGUUACAUGGGCAAACUAUUUUUUCAUCAGCGUUGUGCUUGUCACAUUGUUAAUCUUAUUGUUCAGGCUGGCCUUGAUGUUUUCAAGCCUAUGCUUAGUUCAUUUAGAACUGCAAUUUCAUUCCUAAAUUGUUCUAACCAACGUAUUGUGGCAUACAAGUCAUAUUGCAUUGCUAUAGGUGUCUGCCCUCGUAAGUUUGCUUUGGACAUGGAUGUUAGAUGGAAUUCAACUUAUCUCAUGUUAAAGAAUCUAUUGCCCCAUAAGAUCACAUUCCAUUAGUUCAUAACCACUUAAUAUGGUUUGGUUGAAGGUCAAACAAUUCUAACAGAAUUACACUAGUAUGUUGCUGAAAAGAUUAUGAUAUUUCUUGAACAAUUCUAUGAUUCUACUGUUAUUCUGUCUGGUGUUUAUUAUCCAACUGCUCCAUUAAUCUUGCAUCAUAUUCUUGAGAUAGCUAGGCACCUUAAUUUCUAUGCUAAUGAUGCUAAUCUGAAACAUGUUGUUGCACCCAUGAAGUCUAAGUUCUUAGAUUAUUGGUCUGAUAUACCUAUACUUUAUGCCUUUGCUUUUAUAUUGGAUCCUAGAGCUAAGAUUACUGGUUUUAGCAAUGUGCUUCAGCUGAUGUCUCAGCUAACUGGUAAGGAUUAUUCUAGUUACUUAACUGAUGUAAGAGCUGAAUUGUCUACAAUCUUUGGCAAAUAUGAAGCUAAGUAUGGUUCUGUGAGGAUGUAGAGGGCCACUCAGCCAGGCCCUGCAGGUAAGAAAAAGACUGCUUGGGGUAAGAUCUUUGGUUCCCAGGGUGCUUCAUCUACUUAUUCUGCUGCUAGCCUUGGUGCUGGCCUGGGUUCUACUUCUGUUUCCUCCUCCCUGUCUAGGAGACAAUCUGCUAGUGCUUUAUUGCAAGCUGCUCAAACAGGUGCCUCUCUUGCUGCUGCUUCUGAACUGUCUGCCUACCUAGACAGUGACACUAUCAACCAAUAUGAUGAUGACUUCAACAUAUUGACCUGGUGGCAUGAGCAUAAGUUAUCAUAUCCUCUUCUAUCUAUCUUAACUAGGGAUGUUAUGACUGUGCCUGUCUCUACUAUAUCUUCAGAAUCUGCAUUUACUACCACUAGCAGGAUCAUUGAGGAGCGGCGACGUCGUCUGACCCUGAGAUGGUGGAGAUCUUGGCUUUGAUCAAGGAUUGGGAGCAAGGAGAUUCAAGACUGCAGCAUACCGUCGACGAUACCGAACUUGAAGAGUCAUUUGAGAAUUUGUAUCUUGAUGAGUAAGAUUUCUAAUCUCAUUUACUUCUCCUGCAACAUACUUGUUACUUGAUGAUCUCUGAUCCUCCUAUCAUUUUUUACAGAAGCUAGAUGCUUGUUGUCCUGUUGGUGCUCUGUCAAUAUUCAGGAGCAAGUUAGAACUCAGAAGCCUCAUGCUAUUGUGCUUGUGUAGGUCUUGUGACUUGUGAGUUGUGAGUUGUCAGUUGAGUUGUGAACUUGUGUCUGAACAAUGAACUUUGAUGAGCUGGCUGUACUCUUUUUUCCAUUGUAGGGUUUUCUCACGAGGUGUGAGUUUUUACCUACAAAGAUUUUUAAUGAGGCAGCAAUACAAACAACUCAAAAUAAUAUUCAAAUUUGUUUGUGUUAUUGUGAUUGUGAAUCUGUGUGAAUAUGUGAAUCUGCGUGAAUCUUUGUGAAUAUGUUGAACAUGUGAAACUGUGAAUAUGUUGAAACUAAGUUUUGAAUUUGGCUUUGAAACUGUGAAAAUGUCUUAGUGUGAUGAAUUUGAUUCUGGUUAGGGGUUUUUAAUAAAAUGUGUCACAGGCUGGCACAGGCACGGUGAGGCUGUUAAGGCCCGCCGGGCUAGCGGGCCGGCACGGCCUACGUAAGAAGGUAGCAAGCUGGGCCUGGGCCGCUUCUUCGGCACACGGGCCGGCCCAGCCUGGCACGGCUGUUGUGCGGGCCUAAACAGGCCGGGCUUAUUCGUGCUCGUGCCAGGCCAGGCCGGGCCGCCCAUUUGGCCAUCUAUACUAACAAUGUAAAUGGUUGUAACGUUCUCCUAUACAUUGUAUAGGUUUGAUCCUACUCUCUCGGUCCCAAAUUACUAUUUGUUUUGACUUUUCCAAGUACAUGACUUUGAUUUAUAAGGGCAUAGCAAAAGCUAUAAAUAUAAAAAAACCAAAAUAAAUAGAAAUUUGUGACGGACGGAGUAGAUUCUAGGCUUGACCGAGCACUAGUUUGUUAGCCAUAGGUGCUUCCUGAACAUGUAUUUAACCACCUCCGCUCAUGAAUGAAAGUGUGUUGGAUCAAAAGAUCUCUCACAUUCUCUCGUUCUACAAUCAUCAUCGUCGUCAUCUAGCUAGCUUUAAUCAGCUGCCGUGGCGACUGGCGCGAGGCAGCUCCCUGCCGGCGAGGAAGUGCGCGAAAAGCUGGCAUGUAGCAGAGCAGAAGAUGACUUGAUGGAAGGCAUGUAGUAGACGUAGUUGAUGUCGAGAAAGUAGUACUUAUAGGUCUAAUGGUGUGCAUAAACGAGCUGCAGCAUAAAGUACAUCUCCUUAAUGGGCUAUAAAGAAAGGGCCCAUUAGGCAUUUCUUGGGCAUCAAACGCCAAUUUACAUAUUUGCGAACAAGCCCACAUAUUGCUUCCUGUACUUCGUUGUAUCAGCAUGAUUGCUAUAAUGGAGAACAACUUUUAGAUGUUGAAAGGCGUGGAAGAGCACGACGAAUCCCGAGUCAGCCGUGGAAGCAGCCAGCAGAGUCGCGGGGGUGCUAUUCAAGCUCGCCGUGAACACUGCAAGAAACAAACUCAAAAUGAUUAAUAUACUUUGAUGAUGAAUGGAAACGGUAUGACAAAACAGAGGGGUUUCUGUGUACUUACGAGGCUCUAAGUCUCUGCCGUUCACUGGUGGAAAAGUGAGCAUUAGUCCUAGUUGGAGAGUCACAUAGGUCUCGAAAAUCCAAUCGGAACUAAUCUUUCGAGACUAAAUACCCCCCUCUCUAGUCCCUAGUAUUUCACCUAAGACUAAAGACCUCCUUUAGUCUGGUUAGUACUACCAACCGGGACUAAAAAUAUUUAAAAAAUAAAAAAAAAUGGGCUACCCCUGCUCCCGCCGCUUGCGCCUACGCUUGCACCUACACCGGGCCAGCCCAUGCCAUGUUGGGCCCUCGCCCACCGACGCCGCGUUGGGCAGCUUCACGCCAUGUCGGGUCCUCGCUCACGGCGCCGCGGCAACACAGCUCCCCUAUGCCGCACCAUCUCGCGGGGAGGGAGCUAGGAGGAGGAGGUCGGGGAGGUGGGGAUGGAGGGAGGGAGCAGAGCUUCGAGAGGAGGAGGCUGGGAGGAAGGGAGGGACCAGUGCUAGCUAGGCCGGGAAGGGGGAGGGAGCAGAGGGUGGAGCGAGUUGAGGGAGAGGAGAGGAGGAGAUAAGGGAGAGGAGAGGAGCGCUAGUUAGGAUCCUAAUUCAUUUUAUCCUAGCUGGUGGCUCCAACUGAAAUUAAAAAGGAUCCUUUUAGUCCCGAUUAAAAUUACAUUGCUAGAAAAAUCGAGAUAGGAAGUAAUUCAUGUUAUUCCUAGCGGAGUGGGGCCGAACUCCCGGCAGCAUGGGGCUGGCCUCCCGGUGGCACAGGGCUGCGGUGUGGGGGUCGGCCUCCUGAUAGCGCGGGGUUGCGGCUUUCCCGAGACAACGGUGCAGGGAGCGGCCUCUCGCACGGGCCCGACCUCACUCCAGAUAGAUUAAAGGGUACAGGCUGAUGACUGGUUGAGCCAUUGCUGAACAAAUAAAUCAUCGUAGAUAGAACCACCAAGCUCAUAACGAUUAAUCUAGCGUCCCUAGCAGUCGAAUCGGACCUAACCGAGACAGCGCUGGCAGCAGAGCGGUAGACUUAAAAGUUACUGGCCGAUGAAUUUAGAUGCGACGAGAUAAAAGGCUCAGUAAUAGCUCAGUGAAGGCCAAGAAUAAUAAGAUGUAUCGGUAAAAGCUUUACUGGCGGGCACGGCGACUUAAAAGUUACUGGCAUCCCAUCUAGAUCGGACCUAACCGUGCCAUCUAGAUCGGACCUAACCGAGGCAGCGCUGGCAGCAGUGCAGGAUUAAAAGCUUCCGAAUCACAAGACUCCUACUUGGGCACAUCAAAUGACUGAUACAGACUUUCCUAAUUUAACAUAAGGAAACUAAUCUUUAAGAUACAAUUAUGACCCUACAUAUCCCAUAUCUGGUAGGAUAAUGCAAUGUAUAGGCCUUUCCAGAGUCCUUGUCUGAUACGCCUUUCCAAUAUCUUUAUUAGAAUAUUCUUUUCAUUAUUUCAGGUUUUAUAGGAUUUUAUGGGCCAAAAUCCUGUGUCAACAGUUUUUCUAACUUUAAGUAAACUAUAUAAACUUGCACAUGUCUAUUCUCCCCUAUAAAUAUAGACGCCGGCCAGCGGCAUUAGCAACUCGAGAGUUGUAGAGCACACGGGAUAAUAUGUCUGGCAACAUGAGUAGUAGUCCUGGCUACUUCCUCGCCCUUUCCAUCCUGGUCCUCGGCGUUACAACUAACCUGCAGCCGCACCCUGGCUGCACAGCUGCUAGGGAGUUCCCAGGGGCCAACUCGCCCGCCAAGCAUCAGGCCCCGGUGGCUGUGGGCACCGCCGCCCCAGCCGGGACCAAUGGCAACGACACUACCGCCCCACAAGUGGCCGUUCAUGGCCGCAGUAGCCCAGGUAUGGCAUGACUGACAGCCCUUGCUAGCUCGAUUUGGGCAACCCGCAUCUCAUUUUUCGCUUCCCAACAUGACCAUGACGUUACAUUUCUAUCUGUACAUUUUAGCAGCAGCUAGCCUUCAUCUUUACAUAUUUGAUGUGGGUUUAUUUACAUAUCUUUUUCCCCUGUUUUAUGCCUUUUUGCGUGCCAAUUAGCUGGAGGGGCCGAAGGGCAAUACAUGGACCUCAAGGGCGAGUGCGCAACUCGUGCAGGGUGCUACGUUCCAGGGGUUGCAACACAGAGACACCCGACCUUUCCGCCCGUAGUUGGUUCUCCAACAGGCGGUUCUUCAGGAUUUUGGGAGUUCGUCCGUGGUGGAUGGCGGAGAAUGAAGAUUCGUCCUCCCGUACGAAAAUGACUCCCUGCAGCCGCAUCCCUUAAACCAUGGUUGAUGUCUUCUGCCCGUGUUAUAUGGGAGAAAAUCAAUGGUGUAUGGGAGUUACUACUGUGUCUGAUACCUAGCUAGCUUGGCAUCCGCUUGGUGUCGGCCAUUUGGGAAGGCUCCCUGCUGCUUAAUGAGCUAGCCUUCAUCGUUAAAUAAAACGUCUGAAAUAUGCAUUUACUCGUACUGUAACGCUGCAGUUCUCUCCUGCGUCCAACAGAGCUGGGGUUGGCUUCUGAUUCAUGGUCUGGAGUCUUCGACGAUGUGGGGCGCGGCGUACAGAUCGGACCUGUUGAUGAAGGCCCUGCCAUUUUUCUCGUGUAUUGUUUCUUAGAGUCUUUUGUUCAGGGGUUGAAAGUUGUAACAAGCAGGGUGUGCUCUGUACAACAGAGGUGUCAGCACUCUAUCGCUGUUUAUUUAUAUAUAUUUUUGAGCUAAAAUUUGAUGAAUAGCUUGCUUGUUAUAUAUGAUUCGUAUUAAGUAAAGAACUUGAUCAAUAUUAGAUCAAUAUUAGGUAUGGAAAAAAAUAGAGUAAAUGUGUUUUUAAUAUUUAGUCAUUACAAUAAAGUUAAGGUAAAUAAAUUGUAGGUGUAAGAAGUAGAAUUUGGUCAUUGCUACAAGUUUUCAUGUCACUGUAUUUGAACAAUAAUUUAUUUAUCUCAUGUUUAUUGCAAGGAUUAAAUAUUAUAAACAUAUUUACUCUAUUUUUUCCCCUACCUAUUUUUGAUCAAGUUAUUUAUCUAAUACAAAGCCCUAUGUUCAAUUUUUCACAUAAUACGAUACAGAUGGAUCGGCAAUGGAUGUACCACCUCCGCUCCUCCAAUCCUAGAGAACAGUGUCUGCACAUGGCAUGAAUGUACUUACACUAUUCUCUAGUAUUGGAGGAGCAGAGGUGGCUCUACAUCCUCUAGUAUUGGAGAAACAUUCUAAAGAGCUGGUUCCUCCGCUCGUCCAAUACCAGAGAACAGUGUCUGCACACAGCAUGAAUGUGCUUACACUAUUUUCUGGUACUGGAGGUGUGGAGGUGGCUCUCCAUACACUUUGUAGAAGAUCGAGUCAUGUGCAGAGAUGGCUUGCAGGGCGAAUAUUCUACUAUGUUGUAUCUUUAUUUUAAGAUAAUUGACUACAUGAAGUCUACUAUGCAGCGUCCGUAAUCUUUAGUGUAUAUGUAUCUUUAUUGUCAACCUAGUGAAUGUUAUGAAUGUUGAUUGGUGUAAUUUUCAUGUGAUUUAUUUUUAUCCUUAUGAAGGUUGAUUGGAGUAAAUUAUCAAUAUUGAUCAAGUUCUUUAUCUAAUACGAAGACAUAUGUUCAUUUUUCACAUAAUAAUUUAUUUAUUUCAUGUUUAUUGCAAGGACUAAAUAAUAUAAACAUAUUUACUCUAUUUUUUCCCUACCUAAUAUAAACAUAUUUACUUUAUUUUUAUCUUUAUGAAGGUCGAUUGGAGUAAAUUAUCAAUAUUGAUCAAGUUCUUGAUCUAAUUUGAAGACCUAUGUCCAGUUUUCACAUAAUACUAUGCAGAUGGACCGACAAUAGAUGUAUAAAGCGGACAGGUGGACCAAGAAGUUUGUUGAUGGCUUGCAUUAUUUUCUCGAAGUGGCCAAAACCAACAAGCCAGAGAUGGAAUUCAUAUGUUGUCCAUGCUUCCAAUGCAGUAACAAGAAGGACUACUCUUCCUGGGGGACUGUUCAUAACCACUUGUUUAGAUACGGUUUCAUGCAUAAAUAUUUGGUUUGGACCAAGCACGGCGAAAGAAGGGUUAUAAUGAAAAAUGAUGAACAAGAGGAGGAUAAUAACAAUAUUCCGAACUGGGCUACAUGUCAAGCUUUUGCAGAUACUACAAUGGGCAAGGCUGAUGAAGAAGAGUUUGUAGAAGACGGCCCUAUUCAUGAUCUUGGUCAGGUGCUAUGGGAUGCAAAGAGAGACUGCGAAACUAAGAAGGAAUCAAAAAAGCUACAGCACAUGAUAGAUGAUCACAAAAAAAUUGUUGUACCUAGAUUGCAAGCAGGGGCACAAAACACUGGGUACCAAACUGGAAAUACUAUAAUGGAAGGCAAAAAAUGAUGUGUCCGAUAAGGCAUUUGAGGAGACGUUGAAAAUUGUAAAGAACAUUCUUUCCGAGAAUAAUGAAUUGACUUCCACAACAUAUGAAGCUAAACAUGUUAUUUUCCCUCUGGGAUUGGAGGUUUAGAAGAUACAUGCAUGCCCUAAUGACUAUAUCCUCUAUCGUAGUGAUGAAUAUGAGAAAUUGGAUGCUUGUCAUGUGUGCGGAACACUGCGGUAUAAGAUCAGAUGAGAUGAUCCUGGUGAUGUUGAGGGGUAGCCUCCCAAGAAGAGAGUUUCUAUAAAGGUGAUGUGGUAUUUCUCUAUAAUACCACGUUUGAAGCAUUUGUUUAAAAACAAGGUGAAUGCUAAGUUGAUGCGAUGGCCCAAAGAAGAAUGUAAGCAAGAUGAGAUGCUAAGACACCCCGCGGGUGAGGCCUAGUGGAGAUCAAUUGAUAGUGCAUUCGUGAACUUUAAAAUUGAUACGAGGAACAUAAGGUUUUGUUUAAGUACUGAUGUAUUCAAUCCAUUCGAUGAGUUGAGUAGUGGUCAUAGUAUUUGGCCUGUGACUCUAUGUAUGUUCAACCUUCCUCCUUGGUUGUGUAUGAAGCGAAACUUAAUUAUGAUGUUGGUGCUUAUCCAAGGCUCAAAACAACCCGGUAGCAACAUUGACGUGUACCUAAGACUGUUGGUUGAUGAACUUUUACUGCUCUGGAAGGUAGAAGGUGUACAUAUGUGGGAUGAGGCUAAACAAGAGAGCUUUGACCUAUGAGCCUUGUUGUUCAUAACGAUCAAUGAUUGGCCUGCGUUGAGUAACCUUUCAGGACAGACAAACAAGGGAUAUCGGACAUGCACCCAUUGUUUAGAUGACACGGAUAACAUGUAUUUGAAAUACCGUAGGAAUGUCAUGUAUAUGGGCCAUCAUCGAUUUCUUCGUGCUAACCACCUAUUAAGAAAGAAAGGGAUGCAUUUCAAAGGGACCCCAGACCAUCGUAAAAAACCUGCACACCAUAAUGGAAAACGUGUAUUUGAGAUGAUAAAGGAUGUAAGAGUAGUCUUUGGAAAGGGUCUUGGUAGCGAACCUGUUCCGAAUGACGAUAAUUGAUAUGCACCCAUGUGGAAGAAUCUUUGUGUGAUGCAUGCACCUAAUGAAUAAUCUUUGCGUGAACGUGCUAGGCUUCAUGGGUUGUUAGGGGAACUCAAAAGAUACAUUGGAAGCACGACAGGAUCGGAAACAUAUGAAUCAACAAGAUGACCUAAAUCCGGAAAAGAGAGAUAAAGGAUAACACUACUUACGUCCUACUAGUUACACUCUCAGCAAGAAAGAGAAGGAUAACAUGUUUGAACGCAUGAAUAGUAUCCAGGUUCCAUCUAGGUACUCCUCAAAUAUAAAGAGAAUAAUAAAUAUAAAAAAAGAAGUUCUACAAGUGCUAUGGCUGGCCUCAGCGCUUGCAGCAAUUCACCCCGUUGUUGGAGCGCUGCCGCAGCCAAGUAGCAACUGCCAGAGAAGAUAUGGCCAACUCGAGAUCCACUACCCGUUUGGCAUCGGAUCAGGCGACUCGCCUGACCACUGUGCCAUGCCUGGCUUCUACCUGAACUGCAGCGACUCCAAGACAUUUCUUGGUAAUGUCGAGGUGCUUAACAUCUCGAUACAAAACAGCACUGCACGGAUGAGGGUGACCAUGGCCUCAUCUUGCUACAACACCUCCACUAAGGACAUGGACUACAACGCUCGGGCGUUGAACCUUACAGGUACGCCCUACAGGCUCUCCGACACGGCGAACAAGUUCACGGUUGUUGGGUGCAGAACAUUGGCAUACAUUGCUGAUCAGGACAACGUGGGAAAGUACGCGAGCGGCUGCGUGUCCAUAUGCCGGCGAGGUGAUGUGAGCAUCCUCACCGAUGGUUCAUGCUCUGGAAUUGGCUGCUGCCAGACAGCCAUCCCCAAGGGGCUACAAUACUACAAAGUGUGGUUCGAUGAAGGCUUCAACACAUCCCAGAUCUACGACAUCAGCCACUGCAGCUACGCGGCGCUGGUCGAGGCAUCCAACUUUACAUUCUCCACAAGGUAUGCUACAUCGUCGGCGUUCUAUGACACUUAUGGCAGGAAGCCGCCGUUGGUGGUGGACUGGGCUAUCGGGAAUGGAACGUGUGAGGAAGCCCGUAACAAGCCUGGAUCAUAUGCUUGUGUCAGCAGCAACAGCCAGUGCUUCAAUUCCACAAACGGACCAGGCUACGUCUGCAAUUGCUCCAAAGGGUUCCAAGGCAAUCCAUACCUUGUCGACGGAUGCCAAGGUAACGAAUCUGCAUAAACCUACAGACUACAUAAUUGAAACAUGAAAGAAGCUGAGUAGAGCUGUAGAAUCUGAAGCUUAAUUAUGAUAUGUAUAAAUGUUACUGAAAAAAUAGUAGUAGUACAGUUUCACCAGAAGCUACAAGCUAAGUCUAUUCCUGGUCUCUGAAGUAAAAUUUGACGCUCUAAACAUGUUAAAUGUUCCAUAUUAUCAAUCAAUAUACUGCAAAUUUUUUACAAAAUAUUUUUUAUGCAAUUGCUAAUACUGCAGAUGUUGAUGAGUGCAAGGAUCUGGAAACCAACCCUUGCUCUGUGAAGGAAGCUUGCAAGAAUACUCAUGGUGGAUUUGAAUGCACUUGUCCUCAACAGUCCCCCAAAGGCAACGCCUACAACGGGACAUGUGAGAAAGACCAAUCAAUUCCACUUAAAGUCACAAUUCCAAUAGGUACACCUAUCUUUCCUCUUUCAAUACAUUUAUUAUGUUUUAGAAGUAUAUAUGUUCAAAACAGAUCCACGAUCGUGAGAAGUUGGUAGAUAUUAUAAGGAGUAUCAAGCUGAUAACGUAUCCAACGGACAUGGAGACACAACCACGAAAACACAAAUAUUAAACGAAUUGCUUACCAAUUAUUAAUUGUUUCAGCUAACCAGAGUACUUUUCAGACUCUUUUUUCCAGCCGUCUAACAACUUGAAGUUUCCAUACAUGUCUGAUCUGCAGGAAUUUUUGGCUGUCUUUUGGUUGGUCUUUUACUUUUCCUUAUUAAAGAAUGGAUCAAGCACAAACGACGAAUAAUCAGGCACGAAUACCGAAGAUGAACGAAUGUUUUCAGCAGAACGGUGGCCAACUUCUAAUGGAUAUGAUGAAAGUAGAGAGUAACAAUUCAUUUCAGUUGUAUGACCGGGAAGAAAUUGAGGUGGCCACAAACAACUUCGAUGACAGAUCAAUCAUUGGAGAAGGUGGUCAGGGAACCGUUUAUAUGUGGCAAAAUCUUGAUGCACAAAACAAUCCUGUUGCAAUCAAGAUCUGCAAGGGAUUCGAUGAGAGUAGGAGAAGGGAAUUUGGUCAGGAGCUGCUUAUACUUUCUCGAGUAAAACAUGAAAACAUUGUCCAGCUUCUAGGUUGCAGCUUGCAGUUUGAAGCUCCAGUUCUGGUGUACGAAUUUGUGCCAAUCAAACCCUGCACUACCUGAUCCAUAGACAAGAUGAUGCAUCCAUCAGAACUAUGGAAAUCCGUCUUAAAAUUGCCACUGAAAUUGCUACUGCACUAACAUACCUACAUUCACUUAGUCACCCUAUCUUUCAUGGAGAUAUCAAAUCUGUCAACAUUCUUAUAGGCCACAAUCUCUCCGCUAAACUUUCUGAUUUUGGAUGCUCAAUGAUUAGGUCUGCUGAUGACAAUGUUCAAGUAGUGAAGGGGACAAUGGGCUACUUAGAUCCAGAGUACCUUUUGAACUUUGAGCUUACUGAUAAGAGUGAUGUUUACAGUUUUGGUGUUGUCCUUUUGGAGCUCCUAACACGUAGGAAGGCACUGUCCGAAACAAAGGAGAGCCUCGUGUCUGUCUUCACGGAAGCCAUGAAGGAGGGCAAGCUUGUGGAGCUCAUAGACACGGAGUUAGCCAACCAAGAAAACAUGGAUUUAUUACAUCAAAUGGCUGCAUUAGCAAGAGAAUGCUUGGCCAUGACUGGUCAACACCGACCAAUGAUGAGCCAGGUAGCCGAGGAGCUCCAACGAUUGGCAGGCCCGGUGCCACAGCGCACUCGACUGUUUCAUGGUAUUAACGCACUCAUGUUGCAGGGACGGUCGUCUAACAAUGCAGCAGGUGACUAUAUUAGUGAAGAAAGCACAGAUUACUACAACCUCAAGGAGAAAGCCUCCAUGAGCACAGAGUUUGCACGAUGAAAUCAGUACGCAUUAGUUGGUUGCGGCAGUGUAGACAUGCAUAGUAUAUUGACGUGUGUCCUAUUUAGAUACGUUCACAAUGUCAUAACAUAAUUUUGUUGAACUUAAUACUUCCUCAGUAAAGAUUUGUAUAGUUUCUAUAUAUACUGAAAUUACAUUGUAUCAGGAAAGUGGCUUUUGCCGUUCAAAAUUAUUGCAUUUAAAUAUGGUAUAAAGACUACUUUACAGCCGGCCGUAUUUUUGUUAAACGGAACGGCCGGUUCCAUCCACCGUCCAGCCAGGAUCUAACAGCCACGGAAGCUAGUGCUCGCGGGGUCCACAGGUCAGACCAGACGUUUGCUCCCCCAGGCAUACUAUAGAAAAUCUCGGGGCGCACCUGUUCGUCUUCAUCCGCUGAACUUUUUUUUAUUUUUAACCCUUUUUUUUCUUUAUUUUUAAAAAUAACCUCACCCGAGUUUUAUUUGCGCGGGGUGACCCUUUUGGCCGCGCCAGACCGCCUGGCGCGGCAGGAACACGUUGCCGCGCCGCAUGCACUGGCGCGGCGGCCCCUGCCACGCUGGCGCGGCGAGUCGUGGCGCCAGGUGGGCGCUGACGUGAGCGGGGCGUUCGCCGCGCCAGCCCGCCUGGCGCGGCAGGGCCAGCACUAGAUCCACGCGCCGGCUCCCUUCCUCCUCCCUCCCUCCUUUCUUCCUCCUCCAGACACACCCGAGCCCAAGCUCCUUGCGCCGCCCCCCGCCGCCCCACCCCCAAAUCCACCCAAAAUCCGGCGUUUUCGGUGGGGGAAAGUAGUGGAAAUCGAUCCCUGCUUCGUGUGGAAGGUAUUCCCCUACUUUUUCUCGUAUUUUACCGUUGCAUUUGGUAGAUCGGAGGAUGUUUAGGUGACUUAGGGUUAGGUUAGUGAUUUGAAAUUUCAAUGAAAUGCAAUGGUGUUUUGUGUUAGAUGAUACGUAGUUCAUACGCAAUUGAGUCUCUGCCCGCGAUAUUGACGUGUAGAACUUGUCGAUUUAAGGAUAUAUUCAUUGAAUCGUAUAGUGCAAUGUAUAUGUGUAUUUUUUGUUUGCAAUUUGUCCAAUAUAUGUAAUGUGUGUAGUUGAUAUGUCGAAUAUGUGCAAUGUGUAGUGUAUAUGACAUGGUGAAAUGUUUGUAUUUUGUAGAUGGAUCGUUUAGUUCGAUUUUUUGAUGGUGGUGUUGUGAAACAAAAUGGGGAGUUAGAGAAUAUGAAUGAGUCAAUUGAAUUCUUCGAUGGUCCUCCAAGUUUUAGUGAUUUAGUUGACCGUGUAAUGACGAAGUAUGGAUGUAGAGUGGAUGAGAUCGGUUUGAGAGGUCGUUUUGAUUGUGGGAAAGGUAGAGCUCAUUAUGUUCUCAUGAAGUUAGCAUCCGAUGCGAAUUGGAAGCACUAUAAGGAUGUUGUGCACGAAGCUAAUGUUGCAUGUUUGGAGGUUAUAGUCGAAAUUGUUCGUAUGCCUGGCCCAAAUGUUGUCAUGAGGGAGGAAGUGGCGGUAGUGAACCAUAAUGGUACCCAGGAGUCAGAAAUGUUGCAUCACGUGUUAGGUGAAACAGAACGUGAUUUUGACUUGGCUAUUGCCAAUGAUGAUUUUCCCAAUAACAUUUUUGAGAGGGAUGAAGCAAAUAUAGAUGUUGAUAAUGUCUCUAUGGGUUCCGAAGAUUGUGAAUUGGAGGAAGAUGGGGUAGUAGGUGUGGAGGUAGAGGAGGAAUCACUAUUUGAGAGUGGUGGGCAUGAAUAUGAGAACGUCGGGGUAGAAAAUGAAGAGGAUGGACCGCAAUUUGACACCGCAACCGUACAUGAUGUAGAAGGCAUUCGUCGUAUGGACGAUUGUUUUUCUUACACCCAGUAUGAGUUGCGGUUGUUAAAAGAACGUGAUGUCGAACUGCCAUCUGUUCCCAAUGAUAAGGACAUAAGUAUGGUUCACAAAGCAAUAUGUGAAUCUAGUAUGGUGAAUGCCGAAGGGACGUCCAUUGGUGAGAGUCCAGUGAUUAAGAAGGGGAUGAAGUUCAAUAGUCUUGAGGAGCUGAAGUUUUUCUUGGCUGACUACGCGGUGAGGUUACAUAGACCUUUUAGCGUAGUUCACUCUGACAAGAACUUAAGAUACAAUGUGAUGUGCAAGCAAGGAUGCCAUUGGCGUGUAUGGUCUCGGCUAAUAUCAAGCACCGGACAAUUGAAAAUUUCAAAUGUUGUGCAACCGCAUACUUGUCGGUCGUCACAGCCGAAGCGAGAGCAUGUACAGUGCACAGCAAAGUACCUUGGACGGCGUAUCCUAGGCAUUAUCCGUAAAGACAGCGAGACAUCGGUGCCAUCACUCGUGGAGUCCAUCUUCAUCUUUAGUGGGUACCGUGUGAAGUAUUCGAAGGCUUGGCGGGCGAAGCAACACACUGUUGCCCUGCUUUGGGGCGACUGGAAGGAGUCGUACGGCAUAGUUCCUAGGGUACUCUCAGCUAUGACCUACUAUAAUCCCGGAGUUAAAUGGUGCAUCGACUCAUGUGGCAUGAUGCUUCCUGACAAUGGAGUGUUGAAGCAUAUACUGCAAAGGGUAUUUUGGUGCUUCCCUCAAUGUAGUGAGGCAUUUCAACAUUGCCGUCCUGUGAUACUUGUGGACGGUACAUUCUUGACUGGCAAGUACAAGGGUACAUUAAUGAUGGCAGUUGUUGUAGAUCCAGAACAAUAGCUUGUGCCUCUUGCUUUUUCCUUGGUCGAGAGUGAGAAUAAUGAGAGUUGGUCAUGGUUUAUGAAACUUGUUCGGGUACAUGUUCUUGGACCUUCACGGAUAGUGUGUAUGAUAUCAGAUAGGCAUCAUGGGCUCCUAAAUUGUGCGAAGGACCACAUUGAUGGUUUUCCACCGCUUGUGCAUAGGUGGUGCAUGAGGCACUUUGCUGCCAACAUGUCACGUCGGCAGAAGAGCAAUCGUGUGAUUGGAAAAUUGAAAUUAUUAUGCAAGGUUCAUACAGAGAGAGAAUUUUGUGAGAAGUUAGAAGAUCUAGUGAAGGACUUGAACGACGACGCAAAAGAAUUGUUGAAGGGUGAAAUGGAGGACAAGGAUAAAUGGGCGCAGGCUUUCGAUGAGGGAGGGAUGCGCUGGGGAAUUAUGACCACGAACUUCUCGGAAUCACUCAACGGAGUUUUCAAAGGCAUCCGAAGUAGGCCCGUCGCUGGAAUUAUUGAAUACACAUUCGAAAAAUGCAACGCCUACUUUGUGAACCGAUGGGAAAAGGCACGUGAAAUGUUGGAUCAAGGCUAUAGAAUUGGGUAAGUUGCAGAUAAUUAUUUAUCAGAGGCUGAGCUUAGAUCCGUGCACCACUUAGCAGAACCGUACGGGCAAGAAAGGAUGGUGUAUUCUAUAAGAAGUUACGGUACGACUAACAUUGGGGGUGAGAGUCAUGGAGGCCGACACUACAUAGUGGAUCUGCACGAAGUUUCGUGCACCUGCAAUGUUCCUCAAUUGUUGCACCUUCCAUGUUUACACUUCAUUACAGCUUGCAAGGCAAGAGGUCUUAACUAUGAAAGCCCCAUGUACAUGUCACCGUUGUACUCUAGGGAGCACACCAUCAAAAUAUGGGAAUCAAGCUUUCAACCUUACCUAGAUCCGUCACAAUGGCCGGCAUAUGAAGGGGCAGGGUACGUGCCUAACCCCAGUUUAAUGGGAAAUAAAGUAGGAAGGAGGCAGAAGAAGCGUUUCACAGGCGACAUGGACGUGUCGGAAGGGAGGCUUUCUGCAGAUUAUGAUACUGGUGAUUUUGAUAUUGACAAGUCGGAAAAUCGUUGCUCCAAGUGCCACAAGAUCAUUAGGAAUUGCACGUGCCGCAGUAGAAAAUCAAAAGGCACUAAAUCUAGACCGAGCAGUAAUAGGCCGCGUACUUCGAACAAUUGGGUAUGCGCGUUGCUUGUAUUAUGCGUGGCUAUUAUUUUAUCUUUUUUUAUAGUAGUACAUUAUCAUAUUUUCCGUACUUAUCAUAUAAUGAAGCUUUUUACUAACGAUCAUUUUUGUUGUUUCUUUAGGAUGGCGGCCCCAGGGUACCCUCUUCUUGAGGCUGCUUACGACUUGCACCACCGUGCCCACCACCUCGCGGACCUAAAUGAGGUAUAACAAUGGUUGCUAAUUUUUGCUGAUGAAUGCAUACUUAGGAUGAGAAUUGCAAGAUUUUCGUAUGAAAUGUUCUUAUAAAUUAAGGAGCUGCCUAUCGUUACUAUUCACUUGUGUACAGUGUAAACAAUUUUAUACUGCAAAUGUCAUUUGUAUCAUAUUUGUGUUACUUACCACUUUAGAAGCCCGUUAUUCACAAUUGGAUUGACUUCUCAUUUUUUAAUAAUCUUAUAAUGUUUUGCAGAAUUUGACACCACUCAGGGCUAGGGUGCACUCACCACUUAGGUGGGAUGAGCGGUACGCCCAGUACCUGCAGAGAGCAGGUUUCUUGGAUAUCGCUGUUCAGGUCGUGGGGGGUCUCCCUCCAAUGGACGGACCACUGUUGACCGCUAUGGUCGACAGGUGGCGUCCGGAGACUCACACGUUCCACCUGCCCUUCGGAGAAAUGACCAUCACAAUGCAGGAUGCGGCUAUGAUACUCGGCCUUCCACUGGAAGGGCAGCCAGUGACAGGUAUUAUACAGAAUGAGAAUUGGCGUGAUAUGGUCGAGAUGCUUAUUGGGAUUAGGUCGCCAGAGCCAGAGGGUAGAGAUAUCUCGAAGAAAACGUCCGGUGUCAGCUCGGCAUGGUUGAGGGAGCACUUCGAAGUGUGUCCUCCGGGAGCAAAUGACGAGGUCGUGCAACGCUAUGCUCGAGUGUGGCUAUGGCACUUUGUCAGUACAUUCCUCCUUCCAGAUGCAGCUGGGAACACAGUAUCGUGGAUGGUUCUCCCCAUUCUAGGUCAGGUUUGGGAAAACAUAGCCGUUUACAGCUGGGGCUCAGCGGCUCUUGCCUGGCUGUACAGACAGCUAUGUGAGGCUUGCCGGCGCACAGCGAGAGAUUCCAAUGUUGGAGGGUGCACUUAUAUGCUCCAGAUUUGGAUUUGGAGCGAAUGCCCNNNNNNNNNNNNNNNNNNNNNNNNNNNNNNNNNNNNNNNNNNNNNNNNNNNNNNNNNNNNNNNNNNNNNNNNNNNNNNNNNNNNNNNNNNNNNNNNNNNNNNNNNNNNNNNNNNNNNNNNNNNNNNNNNNNNNNNNNNNNNNNNNNNNNNNNNNNNNNNNNNNNNNNNNNNNNNNNNNNNNNNNNNNNNNNNNNNNNNNNNNNNNNNNNNNNNNNNNNNNNNNNNNNNNNNNNNNNNNNNNNNNNNNNNNNNNNNNNNNNNUAUAGUUUUUUAAGCUAACUUCCGUAUAAUGUAGAUGAAAUAAGUAUGCGUGAAAAUUUUUGAAGGUGGAAUGGAAACCGUAUGACCGUGAGCAGCUUAGCCAUAUCGUCUUUUCACCGACGUGAUACAGAGACGGAGAGCUGUGGAGGUGCACGACCCCAAUGAUAUUGUACUACGUGGUAGAGUUUCAUAUGCCGCAUAGGGUGAUGCGGCAGUUUGGGAGGAUGCAACCGUGCCCUCCUUUGGAAUUAUCAACUUCACAGCAGCUGCACAGGUACGCAGGAAUAAAUAACUAUUGGAGGCUAUUCAAUUAACGCAAUUAACAUGCUAUACUAAUACUUCACUAAUUUCUGAUGCAGUAUCGAUCGCAGAAAGCGGUACAAGGAGAAUGAUUGGAGGUUGAAGCAUGGCCAGUACCUCCUCCUGUGGCAGAACAAGCAAGGAUGCGAUCCUGAAGGUGGACCGUACUGGCGACCAAACAAUGAGUACAUACGAUGGUACUGUACUUCGAUGAGAACCAAAGUGAAACCAUCUUGGACUAAUGUGCCCAUUGAGGAUGCACCGUCUGAUGAUGACGCUGACAUAGCUGACGUGUACGACACGGUGACACGCCAUGGGACACAGCCUGAGUGUGCACCUCUCCACGACUACAUGUGAAGAUUUCGGUUUGUAAUUAUAGUAUCGUCACAUUGAUCACUUAUGGAAUGAAAACUCCUUCGUGCAGGGACAGCAGCUUGCAAGGCUCUCAAACGAGGCGGGCGUGAUUAUGGAGCACGCCGUCGGGGAAGGUGAUGGUCUGCUUCGCGCUUUUGCAGAGGUAGAAGCCCAAACUAAUUUUCACUUAUACUCGUACUAUCUUUGUAACCAUCAAUAACAUAGUCGUGAAUAUAUGGCAGAGGGUUCGUAAAAGUUGCAGGCGAAUGGCUAUGAGGAUGAACUGCAUGACGUCCUCAGAUGCGCACGACGGGGGCAAUGUCCAGGAUACUUCUUCAGGAUCACGUCGGACUGCAUUGGCGACUACCCCCAGGGCUGCAACAUCGUCCACUGCUGCAGGUCCUAGCAGGAGAUCGCAAGGUAAGGAACCCGCAUCCCCUCAGGAAAGCGAGGACUCUGAAGGUGAGCAGUCUGAGGAUGAUGACCCUACAUAUGGUGAGGAACUGGAGAUUUCUCACGAUGCUCCACCUGUGACUCAGACGCAGGGAGAGUCCAGCCAGGUAUAUUCACAAGUUUCUCCAAAUUCAAUUAUACAUUUUAAUGUUCCCUCCCGAAGUGUCAUACAAAUUUUAUGAUUUGUGCCCAAUUAUUCCAUAGGAACCUGCACCUCAUACUCGGUUGCCACGCCGGCGUCGUCGUUCACGGGACCACACCGACGUUGGCAGCGCCAAUGCGCUGCCCACGCAUCCAAGGAGGGAGCGUCGCCCAAGAGAUCCUUUUAGCCCUCUAGAUGAGCGGCGGUCACGACACUGAACCUAGCAUGUCUCAAGACUUUUGGAACCGUCACGUGUGUCNNNNNNNNNNNNNNNNNNNNNNNNNNNNNNNNNNNNNNNNNNNNNNNNNNNNNNNNNNNNNNNNNNNNNNNNNNNNNNNNNNNNNNNNNNNNNNNNNNNNNNNNNNNNNNNNNNNNNNNNNNNNNNNNNNNNNNNNNNNNNNNNNNNNNNNNNNNNNNNNNNNNNNNNNNNNNNNNNNNNNNNNNNNNNNNNNNNNNNNNNNNNNNNNNNNNNNNNNNNNNNNNNNNNNNNNNNNNNNNNNNNNNNNNNNNNNNNNNNNNNNNNNNNNNNNNNNNNNNNNNNNNNNNNNNNNNNNNNNNNNNNNNNNNNNNNNNNNNNNNNNNNNNNNNNNNNNNNNNNNNNNNNNNNNNNNNNNNNNNNNNNNNNNNNNNNNNNNNNNNNNNNNNNNNNNNNNNNNNNNNNNNNNNNNNNNNNNNNNNNNNNNNNNNNNNNNNNNNNNNNNNNNNNNNNNNNNNNNNNNNNNNNNNNNNNNNNNNNNNNNNNNNNNNNNNNNNNNNNNNNNNNNNNNNNNNNNNNNNNNNNNNNNNNNNNNNNNNNNNNNNNNNNNNNNNNNNNNNNNNNNNNNNNNNNNNNNNNNNNNNNNNNNNNNNNNNNNNNNNNNNNNNNNNNNNNNNNNNNNNNNNNNNNNNNNNNNNNNNNNNNNNNNNNNNNNNNNNNNNNNNNNNNNNNNNNNNNNNNNNNNNNNNNNNNNNNNNNNNNNNNNNNNNNNNNNNNNNNNNNNNNNNNNNNNNNNNNNNNNNNNNNNNNNNNNNNNNNNNNNNNNNNNNNNNNNNNNNNNNNNNNNNNNNNNNNNNNNNNNNNNNNNNNNNNNNNNNNNNNNNNNNNNNNNNNNNNNNNNNNNNNNNNNNNNNNNNNNNNNNNNNNNNNNNNNNNNNNNNNNNNNNNNNNNNNNNNNNNNNNNNNNNNNNNNNNNNNNNNNNNNNNNNNNNNNNNAUAUUUAUUAGUAGGCCCAGUAAUUCUGACUACAUUUAACACAAGGCACAUGGUACUGACAAGACGCCCACAAAGUGUUCUGCAAUAGGAUUAGAUCAGACCGGUGCGCAAUCAUGGAUAAGAAUAACACACACGUGCAUUAAAUGUUAGGGGUACGUAUUGCCCCAUUUGUACUUCGUCUUCUACUAUUAUUGCAUCACAAAUACCUUCAAGUACACCCGCUCUACCAGCGCUAUGCCUUCCUCCUCUUCCACCGCCCACUCCUCCUCGUCCUCCAUCCAAAUCAUCAAUCCCAUCGAAGCUACUACAAUUUCUUUCACACUCUAGCGCUGACUACUAGCUCGGAGAGGAAACUUUGAUGCGUUUGGACAUAGUUCUCUCGAAAAUGAAAAUAGUUUUUGACAACUAAUUGUAGUUCCCAGAAUAAACAUAAACAUAAUUUUCUCAUAAAAGAACAUAGUUUUCACAGCUACAGAGAAACAUGAUCCAGCUACAUCAACACGUUCAUCUAGUCCUAUUCACCUUCAUAAAGUAACUCGUCGUCAUCAUCAUCAUCAUCAUCAUCAUCUCCGGCAACAACAACUCCCUUGCCUUUCUUAUCGACAUUAACCUUACCAACAGGUAAAUCAGCAACAAGAGCCUUCAUCGUCUCCAUCUGUGCCUCUUCCGCUUUUUGUUGUAACUCUUCCAUUUCAAUCCUUCUCUUUCUUGCCCUAACUUGCUGCAAAUAUUUUUCCCAUGAACCCUCAGGGUAUUUCACAUUCGGAUCAACCACAUAACCUAAGCGAUCUCUUUCCUCCCUUAACCUUUGUUUCUCCAACUCCCUCUCCUCCUGCAACUUCCUCCUAUUUUCUCUCUUCUCAUUUUCAGUUAGAGGUCGUGGAUACUUGGAUCUAUUUUGCCUCUAAUACUUAAUAAUAGUUUCCCUUGCAUAAAGUCCUUUAGGUUCCACUCCAGUCUCAUGCACCAUAUCUUGAUAUAUUUUCCCCCAAAGUAAGUCGUCGUCAGGAAUAGGCACAUCAUACUUCUUCCUAAUCUUUUCUUUAAUUUCUUGUUGUUUCCUUGACUUCCAUGGUUCCGAUGUAUUUCUCAACUUUAAUAACAAAUCAUAUCGACCACAAAAAUCUUCCCAAUCACAUGUCCUUCCCUCCUGCAACAACAAUUCAAUAUUCUUACAAAUUUGAAACAAGUUACAACCUUCAUAAAACAUAAGAGACGAGUAGUUACUAACCCAGUAAUCGCCAUGUGCAUUUCCACAGAACGAACCAUAUCCAAGUUCAGAAGGCACCACACCUUCUGUUGCUAAUAUACCACACUUGCAUCUAUCACUAGGAGAGGACACACAUGGCCACGGUGCCUUUUCACUUUCGAACUCCCGCACUUCCUCCUCUGUUGGCCACAUUGCCAUUGGGCCGUAUAUAUACUCAUUGAAAUCACACAACGGCCACCCAUCCUGCAAAAAACCCAUGACGUGAACUACUCAUACGUAAAGUAACUACAAAACGCUGCUCCAACUUCCAAGCAAUAAUAUCAAGUAAAUAACAUCAAGUUAAAGUAUGAACAAUAUACUGCAAAAUUAUAACCGCUAGCUAAACGACAUACUAAUAUUCUCGUAAUAUACUUACAUGAGUCUUUAGGGAGCAUCGAAAGAAUGGAGUAAACUUAGGUGGAUCCCCUAAGUUAGGACGCAUAAGCUUAGUAGGAACACCACACUUGCACAUGGGAGGAUCCCUCACACGCCUACAAGCAGCCUCCUGCUUCUGCUCCUCGGUCAUCCUAGGUGGGUUUGGUGGAGGAGGAACCCAACGCCUAAACUGAUGGUAUGGUUUAAGCUCUGUGCUAUGAUAUGGGAAUAGGCGGAUCCUAGGAUCAUAUUUGUCGGGUCCAUCGAUCCACUGAAAGAAAUCACAAGGUGCGGCAGGCAGUGGAUCAAAAGUCCAUUUGCAUACAUAGAAUGCUCUUCCAGCUGUCUUUGGAUGCCUUGAUUGUUUCACCUCUGCUUGCGCGCCACAUCUACAAAGAGGUACCGGAAGGGCAGGAGGUACGGGACCAGCACCAUUGGACUCGCCCACAUAACGCACAUACCACCUACGCCGUUUGUAUUCACAACCAAACGACGCCAUCUCACCUGGAAAUCAAGUGCAACAAAUUUAAUACACAAAUAAACUUUAAACACGUAAUCCAUACAAGCUAUAUACAUCAUUUUGAUAAAAUGUAAAUACUCGAUCUACAAAAUACAAACACUGAAACAAAAAUGAGACUAAUUAAUUGAAGAUAUAAAAAAAAUACAUGUCAUGUAAACCACACAAUUGGAUGAAUAUAUACCUAAAUCGAAGCAUUCAACAAGUUCUACACGUCAAUAUCACGGGCAGAGACUCAAUUGCGUAUGAACUACGUAUCAUCUAACACAAAACACCAUUGCAUUUCAUUGAAAUUUCAAAUCACUAACCUAACCCUAAGUCACCUAAACAUCCUCCGAUCUACCAAAUGCAACGGUAAAACACGAGAAAAAGUAGGGGAAUACCUUCCACACGAAGCAGGGAUCGAUUUUCACUACUUUUCCCCACCCAAAUCGUCGGAUUUUGGGUGGAUUUGGGGGUGGGGCGGUGGGGGCCGGCGCUGCAAGGUGCUGCUGUGUGGUGUGUCUGGAGGAGGAAGAAAGGAGGGAGGGAGGAGGAAGGGAGCCGGCGCGUGGAUCUAGUGCUGGCCCUGCCGCGCCAGCCCAGCGCCCACCUGGCGCCGCGACUCGCCGCGCCAGCAUGGCAGGGGCCGCCGCGCCAGUGCAUGCGGCGCGGCAGCAUGUUCCUGCCGCGCCAGGCGGUCUGGCGCGGCCAAAAGGGUCACCCCGCGCAAAUAAAACCCGGGUGAGGUUAUUUUUAAAAAUAAAGAAAAAAAAGGUUAAAAAUAAAAAAAAGUUCUCAUCCGCUCUCGUUUUCAUUUCGCACCGCCGACUCUCUCUCUCUCUAUCUCCGUCCCCGGCGAUUUCUCCGCUGCACCUUCAAUCCACUCAAACCAGACAAAUCGCGAGGGGCGGAAUUGCACAGCGAAGACGGAGAAGCGAUUUGAGCGCACACGGAGGUGAGUCGUUCGUCGAUUUGCUGCGGGUUUCUCUCUCAAUCCCCCCGAAUGCGCACUAAUUUGGAUUCAUUGUCUCCAACAUUUUUUUCCGAUGGAUAGACGACGGGCAUGAGACCACGGAAGUGAGGAUGAGCUGGGGUGGGGGGCCAAGGGGAGCGCAGUUCUUACCCUGAGAUCCACGCAUGUUAGUGAUUUUUGUGUUUUUGGUUUUGUUGCUAGAUGCCCUUCUAAAAUCUGUCCUCCCAUCGAGCAAUCCCAACUUUUACGUGUGCGUUUUUUACUGCAGAGAUCUCAGCGGAGCGAGGAAGGAUACUUCUGGCACACCAAGGUGUGCUCGCAAAUCCACCUCCCCCAUCGAGCAUAGGACGCAAAAACAACGCUGAGGUAUCUAAGGUUCCCCCUGAAUCCCUGCUUGGAUGCUGCGUAAGAGGACUGUUUUUUCUGAUGCAGACAAUAUCAUUCAUGUUUUACUAUUUUUUAUUUGUGCAAUAGCAUUUGUUAGUUUUGGGGAUUAGGCAGAAUAUUGAGUUUUUGGGGACUGGUACGAUGUUUGUCCUGAGGAGAAAUCUGAGUUCAUGCACGUGACACUGCUGCAGUGAUGUUUAGGCCUACUAUAGGUUCCAUUGCAUGCAAAUAAUUUUACAAUAAAAGUGGCAUGGACAAUAGUACUCUUUUUUUCUUAUUGGCUCUUUACAGUGGUGAUCAAAUUAACCAAAACUGUGAAGUCGGAGAUUUAGUGGUUCAGUAGCUGACCCAAUAACUCGUACUGCUUUUUUGGUAUGACAAAGAUAAAGGUACCCUACAUGUCAGUUUGCUUUGCUUAAGUCUUCUCUUUUUCGGAGCCAACCAAAAUAUACAGGAAUGAUAGGCUUUACUGGAGUUGUGGGAGUUUUUUUUUUCCAAUCUGACUAACCCCCAGCGUGGAUCUAGGCUAUCAAUGCAUGUUACUUAGCUGUGGUCUACACUAUCAGCUAGCCUUUUUUACUCUGAAAUAUUCAAUUUUUUAAUCGAGUAUAUAAUUGCGUACGUCAUUAUCAUAAUUUGCUUACGAGAUUAUAUAAACUGUCUACAAAAUUAUUAUAAAUUGCUUGACAGAUUAUGUAUUUUUCUAUUGUUCUUAGAGUGCAAGAGAAGCAUGAUUAAAGGGUGUGAAAGUAGCAGCUUCUAUACACAGUGGAGAGGGGCCUAGAUGCACAUAAAUGUGAGACUCUGUUUCCAUUCUUUUUGUUUUCUGAUCUGAACUUUUUUUAUGUUUCUUUAAUUGGUUUUCAGAGUAGUUGUAGUAACAUUCUUCCUGUACACAGUUCUAGUAAAUUUUCAGAAUAGCUUUUAGAGUUGGAAUUACCAACCGGGACUAAAUGUUUUGUCCCGGUUGGAAUUAGCAAUCGGGACAAAAGUGGGGGGGGGGGGGGGGGGGGCUUUUUUCCCGGUAAAAAUUUUAAACCGCGCAAAAGGGGGAGGGGGGGGGGAUUUUUUUNNNNNNNNNNNNNNNNNNNNNNNNNNNNNNNNNNNNNNNNNNNNNNNNNNNNNNNNNNNNNNNNNNNNNNNNNNNNNNNNNNNNNNNNNNNNNNNNNNNNNNNNNNNNNNNNNNNNNNNNNNNNNNNNNNNNNNNNNNNNNNNNNNNNNNNNNNNNNNNNNNNNNNNNNNNNNNNNNNNNNNNNNNNNNNNNNNNNNNNNNNNNNNNNNNNNNNNNNNNNNNNNNNNNNNNNNNNNNNNNNNNNNNNNNNNNNNNNNNNNNNNNNNNNNNNNNNNNNNNNNNNNNNNNNNNNNNNNNNNNNNNNNNNNNNNNNNNNNNNNNNNNNNNNNNNNNNNNGGAGUGUCGGUGGGAUUUUUAUGUACGCAUUACAACUAGGACUAAAGGGGGCCGGGACUAAAGCCCCCCUCCCACGCUGGCCUUCGGUGGUACUUUUUUGACCCGGGACUAAAGCCACUUUAGUCACGGGUCCAAUGUUAAUCGGGACUAAAGGGGUUGGAUGGAAGGUCAGUUCUCUACUAGUGAUAUUUGGUUAUUACAGGACAAAGUAAAGAGACCUCCACGAUUGCAUUUUAUCUCUAGUUCAAGUUUUGUAUCUUAUACUUCGUAGGAUGUUUCUAAAUUAAGUUUUGUAUUUGGGGCUGCAUCGCCCAGCACAUAUUUAGGUCUCGUUUGUUUUGGCCGGAACAGCCCGGAAUGAGGCCCGUUCCGGGCGGUUUGGUCCGGCCCUGAAUGAAGUUAGGCCUCAAUUGGAAUUGCUGUUCAGUUGGCCUGCCCUGAAACCAAACCUUGUACGGCUCCCCCCCCCUCAUCCACAUCCACGUCCCAGAACAAACCCGUGCCUCAUCCCUCCGAGAUCGGAGCCUGGCGGCGCACGACGCGAAUACUUGAAGGCACACGAGGCGGCGGCGAGAGGUGGUGGCGCAAGGUGAUUCCGUGGCGGCGUGGCACAUCCCUGACGGUGACCGGCUCCCGUCCAGCCUCCACCCUCUCUGCCACCUUCUCCCCAGUAAGCGCCACCAUCUCUUCCUCCCCCUCUCCCAUCAUCAUGUUCUUGUUCUGGAGGUUUCCAAGCCUAGGGUGUAGUGGAUUCGAUUGUUUGGGGUGUAGUGGACCUCCACUCCCUGUCGCCUAGGGUUCUUUAGUUUCAUUGGAUCUGCGUUGACCGGGUGGGCGAUUCGUGAGUGGAUGGAGACUGGGAGGGGGACGUCGCCGGUGACCGGCCUGAAACUAGAGCAUCGCAAUCUCACACCCAACCACGCCCUUCGCUUUGCUAUCCAGGAUUGGCUUCGUCACUCUCACUCCCUGAUGAUGUAUAUAGUAGUUGCUUUACUCUUGCUUUAAGUUUUUUCUGUACAAAUUGACCAAGAGCUUUAGUACCUUGAAUUCAGAGUAGAAAUGGAUGCCCAAUGGGUUAGUGCAAUGGAAUACAAAAGCAGCUUUCAGUCUGAAACUCUGAAUUCCUUGCUGGUGUAUUCUGUUACCUGUAUAUAUGAUUUUACUUCAUAUAUUUGUCUGAUGGGGUGAGACUAAUUAACAGACUAUGUUGUGUUGAUCUGGUGAACAAAGAACAUGUUUUUCUCUAGAACUGCAGCUACAUCUGAAUCUUUUGAUGGUGGUUUUCAGUAGUUCUUUUCAGUUUCAUUGCAGUAGUUCUUUUGAUGCUGGUUUUCAUGGUGAGCAUUUCAGAAGUUCCUUAGUUACCUGAUUGGGCUGUACUGCUAGUACUAGUACUGAUUGGUUCUGUUAGUUUAUUCAUUUUGUUAUAAAGCAUGAUGCUAUACCAACAAUUCUAGCAGUAGCAGUACAUGAGUAUAGUGGCAUACCUGUUACUAUUUUUUGCUUAACGAAUACCUUUUCUUGUUACUUGUAGAUCCCUCCAGCACCAAGAGCAGAAAACAGAGAGGCUUUCAUAUGUGCCUGCGAAGCAGAUCAAGAAUCAGCUUUGAUUUGGCUAAGAAAUGAGAUGGCUUACCAGGUAAAGUCGUUGUCUACUUAGUUGCUAUAAAUAGCACUUGUUCUGUAUAUUUCAAGUGAGAUGUCACCUAUUAUCAAUUCACAAAGUGUCAAAAUUGCGGAGUUUCAGUUCAAACUUUCAAUUCUGAAACCAUGUCUAGAAAUGGAAUAAUAUGGCUGUAAACAAGUGCAUGUUGUUUAUCAAUUUGGAAUUAAACAUGUGAUCUGAGUUAACACUGUUUGAACAACUAAAAUACCAUAAAGAUAGAACUUUUGGAAAGCAUGUUGGUGCCUUUGGAAGUAUAUUUUCACUGCCAAGUACCUUUUAUAUCUGAAUAUUAGUCAGAUUGUGAUAUACUGUGCUGCUGCUUUUUGUGUGUGCAGGUCUUGAAAGAACAGCAGUGAGUUCAGCCUCGGCUUUUGUUUUCUUUCAUUCGUUCUAAAUUGUAGCGUGAGGAUUGUUCUAUUAUAUUAAGCAAUAUUGAAGCUUUUGUUGGUGCCAUGGGACAUGCAAUAUUGAAGCAAUAUAUUAAGCGAUGUCGUUCUAAAUUACCAUAAAGAUAGAACUGUAUGAUGCAAGUGCUAGCAUAUGUAUGCUCUGCCAACAUGCAUGCAUAUGAAGUAUUCUGUAUGGAUAACGGACAUGAACUUAAUGAUGCUUUUGCUGUAAUUCAGUUUGAAGUAUUCUGUAUGCUCUGCCAACAUGCAUGGGUUUGACCUGGAUUGAUCCAAUCUGUGCCAAAUGAUGGAUUGACCUGUUCGGUUUGAGUGGAUUUGGUAGGAUUUAAUCUUCCUUGGAUUGAGUGACACAGGUGGAAUCAUUCAAACUGGGUCUGAAAGUAAUCCUGGUCAGAAUCCAGUCCGGCAUUGCCGAAGGAGGUCUUAGGUGGAAUCGAAUCACGCGUGGAAUUGAAGAUUCUUCCACAUCUUGCGUUCACACGUGCGGAAUCGAAGAUUCUUCCACAUCUCGCAUUUCGCUCCACGCUCCUUGCUGUUCACAGUGGAUGCUCCCUGAAGUGCUAGCUUUUCGAGUGUGGAAUUCUACCUUCGUGCCAUCAACGCUGAAAACGCGGAGACAAACACGCUCUAAAGAAAUAUUGCAUUUGUUCAUAUUUGUGUAACGGGAUGAAACCAUAUUUCCCUUUUCUAUUCAAAUACAAAUGGACGAGACAUGCACACUUAAUCUUCCACAUGACGAGAUCUUUCUUACCGAAGAAAGGCUUAAAGUACUCUUGCUGCACGAGGUAGUUUGUAUACAUGUACGAUUCUAGCUACGCAAUUGAAAGAUGGUGGUAGUAUAUAUAGGAAAGUUACUCAGCCACUGCAUAAGUAGCCUACUGGCAUGUCCAUGCCCUCUUGCUAUUACCCAGCCUCGUUUUACCACCAGUACGCCCACCAGCAUAUACUCUUCUUUGUGAAAUUGUAGUAGGGGAGAAAAAGGGAAGAGCAUGUGUGCAAGAACUCCUCUUGUUGUGCAUUAAAUGAUCAGAUUUCCGGAAUGGAAGGUCUCUGGAAUCUCAGUUCGUUGCACAAUUCUGGUCGUCCUUCCUUCACAAAUUUAUGUAUGGACCACCCAUAUGUUCUGACAAGCUAGAGCGAGAUAAGUAUGUGAGAAAUUCAAGGUACGUGAGUGAAUGGAUAGUAGCUAAUAGACGUUCCACUGCUAUUCACCGAGCCUUCAUGGUAUUCCGGUACUCAACGCUUCUUGUGCUUGUUUUAGAUCCAUUUGUUCACAUUUGUGUAAAGGGAUGAAACCAAAUUUUCCCCUUUUUCGGUUUUAACAGACGAGACGUGUACUUGUUCAUUCCACAACACGAUCUUUCUCAUCCAUGAAACGCUUACAGCAGUAUCAGCUAGCCUGUAUAUAUAUACAAUUCUAGGAACACAAUUGAAAGAUGAUACUACGAUAUCAUUGAAACAGUUUGGUGCGUUGUAUAAUAUAGUUUAGUUACUCAACCACUGCAUAAAUAGUAUAUUCCCUCUGUUCUAAAUUGUAGGUCGUUUUAACUUUUUAGGUUUAUAGAUAUUAUUAUGCACCUAGAUAUACAAUAUAUCUAGAUGCAUAAUAAUAUCUAUGAACCUAGAAAAGCUGACCUACAAUUUGGAACGGAUGGAGUACUAGUUUAACCAUGCUCUCUUGUUACUCAGCCUCGUUUUACUAUGACGAACAUCAGUACACACACCAGCAUACACUUUGUUGUGAAACUGCAGUAGGGAAGAAAGAGAGAUCAGCAUGUGCAAGAACUCUUCUAGUUGUGCUUCAAAUGAGCAAUUUUUCAGAAUGGAUGGUCUCUGGAAUCUCAGUUGCACAAUCCAGGACGAUCUCGCUUUACCUAAUUAUGUAUUAGAACAUGAUUUUUAUUUGUUAUUAGGGCCUUUCAAAAGUAUCCCCGCGAGCCUGUAGUGAGCACCGGUAGUGAGCCUAAAGCGCGGAGCUGUUGUGCACCUUAGCAGUCGUAACUCCCUGGCAUGCAUCAUGACCGCUUGCUUCUACCUUGUACCAUCCACCUAGAGUCGCCACAUCUCAUGUAGUUCUUCCAAUUUACAUUUCACGUUCAUAAUUCUUAAAAUCUCGAAAAAGAUUCAAUACUGAAAGAAUUUUCAACAAAUAAUGCUAAAAGUUUGUCUAAAACACAUUUAACAGCUGAAAAUGAAUCGGCACCGACUAUAGUACUGUUUUCUGCCUUAGUAAUCAUUGUACUGUUUCUAGUCGCUACUUCCAGAAAUAGGUGUACUUAAAAUAAAAAAUUUCAAGCAUAUUACUAGUUUUGACAAAAUGACCUUGUUGUUCCUGAUUACUCAUGAUUCAAAGUUGCGCUAUCUCUAGCUACUUGUUAUGUUGAUCCUUAGUAGUCCAACCGUGAAAGAAGUUAUAAUUAGUAACUGGAUUUGCGACAUGCAUUUCUCCAAAUAAAUUUGGUUGUUGGUGUGAAAGUUUAAUUAAAUAGAUAUGCCCACAAGCUAGCUAAAAGUGCAGCCUUUGUAGGAAAAAAUUUGAAAUGCUCGAAAUGCACUCAUUUUAGGACAGAGGGUUAGUUCUUAAGUAAAAUUUCCCUUUGAGCCAUGUGUGCCAAUUACGGGGUGUACAAUUAUGUGUCAGCUGGUUGGCAAGCUGUUUAUGAUACACACACAACUUGCAUCAGAAUCUAACACCGAGAGAGUAGCAAGCUAUUUGUGCUACAUGCUAAAUUAACCAAUUACGGGCCUCUGAUGACCUGCUGGUCGUGAACACACUCAUCUGUUGUGCGUUGUUGUGGUCGAGGACAUCUCGAUAAGCACAUACAUGCAGUUUUUUCUUUGUAUAUACAAUAAGAUAAAUAGUUCACUGGAAAAGAAAACAGACAAUAAUAAGAGCACAUGCUUAGCUGUUGUGACAGCAAAACUAUGCUGAUAAUGAAGUGGUAACAGGGAGGGUGAACAGAGAGUACUAGAUAGACCAAGGGGAAAUGGAGAACAGAGGAGGGGGAGCAGAAAUCAAUUGCAAGCAGGGAGGCCAGCAGCAGCUAUGCGGCGUGCCACGGCCGAGAUGAAGGAGACGACGGUAGCGUCCAGCACCAGAGAUCCGACAGGUAUCCUGCGUGGUAGUGAGGUUGUAUGCGGGUCUACGCAUUGCCUCCGCCCCUCGGCGUCCGGGCCACGAUCUCCAUCGCCUAGCUAACGCUCAUCACAACAUGGGGCGGGCUCUCCUCUGCAGCCGCAACUGCAAGGAGGGAGUCAGCGACAGCUGCGGCUGUGAGGAAGGGGGCGACGGGUUCCGCCGAUGCGAGCAGAGAAGGCCGAUUUUCAGGAGACACCUCAUGACGCUGCCAGAGAAUCAGUCAGGUCAUACUCUAUAAAAAAAGAUGUAAAACGUAAAAUAGUGCAAUUGUCUCAGGAUAUACACGCAUUACAAAUACCUACAGAGACAAACAUUUCACUCCACACCAGAAGGUCUAUCUACAAUAAUAUACAGGCCAGUAUAUAAAGUUCCCCACUUAACUGAUGCUUAGAUGGAUUAUCACGAAGAACAACAUAUCGUUGGACUUGAGGCACGUCUAACGUGGCAAACCAGCAGUCGAGAGGAACUCUUGCUCCAGACUGUAGAACUUUUUGCUACCUUGAGAUGAGGAAAGUUCAGAUUUUUUCCCAAAAUCAAUGCCUGAUAACUGAUAGCUGUUUAUAUCACCUUUCAUAAGCAAGGGUUGCCUCUCUUCAUCUUUUCCAGCAGCAGGUUGAUUGGACUCUGCUCGUUUUGUCCUCAGAAAUUGUAGUGCCAUCUCCACUUGCUUCAUAGUAGGUCUUUGGUCACUUUGGAGUCUCACGCACAUCUCCACAAGAGAUGCAACACAAUUUAUUUCUUCUUCAGACGCUUCCUCAAGAACUUGAGGAGCUACUAUUUCCGUAAUAGGCCUAUUCUUCAUCUCCCACAUAAAGUAGUUAGACAAGUUUUGCUUUGUGCCCGACUCACUUGUAAGAAUAGGCUCCUUUCUUACAAGCAAUUCCAAGAGUACCACACCAAAACUAUAAACAUCACUCUUUUCAUUUAAUUGCCCAGUAUGGUAAUACUCUGGAUCUAAGUACCCAAACGUUCCUUGGACAUUGGUAACUACAUGUGUUUGAUCUAUUGGAACCAAUCUUGAAGCACCAAAAUCUGACACUUUAGCGGUAUAGUUGGAGUCAAGGAGAAUGUUGGAUGACUUCACAUCACGAUGGAAAACUGAUACUGAAGCUGCAGAAUGGAGAUAGGAAAGAGCCCCAGCAGCUUCGGCCGCAAUCCGGAGGGAGCCAUCCCAUGACAAAACUAAUUCGUUACUUGAACCACCAUGGAGGAAGUCAUAAAGUGAGCCAUUAGGGAUAAAAUCAUACACCAGUAGUGGGACCUCGGUCUCGAGACAACAUCCAAAUAACUUAACAAUAUUCCUAUGGUUUAUUUGAGAAAGAAUUGCAACCUCAUUUAUGAACUGAUUAAUCUCACCUUCCUCAAUAAUUUUAGACCGCUUUAUUGCAACCACACGUUGGUCCGAUAAGAUGCCUUUGUAAACCGUACCAUGUCCACCCCGGCCUAGGAUACGUGUGGAAUCAAAAUUAUUUGUUGUCUUUUCAAGCUCCUCCAGAGAGAAAAUCUUUGUCUUUUCACUAGCAUUUUCAUCAGAUAAUAUUAGUUGUUCUAGGAGUAGGCCCUGGUUUCUACGGAAAUACAUCCUACGCAGUCGUUUUUGGAUGUUUCUUUUCCAUUGACGAGUGAGGUAUAUUCCACCAACACUAAGAAGCAGAACUGUAAAACCGCUGCACAUACCGAUAAUAACACCUGAAAAAUUGUACCUAUGAGUUCCAUUUUAAUACAAACUAUAAAUAAUAGGGAAAUUUGUCUACAGGACACUAAAAAAUACAAACUUUUCUAUAGGACACAGCAGCAAGUUUUAUUAUCUGUAGGACACCGUCAAGUGUCCUCGAGAUAACAAACUGAGUGUCAUAUUGACAAAACCAGGUAAAUGUAGUGUUCUGUAGAUAAAUUUCCACUAACAAUAUCUCAAAAAAUAUACUUCUUACCUAAGAGAGCAUUUUGUUGUUUCAUUGACGAGCACUGUAAUUUGGUUGGAUCAUAUACUGUCUUCUCAGGGCAUGGGGUACAGUAGAAGCUUCCUAAAGUAUUGUGGCACGUUCCUUGACAUCUGUUUGGUUGUAUACACUCAUUAACAUCUGCAAAUUAAGCACAUGUAUCUUUUUUAGGUAGCCAGAAUUUGCUAAAACCUUUCAUAGUUUACUGAUAUAAUCAAAUGUAAAACCAAAGGAAUAAUUACUUCCCUACUUCAAGACGCCACAUGCACCAUAAUGUUGUAUAUCAUCUUCACAUUAUUAAGACAUCUAUCGAAAAGUUCAUAUACUCCCUCCAUUUAUUUUUAUAAGACGUGAUAUGACAUGGCACGGUCUCCCAAAUUACACUUUGAUCAUUAAUUUAUCUUAUCUUAUAUUAUUUAUAGUUAUAAACUUAUAAUUAUUGCAGACUACAUUUGAUUACAAAUCCAACCAUGUCAAUUUUACAUCAUAAAAAUAAAAAAAAAAUAUUUGUUAAAUUAUUGGUCAAAGAUAGCAAUGUUUGAAUCUAGCUAUGCACGUACACUUUAUAAACAUAAAUGAAGGAGUAUACACCAUCAUUAAAUGCCUCAGGUAACAACUAUACUAUACCAUUGACAAAUUAGUUAUUUAGACAAUGCAAAUAUCGUAUUUUUUGUCAUCCAUAUGUAAUGCAUGGCAGUUCAUAACUUCAGUACAAGGUAAAUUCUGAAUAAACUAUAAAUUGUAAUAUUUUACGAACACAAUAUUUAUGCAUAUAUCUUUUAAACUGACAUGGAUACUUGGGAAAAUUAAGGAAAUAAUGAAUUCAAAAGCCACCCCUGAUCUAGCCACACAAUAGAACGUUGCAACACAAAAGUCGCACGUUUUUUGUGUGAAAUACCUACAUGUGUGGUUACUAAGCUUUAAACACAUGACCGCCCCUCUAAAACGACCCCAAUUAGAAUCCACAGUGUAAAACAUUGUCAUCUGGUAUGAGUAAAAAGUUUACUACACAACUGAACUAGUUGGCCUAGGCAUUUCUGAUCUUUAACGCAUGGGCUGGGCAAUAUGUAUAAGAUGGCUGUGGUUACAAAACACAGAACACAAUAGGCUUUGGUCCAUAUUUCGAAUACAUGUACAUCAUUGUGUUCAAGCAUUCUUCUCCAAGGCUAUUGGUACUAAGGUUGGAUAUUGUGCGCACACUCUUGUUUGGAAAGAGAUAUGGCUUCAUGGGCAUAUAAUCUCUCUUCCACCUUAUCUCUUUGCUUUGGUGGCCAAGUGAAGGGCUAACAAGCAAACUAUAUUGGAGGCUCUUACUGAUAAUGCCUCCAUUGCUGACAUGCAAGGGGCCCUUACAGUGGGUGUAAGUGCUGGAUAUUUGGACCUUUGGGAUCUCAUCCUCAGGCUGUGUUGUUGCAGCCUGCUAGUGUGCAGGAUAAACAUGUUUGACGCCUAUCUUCUUUAAGGGAUUAUUCGGCUAAGUCAGAAUAAGAGGGAUUUUUUCGAGGUGCGGUUCAGUUUGAACAUUGGCAGUGUAUUUGGAUAUGUCACUUCUUCAUAUGGCUUGUAGCAUAAUCCCUCCAUCCCAAAAAGAAUACCAUCCUAGAAUCAAAUUUUGUCCCAAAAAGAAUGCAAUCUGGGAUUUAAGCAUCGUGCAUGCAUAAUAUAGUACGCUAAUCUAGCUCGUGCAUGCAUGAUUAAAUAGAAAUGGAUUGCCUCCAUCUUCUCUAUGCAAACACAACUAACUAAAGGCACAUGCGUCUUUUUCAUUCACCCCUAAUUUGUAUGAAAAAUUCCACGAUGUUGUUCAUUUUCGGAUGGAGGGAAUAUGUGAUAGAUGUUGGAUGGCUGAUCGCCUUACUUGUUGAAGCUUACAGCAUCCUGAGCACUAUCCUCUCUGUGACCAAGAGGCGGGAACAAUUAACCACUUGCUUGUACUGUGAUUUUGCCCAACAGUUUUGUUUCUGUUCUACAGAAUGUUGGCCUACAAAGCUUGACUCGGCAACCUGCUGAAUCUUCCUCUAAUGGCUGCUGGUGGUCGUGGAGUAAUGAUUUGGUUGGACUGGCAAGUACUACAAGAAUUAAAUUCCAUCACUAUUCUAGGGGCUUGGUAUCCAUGGAAACACAUGAAUCAGUGUGCUUUUUAUGGAGGAUCAAGUUAAGGGGCUCUCUCUCUUAUUUGCCCCGAGCCCGAAAAUGUAAUGAUGAGCUUAAGGUCAUAGUGGGUUCUCUUUUAGUUUAAAAGGUGUGCAUGUUUUCCUUUAAAUAUCUAUGGUUUGUGGUGCAUGGUGUUGUAUGUGUUUAUCACACACUAUAUAUCCUUCUUAAUAUAAUGAUAUCCAGCUUUCAUACAUGUCCUAGAAAAACAACUUUAAAUGAAAAAUAUCAACUGCGAGAACGUAGAUCUCGUUGAUACUUAUAAUUUUCAUAUAGAGUUUAUUUUAUCCAUCAGAGUCUAUAUGGAAAAUUAUAAAUUUUUUAAAUAAGAUAAAAUUCAAAUUAUACGUAGGAAAAUAUGUGGGCUGGCUCAUGGAGGUAUCAGUGGCAGUGAUGAGGAGAAUAAUACCACCGGUCCAUAUCUUUGACCAGCUGUGAUUUUGCUGCCUGCAGGACAGCAGUUACCAAAAAUCACAAUUUCUGUAGUAGUAUUAAGGACAAAAGUCGCACAUAUAAUCGUGAACAUAUUUUUGCUGGUGAAUAACCCAUAAGGGCUUUGUCUGGUACAACUUUCUUAUUCGUGUUGGUAUUUGGCUCCAAACUUUACUAUUACGGAUGAGCGCGCUGCUAGAAAAAAUGUUUUGUUGUAGUAUCUAGUUGAUACUAGAAACAUUUUAGGUAUGUAGUUAAGUCACACUUAAAAAUAACAAUUUCCAAUAUAAAGAUAUGUAUUUAGCAUAUAGGAUCAUAAUUUUGUACGGGAAGGAGAGUUUAGUUACCUUCGCAACCACUAUGGAGGUAUGGAUUUCCGUGGUACCCGUAGGAGCAAUUGCAUCGGUAACCAACAUAGUCACUUGUAGAAUUAACUGGAAUGCAAUUGCUAUUUGCGCUAACACAUGCAUAUCCAGAGCUAUUUGCCUGUGCCUCUUGACAAGUUAGAUUCGCAACAACCCAUUUCAAAGAAACUGACCCACCUGAGCUAACAAAAAUGCCAGGGCCGUCGUCAGAAAAAUAUCUAACUGAUCCUUCAUCAUCAUCAGGGAUUGUGUACUUGAUAAGCCCUUCGUUAAUAUUGAUCUCUGUCACAAGAUAGUAUUCAUCCAGUUGCAGGGUAGAAGUUGUCACAUUUGUGCAGUUGAGAAAAAACUGUUCUCUACCAAAACAACCUUCUUCAAUCCCAAAUGGAAAAGGAACCGUGAUGUUUCCACAAACACGGCUGCAAUUGGCUUUUUGUUGCGCUGCAGGAUUGUAACCUAAUUCCAGUAGAAAAGAAUUCACAAUGAGUACUAUAGAAAAGUAGUACUUUUUCUUUUGGCAGGUAAUACCUUUAUCUAAUAUGUUAAUAGAUGCUAUAGUGUGACCCAGAAUGGGAUGAUUACUAUCUAGCUAUGUUGAAUAUAAGCCACCACAGUAGUUUAAAGAUAAAGAAAAUCUGGGACAAGUUCCUCCAAAUUCUCUUACUACUUAUUUUAGAGGAUCCAAAGUUAUAACUUUAAGGAUAUAGUUACCGACUCACGAAACCUACCGCACUUUGUAUUCUGCUCAACACACCCUGACACCCAUUAUGGUUCUCUGGCAUUUUUGACAACUGUGUCAAUCCUAGGAGAUUUUUUAAUUCGGAAAGAAAAUGAAUGGAAGAAAAGUAGUACAUACUGAAUAUCGAUUAUGCAAAUACGUAAAGUAUUGUAGUUUUGUUGGUCAUAUGAGUGACUAUGCAGUUGGCAUAUCUACAACAUCUGUAGAAAGUCAAGCAGGGCCAUUUAUAGUUUGCUGAAUUUCUACGGGUUCCUUUUAACUGCCCUAUAUAUUGUACCAUUUUUUGAAGACGUAAACACCGCUUCUAUUAAUAAAUAAUAAAUCUAUAUAUCUGAAUGGUCUCGGGCUUAAGUUCUCAAUACAGAAAUCGAGUGUAAUGAAAGAAGAAGCUGGCUUUCUUACAACUGGGUAGUGUUAAUACCUCUGUCUCGCGAGCAGCCACUUUUUAAAUAUGGGUUGCCCACGUAACCUGAAUUGCACUUGCAAUAAUACCCAAUAUACUCAAAAUCAUAAGGAUCGAUACAUUGGCUAUUCUUGCCAACACAAGCAAAUUUUGCAUUAUUCUCCUUGGCACUCGCACAGUUUGGUUGAUCGACGAUGUUCCAGGAGAGGUCAGCAUCAACUGUAGUUACGUUGAUGUAAUCCCACAAAGAGCUCCGAUUAUAAUUUACCUCUGGACUGCUUUCUCUGUGACGGACAAAUGUGAGAUUAAAUGCUCGAACACUUGUCUCCCAUCUGAACGUGCAACAUCCUGUGCCGUUGCAGUUUUGCCUAGCCGCCAUGUCCGUGAUAUCACUGGUAGGACAUUUAAGUGUGCAGACCGGCGAUGUUCUAUUCAUAUACCGAUCACUAUAAUAUAUGUCAAAGUCGCAACCAGUGAUAUUCAUCGAGAUAUAAGAAAUUGUAAAUGAAUUCCCAGGAGAACUCCACGACAUGUUGUAUGUGUGAACACCAUAACUCACUGGGAUAGUACUAUUUGGAAAAUUGAUCUGAAUAUGUGGGCUCGAACUGUAGAGAUACCCUGCAUCCACUGUGACAAUAUUGUAGGCAACCUGGGUGAUGCCAUCAUGUAGAAGGAGAGUUGGGGGCUGAGCAGACUCGUUGCAGGUAAGCUCGAAGUCACCACCACGGGAACAACGAGGCCCGAUGCCAAAAGGAUAGCUGAAGGUCAAGUCUCCACAGCUCGUCUGGCAACCGGAGAGGGUGGGGAUGGUGGAAACCGUGCCAUUGCUCUCUGCUUGGCUUCCCAGCACGACGGAUACCAGCAUCAAUAGUUGAAUCCCCAGCAGUGAACGGAGGAGCAAUAAUGGAAACAUCCUCCACGCCGGGACUUUUGUAUGUUAUGUGGUUUGCAGUUUCAAUGAUGAAGGAAUAGCUCGAAAACAGGGUAUGCAUCAUUAUAUAGAAUUAUGUUGGGGCAACUUAGUCAUUUCCAUUGACUACACAGUAUAAUUGUGGGGCUAAAGGUUGUCGUCUUUUUUCUUUUUUCUCCACAUGCAUUUUCCAGUUGUCAAAUUUGGCCGGUUCGAGAACAAUAGUCUACUGCUUGCCUUUUUGGGUCCACAACACCAAAAUAUGGAGGCCCUAACAAAAAGAUCAAAAUAUCAAGGGAUUUGAUACUUUUGUUUAACGAGAAAACAAAUAUGUGGAUAACCCUCCAAAUCCAACCUAGUGCCUACUUGUAACAUAAAUGCAGUGUCGAUCUUGCCAAUCUCAACUAGCCCCUUAAUUUGAUUUUCUGACUCCUCUUAUGAUUUCUCACAUAUAUAACUCGGUGGGUGAGAAAUCAAAAGAACGAUUUAGAUUCGCCGUAUGAAACACGUGGUAUCCAUCGGACCAGGUAUGCACGCAGUUAGAUUUGGAGCAGUCAUACAUGUAAGUUUUUUUAUGUGUGGCGUAGCCUUUGUUUUCCAUACACUUCAGUGUCACAACUAUAAUUAGCGAUAUGCAAUUAUAUUAUCUGCAUUCAAAUGUAUUGGCAAAAAAUUUGUUUUUUCCUAGACUUGAAUUAACUUUGUUGGGAUCUGGACCAAUUAAGAAAGUCCCUACACGAUUUAAAUUAAAAACCCAAUUAGCUAUUAUAGAGAAUCAUUUUCGUAAAACUUCAUAUAUAUGGUCAGUCAACUAUUAGCGUGACAAAUCAGCAAAACAUUAUUUUCCACACAAGACAUGUAUGGACGACAAUGAUGAAUAAUUAGUGCGAGAUGUCCAUACGAGACCAAUAAGAGGCUUGAUGCUCUUGUCGUUGGACCCAUAACACCAAGUCGUCCAAUGUUAGUCAUCAGUUAGUUGCAUUGUCUCGCUCCACGCGCUAAAACUAUUCUAACCCGUAGAAUGGGGCAGCAGCAUUCAUGAUUUCGACACCUUCAUUAGAGGCAGUAAAUAGCAUUGGACUGAUGUGUGGUACAGUUGUUAACAAAGAAGACGUCAAUUCGAAAAGGGACUAGAUUUUUCCAUGGAAACAAGCUGGAAUUCCAAUCUCCAGUAGGGAUGUUUGGAUACUAGGUGCUAAACUUUAGCAGUGUCACAUCGGAUGUUCGGAUGCUAAUUAGGAGAACUAUGAGCUAAUUAUAAAAAACUAAUUGCAGAACCCCUGUGCUAAUUCGCGAGACGAAUCUAUUAAACCUAAUUAAUCCAUCAUUAGCAAAUGGUUACUGUAGCACCAUAUUGUCAAAUCAUGGACUAAUUAGGUUUAAUAGAUUCGUCUCGUGAAUUAGACUCCAUCUGUUCAAUUAGUUUUGUAAUUAGCCUAUGUUUAAUACUUCUAAUUAGCAUCUUAAACAUCCGAUGUGACAGGUGCUAAACUUUAGCGGUGGGUAUCCAAACACCCCUUUAGUGGGCGAGUUAGGCAUUGAGUCCACGACUCAGAACAGUCUACAAAAAGACUUGCUUGGCCAACAACGUUGACGGAUUUUUGUAGCCGUUAUAUAACUAUUUUCACUAGAGGUACGUGACUGUUAUUUUGACGCCCAUUACCCGCUGGUAAAGCUGGUAACGGACUACGUUAAUGCCCAUUACCUACAACAUAGAACUUGACACAGCUGCUCCAGCAGGCACAUGCGGCUAUGCCCGCGACUGUAGUGGGCUAGCUGCCUUCGAUUGGUUGGCUUGCUAGCUGGUAGGCAGAAACUUUUGUCCAGUCCCCACCGGCUGCGUCAAUAUUGCUUGGCUGGUUGCUGGUUUCCGUAGCGAAUCAUGCAUUUACAAAGUCGUUAGGUACUUAGAAUGUUGACAUCAUGGACCCUCUCCCAGAUACAGGUCUUUUUCCUUAAAUAUUUCCUCGUCGCCGUGAGGCGAUCUUGAAGCUGCCUGAUGCUCCUUGCUCUGAGGAACAUGCUUGGUAUUUCAAUAACAACUUGUAUGUCUCUCAUGCAACACCUAUAAUUAAUGUUUCUUGUUUUCGUCCAGAAUGACCACGCUCCGUUUGCUGCCACUGCCCAUGUGCUGAUUAAUUUUGCUAGUUUACAGUGCAACAGAGGUAUAUGUUUCGCAAACAAAGAUGAAACUUCUCUACAUAUCCAUAGUAGACAUACGGGUAAAGAAACAUGCAUGUAAGGAAAAUGGCGGUCAAAGUCAUUGUUCUGAUUUUAGGGAUUGAGUGACAUCAAUGUAAAUAGGACUGAUAUGUUUGUCAAAGUCUUUCAUCCUUGUAGGAUCUUUACCAUGUCCAUGUCCAUGCCCUAGGCCACGGCCGUGCCAUGUCCCCUCCAUUGGCCGACACGCAUACACUCGUGCCGGUGAGUGUAACAACCUAAUUUUCAAACUUUUCAAUUAAUAAAAUUUGUUAGAAUUUAAUUGCACAUGACUAAGGAAUUUUAAGGUUGCAUUUAAAUUUUCUUUAGCAUUUAAAUCUUUCUCAAAGUAAAUUAACGAAUCAUAGGAGUUCAUUGGCAUUAUUUUUUUUGGCUGCUUGAAUUCAAAUUCGCAUUUGAAUUCAUUUGUUUGAAUAUUUUUAAACAAUAGGAAAUCAUUUUCUUUUCCUAUCCCUUUCCUUUUCCUCUUUCGGCCCGUUUCAUCAGCGCAGCAAUAGCCCCAGGUCGGCCCAGCAGCGCCCUCCGCACCGUUCCGCUUCCAGCCCAGCUCCGUAGCGCAGCCGCCUCGACCCAUCUUCCCACGUCAGCCCACUCCCGUGCCGCCUCCGCUCCCGCUGCUGACAGACGGGGCCCACCUGUCAUUCCUCUCCUCGCGCCGCACCUGAACCGGACUCCAGUCUGAGUUCCGGACGCUCCCGUCCGCCCGUGCCUUCCUUGGCCUGCACGCCAAGACGCCCUCCCAGGCCUAUUUAACCUGCCACCGCACCCCCUCAACCCCACCAAGAAAACCCUAAGCUCCCACGCCCUAGCUCUCGAGUUGUCGCAACCCUAGCUCGCGCUUGCCGCCAAUGACCCGCGCCGCCGUUGCCUUCCAGUCAGCAGAAACACCACCCAGAGCACCGCAAGGAGGUGGCGAAACCUCCCGUGAAGAUCUCGUGCACUCUUGUGCUUCCUUUCGCGUGCACGAGCUUGCUGUAGUUGAGCUCCUCCGCUCGAGCCGCCCCACCACGUCGCCCUUCGCCUCCGUUGCCUUGGCUGCCGUGGGAACCACCUAGAUCGUUUUGCAAGCUCCCCAGCUUCAUCCCAAGCUAGUCCGCAUCGAGUUUUGUGGCUGGGAACUCGAGCUUUGCUCGAUUCCGGUGAACUUUGCCACCCAGUGCCGUCGAGCGCCACCGCCCACCGCCUCGUAGCGCCACUAGUCGCCCGAUCCUGAUCGAACGGCUCAGAUAAGAUCUGACUGGAGUCAAUCCGGCCACGUACCGGUCAACCUUGCCACGACGUUGCUCUUUUGCUAAAGAGAUCCUGAGUUAUCUUAUUUUUGCACCCGAGGUCCAGUGCAGUUCAAAAGUAAUUAGAUCUAGGUUGUUUUUCUUCCAUUUUAGCCCCUGCUUUUCUUAGUUUUUAUGCUUGCCAUCCUAGAUUUGCUCUUUUACACUAUAGACCUUUGGUUUCUACGCAUAAUGAGAUUUUAGCCCUUGGUUUAUUUAAGUUUAGCCCCUGGAAGUUUACUUUUCUUGCAGAUAAGCCCUUACAUCUUGUCUAGGCUAUAUCUUUAGCGUUUUAGAUCCGUUUUGAAUGAUUCUUGCGUCUGUGAGUUUGUCUUAAGGCGUAGACUAGUUUUAUGAACUUUUUUUUCCUUGUUGCUACUGUUUGGUGUAUUUUUUUAUUAUUUUAGUUCUUUGUUUGCUUGUAUGUACUUGUUUGAUGCAAGUAGAAGGACCGCAGUUCGAGGGAUUCGAAGAUCAAGCCUUUGAAGACUUCAAGCAACAAGAGCAAGUUCACGAAGGCAAGUCAUGCCCUUGAUCACAAUUUGAUCCUAUGCAACCUUUACUUUUAUGUUCAAUACAAUAUGCUAUGCACAUUAGGUUAUAAACAUGAUAGUUCCUAUAUAAGGUUUGCCUUGUUUUAUCCUUAUGCCUUGAUCAACCUGGGUUUAUAUCAUGUUGGAUAGUUCUUGCUUAGUUGCUCUAUUUGGGUACGAUGGUAUUAAUGAACCAAUGUUUAAACUUGUUUUAUUUAUGUUGUAUCUUUCAUUAAUACAAGAUCACCAUGCUUAAUUGGAACAUGGAGAACCCCCUAGGAAAACAGUACAACCACAAGAACUACAUGGCUCUGGUGUUGGCUAAUUAAUUAGAUACUCUAGUCUGGGUAACCUUAUCGAAAGGUCAAGAGGGGAGGCAUUGAUGGGGUAUAACCCGGCCCUCUGGCUGAUCUGCUCUAUGGUAGCUUCAUAGUUUUGAGAGAGGUUUAUGCUCUGCUUCGACUUGAAACCUUAGUGGGUUACUAUUUACUCGGGAAUCUUUGUAAAGGCCUCAUAGCGUCCCUAUGCAAUCACACCUCGGAAGUGUGGUAUUGUGCUUGGCUGGCACAACAUGGUUGGAUCUAAAGUUCUUUUGAAAUUUUACGUGACUUGUGGGUAAAGAUGUACAACCUCUGCAAAGUGUAAAACUGAUCGAUCAGCCGUGCUCAAGGUUAAGAGCGACCUGGAUCCUCACAUGAUUAAUUUAUCAGGAGUUGAAUUAAAUUGAAGUUAUUUAUUUAUUGUUAUCUUUAUUUAUGUUCAUGUUUAAUUGGGGUGGUAUAAACUUAUACUUAGUAAUUGCUAAUAAAACUUUACUAGCCAAUUAAAAUGCUGAAAUAUUAUUAGACCUUAGCCCAUCCUUGAAUGGCCUUACACUACACAUUCCUCAUGCUUGUUGAGUACCAACCAUAAGUGUACUCACACUUGCUAAAAUCACUGCUCACACCAAUUCAAUCUCGAGGAGGUCCUUCAAGACUUUGAGGAGUUCUAGGAGAAUGUGUGCCACUAAUCAACUGCCUGUGGAGUUGUCGUCAUUGUUGGAGUUUUGCUACUAGAAUAAAGACUCAUUUGCUAUUUUAUUUAAAGACCUUUGGUCAUGUAAUAAAUUCAAUACUCUCUUUAUGUUUUGGCAUUGUCUAUGGUACUUACUGAAGUCAUUGCAUGUGUAAAACUUAAUCCUAGCACACAUGUAAUUUAUUCAUCUAGUUUUGCCUUUAAAACCGGGUGUGACAAAAGUGAUAUCAGAGCUGAGUUGACUGUAGGACGUUAUCCUAGUUACAAAAUGGUCGAAUUUAAGGAUUAUAAUGCUUUGGUAGCCAUUCUUACUUAAUGUUUUCUUUAAAUCUACUUUAAAAUGCUUAUCCUUUCUAUUAUCCUAUCUCCAUUGCUCUACUUGUUUCUUUAUCUUGUUUUCUACAUUCUUUACACUCUAUGCUUCUUGAUGAUCUUGAUGAUGAGGUCCUUCAAACUCGCCCUAUGAUCUCGAUGAUCACUCCUUCGCCCUAUGUUAGUGUUUUAUAUCUUGGUGGGGGAUUGUCGGACCUAGAACUCGAAGGUAGAAGUGAGAAUACAAGACACAGAUUUAUAUAGGUUCGGGCCGCCAGAGUAGCGUAAUACCCAACGCCCUGUUUGGGAAGUUGUAUAUUACGCCCUGCGCUUAGGUGUUACAUAGCCUGAUUGUUGGCUAUUGAUGAUGGUUCUAUGAGGUCUUGGCCUUUGUUGAUCUGAGCUCUGACGAUCUAGAUACCCCUACCCUCCUUUAUAUACUCCACGAGGCGGGAUAACUAGUUGGUUAUAAGGAGGAGUCGUAGUAGGAUUACAUGGUAUGAGCAGGUAUUAGGGAUCUAUCCCUGACAGGUGGAUAUCCUAUUUGCUAGUCUAUGUCGUGCUGAGUUUGAUCGUGUCGAGGAUCUAUAUCUUGCUCAUGAUAUUUGGUCCAAACUCUAGAGUUUCCAUGAGGGGAACAGUUAGGUGAAGGCACGACUCUUUGAGACUUACCGAUGUGAGUAUGAAAACUUUAUUCAUUUGAUCAGUGAGUUAGCUGAUGCUUUGUUCCAGCGCUUUCUUACUAUUGUGAACAAGAUGAGAGCAAACAUCACCAUCUUACCCUACACUGAUCAUGAUAGAGCUUUAAAGCUCCUGCAUGCUUUGGACCACGAGGUGUGGGUACGAAGGUUGAUGCUAUCAUCGAGUCCACAAGCUAUGAAACUCCUGCAGUUGAUGAACUUUUUGCCAAGCUGAAAUUGACAGAGGUUGACAAGAGGCUCCGAGCUAAACAAGGGAGUCCUACUAAUCCUCAUAGUAUGGCUCUUGUGUUAGGCUCUAGAUAGUCUAUGUCUUUGGCUAACCCUUCCACUAUGUCCUUUGCUUUGUCUUCUUUGUUGUCUGUUUUAGAGCAGUUGGAGGUUCUUGAGGAUGAGGAGCUCGCCUUUAUCAUGAGACGGUAAUCGCAAGAACCGGUGAAGGAACAACAACAACUGCUUCGAGUGUGGCAAGUCAGGACACUUCGCCGCCGACUGCCCCGACAAGAACAAGUCCAAGAACGGGUACGACUACAUCAAGUACAAGUACAAGGACAACGAGAAGAAGAAGAAGUAUACCGGUCGUGAGAAGAACGAGCACUGCAAGAAGGCUAAAGCACGUGCCUUCAUCACCUCCCUCAGCAAGAACGGGUACUAGUUCCUUGUAUGGAAUUCACAUAACAAAUUUGCAUAACAUUUCAUUCUUUACAACCUAAAAAUGGGCUUCAUUCUUUUUUGCUAUAGUUUCUGAUGAUUAUUGUUACUUUUUUCUGUCUAUAUUAUUGUCACUCAAGCCCGCAUCUUAUAUAUGAAUGCAUGCACUGAAAACAAAGUUAAGGUGUCUGUGUGUUGUUUAUACAGAGAGUGGAUCGAGGUGUCUGGCAUAAUAUUUUUUUGACAUUCCAAUUUUCUUUCCUUGUAUGUUAUAUACAAUAGUUCUAGUUAUUGCAAUGCAUGGGAGCAGCAAAACUGCUAUAUUUUUUUUAUUACUUUCCCAAGUUCUUAAAAUUAUCACUUCAUGCUAACAGAAUUUAUGGUUUUAAGCUACACCUGGAGCAGCAUACUGUGGGUAGAGCUGUGCUACCGAAACAUAGCUGGCUGGAAAUUUGUACUGAGGUAGGAAAUGAGGUAGCUUGAGUCUGUAAAAAACAUCAUCAGGCUGUUUUGCUUUCGAAUUAAUGUGGCUCCAGUUCGUGUCAUGCCUUCUUGACUGAUUGGAUGAACCCAAUUGCUUGGGAAUGUUAAAGAUAAAGAGUUUGGUUGUAAUUGGAAUAGGAUAUCUGGAAGAUUAUCUUUGGGCGGCUGCUAUUCUAGUUGUAACAGAUAUGUAUUUUUAAAUUAGUUUGGCCAAAGAUAUCUCCUAGAGAGGUCCUAUAUAUUGUAAUUUCCUGUGUGCUAUUUUGCACAAUAUUAUAACACGCAACCGUUGCACCCUUAAGGUUGGGGCAACAUUCCACGCAGCGCAAGCACCUCUGUUACCUUUCAUGGUAAUCGGAGCAUAGAAUUAGAUCCAUGGCUUCAAGCUCAAGUGUCUCCAAUCCCCUACUCGGCGUUCAGAUCAUAGAGAAGCUGAGUAAGAGCAACUAUGCGCUCUUGAAGGCGUAGGUGCUCACCGCCCUACGUGGUGUUCGGAUGGAAGGCUUCAUCACCGGCAAGACCGGCGUCCCCUCACCUGAGAUCGAUGACAAGCUGUCUGACGGCAAGAUCGUCAAGGUGCCAAAUCCAGCAUAUGAAGAGUGGUAUGCCCGGGAUCAACAGGUCCUUGGGCUCAUCUUCUCAAGCGUGGGGAAGGAUGCCCUCACGCAGAUUGCUGCUGCAAAGAUGGCAGCACAGGCAUGGCAAGAGAUCGAGAACAUGUUCACCACCCAAACUAGGGCUCGGUCGAUGAAUGUGCGCCUAGCAUUGACAACUACAAAGAAAGGUACAUUGUCAAUUACUGAAUAUUAUGCCAAGAUGAGAUGGAGGCCUCUGGAAAGCCGCUAGAUGAUGAAGAACUUGUCGCGUAUAUCGUCAACGGAUUGGAUUCAGAAUUCAAUCCUGUGGUGUCGACGCUCGUCACAAGGGUCAAACCGAUCUCGGUUACUAAGCUCUACUCCCAGCUACUUAGUUUCGAGAAUAAGCUUGAACUCCAAGAUGGCUCAGGAUCCUCCAUCAACAACAUUGUUAGGGGCAGUCGAGGCUCUUCUGGAGGUCACAGUGGUGGGAGCCGUGGCCGUAGCUCUAGGCAUGGUGGCCAUGGUGGUUUUGGUCGCGGAUGCGGGAACCAGAACUAGCCGCGGCUCAAUCCAGGAAGCCAGCACCGCCCAUCUGGAAGCUCCAACGAUAGUCGCCCUCUCUGCCAGGUCUGCUUCAAGAAAGGGCACCUCAUCUCUGAUUGCUGGCAUCGCUACGACGACACUUACGUCCCCGAUGAGUGCCUCGUUGCUGCUGCCUUCAACAACUCCUACAGUGUGGAUACUAAUUGGUAUACCAACAUUGGGGCUACGGAUCAUGUCACAAGCGAGCUAGAGAAGCUCUCCUUCCGUGACAAAUACAAGGGAGGUGAACACAUUCAUACAGCAAGCGGCACAGCUAUGGAGAUCAAACAUGUUGGUCAUACUAUUGUUCCAACCUAUUCUAGAGAUUUACAUCUUAAAAAUGUCUUACAUGUUCCUCAAGCUACAAAAAAUCUUGUCUCCGUUCAUCGCCUAGCUAAAGAUAAUUCCGCCUUCAUUGAAUUUCACCCUGAUUAUUUUCUUAUCAAGGAUCAGUCCACGAAGAACGCGAUCCUUAGAAGGAGAUGUCACAAGGGUCUCUACCCUCUUCCUGCAGUGCAUCCAGUCAAGCAGGCGUUUGGAGUUGUCAAGCCAUCCCUUGCACGGUGGCAUAGUCAUCUGAGUCAUCCUGCUUAUCCCAUUGUUAGCAAGAUUGUUAGCAAUAAUAAUCUACCUUGUUUAGUUGAGAAUAAUAAAGAGUCUGUAUGUGAUGCUUGUCAAAAGGCAAAAAGUCAUCAAUUGCCUUAUUCUAGAUCAUCGAGUGUCUUUAGUUUUCCCUUAGAACUUAUUUAUUCAGAUGUCUGGGGUCCUGCACCCACUUCUACUGGAGGAAAGAAAUAUUAUGUUAGUUUCAUUGAUGAUUAUAGCAAAUUCACAUGGAUUUAUUUGCUCAAAUUUAAAUCCGAGGUUUUUCAAAAGUUUCAUGAGUUUCAAAGUCUAUUUGAAAGAAUGUUCGACAAAAAAAUCAUUGCUAUACGGACUGGAGGUAAGUAUCAAAAACUCCACACCUUUUUUGAUAAAGUCGGCAUCUCCCAUCAUAUUUCAUGUCCCUAUGCGCAUCAAUAGAAUGGUGCAAUAGAAUGCAAGCAUCGUCAUAUUGUAGAAGUUGGCUUAUCCCUUCUUGCCCAUGCAUCUAUGCCUUUGAAAUUUUAGGACGAAGCCUUCCUAUUAGGUACAUAUCUCAUAAAUCGAGUUUCUAGCAAAGUUAUUCACCAUGAAACACCUUUAGAACGUCUCUUUGAUCAAAAACUAGAUUAUUCUUCCCUUAGAACCUUUGGGUGUGCAUGCUGGCCCAAUCUUAGACCAUACAACAAGCACAAACUCGAAUUCAGAUCUAAGUAGUGUGCCUUCCUUGGGUACAGUCAACAUCAUAAAGCGUUCAAGUGUCUUGACAUAGCAUCAGGUCGAGUUUAUAUCUCCAGAGACGUCGUCUUUGAUGAGAUGGAAUUUCCCUUCUCCAAACUGCAUGAGAACGUAGGAGCUCGUUUACGCUCUGAAAUCUCCCUCCUUCCCUCCCAUCUUCUCAAUCCUUCUGUUGGGGUGGAACAUAUAGGUGACCACUUGUCUGAUUCUCCUAAUACUACAAAUGAUUCUGGUGAAAUUUGUGAAGAACAUGCUGCACGAAAUAACAGCAACAGAGCUGGUCCAAGCACAGCACACAAAGCUGAUUUAGCGCCGCUUCCAACUGACCAGGCCUCGGGAUCGCCAGGCGUAUCCGCGUGCAAUUCUGCACGUGAGUCCACUCCCACCACGUCACCCCCGAUCGCGCUUGACUCAUCCCUACCUACGCCUGCUCCCGCCUCUCCUCCUGGGCGCCAGUCCGUGCCCGCCAUGUCGGCAUCGCCACACGCUCUGCUCUAGUUGGGCGUGCUGGAGGGGCAUAAUGGCGCCAAUGAUAGUGCCAAUGAUGGCACCAAUGAUGCAGAUGGCAGGUGCAACGGUGAACCUAGAUCUUCUGCACCGAUGGAAGCUGCUGACUCUCCUGUUGAGUCCUCUGAUUGUCCAGUUCCGUCUACACCUAUGCGUCCUACUACCCGUCUACAACGUGGCAUCCGCAAGGAGAAGGUAUACACUGAUGGCACUAUUAAAUAUGGAUUUUUUACAUCAUCUGGUGAGCCGCAUAAUGUUAGUGAAGCUAUGACAAGUGCACAUUGGAAAGCUGCUAUGGAUGACGAAUGUAUGGCACUAAUGAAGAAUAAAACAUGGCAUCUAGUUCCAUCUAAGAAGGGUGUUAAAUGUUAUUGAUUGCAAAUGGGUAUAUAAAAUCAAAAGAAAAGCUGAUGAAAGUUUGGAUAGACAUAAAACCAGACUGGUUGCUAAGGGUUUCAAGCGAAUGUAUGGCAUUGACUAUGAAGAUACUUUUAGUCCUGUUGUUAAACCAGCCACUAUCAGGAUUGUUUUGUCUAUUGUUGUAUCUAGAGGAUGGACCCUCCAUCAACUUGAUGUACAUAAUGCUUUCCUUCAUGGUGUUUUGGAGGAAGAGGUUUACAUCAGACAACCUCCUGGCUAUGAGGACAAAUCUCUGCCUGGUUAUAUAUGCAAAUUAGAUAAAGCAUUGUACGGUCUAAAGCAAGCACCUAGAGCAUGGUACUCCAGGUUAAGUACAAAGCUACAUGAGCUGGGGUUCAAGUCAUCAAAGGUAGACACAUCCUUAUUCUUCUAUAAUAAAGGGGGAGUUAUUGUCUUCAUACUUGUUUAUGUAGAUGAUAUCAUUGUUGCUAGUUCAAGACAGGAGGUUGUGUCGGUUCUAUUAAAGAAUCUCAAUAAGGAUUUCACACUAAAAGAUCUUGGAAAGCUUCAUUACUUCCUCGGCAUAGAAGUGAAUCAGAUCCAUAAUGGAAUUAUAUUGACACAAGAGAAGUAUACGAAUGAUUUGUUACAACAAGUUGGUAUGAAAGAUUGCAAACCAGUUGCUACUCCAUUAUAUACCUCAGAGAAGUUGUCUCUUCAUGAAGGUAAUUUGUUUGGACCGAAUGAUGCCACAAAUUAUAGGAGUGUUGUAGGAGCUUUACAGUAUCUGACUUUGACUAGACCUGAUAUAUCAUAUUCUGUUGAUAAAGUCUAUCAGUUUCUACAUGCACCUAAUAUUGUGCAUUGGAUGGCGGUCAAGAGAAUUCUUAGAUAUCUUAAGCACACGGUCAAGCUUGGUUUAAAGAUUUGCAAGUCUUCUUCUUUGUUGGUGAGUGCUUUCUCAUAUGCUGAUUGGGCAGGGUGCCUAGAUGACAGACGAUCUACUAGAGGAUUUGCAGUAUUCUUGGGGACGAAUCUAGUUUCUUGGAGUGCUCGAAUACAAGCAACUGUGUCAAGGUCUAGCACUGAAGCGGAAUAUAAAGCAAUAGCUAAUGCGACUGCAGAAACAAUGUGGAUACAGACUUUGUUGUAUGAAUUGGGCAUAGAUGUGCCGAGGAUAGCCAAGCUUUGGUGUGACAAUAUUGGAGCUAAGUAUCUUUCUGCGAAUCUAGUCUUCCAUGCUAGAACUAAACAUAUAGAAGUCGAUUAUUACUUUGUAAGAGAAAGGGCGGCUAAGAAACUACUUGAUAUCGAGUAUAUAUCUACAAAGGAGCAGGUGGCUGAUGGUUUCACAAAGCCAUUGACGAUGCGGCAGCAGGAGUUGUUCAAGAACAAUCUGAACCUAGAACGGUUGAGGGGGAGUGUUAGAGAUGAAGAGUUUGGUUGUAAUUGGAAUAGGAUAUCUGGAAGAUUAUCUUUGGCCGGCUGCUAUUCUAGUUGUAACAGAUAUGUAUUUGUAAAUUAGUUUAGCCAAAGGUAUAUACUAAAGAGGUCCUAUAUAUUGUAAUUUCCUGUGUGCUAUUUUGCACAAUAUUAUAACACGCAACCGUUGCACCCUUAAGGUUGGGGCAACGUUCCACGCAGUGCAAGUGCCUCUGUUAUCUUUCAGGGAAGACCUACCAGUCUCUGGCGAAAUCAGUCAGUCUCCUUGUAUUGUUUGCAUUGGCUUGUAGUCCCUCAGUCCAAAAUUACUAUUUUUUUUGGCAUUUGUAGGUACAUAUUUUGAGACGGAAGGAGUAGGUUGGUAGUACAGAGAUUUCUUAUAAUUUUCCGGUCUCCCCUUGGACGUUGAUUGACGCGAACAUGCAUCUGGAAUGCAGCGUCUAAUAUCAGGUCCAAACUGCUACUCAAUCGUUCUAAUAUCAGGUCCAAACUGCUACUCAAUCGUUCACCGGGUAAAGACAUAAUGUGAAGACCGCAUCUAAGUCGUUCAAGGGCCACAGGUCGUCGGCGUUAUUCAAGUGUACGCAGAGACCUUGCUUUCAGGGGAACAUUCAGCUCCAAAUAAACAUGCCUUUCUCAGAGAACAUGUAUGGAAUUCCCAUAACAAUUUUGCAUAACAUUUCAUUCUUUACAACCUGAAGAGCAUAUAUCUUAGAAUACAGACACGUGUUACACAAGAACACAAUUAAAACACCUUCCACGUAUCUACAUAUACUUAAAUAUGCCACUGUUGCGACAAUAGAUGUCACGGAAAUUUUUAUCUUGCAAAUUCUAUGCAGUUAUCUGUCCAUAUUGAUUUCAUCUUGCAAACUCUAUGCUCAUCGAGGCUUUCUUCUGGAGGAUGUAAUAAUCUGUGCUUUCUUCACUAGUAUAGUCACCCGAUGAAUUGUCAGACGACCGUCCCUGCAUCAUGAGUGCACUAACACCAUGAAACCCUUGAGUGCGAAGUGGUACUGGACAUGCCAAUCGCUGGAGUUCCUCUGCUACCUCUCUCAUCAUUGGCCUGUGUUGACCGGUCAUGGCCAAGCACCGACUUGCUACCGCAGCCACUUGAAGUAUUAACUCCAUGUUUUCUUGAUUGUCUAUCUCCCUAUCUAUGAGUUCUGUAAGCUUGCCCUCCUUUACACCUUCCAUGAAGACAAACACGAGGCUUACCUUUGUUUUGGACAGUGCCCUCCUUCGUGUUAAGAGCUCCAAAAGAACAACACCAAAGCUGUAAACAUCACUCUUAUCAGUAAGCUCAAAGUUCAAAAGGUACUCUGGAUCUAAGUAGCCCAUCGUCCCCUACACUACUUGAACAUUUUCAUCAGCUGACCUAAUCAUGGAGCACCCAAAAUCAGAAACUUUUGCAGAGAGAUCAUGGCCUAGAAGAAUAUUAACGGACUUGGCAUCUCCAUGAAAGACAGGGUGGCUAAGAGAAUGUAGGUAUGCAAGUGCUGCAGCAAUCUCAGAGGCAAUUUUAAGACGGACCUCUAGAGUUCUUUUGGACGGAUCAACUUGUGUAUGAAUAAGAUGUUGUAGAGUUUGAUUUGGCACAUAUUCAUACACCAGAACUGGAGCUUCAAACUGCAAGCUGCAACCUAGAAGCUGAACGAUGUUUUCAUGUUUGACUUGAGAAAGUAUAAGAAGCUCCUUACCAAAUUCCAUUCUCCUAUUCUCAUCAAAUCCCUUGCAGAUCUUGAUAGCAACAGGAUUAUUUUCUAAAUCAAGAUUUUGCCUUAUAUAAACAGUCCCCUGACCACCUUCACCAAUGAUUGAGUUUUUGUCAAAGUUGUUGGUGGCCAACUCAAUUUCUUCUUGGUUACACAACUUAAAUGUUUUAUUGCUCGCUACUUUCAUCAUAUCCAUUAGCAAUUUCCCUCCAUUCUGCUGAAAGCAUUCAUCAGUCUUCCUCAUGUAUUCUUGCCUUAUUAUUUGUCGUUUGUGCUUGAUCCAUUCUUUACAAAGAUAAAGUAAUAGACCAAGCAAAACACAGGCAAAAAUUCCUGCAGGUCAGACAUGUAUCUAACUCGUAAGUUGGUGCAAGGAAAAAAUAAAGAAGUAUGGUAACUACUGGUGUACUGGUUGGUUUAUAUAUACUUGUGUCACUUAAAUACAAUAUUCAGUCACUACACAAAUGUGACACCAUGAGGACAGAUUUGUUUCAGCCAUGCUUUCACAGAUCUAAUUGAACAGUACGGAUGAUACGAGUAGUACCUAUUGGGAUUGUGACUUCUAGAGGAAUUGAGUGGUCCUUCUCACAUCUGUAUGCGUUGCCUUUGGGGUAAUGCGGAGGACAAAUGCAUUGAAAUCCUCCUUGAGUAUUCUUGCAAGUUCCCUUCACAGAGCAAGGGUAUUUCUCCAGAUUGUUAUUACAUUCAUCAACAUCUGCAAUGUUAGCAGUGGUAUAUAAAAUAUCGAGUAAAGAUUUCCAGUGGCAGUAGAUUAUCUCAUGACCUAAUCAAAGGCUAAAACAUUACCUCUCUUAUUUAUACAUACAUAUCACGCAAAAGGAAUUGCACCUAUAGAUUUCAUUACCUUCGCAUCCGUCAAGAAGGUAUGGAUUGCCUUGGAACCCUUUGGCGCAGUUGCAGAUGUAGCCUUGUCCACUGUCCGAAUUAAAGCACUCACUGCUAUUGCUGACACAUGCAUAUGACUCAGGCUUGUUCCGGGCUUCAUCGCAAGUUCCAUUCCCAAUAAGCAUCGUAGAACGCCGAUGAUGUAGCGUAGCUUUUGGAGAAUGUGAAUUCGGAUGCCUCGACCAGCGCCGCGUAGCUGCAGCGGCUGGUGUUAAUUGUAGAUCCUUGACGUGUUGAAGCCCUCAGUGAACCACACCUCGUAGUACUGCAGGCCCUUGGGGAUGGCCGUCUGGCAGCAGCCAAUUCCGGAGCAUGAGCCAUUAGUAAGUGUUCUUACAUCGCCUCGCCGGCACAUGGAGACACAACCGCUCAUGUACCGUAAACAAGUUAGCAGUCUCUGAGAAUCUAUAGGGCGUACCUGUCAGGUUCAGCCGCCAGUUUAGGUAAUCCAUUUCCUUAGUGGAGGUGUUGUAGCAAUAAGUCGACAUGUAUCCAUCCUCAUCUGGGCAAGACCUUGCUGCAGCCAGAUAUUCAGAACCUCUACAUCUAUAUGAAAUGGCCUGAAUGAUCCAUGGCCGACUUCCUUGCAGCUCAGGUUGAAUCCGGGCAAAUAGCAAUGAUCAGCGAGUCGUCAGGCCCAAUGCCAAAUGGAUAUGGGAUAUCGACUUCGCCGCAUUUUCUCUGACAGUUGUUGCUAGGCGGCGGCAAUGCUUCAACAGAAGAGAGUACUAUUACCGCAAGCACGACCACUACUCCAAGACAUAGCAGUGCAUCUAAUCUAUGGGGCAGCAUGGUGUGGUGGUGUUAUUUGGAUGUAAUCCAUUCUUUUAAGGACUCCCUUCAGAACCUCAAAGGACAUCAUGUACAUAGGUAGACUACCAAGUACCGAAUUAAUCAAAGUCAGUCGUCCCCAUUGCCCUUCCAACUACUGAGCUGCUUUUUGAAGCGUUGUUCAACUUUUAUCCAAUCGGCAUUUGAUCAUUUCUUAUAGUGAACUGGAAUACCCAAAUACCUCAUUAGAAAUGAUCCUGGAUUACAUCCAAAUAACUCUGUAUAGUAGGUCUCAUAAUUUUUCGCUUCACCAAAACAGAAAAUUUCACUUUUAUGAAACUGACGUAGAGAAUCAUGCAUCCACAGAACAGAUGCAUCAUCUAUCUACCGGGCAAGAGAAGAUGCGAAGACUGCAAGCAAGUCCUCGACUGUGUCUUGAACCUCUCUGGUUGCAUGUCGCAGACUCACAUGUAUGUCCUGGUGACGCAUGCGUUAUGCGAGGCUCUCGAAACUUGUCCCAAAUUCUCAUCUAGAUCAAUAUUUUUUAGAAAGAGGUCGAAGAAGGUUACUGGAAGCAUGAAGGAAGAAUUUUUCAUGAGAAUUUUGAUGCGUGCAUGCCUUAAUAGCUUACUGUUAUAGAAGAGCUUUCUGUUUUUUUUUCCGAUGGAAACAGGAGGGGUGAUCCCCCUACUGAAUUUAUUGCAAAAGAAAAAUGAAGUCGGAAAAUACAAUACAAAUCAAAUACAAAUCAGGAACAAAGGCCUAAAAGGAAAAGCGACUACAGAAUUGAGAAGAAAAAUAAAUUUAAGAAAGAUCAGAGCAUCAGGGAGACUGUUGACAAAGUGAUUACAAUGAGGAUAACCAGUCGGCAAUGGAAGGACCAAAGGGGGGUCUCGCUCUGUGAGAGGAGAUCAAAGAGAGUUCUGUGAUGAACAUCCUCUUGCAGGCCUCGACUGAAGGUGGAGUGCCAUUGAAGGUCCAGUUGUUUCUGCAUGCCCAAAUACUUGCAGACAUGAGAAUAAUGAUUUUCAUAAAAAAAGUACCGCCAGCCUUUGCUUGAUUGAAUUGAGAAUCUGUAGUGUUGGUCUCGUUGUGGCUACUGAGGCCCCUAUGGAUGCCCAACAAGCUUUGGCAAAGUUACAGCGCAGGAACAGGUGGGCUACCGUUUCUCUUUUCUGUAGAAUGCACAUCUCACAGGUGUAUGAGUCAAGGUACAUGUUCUUCCGUCCUAGGAUAUCUUUGGUACUUAAGCGAUCCUUGACGAGGAGCCAAAAGAACACUUCGUGUUUCAUUUGGCAGCGAGAUUUCCAUAUCCAUUUGAUUACUGGGUAGACAGUCCUUGUUCCCGUGAUAUGUUUAUAAAUUUUGGAUACUAAGAAGAAGCCAUUACCCCAGAUGUAGGACCAUUGGUCCUUGUCGUCUGAUAGGUUGGUAUGUCGUACUCUGUCACUAAGAAUUUGGAACUGCUGGUAAGCCUGGUCAGACAAGGGUAGCAUGAAAUUGUGAAAGAAAUUUGGUUUCUGAAGAGUUGCCCGAACUAUUAUCCAUUUGUUGGAAGCAAAUGAUAAAACUCCAGGGAAUUCCUGAGAUGGGAUAUUUUCAUCCAAAGAUCGGACCAGAAAAGAAUUGAAGAUCCAUUGCCAGUCUGGGCUGAGGCCAUACCUUCGAAUUUGUCUAGCAGUUUGAUGAUAUCUCUCCACCAGAAAAAACCUUUUUUGUGUUGGCUAGGUAACUUUCCAUUUAUAUAAUAGUUCUCCCAGAUGAGGUUGACCCAUGGUAUGUCUGCUUUGUUGAAGAAUUUGUGGAGGAAUUUCAGUAAAAGAGCCUCAUUUUGAUUGUUCAAAUUGAUAACUCCAAAGCCCCCUUCCUUUUUGGGUAUACACACCAUAGGCUAGGCUGCUUUAGCAGGUUUGUUUGAAUUAAGGUAUGGUCCCCUCCAUAGACAGUGUUUCCUAUAUUUGUCUAGCUGUUUAAUUACUCCCUUGGGCAACUUGAUGGUGGACAUGUGAAACAUUGCAGUGGAGGAAAAAACUGUGUUGACCAUCUCGAGCUUGCCCCCUUGGCUUAAGAAUAGAGAUGUUCCUCCUAACCUUUUUUCCACUCUUUGGACUAGAGGUAGAAAAUCCUCAAUAUUGGGUUUAGAUGUCCCUAGUGGCAGACCCAGGUAGGUGAAUGUUAGGGACCCUUUCUGACAAUCCAAAAUUGAUGCUAAAUGUGGUAGCUUGUCUUCAGUGAUAUUAAGUGGUAGCAUGAUCGAUUUAUUAUAGUUUACCUUCAGCCAAGUUGAUUGCGCAAAAGAAUGAAGGAGUCCCUUGAGAUGUUCCAUUUGAUCAGGACAUGCUUUCAUUAUCAAAAGAGUAUCAUCUCCAUACUGUAUAAUAGGAAAAUCAGCCCUAGCUCGUUCAGGUAUUGGAAGAUGUAGGAGACCUUGGUCUUUGGCUCUAUUAAUAAUUGAUUGUAGGAGGUCAGCCGCUAGAACAAAGAGUAGGAGAGAGAGAGGAUCCCCUUGUCUUACUCCCCUCCUACAGUGAAAAACCUUUUUCGGCACUCCAUUUAGAAGAAUGGAUGAGGUUCCUGUGCUCAAUAUUGCUUUAAUCCAGCGUAUCCAUCUAUCACCAAAGCCCUUGUGCUUUAAGAUGUCUAAGAUUGCCUGGUGUUCAAUCUUAUCAAAUGCCUUCUCAAAGUCAAGCUUUAGAGUGACUAAUUCCUUUUUGGAGGCUGUGCAGAUAUGUAGGUAUUCAAAGGCCCAGGCUAGACAGUCUUGAAUGGAUCUAGUCUUAAUGAACCCAUAUUGAUUCUUGUGAAUCAAUCUUAGGAUGACCUGCUGAAGUCUUUCAGCUAGGAUCUUGGUGAUCGGUUUGAUUGAGGAAUUAAGUAGGGAUAUGGGUUUGUAGUCAUUCACAGUUUCUGGGCAGUCCUUUUUGGGGAUUAAGGUGACAUAUGAACCAUUUAUGCUCUAGACACAGAUUGUCCCAUUGAAAAAACCUUCACACAGGUCAUAAAAAUCUUGGGAUAUAGGGCUCUAGGAUUUUUUUCAGAAACUCACCAUUGAAACCAUUUGGUCCCGGGGAUUUGUUGUUGGGAAGUUCAGCCACAAUUCUAUCUGUUUCCUCUUUGGUAAUCUGUUGCUCUAGCCAAUCUAGAUCAGGGUCUAGUUGUAGGAGGGAUUGUAGGUCUAGAUACAUGUGAGUAAAAUCAAAUCUUCCCAUUCUUUCUUUGAAGGCCUCCCAUAGAAUGUUAGCUUUGAGUUCAUGUUGCAUGUGUUGUUGGCCAAGGUUGUCCCUUAGAGAGGUUAUGGUGUUCCUCCUGUUUCUGAUAGAGGCAUUAGCUUUAAAGAAUGUUGUGCAUUCAUCUCCAAGUUUGACCCAGUUGAUCUUGCCCCGUUUCUUCCAGUAGACUUUCUGUUGAUGGAGAAGAUUGUGGAGGUGUUGCUGCAAGAUAUUCCUAAAGUUCCAUUCCUGCAACUCUAGAUCUCUGAAUUCCUCAAUAACAUUUAGGAAGUGUAGGAGGUCUUUGCAGGUUUGUAUAGUUUGUGCCAGACUAGGGAGAUUUGACUUCCAAUUCUUGAAUACCUGUUGAAGAUUCGCACUAACCUGUUUGGCUUUAUCCUCAGAAGUUGUUUGGGAGGACCAUCCUUGGAGGAGGACCUCCUGGAAGUUGUCAUGGAGCAGCCAAAAGUUCUCAAAUUUGAAGGAUUCUGAUUUGGGGAUGAUGGUAGAAGCUGAGAUAACACAAGGUGUAUGGUCUGAUGUGUCUCUUGACAGCCCGUUAGCUAUGGUGUUUGGGAGGGAGGAGGUCCAUGCCGUGGAAGUGAAAAACCAAUCCAGUCAUUCUAGCAGAGGAUUUUGCUAUUUAUUUGUCCAGGUGUAUUUGCAUCCUUUAAGGGGUAUUUCUGUUAAUCUAAGGCUACUAAUCGCCUCAUUGAAAUGUAACAUGUCUUGAAUGUUUGCACCGGGCUUGUUUCUAUCACUUGGUUUUCUGAUGAGAUUAAAAUCUCCCACAAUCAGCCAUUUUAGAUCAUCCGGCAUUGAGAUUUGCUUGAACUAGUUGAGGAAGUCAAGUUUCUUUUCAGGUGUGCAGGGGUUAUGGAUAUUAGUAAGGAUCCAUUGCUCCCCUGAAAGGAGGCACUGCAAUUCCACUGAUUGGCUGAAAGAGUUCUGAAAGAUUAGUUCCCCUUGAAAUUUUGAUGAGUCCCAUAUAAUUAUAGAUCCCCCUAAAGCUCACAAUGAUGGAAGGAAUUGAAAGGAAUCUAGGCGUGAAGGAUAGAAGUUUUUGAGAUAUGCUGCAUCAAAAAAUUCUUUCUUUGUUUCUUGUAGACAGACUAUGUCACAUUUACCUUCAGUGAUUUUGCUUCUUAUGGCAUUCCAUUUAUUAUUUGAAUUUAUCCCCCGAAUGUUCCAAGAAAGAAUAGAUCAAUUUCUCUUGUUGCUAUUAGAAUUCAUCAAUUAAAUUGUCAGAAUGGGGGGGGGGACUUGAAGCAAUAUGCACAGCAUAGAGCAAAAGCAACAAUUAUUCAAUUCAAACCAUUUCAGACAUUGCCAAUGGCCGAUUUGCCAGCAAGAUAAUUGUAACCACAAAAUAUAGUCUGGACCAGAGAAACACAACCAAAAUAAAGUUCUGAACAACAACCAAACAUCCAUGAGGUAAACAGUCAUAAAGAGUUCGGGAAGGAUAUGAACCAUCCAAUAACUUGGUUAUGAGGCUAAGAAAAACACAUCACUAAGAGCCUUCCAUCAGAUCUUGGUCUUCUUGCUCCCUUCAAGGGUAUCUUCUUCAUCAACAAAACAUUUCUUCUUCUUGCCCUUGUCCUUCUUGGUUGGGCUGUUCUUGGUGGAGGUCGAGUAGUCACCUAUGGGAGUGAAGCGUCUAUUCUUGGUGAGGAGAGAGCCUUCUGACAGCUUAGUGGGGUCAAUCUUGCAGAUUUUCUAUCCUAGGGCCUUCAUGUUUGAAGUUGAGAUGGCAGUUGGAGUGAUGGAGCAUGCAAAGCAAUUCUUAUUAGCAUAAGCACUUUGUUUGAAACCUGCAUUCCUAUCUUUGAUUCUUGGGCUUCUUCUUACUGCAGGCUCAACUUCUGGUGUAAAAGCGGGGCCCCUCUUGAUUCUAGCCUUUCUUAUGGGGGGAUCCUCUUCUGGUUCAUCAGAGCAGUCCUUGAGAAGUGGGGAGCUUUCCAUACCCUCCUGCUGAUAUGUGCACAUGACCUGAGUAUCAGCUGGGCAUUGGGAAGGGAGGGUGAAGGACAUCAUAGAUGAAGUUGGUGAGCAUUCCAGCAUGGCCUUCCAGGCAUGGGAGAAGAGAAAAGACUUGGCCCAAGUGAAGUGUGCCGGGGAGAGCAACAUCACCACAAAGAAUGCAGCUCAGUCACUUGGGAUAUGAACCACUUGCUCUAGGCAGCGCAUAGGUGAGAAGUGCUUGGCCCACAGUCUAUAGAGGUCUAGCUUCGGGGUGGUUGGUCUAACCAAUUUGCCAAAAAAAUCAUCAAACCCUGGGUCUCUUUGUGGCAUGAUGGCUAGUGCCAUGUUAACAUUGAUAUUAUUCCCUGGGUUUUGCUGGAGAGGUUUAGCUAGUCCCAUUGCCUGGUCCACAUCCAUCUGUUGAGGAAGCACUAUCUCUGGCAACUGUUGUUCUGGUGCUUGUACAUUAUCUGGUUGGGGAGCUUGCAGUGCAUUUGGCCCAUGGGGUUCCUGCACAAUCUGACCAUUAGGGUGAUGAAUCAAAACAUCAGGUGCCAGUGUAGGGGUAGGGAGAGCCAGUACCGCUUGCUGGAUCUGGGCCUCUGGAAGGUUGUUCUCAUGCUCUUCUUGGAUCAGUUCCUGUUGCAAAUCCCUGAAGGGACUAUCCAUGUCAAUGUUGCUGGAGGGUUGUAGAGGUGGUGAGAGGUUGAAGUGGAGGUCAAGCUCAUCCUGUUGCACCUCUUUCUCCUGAUUUCCCUCCUGAGCAGGCAAGAUAUCUACUGGGUCUGGUAUGAUACCCCCAAAUGCUCCCUCAGCUAGAUUAUCAUUUAGAUCCGGAAUGCCAUGCUGUUGCUCAAUGUGCGGUGGUCCUGGAGGAGGGAAUGGUGGUAGGUGUUGUGCCGAUAGGCCAUGCUGAUCGAAGCCAGAGGGAACACAAAGCCACCAUCCUCAAAUUCCCCUGGUGGAAUAUCCUCAUCCUGCAACAUUCCAUCUAGCAGAUUUUGUUAGAUGAUUUCACAUUGUACAGUUAAAGAGACCUCCUCAAAAUCAUCACCUUCCAACAGGAUUAAGUAGUGGGGUACAUCAACUAAAUCUGUCACUCUUGCCUUGAUUAUGAUUCUGGUUAAUAUGUUAUCACGCUGCCAUAAGAUAAGCCUGCCAAAUGAUUUAAUAGCAUCCUUGAUCUUAGCGGUUGAUCUAUAAUCUGGUGGAUACUCAAUCAACAUCAGCCAACACUUGCGAUUAAAGUUUAUUCUUCUCGCAUUAGCACCUCUAUUGUGGAAGACAAAAGAGAACCCCAAGUCGUGGUGGAAGUGAGGACUAUGAUAAACAAGAGCAUCUCUGUCUGAUGGCCUCUCCAUCCGGACGUAGGUCUGUCCUCGCCCAAAAGGACACCUCUGGACCUCGCGCACCCCUAACCUAUAUUCCUCAACCAGAAGGUCCAGAAUGCGAUUGCGGAGAUCACCAAAGAGAAUCUCACCAGGGGGCAGGUUGGAUAUGGAGACGAUGGCUAGGUCUUCAUUUCUGGGGUGGGUUCUUUGGGUCACCACUCGUGCGAACUGCUAUCUUCCUUAGACCAAAACAUGCUCGAAUCCCGCUAGCAUCAUGGGUUCAGGAUCGAUAUUCAGAAACGCCAUUGCCGAUGAUGAAGGAAGAGGAUUGCAGGUGGAGGUGGAGGAGAGGCCGAAUGUAGUUAUGCUUUCUUGAUGCAAAUGGGGAAGAGUUGCAAUGGGGUUUUCUCGCAGUGACUGGGGAGGAGGCACCGAAGCAAGUGAAGGGGUGUCUCUUCCAAUUCCCCAGGGAACUCUGAUAGCCUCUGUAAGCAUAGGCAAUUGCAGUGCAUGCUUGUUGGGCCCAUCAGUAAGAGACAUGGGGGUCUUGAACCAGGUGCGGAUGGCUUCCUCAGACCAAAAGGUGGUUGGAAUCACUAAGGAGAAGUUGCACGAACAGGAGGAUUGACACUAUUUAAUGAAGUGUUGGAGACUGUGAAAAAGGUUGCAAUCAUGAAGUAUAUGCCCUUUCCGCUUGCAGUGCCAACAUCUGACAUUUUGGCGGCUAAACCUCGGGUAGUUGGGGGUUAGGCCCCGAGAAGGAGGACUGUCAAAACCUGCAACAGGAAAAGGUCUCGGCAGAGUUGGGCCACAUGACCCAUUAGCCAGAGGAGCCCGUUGACCAUCUUGAACCCGAGAUGAAUUUGAAUUUUGAAAUUGCAGUCUCCGGAAAACCGAAUGCCUUGGAGAAGAAAUCCUUUAGAAAAUCGAAAUGCGCUUGUCUCUGCAGGGAACCUGAUGAACAGGAAUGCCGGAAGAAGAAGAGCUGGUGGAACGCCAGCCCAAAGGCACAGUAUUUGCCCCAGAAAGAGGAGCCAAUGUUGUUCUUACUGCAUCAGAGUAAGUGUGCCUAUUCUUGAUGGAGAGGGAAGAGCCUCUCCGAGGGAAAGUACCAGAAGCCAGAAUAGGUAGCCAAUUUGUCACUUGAGAGGUGUUCUUGCUUCUUUUGGGGGGUACUUGUUGCCAUUGAUAAGUUGGGCCUAAAUCCCGUUUCGAAAAAAUCCUGGCCUUGCCAAGACCCGAGCUAUUGUAUGGAAAGAAAUCCAAAUUGAAAUCCUCACAAGACAAUGGAGAAGAGCCAAGAAUCAUAUAGGCCUCCUUUUUUGAAGGAAUUGAAAACCUCAAAACCUGUUGAUCCAAUUUGUAGACAGAGUAGAUCUUCACAUAAUCCUUUAGAACGAAUUGGAGGCAAUCAACAACAGAGGAGUCCGUGAGCUUGAAGCGGUUCCGGCUGAAUGAUACCAGCAAGUGAAAGACCGAUCUUGCUGGCUUCCAAAGCGGGGGUGGGAGUCGGCCCGAAGCAUUACGAGUAGCAGGAGAAGAUUCCAAGGGAGAACGAGAGGCCAUCUUGUUGAAGACGUUGAAAGAGGUGAGGGGAGGCAUACCGUGCUUCCGGAAGAUGGCAGUGGAAAGUAGAACUCCAGUAGGGGAUCUUCUUGGGCGUUAAACCCAAACAUGCUAGAGCUGUAGUGGGGAGCCAUGGCCAAGAGGACGAGGAGAGGAUCAUCGGUGAAGAUGCAGACGAGCCAUAUCCAGGAGGGUCUGGGGGUGGACACUAGGGUCGGAGUGGCCACUGGCGGUGGAGGGGGUGGAGGCAUAGGGGAGUCCUCAGCUCUGCAGCACCUAGGAUUGUGCCUGUUCUAGGAUUGUGCCUGUUUGUUGUGGCCUUGAGAGUUUAGAAGCUUUCUGUUAGGGGUAGUGAUUCUCUUCAGGAUCAUCAAAACAACGAAUAUACUAAAUUUAGUUCACUGGAUCUCUGAAUGAACUACGGCACCUCCGAAUCCUGUAUUUAUGGAGUAGGGAAAAUAGGAAGCAGCCCAGCAUAUUUACACAUCUUAUUACCCUCCAUGUUGUUAAAAGUUUACACAUCUUAGUCCUCACAGCGUCAACAAUGACGGAUCUCCUUCGUGACAUCGUCAAAGAACUACAAGCUGAAUUCGCCAUGAAAGAUCUCAGUGCGCUCCAAUGUCACUCGUACAGUGAAGGGCUUCUUCUUAUCAUAUAUAUAUCUAUAUACUAUAUAUUGUAUAUAAUAUCCUGGUAUGGAAUAGGCUAUUCCGUACCCGACUGAUCCAUGGAUCUGACUCGCACCUUCCCCGCUAGUCUUUUUCUCUCCCGCUUCCCCCAUUUUUUUCCGACUUUUUCCUAUGAACGCAUGCCUUCGGUUGUGGGUGCUCCGUUCAGUUCCCGUAGUGGACCCCGCAGCUCACCAUUCGCUGCCGCCGUCUCUCGCCAACCCCGGUCGCUGCCGCCACUCCACAACAGCCUCCCAGUGCUGUUCCCCUUCCCGAUCCUCAUUGCGUUCUUGCUACCGCUCCGCAUCCGCAGCCGCCGUCUCCUCUCCCCAUCCGUAGCCACCGCCGCCUCUCCCCAUCCGUAGCUGCCGCCGCCACUCGCCAUCGGAACCGGCCGCCUACAAUCGCCAUCCACAGCCGCCGUCGCGUAGCGGAAGCCGCGGCUCGCCAUUCGCUGCCGCCGCCGCUGCUCGACAACCGCCACUGCAUGAUUCCGUUUGCGUUUGGAUUCCUCGUCCUUGGACAACGACGAGCGGCCACGCCGCUCGGCGCCCGCCGCCGAGGUCAAGCCCUCCUUCUCCGACUCUGCAGCCGCGGCAGCCUCCGAGACUAAGGCCAAGGUGUUCCGCCUCUUCGGCCACGAGCAGCCAUCCACAAGGCCCUCGGAGGAGGCAAACGUGAGGCUCUGCUUCAUGCUCUGAAUCACGUUGUUUUUUUUAUGGUUUUGAUUUGAAAUCGGUAGAUCGGAUCUGGUUGCGUGGGAUCUGGACGGGAUUGAAGCCUUGGGUUGCAGGUUAGAUCUGAUAGGUUUAUGCCUUGGAUUCAAUGCAGCUUGAUUGCAUAGUGGUACACGAUCUGAUCUGUUGAGCUUGUUUGAAACUAGCCUUCCAAUAUUUUUUCAAUUGUCUGGUAACAAUAGAAUUCUAUUGCCUAUUGCAUUUGCAAUUGCUUACAUAGAUGAUGAGGAUCCCUUGCUUAUGAAUGCUUUGUCGUUUGGGCCAGUGCAUUUUGGAGGUGUUAUAUGUUCUUUUAUGGGGGUUAAUAUUGUUGGGGUCUUUUGGUUCUUUGCAUUAAGAUGCUGACAAAUUGAAGUUUCUUACGAAAAGAAUCGAUCAACUGCUUUAUUUCACAUUGUGUUUGUCUAAAACAUAAGGCCUUGCCUUAGAUAGGUUGCGAUACUAUCUUAUUGCACUGCGUCUUUGCACCUGAUUGCAUAUUUACUUAAAUGACAACCAGAGCACUCUUUGCUUGCAAACAUUUUUCUUUGUCAAGUUAAUUGUCUGUUGAUUGAGGUAUAAUGGGAAUUGUUUGACCUGAUUUCCUUAUUAUCUACUAUUAUACCUGCCAUAUUCAUAUUCAUUGCUGUUCUUUAUUUUGCAGCUGCUGAUGUAUUGCUGUGGAGGAACAGGAACAUCUCUGCUGAAGUACUUGGUGGUGUCACUGCAAUCUGGAUCCUCUUUGAAUGCCUUGGCUACCAUCUUCUGACCUUCGUUUGCCAUGGUCUCAUAUUCUCUCUGGGUGUUCUCUUUCUCUGGUCUAAUGCCUCCUCGUUCAUCAACAAGUAAGAUUUCAGCUUAUUGUGAUAUACUGCACAGACUUAAAAGGAUACAAAGUUUGUUCAUUGCAAGUUACAUGGAUAUAGAAUUAGGGGGUGUUUGGAUAUGAGGUGCUAAACUUUAACAGUGUCACAUCGGAUGUUCGGAUGCUAAUUAGGAGAACUAAACAUGAGCUAAUUAUAAAACUAAUUGCAGAAUCAUGUGCUAAUUCGCGAUACGAAUCUAUUAAGCCUAAUUAAUUCAUCAUUAGCAAUUGGUUAUUGUAGGACCGCAUUGUCAAAUCAUGGACUAAUUAGGCUUAAUAGAUUCGUCUCGCGAAUUAUACUCCAUAUGUACAAUUAGUUUUGUAAUUAGUUUAUAUUUAAUACUCCUAAUUAGCAUCCAAACAUCCGAUGUGAUGGGUGUUAAACUUUAACACCCUGUAGCCAAACAGCCCCUUAGUUAAUGAUGUGAAAUCCUGCCCUUUAUUUCAGGUCUCCCACAUGGAUCCCAGAGGUGAUCAUUCCUGAAGAUCUGGUUGUCAACAUUGCACUAUCUACUCGCUAUGAGAUCAACAGGGCCUUUGUCAAUCUUCGCCAGAUUGCUCUUGGCCGGGACAUAAAGAAGUUCCUUAUGGUACGUCUACUAUGUGAUUGCCUGUGCUGAUCACUGGUACAUGCUUUUUCUUUCCUGUAGCUACUGUAUGUAUGCCUUUUAGGAUUAUCUCGUAUGAAUGCAAAAAUACCCUAUUAUCUCGUAUGAAUGCAAACGUACCCUAUUUCCUGUAGCUUUAGAAACGUUGGACAUUAUUCCUUCUUGACAAGGUUAUAUGCAGUUUUGAGCUCUUUCGUAAAAUUGGAGAUUAUUCCUGAACUUUGCACUGCUCAUUUUUCUUCAAAAACUUAAGCAGAGGCGAGCUUAAUUGCCUAGUAAAGCCAGCCCGUCUGCCUGUGUUUAUAAUUUUAUAUCCAUAAGAAUGCUACUGAUUUCUCAGAGCUAUAUGUCAUGCCAGUGUAUUAUCAGUUUGUCUUUAUCUUUGCUCCAAAUCAAUGCCAUCACUGUUGUUUCUCGAAUACUGGAAAUACUCAUUGGUGCAGAGACAAAUUUUAUUUUAUUUUGAAUCAGGAUGCCGCAGCAGGUGGCAGUACCAUGGAGAUGAGGAUGCGGAACGGUGGGUGUUCGCAGGGACGUACGCGGAUGAGCUCUUUGAAAAAAGAGGUCAGUGAAUCUGGGUUCCUCCCAAUGGUCGCAAGCGAUGAUCCUCUCUUAAUCACUAUAUAUGCUGCACCUAUCACACAUGCCUUUAUCUGUGACUACGAAACUAGCUGACUCAAUGCUGCAAUGGAUAGAAUGAAGAUUUUAUAUUCCCACGAGCCACAUUGCAUAAAUUUGCAAGGUAAUGUUGACUAAAUUCUGUUCAAACAUGAACCAAGAUUUGAAAGGUUAUAACUCUUUUGCUCCUAUAAUUUUGUAGGCAUCCAUGCUUUGGAGAAGAAGGUUGACUGCACUAGCUUCUGAAUUCCCUGACAUUGAACUCAUGUUACUUGCAGUUGGUUCAGCAUGGAGUUUACAACCAAGGGAUGGGCUACAUUCAACCACAGGUUAUGUAUCGUACUUUUAUUUGUUAGUGAAACAGUGCUAUAGUAAAUCUCUGAUACUAAACAUGUCACAAAAUUUCAAACACUACAUUUUUUCACUGGCAAUUUUCUCCCUGUACACAAUCAGUAUCACAAUGGGGAUACCUGAAGGGCAAAAGCUGAAGACAGAAGCAAUUUAUGGUAAUCUUAUUGUUCCCUGAAUCCUUUUCUUUUGUUAGAGAUUCUGUACACAGAUAAUUUGCCACAUUAGUGCAUUUUUAUUUUCAUGAUAAACACAAAUUUGCUACCUCUCCCUCUUAAAAUCUGUAUCUGUUUAUCAAGGGAACCUAAGAUGCAUAUUAUUUAAGCUCCACAGCAUGGCUCCUGCUUUUUUUUUUUGUUCUGACAAUUGCUUCAUUCUCUCCUGUGGACUCCGGUGAGCUAGGGAAGUCUCUACAUUGCUUCCGUGUUUAUUGGGAGAAAACUGAAGGCACCUAGAAAGGGUGUUUUAACUUUUUGCUAUGGCUACCUCUCAGAUGUAAAUUGGCUUCCAGGAGAAUAGUUCACCUAUAAUGGUUUAGGGCUUGCUUUUGUCUGUAUAUUCAGAAUGAUUUGACCGUUGCUAUUUUGACAGCCUUUUACAUUCACAUAUCUGUAUUAUGAAGCAUAAAUAUAAUGUUAGUCCUGCUUGGUUGUCUCUCUCUUUUUUCUCUUUGCACCAUUUUUAUGCACAUAGAUAAUUUUAUGAUCCAUCUAUUCAUAUUCUUGUUAAAAAAUUUCAUGCAGUUUUGGGUACAUUGAGUUUACACAAGGAGUGCAAUGGGGACUCCUCUCAUCCAGGGGGAGCUGCUAGACUAUCAAUAGCCAUCGGUGUCUACAUUAUGUUCUACGAGUACUUUUGUUUUCAUUUCUUAGCAAUGUAAUCGCCCAUGUGUAACUGUAUGUUCCAAACUCUUUCUCUUAAAGGAAAAGCAGUGCCUCUGCCAAUGUUUUGAAAAAACUGUGGAGCACCCUCCUGGAGUCCUUCCCAGUACAAUGCAAUCUUGUCCUAUCAUGCUCGUGGGCACUUUGAUUUUGCAAUCUUCAUCUGUUGAAUGCUAAAAAUUUCUCAGUGGAGGUUCUUAUAUGUUGGACAUGUCGUGUCACAAUAAUUUCAACAUGAGCUGGCAAUCACAAAAUCAUUGUAUUCAAAUAGCAAUAUGUUUUUAGUUGAAUUAAUUGUCAGUGAAGCUGGGCAACAUAUGCUCACUCGGAAAAGGGUUUGAGCAGAUGACAGUUGGUGCGGGAAGGUUAUAUAGUAUCCAAGCUAGUUGUAUGGUCAGCUGGCUGAUUUGUUUAUUGGUUUGAACCCAACGAAUUGUUUAAAAGUUUAUGCAUCUGGCAUUGCUCAUCCACGAGACAGAAUUCUGAAGCUGGGAUUCGCUCAGAUAUAUAUGCUCGCUACCGGAAACAGGAAGUUUGCCGAGUGCCUGAGGCACUCGGCAAAGGCCCAAAAACAUUCGGCGAACCUUCCCACGGCAAACGGUGCAGUUGCCGAGUGUCGGACAUCGGGCACUCGGCAAAUGAUUUGCCGAGUGUCAAAAAGCACUCGACAAACAUUUUCGGAAAAAAAAACAGAAACACCGGCCACGGCCACGGCCACCACGCCGCCACCGGCCGCCACGCCCGCUGCCGCCCGCCACCACGCCGCCUCGCCCGCUGCCGCCCGCCACCACGCCGCCUCGCCCGCUGCCGGAUCCGCGCCAGAUCCGGAGGGGAGAGAGCUGGGGGCCACCGGAUCCGCGUCGGAGGAUAAGAAGGGGGCGCGGAUCCGGCCGGAGGGGAGGGAGCCGGGGAAGGAUAGGCCGGAUCCGGAGGGGAAGAAGGGGACGGCGGCGGGCGGAGGUGGGGGCGGGGGCGGGGGCCGGGCGCCGGGCGGCGGGCGGGGCCGCCGGGCGGCGGGUGGGGCCGGGCGGUGGGGGCGGGGGCCGGGCGCCGAGCGGCGGCGGGCGCUGGGCGGCGGGCGGCGGCGGCAGGAGAGAGGAAGAGGUGGGGGAUGGGUGGGGGUACUAGUGGUGGAGGAAUGAAGGAGAUGGAGGGGCCGGGUGCGGUGCCGGGACUAAUUAACUCCUGCGUGGUUGGGGAAAAAAAGGUCGCCAAGUGUCCUAGGUGUGACACUCGGUGAAGGGUUGUUUGCCGAGUGUCUAAACUAGGACACUUGGCAAAGCUAUUUAAAAAAAAUUAAAAAAUAUCCAACAGUUUCAAAAAAUUGUCAAAAAUUUACAUGAAAUAAUAUAUAUUCUCUAUUGCCUAUACAAAAAGUUUUGUAGUCAAAUCAAAACUCGACCGUCAUUUUGACUCCAAAUCUUAUGCAAUCCUUCUCAACGUUACUAUUCUUCUUCUGAAAUGCUUCGGUUUGUAAACAUCGUACAUGAUGAAAUGUGCAAAACAUUCUCAAUUUUUUUCCACAGCCUCCACGUAUAAUAUCAUCACAUCAUGAUAAAUCUCAUGAUUUUCAGACUUUGCUUGUUUUUUUAUAAUUUAAAAAUACCACUGCCACACGUUCGUGGUCGUGUUUCCUGAACAAGAUGUUCGAAAUUUCUUGUCAUUUCAUGAUCAGGUCUCAAAUUGGGCCAAAUAACAUGAAUAUCAUUGUUCUACUCAUUUUAUUCUAUAAUUUGAAUCACUUGCGGUUCAAAUUUGACUUAUACCAAAAAUUUUCUUGAAAUACAAUUAAUUAAAUAAAUAUAGCAAACAAAUUCAAAAAUAUACUAAACUUUAACAUUGAGUACCACAUGUUGUAUGUGGGGAGUAGAAAAAAUUUCAAGGUGGAAAGAGGAAAAAAAAUUGUUGUUUUGCCGAGUGUCAAAAAAAACACUCGGCAAACCCCACUCUUUGCCGAGUGUUUUUUUUUUGACACUCGGCAAACCCACUCUUUGCCGAGUGUUUUUUUUUUGACACUCGGCAAACCCACUCUUUGCCGAGUUUUUUUUUGACACUCGGCAAAGUCGCACGUUUGCCGAGUGUUUUUUUUUUUUUGCCGAGUGUUUUUAGCCCGGCACUCGGCAAAGAGCUUGUUUGCCGUGUGUCCGAAAAAAAACACUCGGCAAAAAAAAUACUCGGCAAAUUUAAGGUUUCCGGUAGUGGCUAGUGCACAGCUGCAGCUGCUGAGGGCGACCGGAAAACCAAGAGCUGCUGCGGAGGGUCGUCCAUCAGGAUCAGGAUUAGGAUUAGACCAAUUUGUGUUGCUUGCUUAUGCAAUAAUCAUCAAGCUAACCCCAAGCCAGCCAGCCAGCAAACCUCAUCAGCAUCAGUCGCUGUAUCAAGUUGUUAUUAAUGGUAUGGACCAGCACUAGAAGUAUUCACAAUCAUGAUGACGAAAACCCCUAUCAAUCUUCAUCUGCUACUAGCAGACAGACAACUCAAUCAUUCCAAACCCCAACCGGAUUUCCUGACUUUUCAGCGCAACUACACAACAUCGAUCUUGCAUACCCAGCAGCAGGCAGAAGCAAAUAAAAAGGUCCACAAGCUUACCAUUACAACUCAACACUUCUUCUCAUGUUGAUUGCUUCCCAUUUGGACUAUAAAGCCAUUUUCAGGACAAAACAAGACUUGAAUCAACAGCUACUAGCUGUGCUUAUCACAUCAAGACAUUGCAUCUACCUGCUCUAAUCACUGCUAUGCUUGUCAAAUAGAUUGAACACGGUUGCCCAUCUUGGCUUGCCGUGAUUGCAUGUUUAUAUAGGGAUAAAGUCCCAACACAUUACAAUAUAUGUAGUUACAGAUAGAGUUUAGCCAGCAUUCAAAUACAUCAAGAUUCUAUCUCUAUCUCUAGCAGGCCAGCUCAAAUCAUAACAACUCUUAUCUCUAAGUUACAGUCCUCGUCUCAUACGAUGAUUCUUCUAACAGCCCCUCUCAAUCUAAAUUUCUCUUCCUUUUGAGAUUUAGAUUGCUCUUGAAAGCUUCCAGCAACCCGUACGGCAGGGCCUUAGUAAAACCAUCCGCAAGCUGAUCUCUGGAAGCAACUAACUGCACCUGCAACUGCUUACUAACCACACGCUCGCGAACAAAGUGAAAAUCAAUUUCUAUAUGCUUUGCUCUUGCAUGGAAGACUAGAUUGGCAGACAAAUAUGUAGCUUCCAAAUUGUCACACCAUAAACACGGUGGUUGAUGCAGCCGUAUACCCAGCUCUUUUAGCAGGGAUUCCAACCAUAUUAAUUCUGCAGUUGCAUUUGCUAUAAACUUGUAUUCAGCUUCUGUACUCAAUCUUGAGAUAGUGGCUUGCUUUCUAGCACUCCAAGAAAUCAAGUUUGGACCAAAAAAGACUGCAAACCCUCUAGUAGAUCUUUUAUCAUCAACACUUCCUGCCCAAUCAGCAUCAGAGAAAGCACUAACCAAUGUGGAGGAUGACGCCUGGAAAUUUAGUCCAAGAUCCAAUGUUAACUUGACAUACCGAAGUAUUAUUUUUACCGCAGUCCAAUAAACCGUGGUAGGAGCAUGCAGAAAUUGACACACUUUAUUUACAGAAAAUACUAGAUCCGGUCGGGUAAGAGUGAGAUAUUGCAAUGCACCGACGACGCUUCUGUACCUUGUACUGUCGUCUGAAUUUAGCAACUCCCCUUCAUGUUUUGAAAGUUUCUCACUAGUAGACAGUGGUGUAGACAACGGUUUGCAAUUUUCCAUACCAACCCGUGAUAGGAUCUCCUUUGCAUACUUCUCUUGUGUUAGCAACAUAGUAUUCUUAUCUCUUUUAACUUCAAUACCCAGGAAAAAACUGAGGUCCCCCAGAUCUUUUAGAGCAAAAUCCUUCUUGAGAUCAGCAAGCAAUGCGGUAACAGCAUCACUCGACGAACUUGUUACAAUUAUAUCAUCAACAUAAACCAACAUGUAAAUUAUGACACCCAACUUUUGAUAGAUGAACAAUGAGGUGUCUGAUCUAGACGCAACAAAUCCAAGUGCAAUAAGUUUGGAACUUAACUUAGCAUACCAAGCUCGCGGGGCUUGUUUCAAGCCGUAGAUAGCCUUGUCCAAUUUGCACACAAGAUGUGAAGCUCCUUUUUCAAAUCCUGGAGGUUGCCUCAUAUAAACUUCUUCUUCCAGAACGCCAUGAAGAAACGCAUUCUGCACAUCUAAUUGUCUAAGACACCACCCUUUUGAAAUAGCAAUUGAAAGAACAAGCCUGACAGUUGCAAUUUUAACCACUCGGCUGAAUGUAUCUUCAUAAUCAAUGUUGUACCGUUGCCGAAAACCCUUAGCAACUAGCCUUGCUUUAUAUCUGUCAAUAGUACCAUUUGAUUUUUUCUUGAUUUUAAAUACACAUUUGCAAUCAAUAAUAUUAUUGCCCUUUGUUUCAGGAACUAAAUGCCAAGUGCGAUUUCUAAUGAGAGCAUCAAAUUCAUCUUGCAUUGCGGCUUUCCAUCUAAGAUCACCAAGAGCUUCACGAAAAUCACAUGGUUCCCCAGAAGCUUGAGAAAAGCCCGUACCUAAUCAUAUCCUUGAACUGUUUUGGUUUAGUGAUUCCGCUUUGAAGCCACAUUCAUCGUCUUGAUGGUGAAUCAACAGGUACAGCCACAUCUGAUGGAGCAGCUGCCCCAGAACCAGCAGCCACGGAAGAUCCAACCAAAUCCACGCCGGAUCUAGCUCCCGCAGAUGAUCCGGCAUCCUCAUCCAGUGCUCCUGUGGGAGACGAUUCGCGCGUUGGAGACGCGAGUGCUGGCGGUGCUCUGUCCCCUAGCGCUGGCGGUGAGACCAUACUGGUGGGUCCGCUCUGUCCCCCUCCCCUCCCCACGCGGCGAUGUAGGAGUGGCAGGCGCAGCUACUGGGCCACGCGGUGGAGACGGAACCGGCGAGUCAUACGUUGGCGCGACAGGAACAGCCAGCGGAUCAGCUUGAAAAUCAGUGCAUGCGCCCUGAAAAACGCCGCCUGAGUUUACUGUACCGCUGUGCGCCGGCGCAUCUGAUAGCUCCUCUUGAAAAACAGCCUGCUCAUCUCUAGAUGGCAAAUGAUCAGUAGCGUUAGUAAUAUUGUCAAUGCAACUUACAUCCCCCGGAUUACGAAGAUGAUUAGGUAAAAGGGGAAUCUCUUUUCUAAGAAGAACGCCUGCAUUUGGAUGUAAGUGGGUAAACGGAAAGAUAGAUUAAUCGAAAAUAACAUCACGAGAGAUGUAGGUACAACCCGUGGAAGGAUCUAAGCACUUGAAGCCUUUAUGCAUGAAGCUGUAACCAAUAAAAGUACAUUUAAUAGAUCUGAAAGCAAGCUUUCAAGUAUUAUAGGGGCGGAAGUUAGGCCAACAGGCGCACCCAAAAAUGCGAAGAGAGUUGUAAUCAGGCUUUUCUUGUAGCAAGCGUUCUAUAGGGGUAUCAAAACUAAGAACUUUGCUGGGAAGCAUGUUGAUGAGAUAAGUGGCAGUUAAAAAAGCUUGAUCCCAAAAUUUAAAGGGCAUCAAUGCAUUUGCAAGAAGCGCAAGACCAACUUCAACAAUAUGACGAUGCUUCCUUUCAACAAAAUCGUUUGCUGGUGGGCAUGAGGGCAUGAAACACGAUGUGCUAUGCCAAUCUGCUGGAAAAAGGAAUUCAAUUUCUCAUAUUCGCGUCCCCAGUCAGUUUGCACAGAAAUAAUUUUCUUAUCAUAUUUUCGCUCCACGAGAUUCUGGAAUUCUUUAAAAACUUGGAACACAUCAUAUUUCUUUUUCAAGAGAUAAGUCCAGGUGAAUCUACUAAAAUCAUCAAUGAAGCUCACAUAGUAAGAAUAACGACCCACAGAAGUAGGUGCAGGACCCCAAACAUCAGAGUGAAUAAGAUCAAGCAGAGCUUUGGAUGAAUUUUCUGAACUCGAAUAUGGUAGUUGAUGGCUUUUAGCCAUUUGACAAGCAUAAAAAAUUCACUCAAAACUAGUACCGCCACAAGGGAGAUAGAUUCUAAUGGAUAAAGCCCUCCUUUGCAUCUACCUUUAUGAAGGAUUUUCUUCGUUUCCUGAUCCUAGAUAAAAAAGAAUUUUGGAUGAAAUUCCAGAAAGGCAUUAUUACCAAAAGCUAGUAUGUGGAUGGAAACAAGAUUUUUGUGGGCAGUAGGAACAUGAAGGAUAUUGUAUAGAUGUAAGGUUCUACCCGGAGUAUGUAAAGUUGAAUGAUCAAUAUUACUAAUUUGCAGACCUGAACCGUUGCUAGCCUGAACUUGAUCUCGACCAUUGUACUUGUCUUUCACAGUUAACUUGUCAAGUUCUCCAGUGAUGUGGUCGGUUGCGCCACUGUCUACAUACCAAUUUGUAUCAUAGCCGUAACCUGUAGCUGCAGCGCCGGCCACUUUCUCCUGGUCAUCCUCGUCGUAUCUGUACCAACAUCUUGGUGCUUCAUGACCGACCUUUUUGCAGAUUUGACAGACAACCUUCUUGGGCUGAUUUCCACUAUUAUUGGUCUGGCCGCCCCUGUUUUGGCCACCACUGGUGCGCCCAUGGUUGCGCCCUCCUUUUCUUCGUCCUCCAUUGCCACGUCCUUGAAAACCUCCACGAGAACCUGAAUUUGUUGACGAUGUGUAGUGUCCCCCUUUAUUAUAAGCCUCCGGGUGCAUCUCAUAGGACAGAAGGUGAGAGUACAAAUCGGAAAGAGAGAGGGGAUCGGCGCAGCCAAGCAUUGAGGACACAAAUGGAUUAUACUCGAAAUCAAGACCAUUAAGGAUGUAAGAUGCCAUCUCACCAUCAUCAAUGAUGACUCCUACUGCCGCUAGCUCAUCCUUGAUAGCCACCAUCUUGGUGUAAUAUGUUGAUGCAGUCAUGCUACCCUUCUUGAGGGUAGACAACCUCAUGCGUAGAUUUGUCACGCGUGCUCUUGAUUGUGCCGCAAACAUUGUCUGCAGCGCACUCCAUGCUCCAGCCGAUAUCGCCUCUGACACCACUUGUGCUAGCACUUCCUUGGUGAUGGAGUUGAGGAGAUAACUCAGCAGUUGCUGAUCUUUCGCCACCCAUAUAUCAUAUUCUGGGUUAGUGACCAAUUCUUUCUUGCCAUCGGCCUUCACCACUUCCGUGGUCUUGGCCAGCUCCUUGACAGAUCCGUCGAGGAUUCCCAUCAGCUGCGCGCCUCGCAUAGCGGGCAAGAAUUGAGCCUUCCAUAAGACGUAAUUCUCCCAUAUAAGCUUUUCAGCUACAGGAGCUCCGAGGGGCACCGCCGUAGGCGAAGCAGAUGAUGACGCCGUGGAUGUGUAUGGCGUGUUCCUAGAGAGGGUGGAGUAGUGGAAGAAGCGCUCUGAUUACCAUGUCAAAUAGAUUGAACACGGUUGCCUGUCUUGGCUCGCCGUAGUUGCAUGUUUAUAUAGGGACAAAGUCCCAACACGUUACAAUAUGUAGGAGCGGCAGGCACAGCUGCUGAGCCACGCGGUGGAGACGGAACCGGCGUGUCGUACAUUGGCGUGACAGGAACAGCCAGCGGAUCAGCUUGAAAAUCAGUGCAUGCGCCCUAAAAAAAUGCCGCCUGAGUUUACUGUACCGCUGUGCGCCGGCGCAGAUGAUAGCUCCUCCUGAAAAACAGCCUUCUCAUCGCUAGAUGGCAAAUGGUUAGUAGCAUUAGUAAUAUUGUCAAUGCAACUUACAUCCCACGGAUUACGAAGAUGAUUAGGUAAAAGGAGAAUCUCUUUUCUAAGAAGAACGCCUGCAUUUGGAUGUAAGUAGGUAAACGGAAAGAUAGAUUCAUCGAAAAUAACAUCACGAGAGAUGUAGAUACGACCCGUGGAAGGAUCUAAGCACUUGAAGUCUUUAUGCAUGAAGUUAUAACCAAUAAAAGUACAUUUAAUAGAUCUGAAAGCAAGCUUUCGAGUAUUAUACGGUGCAAGUUAGGCCAACAGGUGCACCCAAAAAUGCGAAGAGAGUUAUAAUCAGGCUUUUCUUGUAGCAAGCGUUCUAUAGGGGUAUCAAAACUAAGAACUUUGCUGGGAAGCAUGUUGAUGAGAUAAGCGGCAGUUAAAAAGGCUUGAUCCUAAAAUUUUAAGGGCAUCGAUGCAUUUGCAAGAAGCACAAGACUAACUUCAACAAUAUGAUGAUGCUUCCUUUUAACCAGACCCUUUUGCUAGUGGGCAUGAGGGCAUGAAACACGAUGUGCUAUGCCAAUCUGUUGAAAAAAGGAAUUCAAUUUCUCAUAUUCACCUCCCCUGUCAGUUUGCACAAUAACAAUUUUCUUAUCAUGUUUUUGCUCCACGAGAUUCUGGAAUUCUUUAAAAACUUGGAACACAUCAGAUUUAUUUUUCAAGAGAUAAAUCUAGGUGAAUCUACUAAAAUCAUCAAUGAAGCUCACAUAGUAAGAAUAACGACCCACAGAAGUAGGUGCAGGACCCCAAACAUCAGAGUGAAUAAGAUCAAGCGGAGCUUUGGAUGAAUUUUCUAAACUCGAAUAUGGUAGUUGAUGGCUUUUAGCCAUUUGACAAGCAUCAAAAAUUCACUCAAAACUAGUACCGUCACAAGGGAGAUUAUUAUGACUAAGCACACCCUGAACAAUAGGAUAAGCUGGAUGGCCUAAGCGACUAUGGCACUUAGAAACAGAAGGUUUGCUAACACCAUAACCUUUCUUGCCGCCGCUUUCUUCUGACGAGAUAGAUUCUAAUGGAUAAAGCCCUCCUUUGCAUCUACCUUGAUGAAGGAUUUUCUUCAUUUCGGAUACUAAAGAAUUUUGGAUGAAAUUCCAAAAAGGCAUUGUUAUCAGAAGCUAGUAUGUGGACGGAAACAAGAUUUUUGUGGGCAGUAGAAACAUGAAGGAUAUUGUUUAGAAAUAAAGUUCUACCCGGGGUAUGUAAAGUUGAAUGACCAAUAUUACUAAUUUGCAUACCUGAAUCGUUGCCAGCCUGAACUUGAUCUCGACCAUUGUACUUGUCUUUGACAGUUAACUUGUCAAGUUCUCCAGUGAUGUGGUCGGUUGCGCCACUAUCUACAUACCAAUUUGUAUCAUAGCCGUAACCUGUAGCUGCAGCGCCGGCCACUUUCUCCUUGUCAUCCUCAUCGUAUCUGUACCAGCAUCUUGGUGCUUCGUGACCGACCUUUUUGCAGAUUUGACAGACAACCUUCUUGGGCUGAUUUCCACUAUUAUUGGUUUGGUCGCCCCUGUUCUGGCCACCACGGCCACCACUAGUGCACCCACGGUUGCACCCUUCGUUGCCUCGUCCUCCAUUGUCACGUCCCCGAAAACCUCCAUGAGAAGCUGAAUUUGCUGACGAUGCGUACUGUCCCCCUUCAUUAUAAGCCUCUAGGCGCAUCUCAUAGGACAGAAGGUGAGAGUACAAAUCGGAAAGAGAGAGGGGAUCGGCACGGCCAAGCAUCCAGGACACAAACAGAUUAUACUCAAUAUCAAGACCAUUAAGGAUGUAAGAUGCCAUCUCACCAUCAUCAAUGAUGACUCCUACUGCCGCCAGCUCAUCCUUGAUAGCCACCAUCUUGGUGUAAUAUGUUGAUGAAGUCAUGCUACCCUUCUUGAAGGUAGACAACCGCAUGCGUAGAUUUGUCACGCGUGCUCUUGAUUGUGCCGCAAACAUUGUCUGCAGCGCACUCUAUGCUCCAGCUGACGUCGUCUCUGACACUACUUGUGCUAGCACUUCCUUGGUGAUGGAGUUGAGGAGAUAACUCAGCAGUUGCUGAUCUUUCGCCACCCAUAUAUCAUAUUCUGGGUUAGCGACCAAUUCUUUCUUGCCAUCGGCCUUCACCAGUUCCAUGGUCUUAGCCGGCUCCUUGACAGAUCCGUCGAGGAUUCCCAUCAGCUGCGCGCCUCGCACAGCGGGCAAGAACUGAGCCUUCCAUAAGACAUAAUUCUCUUGUGUAAGCUUUUCAGCUAAAGGAGCUCCAGGCGGCACAAGACGUAAUUCUCUUGUGUAAGCUUUUCAGCUAAAGGAGCUCCAAGCGGUGCCGCCGUAGGCGAAGCAUAUGAUGAUGCCAUGGAUGUGUAUGGCAUGUGCCUGGAGAGGGUGGAGUAGAUAGAUGUGUUUAUGGAAGAAGCACUCUGAUUACCAUGUCAAAUAGAUUGAACACGGUUGCUUGUCUUGGCUCACCGUGGUUGCAUGUUUAUAUAGGGACAAAGUCCCAACACAUUACAAUAUAUGUAGUUACAGAUAGAGUUUAGCCAGCCUUCAAAUACAUCAAGAUUCUAUCUCUAUCUCUAGCAGGCCAACUCAAAUCAUAACAACUCUUAUGUCUAAGUUACAGUCCUGCCUCAUAGGACGAUUCUUCUAACAAUGCUAACCCCAUCUAUGGAUCUUAUUCACAGGCCAGCUUCGUGUCAAAGCUGGUCAAACAUAUGGCGAAGGCCUGGAAAGCCGACAGCGGGUACCGGUAGUCCAUGGUGAUCGAACGUAUCCUUUGCAACUUUGCCGAAUUGCAAGAUCACCGUGUCGUGGCUCGACGACGCCUGGGGCUGCGGCGUCUGUCGAGCAGGAGGUGCCGAAGCCCCUGCUGCGGCUGCCUGUGCCGCAGAAGCUAUCAGCUGGAAGUUCUUGACUGAUGCCACCGUCACACGGCCACGGAAGUUGAGGCAGCAGCAUUGCAGCUGCUCGUGCCACCUCGACGCCUUGUUGCACAGAACCAGGGGCCUCUCCUUGUCUGCGUCGUCGUCGUCGCCGCCGCCUCGCUGAUUUCCUCCGCCAAACUCCGAGUACCGACAACUGCUCAAGUCCAUGGAGCUAUCUGCGAUGGAGUACUUGGAGAAAGAAGUUGCUGUGCUGCGGAAGGACUCGUCGAAUAACCUCGGGAGGAGCUCUUUCGGUUGCCCAGGCACAACACCGCCAGGCUCCCUGCUGGUCGGGGCGGCGUUCUCCGUCGGAGCGAUGCCGGGCCUCAACAUCUUCUUCGAAGAUCACGGCUGCGGCGGUUCCAAUAGAUGGCCGUGAGGUGGACGGCCUUUCAUCGCGGUUGUUGUCGCCUCUAAAAAACCUGACGAAGGGAAAUUGGUCCAUCGCGUGUGCGGGCAGGGGUGAACAACCGGGUAGGCGCGCUGGUCCUACCUGGGUACGAAAUAGCGGAUAUAUGGUGAGUACUCUAAAGCCAGCCAUAGAAUUAAUAAUUAUUCUAUAGCCAGGGCACUGGCAGUCCAUGAUUGGCAGUCCAUGAUUGGAAUUACUACGAGGGUCCACCUCCCUGCUGAUCCGGGCUCCUACGAGACGAGCGAGCUGAGGCGCCUGAGCGACGGAGCCGGUCAUUGUGUAAUCGAAGCUAGGAGAAACGACAGUCAUUAGCCAUUACUACGUAAUCAAAGCUACAUUGACGUUCAAAAAAAAUUCUCCUUAUCAGAACUGCAUCAUGCAAGUGUAUCGUACACUGGUUACGAGAAUACUUGGGCUUGGUUUUGUCUACACGUUCAAAAACUUACGAGAAUACUUGGGUUGGCUGUUUUCUGUAAAGAAAUAAAGAAUUCUUUUACAAGAAUGCGUGGAUCACGGUACUAGAUAAUUUUUACGACAAUACUAGGUAGUUAUCUGAUGGUUUACUAUAUCUACUAUUUUAGCGGUAUGAAUUACGAUAAUGCAUGGCUUGUGUACUGGAAUCUAUUUGGUGGAUUACGAUGAUACAUUAACAUAGAGGGAAGGUUUAAAUUUGAACACACAGCUAUUUUGGUGGGACAUACUUCAUUGAAGAACGACUUGGCUUAAACACUGUACAAUAAUUUAGAAGGCUCGUAGAUACAUAUGUCUACACCCAGAAUUUGAGAAAAUCAUUUAUUUGGAGCUUCUCUCGUUUUGUUGCAGCUAGUUGGCCAGAGAUAUUGAAAUCAGAUUUCAACCGUGCCUAUUAUUAGCUGCUCGUAAGUGAGCGCAUCUUGCCCAGGACUUGCCAGAAGACCUCAUCACCUGAAAACUUCGUAAUAACAAGGAGAAUAGUUAAAAAGUAAGUUCAUUUCACAUCUGUAACAAGUGUUUAGAUGGCUAAUAGCAUAUAUGCAUGCAGAUUAGGCAUAAACCAAUUUACCACCAAUUUUUACGAGAAUGGCAUCAUCAAUUCACCACAAAGUUAUUUACCACAAUUGGAAUAAUCAAGUUACUAUAAAAUAAUAUCGAGUUUAUUAGAAUCCCUCGUACCAGAACUACGAAAAUUGAUACUUACAUGGUCAAAAUUACCACAAUGGCAUGCUAUAAUCAAUUUACCACAAUGGCACAAUCUAGUUACUAUACUAUGUUUCUCAAAAAAAAAAUGGACCAAUUACCAUAACAGCAUGACCCAUUUACCAGGAACUAAUUCGUAACUACUACGGUGGUGUCAACUGUCAAGUUAGCACAACUGCAUUUACUAUAAUCCAAAUUGCUCGACCAUGGGAGUAUGAUGUAAGACAAAUAGACAAUGGUUAAAAGAUGUAAUACAAAAGUAUGGUAUACCAUGACAUAUAGAUUAAGUUGUAUCACAAGUUCUGGCUGGAAACUUGUUGGCUGGUGUUCAGUGAGCGGUAAAUAUUAAAAGAGCAGCACAAACCUAAAUUGGGCUCCUUUUCCUGCAUAUGUAGUGAUUUAAAAUUAGAACGAAUGAACUACAUGAAUGAGAGCAAGCAGGAUUGAACCAAGUAUGGUAACCACAUGAUGAUCAGAUACUAAUAAACAUUGUUUUGCCUACUGAACACUAUGAUCAGAGUGCCCUACUUACUACAAUGAAGUGCCCAAUUUACACAAAUUAUAGCAUUGAGGAACCAAUUUACGAUAAUUGUGAGUACUAUAAAUAAACAUGUAGCAAUGAUAAUGUGACAGAUGAUUUACCACAAGCAAGCAAAAUGAUGCUUGAAGACACGAUUUAGCAAUGCAAAAUGGUAGAAUUUUACAUAAUUCAACAGUCUAUGGACGAUAGUUAUGAAGUGAUUUACUACAACUAGGACAACAGCUAUUUACCAUAAUUAAACGUCUAGUGCCCAAACUGUGGCAGGUGAUUUAUCAAGGGCGAAGGAUUCAGGAUAAUGACAGGCUUGAUUUGACAAUACAAAUUGAUAUGCAGUCACCGUAAUUGUAUUGGUGUGACUGAAAACAAUAAACAUUGCCUUCAAAAAAUGUGUUGGGUACAGACUGAUUUGUUGCACAGAACACUCAUCCUUUUAUCUCUGGGAGUAAUGAGUAAAACACAACAAAAAUGAUGGCAACUAAGAUACUGUCAUAUUACUUUGACUAUGGCCAUCAGCCUAGAAUUCCAUGAAAUCUGAUGCGGACAGACAUGCUAGCUGAUUUUGAUCCCGUUCAGACUUACUCCCAAGGGACGUCGCCGACCAGCACCCGGUCGCCGUCCUCGACCUCGUACACCAGUGUGUACUCGCCGCUGAUCACGGGCUCCUCGGCCUCCUCCCCCGCUGCCUCCUCGCCGCAGCGCCAGCCCACCGCGGCGGCGGCUGGGUCCCUUUGGGCUGCGCAAUCGAGGGAUUUUUUUUUCUCGCAUGAUCAGACAACGCGAGCACGCAUACACAGUUCUUGGAACAAACGAGGCGGCGAUGGAGUACGUACCGGCGAGCAGGCUGCGGAAGAGCUUGCCGACGGCGGCGGAGAGCUCGGCGUAGCCGCCGUACGCCGUGAGGUCCACCUUCUGCCCGAUGGGCACUCCGUCCAUGUUGAUCUUCACGAACAGGCCGCCGCUCUUGUGCGGUUGUGCCCGCCCUCGCCGGCGCCGCCUCCCUUGGCGCCGCGGCCUCCCUUAACUCCGCCGUCCUGAUGAUGAGCCGACGACGACUGCGGCGAGUACCUGAUGGACGCCAGGUUCCUCCUGAACGACCGCACCGGCGGCCACCCCUCCACCGGGCGGAGGGGCCGGCGGGCGGCACGGGAGGAGGGGCCGGCGGGGGCUGCCGCCGCUCGCCAUAUCCCGUGGCGGCAGGAGGGGGCGGGAGGGCGGAGGUGGACCAGAUCGGUUGGGGCGAGGGAGGGGGACCUGCCCGGAGUUGGGAGCGAGAUUUUGGGUAGCGGCUGCGUGCGUGGGGGCGGGCGGGAUGGCUGACGGGGAGUCGAUGGAUUUUGGGCGGCAGCGGCGGACGCGGAUAAGGGGCGUUUUCUUCCCGUGUCUUAUUUUUAGCACGUGUCACAUCAAAUGUUUAGAUACUAAUUAGGAGUAGUAAACGUAGACUAUUUACAAAACCAAUUACAUAAGUGGAAUCUAAACGGCGAGGCGAAUCUAUUAAGCCUAAUUAAGCCUAAUUAAUCCAUCAUUAGCAAAUAUUUACUGUAGCAACACAUUGUCAAAUCAUGGACUAAUUAGGCUUAAUAGAUUCGUCUCGCCGUUUAGAUUCGUCUUAUGUAAUGGGUUUUGUAAAUAGUCUACGUUUAAUACUCCUAAUUAGUAUCUAAACAUUCGAUGUGACGGGUGCUAAAAAUAAGUCAGUGGAAGAAAACGGGGCCUAAGAUUGAGGAUCGAGCCGACGAGCGGUCCCAUGACGAGCUGAUGAGCCUAAAGACUCGUUACUCCCGGCUACCGUUCGACUCCGUCGCUAGGCUCGCCGGCUCGGUCGAUCGUGGGACGGAUGAUCUCGAUUUGAACGGAUGGAUGAUCCAGCUACAGAAUAAUCUAUUCUGUGACCAACUACGGAUAAAUAGAUCCCUUUAUAUAUAUAUAUAUACAUAUAUAUACAUACAUACAUAUAUAUAUACAUAUAUAUACGCGUGCGCGCGCACACAGCUGGCAUCAGAACAUGUUGGAGCGGAAAAGAACGACCAACGUAGAGGACUGGCUCGAUUAAUUGGAAUAGGAAGUCUCUGGAUUUUGAGCAGCAUACCAUGCAUGAUGUCUCGUUCAUUUGUUUUUGUGCCAGUCGCACGUUGUCCUUGCUGACUUGCCAGAAUCUAACACCGAGAGAGUAGCAAGCUAUUUGUGCUACAUGCUAAAUUAACCAAUUAUGGGCCUCUGACGACCUGCUGGUUGUGAACACACUCAUCUGUUGUGCGUUGUUGUGGUUGAGGACAUCUCGUUAAGCACAUACAUGCAGUUUUUUCGUUGUAUAUACAAUAAGAUAAAUAGUUCACUGGAAAAGAAAACAGACAAUAAGAGCACAUGCUUAGCUGUUGUGACAGCAAAACUAAGUAUUAAUAUUAGAAGUGCAGUUGUGGACUCAAAUUUUUAAAAAUCUCUCUCUCUCUCUAUAUAUAUGUAUUAUGCUUAACAAUCUGAAUGUUAUACCUUUUAUCACUCUUGUUUCCUCUCCUCCAUGUUUCUACUACUCCUUUCUAGUUCUGUUAGUUGGCGAUUGUAUACAGAACAUAUAAGGGGAAAUAUAAUAUCAAUCUUUAGUUCCCAUGAUAACAAUAUACAUAAAUUUUAGGUCGAGCAACGCCAAAGGUGAUGAUAUGUUGACAAUAUAUAUAAAUUUGAUAACAAUCGGUACUUUGUAACUGUGUAUUUAAGCAUAGUAAUGGACAGUGGAACAGCGAAAGGAAAUAUUAAUAAGCAUAGCCAUGUGCCCAAAGUUAAAAAGCUCGACAUUUGCUAAUCUAUUUAUAAACUCAAAAUUAAUUAAAGAUUUUGAUCGUUUCAUAUAAUUGAAGAGUUAACGACAUAUAAUGAUCAGUUGAGGUACAGAACAAACAUGCUUUACCAAAUGGAAAAUAACAACCCUCACAUGAGAUUUUCAUUGGAACAUGCAAAUCAGUAUAUAAGUCAAUCAACAGAAUAAUUAAAUCAUUUAAAUAUAUAAUCAAAUCGGUAGAACACCUGCGUCUUAUCUCAAGUUGAACUAGGGAAAACGCACAAAUCAAAUGCUGAUAAUGAAGUGGUAACAGGGAGGGUGAACAGAGAGUACUAGAUAGACCAAGGGGAAAUGGAGAACAGAGGAGGAGGAGCAGAAAUCAAUUGCAAGCAGGGAGGCCAGCAGCAGCUAUGCGGCGCGCCACGACCGAGAUGAAGGAGACGACGGUAGCGUCCAGCACCAGAGAUCCGACAGGUAUCCUGCGUGGUAGUGAGGUUGUAUGCGGCCUACGCAUUGCCUCCGCCCCUCGGCGUCCGGGCCACGAUCUCCAUCGCCUAGCUAACGCUCAUCACAGCAUGGGGCGGGAUCUCCUCUGCAGCCGCAACUGCAAGGAGGGAGUCAGCGACAGCUGCGGCUGUGAGGAAGGGGGCGACGGGUUCCAUCGAUGCGAGCAGAGAAGGCCGAUUUUCAGGAGACACCUCAUGACGCUGCCAGAGCAUCAGUCAGGUCAUACUCCAUAAAAAAAUAUGUAAACCGUAAAAUAGUGCAAUUGUCUCAGGAUAUAUACGCAUUACAAAUACCUACAGAGACAAACAUUUCACUCCACACCAGAAGGUCUAUCUACAAUAAUAUACAGGCCAGUAUAUGAAGUUCCCCACUUAACUAAUGCUUAGAUGGAUUAUCACGAAGAACAACAUAUCGUUGGACUUGAGGGACGUCUAACGUGGCAAACCAGCAGUCGAGAGGAACUCUUGCUCCAGACUGUAGAACUUUUUGCUACCUUGAGAUGAGGAAAGUUCAGAUUUUUUCCCAAAAUCAAUGCCUGAUAACUGAUAGCUGUUUAUAUCACCUUUCAUAAGCAAGGGUUGCCUCUCUUCAUCUUUUCCAGCAGCAGGUUGAUUGGACUCUGCUCGUUUUGUCCUCAGAAAUUGUAGUGCCAUCUCCACUUGCUUCAUAGUAGGUCUUUGGUCACUUUGGAGUCUCACGCACAUCUCCACAAGAGAUGCAACACAAUUUAUUUCUUCUUCAGACGCUUCCUCGAGAACUUGAGGAGCUACUAUUUCCGUAAUAGGCCUAUUCUUCAUCUCCCACAGAAAGUAGUUAGACAAGUUUUGCUUUGUGCCCGACUCACUUGUAAGAAUAGGCUCCUUUCUUACAAGCAAUUCCAAGAGUACCACACCAAAACUAUAAACAUCACUCUUUUCAUUUAAUUGCCCAGUAUGGUAAUACUCUGGAUCUAAGUACCCAAACGUUCCUUGGACAUUGGUAACUACAUGUGUUUGAUCUAUUGGAACCAAUCUUGAAGCACCAAAAUCUGACACUUUAGCGGUAUAGUUGGAGUCAAGGAGAAUGUUGGAUGACUUCACAUCACGAUGGAAAACUGAUACUGAAGCUGCAGAAUGGAGAUAGCAAAGAGCCCCAGCAGCUUCGGCCGCAAUCCGGAGGGAGCCAUCCCAUGACAAAACUAAUUCGUUACUUGAACCACCAUGGAGGAAGUCAUAAAGUGAGCCAUUAGGGAUAAAAUCAUACACCAGUAGUGGGACCUCGGUCUCGAGACAACAUCCAAAUAACUUAACAAUAUUCCUAUGGUUUAUUUGAGAAAGAAUUGCAACCUCAUUUAUGAACUGAUUAAUCUCACCUUCCUCAAUAAUUUUAGACCGCUUUAUUGCAACCACACGUUGGUCCGAUAAGAUGCCUUUGUAAACCAUACCAUGUCCACCACGGCCUAGGAUACGUGUGGAAUCAAAAUUAUUUGUUGCCUUCUCAAGCUCCUCCAGAGAGAAAAUCUUUGUCUUUUCACUAGCAUUUUCAUCAGAUAAUAUUAGUUGUUCUAGGAGUAGGCCCUGGUUUCUACGGAAAUACAUCCUACGCAGUCGUUUUUGGAUGUUUCUUUUCCAUCGACGGGUGAGGUAUAUUCCACCAACACUAAGAAGCAGAACUGUAAAACCACUGCACAGACCGAUAAUAACACCUGAAAAGUUGUACCUAUGAGUUCCAUUUUAACAUAAAUAAUAGGGAAAUUUGUCUAGAGGACACUAGAUAAAAACAAACUUUUCUCUAGGACACAGCAGCAAGUUUUAUUAUCUGUAGGACACCGUCCAGUGUCCUCGAGAUAACAAACUGAGUGUCAUAGUGACAAAACCAGGUAAAUGUAGUGUUCUGUAGAUAAAUUUCCACUAACAAUAUCUCAAAAAAUAUACUUCUUACCUAAGAGAGCAUUUUGUUGUUUCAUUGACGAGCACUGUAAUUUGGUUGGAUCAUAUACUGUCUUCUCAGGGCAUGGGGUACAGUAGAAGCUUCCCAUAGUAUUGUGGCACAUUCCUUGACAUCUGUCUUGUUGUUUACACUCAUCAACAUCUGCAAAUUAAGCACAUGUAUGAUUUUUAGGUAGGCAGAAUUUGCUAAAACUUUUCAUAGUUUACUGAUAUAAUCAAAUGUAAAACCAAAGGAAUAAUUACUUCCCUAUUUUAAGACGGCACAUGCACCAUAAUGUUGUAUAUCAUCUUCACAUUAUUAAGACAUCUAUCGAAAAGUUCAUAUAUUCCCUCCGUUUAUUUUUAUAAGGCAUGAUAUGACAUGGCACGGUCUUCCAAAUUAUCCUUUGAUCAUUAAUUUAACUUAAAUUAUAUUGUUUAUGGUUAUAAACUCAUAAUUAUUGGAGAGUACAUUUGGUUACAAAUCCAACCAUGUCAAGUUUACAUCGUCAAAAUAAAAAAAUUAUUGGUUAAAUUAUUGGUCAAAGAUAGCAAUGUUUGAAUCUAGGUAUGCACGUACGCUUUAUAAACAUAAACGGAGGGAUUAUACACCACCAUUAAAUGCCUCAGGUUACAACUAUACUAUAGCAUUGACAAAUUAGUUAUUUAGACAAUGCAAAUAUCAUAAUUUUUGUCAUCCAUAUGUAAUGCAUGGCAGUUCAUAACUUCAGUACAAGGUAAAUUUCGAAUAAACUAUAAAUUGUAAUAUUUUACGAACAUAAUAUUUAUGCAGAUAUCUUUUAAUAUGACAUGGAUACUUGGGCAAAAUUAAGGAAAUAAUGAAUUCAAAAGCCACCCACACAGUAGAACGUUGCAACAAAAAAGUCGCAUGUUUAAUACCCACAUGUGUGGUUACCAAGCUUUAAACACAUGACCGCCCCUCUAAAACGACCCCAGUUAGAAUCCAUAGUGUAAAACAUGGUCAUCUAGUAUGAGUAAAAAGUUUACUACACAACUGAACUAGUCGGCCUAGGCAUUUCUGAUCUUUAACGCAUGGGCUGGGCAAUAUGUAUAAGAUGGCUGUGGUUACAAAACACUGAACCCAAUCGACCUUGGUCCAUAUUUCCAAUACAUAUACAUCAUUGUGUUCAAGCAUUCUUCUCCAAGGCUAUUGGUACUAAGGUUGUAUAUUGUGCACACACUCUUGUUUGGAAAGAGAUAUGGCUUCAUGGGCAUAUAAUCUCUCUUGCACCUUAUCUCUUUGCUUUGGUGGCCAAGUGAAGGGCUAACAAGCAAACUAUAUUGGAGGCUCUUACUGAUAAUGCCUCCAUUGCUGACAUGCAAGGGGCCCUUACAGUGGGUGUAAGAGCUGGAUAUUUGGACCUUUGGGAUCUCAUCCUCAGGCUGUGUUGUUGCAGCCUGCUAGUGUGUAGGAUAAAUAUGUUUGACGCCUAUCUUCUUUACGGGAUUAUUCGGCUAAGUCAGAAUAUGAAGAAUUUUUUUGAGGUGCGGUUCAGUUUGAACAUUGGCAGUGUAUUUGGAUAUGUCACUUCUUCAUAUGGCUUGUCGCAUAAUCUCUCCGUCCCAAAAAGAAUACCAUCCUGGAUUCAAAUUUUGUCCAAAAAGAAUGCAAUCUGGGAUUUCAGCAUCGUGCAUGCAUAAUCUAGCAAAUAGAAACGGAUUCCCUCCAUCUUCUCUAUGCAAACACAACUAACUAAAGGUACAUGCGUCUUUUUUAUUCACCCCUAGUUUGUAUGAAAAAUCCCACGAUGUUGUUCAUUUUCGGAUGGAGGGAGUAUGUGAUAGAUGUUGGAUGGUUGAUCGCCUUACUUGUCGAAGCUUACAGCAUCCUGAGCACUAUCCUCUCUAUGACCAAGAGGCGGGAACAAUUAACCACUUGCUUGUACUGUGAUUUUGCCCAACAGUUUUGUUUCUGUUCUACAGAAUGUCGGCCUACAAAGCUUGACUCGGCAACCUGCUGAAUCUUGCUCUAAUGGCUGCUGGUGGUCGUGGAGUAAUGAUUUGGUUGGACUGGCAGGUACUACAAGGAUUAAAUUCCAUCAUUAUUCUAGGGGCUUGGUAUCCAUGGAAACACAUGAAUCAGAGUGUUUUUUAUGGAGGAUCAUCUCUUAAUUUGGAGUUUGUCCGAAGCUAAGGGGCUCUCUCCUUAUUUGCCUCGAGCCCAAAAAUGUAAUGAUGAGCUUAAGGUCAUAGUGGGUUCUCUUUUAGUUUAAAAGGUGCCCAUGUUUUCCUGUAAAUAUCUAGGGUUUGUGGUGCAUGGUGUUGUAUGUGUUUAUCAUACACUAUAUAUUCUUCUUAAUAUAACGAUAUCCAGCUUUCAUACGUGUCCUAGAAAAACAACUUUAAAUGAAAAAUGUCAACUGAGAGAAUGUAGAUCUCGUUGAUACUUAUAAUUUUUAUAUAGAGUUUAUUGUAUCCAUCAGAGUCUAUAUGGAAAAUUAUGAAUUCUUUAAAUAAGAUAAAAUUCAAAUUACACGUAGGAAAAUAUGUGGGCCGGUUCAUGGAGGUAUCAGUGGCAGUGAUGAGGAGAAUAAUACCACCGGUCCAUAUCUUUGACCAGCUGUAAUUUUGCUGCCUGCAGGACAGUUACCAAAAAUCACAAUUUCUGUAGUAGUAUUAAGGACAAAAGUCGCACAUAUAAUCGUGAAGAUAUUUUUGCUGGUGGAUAACCCAUAAGAGGUUUGUCUGGUACAACUUCCUUAUUCGUGUUGGUACUUGGUUCCAAACUUUACUAUCACGGAUGAGCUGCUAGAAAAAAAAAUGUUUGUUGUAGUAUCUAGUUGAUACUAGAAACAUUUUAGGUAUGUAGUUAAGUCACACUUAAAAAUAAAAAUUUCCAAUAUAAAAUAUGUAUUUAGCAUAUAGGAUCAUAAUUUUGUACGGGAAGGGGAGUUUAGUUACCUUCGCAACCACUGUAGAGGUAUGGAUUUCCGUGGAACCCGUAGGAGCAAUUGCAUCGGUAACCAACAUAGCCACUUGUAGAAUUAACUGGAAUGCAAUUGCUAUUUGCGCUAACACAUGCAUAUCCAGAGCUAUUUGCCUGUGCCUCUUGACAAGUUAGAUUCGCAACAACCCAUUUCAAAGAAACUGACUCACUUGAUCUAACAAAAAUGCCAGGGUCAUCGUCAGACAUAUGGUUAACUGAUCCUUCAUCAUCAUCAGGGAUUGUGUACUUGAUAAGCCCUUCAUCAAUAUUGAUCUCUGUCACAAGAUAGUAUUCAUAAUAAUAUCCCAGUUGCAGGGUAGAAGUUGUCACAUUUGUGCAGUUGAGAAAAAACUGUUCUCUAGCAAAACAACCUUCUUCAAUCCCAAAUGGAAAAAGAACCUUGAUGUGUCCACAAACACGGCUGCAAUUGGCUUUUUGUUGCGCUGCAGGAUUGUAACCUAAUUCCAGUAGAAAAGUAUUCACAAUGAGUACUAUAGAAAAGUAAUACCUUUUCUUUUGGCAGGUAAUACCUUUAUCUAAUAUGUAAAUAGAUGCUGUAGUGUGACCCAGAAUGGGAUGAUUACUAUAUAGCUAGGUUGAAUAUAAGCCACCAAAUUAGUUUUAAGAUAAAGAAAAUCUGGGACAAGUUCCUCCAAAUUCUCUUACUACUUAUUUUAGAGGACCCAAAGUUAUAACUUUGAGGAUAUAAUUACCAAUCUCAAAGACUCACGAAAACCUUGCGCGCUUUGUAUUCUGCUCCCCACGGGCACAUACUUCUAACACCCAUAUUUUGUAUUCUGCUCAACACACCCUGACACCCACUAUGGCUUUCUGGUAUUUUUGACAACUGUGUCAAUCCUAGGAGAAUUUGUAAUUCAGAAAGAAAAUGAAUGGAAGAAAAGUAGUACAUACAGUAUGUAACAUACUGAAUAUCAAUUAUACAAAUACAUAGAGUAUUGUAGUUUUUUUGGUCAUAUGGGUAACUAUGUAGUUGGCAUAUCUACAACAUCUGUAGGAAGUCAAGCAGGACCAUUUAUAAUUUGCUGAAUUUCUAUGGGUUCUUUUAACUGCCCUAUAUAUUGUACCUUUUUUGAAGACGUAAACACCGCUUCUAUUAAUAAAUAAUAAAUCUAGAUAUCUGAAUGGCCUCGGGCUUAAGUUCUCAAUAUAGAAAUCGAGUGUAAUGAAAGAAGAAGCUGGAUUUCUUACAACGGGGUAGUGUUAAUACCUCUGUCUCGCGAGCAGCCACUUAAAAUGUAUGGGUUGCCCACGUAACCAGAAUUGCACUUGCAAGAGUACCCAAUAUACCCAAAAUCUAGUGAUGAAUCAUCAUUGUCGAUACAUCGGCUAUUGUUGCCAACACAAGCAAAUUUUGUAUUAUUCUCCUUGGCACUCGCACAGUUUGGUUGAUCGACGAUGUUCCAGGACAGGUAAGCACCAAAUGUAGUUACGUUGAUGUAAUCCCACAAAGAGCUCCGAUUAUAAUUUACCUCUGGACUGCUUUCUCUGUGACGGACAAAUUUGAGAUUAAAUGCUCGAAUUCUCUCCCAGAAGAACGGGCAACAUCCUGUGCCGUUGCAGUUUUGCCUAGCCGCCAUGUCCGUGAUAUCACUGGUAGGACAUUUAAGUGUGCAAAUCAGCGAUGUUAUAUUCGCAUCCCGAUCACUAAAAUAUAUGUCAAAGUCGCAACCAGUGAUAUUCAUCCAGAAAAAAGAAAGUGUAAAUGAUUUCCCAGGAGAACUCCACGACAUGUUGUAUGUGUGAACACCAUAACUCACUGGGAUAGUAUAUGGAAAAUUGAUCCCAAUAUAUCUGCUCGAACUGUAGAGAUACCCUGUAUCCGCUGUGACAAUAUUGUGGGCAACCUGGGUGAUGCCAUCAUGUAGAAGGAGAGUUGGGGGCUGAGCAGACUCGUUGCAGGUAAGCUCGAAGUCACCACCACGGGAACAACGAGGCCCGAUGCCAAAAGGAUAGCUGAAGGUCAAGUCUCCACAGCUCGUCUGGCAACCGGAGAGGGUGGGGAUGGUGGAAACCGUGCCAUUGCUCUCUGCUUGGCUUCCCAGCACGACGGAUACCAGCAUCAAUAGUUGAAUCCCCAGCAGUGAACGGAGGAGCAAUAAUGGAAACAUCCUCCACGCCGGGACUUUUGUAUGUUAUGUGGUUUGCAGUUUCAAUGAUGAAGGAAUAGCUCGAAAACAGGGUAUGCAUCAUUAUAUAGAAUUAUGUUGGGGCAACUUAGUCAUUUCCAUUGACUACACAAUAUAAUUGUGGGGCUAAAGGUUGUUGCCUUUUUUCUUUUUUCUCCACAUGCAUUUUCCAGUGGUCAAAUUUGGCCGGUUCGAGAGCAAUAGUCUACUGUUUGCCUUUUUGGGUCCACAACACCAAAAUAUGGAGGCCCUAACAAAAAGAUCAAAAUAUCAAGGGAUUUGAUACUUUUGUUUAACGAGAAAACAAAUAUGUGGAUACCCCUCCAAAUCCAACCCAGUGCCUACUUGUAACAUAAAUGCAGUGUCGGUCUUGCCAAUCUCAACUAGCCCCUUAAUUUGAUUUUCCGACUCCUCUUAUGAUUUCUCACAUAUAUAACUCGGUGGGUGAGAAAUCAAAAGAACGAUUUAGAUUUGCCGUAUGCACGCAGUUAGAUUUGGAGCAGUCAUGCAUGUAAGUUUUUUUCAUGUGUGUCACAACUAUAAUUAGCGAUAUGCAAUUAUAUUAUCUGCAUUCAAAUGUAUUGGCAAAAAAUUUGUUUUUUCCUAGACUUGAACUUUGUUGGGAUCUGGACCAAUUAAGAAAGUCCCUACACGAUUUAAAUUAAAAACCCAAUUAGCUAUUAUAGAGAAUCAUUUUCGUAAAACUUCAUAUAUAUGGUCAGUCAACUAUUAGCGUGACAAAUCAGCAAAACAUUAUUUUCCACACGAGACAUGUAUGGACAACAAUAAUGAAUAAUUAGAUGCUCUUGUCGUUGGACCCAUAACACCAAGUCGUCCAAUGUUAGUCAUCAGUUAGUUGCACUGUCUCACUCCACGCGCUAAAACUAUUAAUUCUAACCCGUAGAAUGGGGCAGCAGCAUUCAUGAUUUCGACACCUUCAUUAGAGGCAGUAAAUAGCAUUGGACUGAUGUGUGGUACAGUUGUUAACAAAGAAGACGUCAAUUCGAAAAGGGACUAGAUUUUUCCAUGGAAACAAGCUGGAAUUCCAAUCUCCAGUUAGGGUGCGUUUGGAUACUAGGUGGUAAACUUUAACAGUGUCACAUCAGAUAUUCGGAUGCUAAUUAGGAGGAUUAAAUACGAGCUAAUUAUAAAAAACUAAUUGCAGAACUCCUGUGCUAAUUCACGAGACGAAUCUAUUAAAUCUAAUCAAUGCAAAUGGUUACUGUAGCACCACAUUGUCAAAUCAUGGACUAAUUAGGUUUAAUAGAUUCGUCUCGUGAAUUAGACUCCAUCUGUGCAAUUAGUUUUGUAAUUAGCCUAUAUUUAAUACUCCUAAUUAGCAUAUUAAACAUUCGAUGUGAUAGGUGCUAAACUUUAGCGGUGGGUAUCCAAACACCCCUUUAGUGGGCGAGUUAGGCAUUCAGUCCACGACUCAGAACAGUCUACAAAAAGACUUCAAUACUACAGGCUUGGCCAACAACGUUGCCGGAUUUUUGUAGCCGUUAUGUAACUAUUUUCACUAGAGGUACGUGACGGUUAUUUUGACGCCCAUUACUCUGGUAAAGCUGGUAACGGACUAUGUUAAUGCCCAUUACCUACAACAUAGAGCUUGACAGCUGCUCCAGCAGGCACAGUAACUAUGCGGCUAUGCCCGCGACUGUAGUGGGCUAGCUGCCUUCGAUUGGUUGGCUUGCUAGCUGGUAGGCAGAAACUUUUGUCCAGUCCCCACCGGCUGCGUCAAUAUUGCUUGGUUAGCUGGUUGCUGGUUUCCGUAGCGAAUCAUGCAUUUACAAAGUCGUUAGGUACUUACAAUGUUGACAUCAUGGACCCUCUCCCUGAUACAGGUCGUUUUCCUUGAAUAUUUCCUCGUCGCCGUGAGGCGAUCUUGAAGCUGCCUGAUGCUCCUUGCUCUGAGGAACAUGCUUGGUAUUUCAAUAACAACUUGUAUGUCUCUCAUGCAACACAUAUAAUUAACGUUUCUUGUUUUGGGUCCAGAAUGACCACGCUCCGUUUGCUGCCACUGCCCAUGUGCUGAUUAAUUUUGCUUGUGUACAGUGCAACAGAGGUAUAUGUUUUGCAGACAAGAUGAAACUUCUCUACAUAUCCAUAGUAGACAUACAGGUAAAGAAACAUGCAUGUAAGGAAAAUGGCUGUCAAAGUCAUUGUUCUGAUUUUAGGGAUUGAGUGACAUCAAUAUCAAUAGGACUGAUAUGUUUGUCAAAGUCUUUCAUCCUUGUAGGAUCUUUACCAUGUCCAUGUCCAUGCCAUAGGCCACGGCCGUGCCAUGUCCCCUCCACUGGCCGACACGCAUGCACUCAUGCUGGUGAGUGCAACACCCUAAUUUUCAAACUUUGCGAUUAAUAAAUUUUGUUAGAAUUUAAUUGCACAUGACUAAGAAAUUUUAAUGUUGCAUUUAAAUUUUCUUAGACAUUUAAAUCUUUAUCAAAGUAAAUUAAUGAAUCAUAGGAGUUCAUUGUAGCAUUCAUGCUGGUACAUUAUUUUUUGGUUGCUUUUUAAAUAAUAGGGAAACUUUUUUCUUUUCCUUUCCUUUUCCUUUUUCCUCUUUCGGCUGCUCUUCCUUUCGGCCUGGUUUUACCAGCGCAGCAGCAGCCCCAAAUCGGGCCAGCAGCACCCUCCGCGCCAUCCCACUUCCAGCCCAGCUCCGCAGCGCAGCCGCCUUGACCAAUCUUCUUGCGUCGACCCACUCCCGUGCCGCCUCCGCUCCAGUUGCUGACAGGUGGGGCCUGCCUAUCAUCCCUCUCCUCGUGCCACACUUGAACCGGACUCCAGUCUGAGUUCCGGCCACUCCCAUCCGCCCCCGCCUUCCUUGGCCCGCACGCCAAGACGCCCUCCCCGAGCCUAUUUAAACCACCACCGCACCCCCUCAACCCUACCAAGAAAACCCUAAGCUCCCGCGCCCUAGCUCGAGCUCGUCGACGACGACCUGCCCCGUCGUCGCCUUCCAAUCACCAGAAGCACCACCCGGAGCACCGCAAGGAGGUAGAGAAACCUCCCAUGAAGAUCUCGUGCGCUCCCGUGCUUCCUUCCGUGCGCACGAGCUCGCCGUAGUUGAGCUCCUCCGCCCGAGCCGCCCCACCACGUCGCCCUUCCCCUCCGUCACCUCGGCCGCCAUGGGAACCACCUAGAUUGGUUCGCAAGCUCCCCAGCUUCGUCCCAAGCUAGUCCCCAUCGAGUUUUGUGGUUGGGAACUCGAGCUUUGCUCGAUUACGGUGAACUUCGCCGCCCAGUGCCGCCAGGCGCCACCGCCCACCACCGCGUAGCGCUGCCAGCCGCCCGAUCCCGAUCCAAUGGCUCAGAUCAAAUCUGACUGGAGUCAAUCCGGUCGCGCCGUUGCUCUUUUGCUAAAGAGAUCUCGAGUUUUCUUGUUUUUGCACCCAAGGUCCAGCGCAGUUCAAAAGUAAUUAGAUCUAGGUCCUUUUUCUUCCAUUUUAGCCCCUCCCUUUCUUAGUUUUUAUGCUCGCCAUCCUAGAUAUGCUCUUUUAUAUAGUAGACCUUCGGUUUCUGCGCAUAAUUAGGUUUUAGCCCUUGGUUUCUUUAAGUUUAGCCCCUGAAAGUUUACUUUUCUUGCAGAUAAGCCCUUACAUCUUGUCUAGGCUAUAUCUUUAGGGUUUUAUAUCCAUUUUGAAUGAUUUUUGCGUCUACAAGUUCGUCUUAAUCUGUAGACUAAUUUUAUGAACUUGUUUUCUCUAUUGCUACUAUUUGGUGUAUUAUUUUCUUAUUUUAGUUCUUUGUUUGCUUGUAUGUACUUGUUUGAUGUGAGUAGAUGUAUGUACUUGUUUGAUGUGAGUAGAAGGACCGCAGUUCGAGGGAUUCAAAGAUCAAGCCUUUGAAGACUUCGAGCAGCAAGAGCAAGUUCAGGAAGGCAAGUCGUACCCUUGAUGACAAUUUGAUCCUAUGCAAUCUUUACUUUUAUGUUCAAUACACAUAUGCUAUGGACAUUAGGUUAUAAACAUGAUGGUUCCUAUAUAAGGUUUGCCUAGUUCUAUCCUUAUGCCUUGAUCAACCUGGGUUUAUAUCAUGUUGGAUAGUUCUUGCUUAGUUGCUCUAUUUGGGUAUGGUGGUAUUAAUAAACCAAGGUUUAAACUUUUUUUAUUUAUGCUAUACCUUUCAUUAAUACAAGAUCACCAUGCUUAAUUGGAACAUGGAGAACCACCUAGGAAAAUAGUACAACCAUAAGAACUAUAUGGCUCUGGUCUUGGCUAAUUUAUUAAAGACUCUAGUCUGGGGUAACCUUACCGAAAGGGCAAGAGGGGAGGCGUUGAUGGGGUAUAACCCAGCCCUCUAGCUGAUCUGCUCUAUGGUAGCUUCGCAAUCUUGAGAGAGGUUUAUGCUCUGCUUCGACCUGGAACCUUAGCGGGUUACUACUUACUAGGGAAUCUUUGUAAAGGCCUUGUUGCAUCCCUGUGCAAUCACACCUUGAAAAUGUGGUAUUGUGCUUGGCCGGCACAGUAUGGUUGGGUCUAAAAUUCUUUUGAACUUUUACGCGACUUGUGGGUAAAGAUGUGCAAUCUCUGCAGAGUGUAAAACUGAUCGAUCAGCCAUGCUCAUGGUCAAGAGCGGUCUGGAUCAUCACAUGAUUAAUUUAUCAGAAGUUGAAUUAAAUUGAAGUUAUUUAUUUAUUGUUAUCUUUAUGUAUGUUCAUGUUUAAUUUGGGGGUAUAAACUUAUACUUAGUAAUUAUUAAUAAAACUUGACCAACCAAUUAAAAUGUUGAAAUGCUGUUAAACCUUAGCCUAUCAUUGAAUGGCCUUACACUACACAUUCCUCAUGCUUGCUGCGUACCAACCAUAAGUGCACUCACACUUGCUAAAACUACUGCUCAGACCAAGUCAAUCCCGAGGAGGUCCUUGAAGACUUUCAGGAGUUCUAGGUGAACGUGUGCCACUAGUCAACAACCUGUGGAGUCGUCGUCAUCGUUGGAGUUCUGCUGCUAGAAUAAAGACUUAUUUGCUAUUUUAUUUAAAGACCUUCGGUCAUGUAAUAAAUUCAAUACUCUCUUUACAUUUUGGCACUGUCUAUGGUAUUUACUGAAGUCGUUGCAUGUGUGAAACUUGAUCCUAGCGCACAUGUAAUUUAUUCAUCUGAUUUUUCCUUAACCGGGUGUGACAGAAGUGGUAUCAGAGCUGUGUUGACUAUAGGAUGUUAGCCUAGUUAGAAAAUGGUCGAAUUUAAGGAUUAUAAUGCUUUAGUAGCCAUUCUUACUUAAUGUUUGUUUUAAAUCUGAAUUAAUAUGCUUAUCCUUGCUAUUAUCCUAUCUCCAUUGCUCUACUUGUUUCUUUAUCUUGUUUUAAACAUUUUUUUUACUCUAUGCUUCUUGAUGAUCUUGAUGAUGAGGUCCUUCAAGCUUGCCCGAUGAUCUCGAUGAUCACUCCUACCUAGCGUGCCAGAUGUCGAUGUUUUAUACCCGGCAACCUACCAAAGGGUAUCCCGAGGUAGUAGAUUAGUUGAUGGGGGAUCGACAGACCUCGAACUCGAAGGUAGAAGCGAGGACACAAGACACGGAUUUAUACAGGUUCAGACCGCCAGAGUAGCGUAAUACUCUACGUCCUAUUUGGGAUGUUGUAUAUUACACCCUGCGCUUGGGUGUUGCGUAGCCUGAUUGUUGGCUAUUAAUGAUGGUUCUAUGAGGUCUUGGCCUCUGUUGGUGUGAGCUCUGAUGAUCUAGGUACCCCUAUCCUCCUUUAUAUACUCCAGGGGGUAGGAUAACUAGUCGGUUAUAAGGAGGAGUCCUAGUAGGAUUACAUGGUAUGAGUCCUAGUAGUAUUAUAGAGGAACCGUAGUAAGAGACCGUCUUCUUCCUUCCUUGCGGGUACUAGGGAUCUAUCCUCGACAGGUGCAUAUCAUAUUUGCCGGUCCGUGCUGUGCUGAGUUUAAUCGUGUUGAUGAUCUAUCUCUUACUCAUGAGAUUUGGUCCAAACUCCAGAGUUUCCAUGAGGGGAAUAGUUAGGUGAAGGCACGAUUCUUUGAGACUUACCGGCGUGAGUAUGAAAACUUUGUUCAUUUGUCCGGUGAGUCAGCUAAUGCUUUGUUCCAGCGCUUUCUUGCUAUUGUGAAUAAGAUGAAAGCAAACAUCACCAUCUUACCCUACACUGAUCUUGACAGAGCUUUAAAGCUCCUACAUGCUUUGGAUCACGAGGUGUAGGGUACGAAGGUUGACACUAUCAUCAAGUCCACAAGCUAUGAGACUCUUACAGUUGAUGAACUUUUCGCCAAGCUGAAAUCGACAGAGGUUGACAAGAGGCUCCUAGCAAAACAAGGGAGCCCUACUGAUCCUCAUAGUAUGGCUCUUGUGUCAGGCUCUGGACAGUCUAUGUCUUUGGCUAAUCCUUCCACCAUGUCCUUUGCUUUGUCUUCUUUGUUGUCUGUUUCAGAGGAGCAGUUGGAGGAUCUUGAGGAUGAGGAGCUCGCCUUGAUCACAAGACGGUUCAUGCGCUUCAACAACAACUGCAAGAACCGGCGAAGGAACAACAACAACUGCUUCGAGUGUGCCAAUCCAGGACACUUCGCCGCCAACUACCCCGACAAGAACAAGUCCAAGAACGGGUACAACUACAGCAAGUAUAAGGACAAGGAUAGCAAUAAGAAGAAGAAGUACACCGAUCGUGAGAAGAACGAGUACCGUAAGAAGACCAAAGCGCACGCCUUCAUCGCCUCCCUCAGCAAGAACGGGUACUCGUUUGUAUGGAAUUCCCAUAACAAAUUUGCAUAAUAUUUCAUUCUUUACAACCUGAAGAGCAUAUACAGACGCGUGUUACACAAGAACACAAUUAAAACACCUUCCACGUAUCUACGUAUACUUAAAUACUACAUAUGCAAUAUGCCACUGUUGCGACAAUAGAUGUCACGGAAAUUUUUAUCUUGCAAAUAUGCUCAUUGGGGCUUCCUUUGUCGGGCUGUAAUAAUCAGUGGUUGCUUCACUAGUAUAGUCAUAUGAUGCAUUCGAAGACAACCCUGCCUGCACUGUGAAUGGACUACCAGCAAGGAGUUCACCAGUGCCAUGAAUCUCUGGACCGACCAGUAGUUGGCGUAGUUCCUGUGCCACUUGGCUCAUCGUUGGCCUGCUAGCACCAGUCAUAGCCAAACACUUGUCUGCCAGGCUAGCAACUUGACAAAGUACCAUGUUAUCUUGCUCGGCUAUCUCCCUGUCCACGAGUUCUUCCACGAGUUCCAAAAGCUUGCCCUCCUUUGCGGCAUCCUUGUACACAGAUACAAGGCUCUUCUUAUGUUUCGAUAUAGUGGCAUCCUGCGUGUUAAUAGUUCAAGAAGAACAACACCAAAGCUGUAUACAUCACUCUUAUCAGUGAGCUCAAAGAUAGGUACUCUGGAUCUAUGUAGCCCAUUGUCCCUUUAACUGCUUGAAGGUUUUCUUCAGCUGAUAUAAUCAUCGAGCACCCAAAAUCAGAUACCUUAGCGGAAAGAUUGUGGUCUAGGAGAAUGUUUGCAGACUUGACAUGCCCAUGAAAGAUUGGGUGGCUAAGUGUAUGUAGGUAGGCAAGGGCUUCAGCAGCUUGAGCUGCAAUCCUCAAACGGAUCUCUAGUGUUCUAAUGGAUGCCUUGUCUUGGACAUGGAUUAGAUGGUGUAGAGUAUCGUUCGGAACAAAUUCGUACAAUAGAACUGGAGGUUCAAAAUGUAAACUGUAACAAAGAAGUUCGACAAUGUUUUCGUGUGUGACUCGAGAAAGUAUGAGCAGCUCCUGUCCAAAUUCUAGGAUCCUAUCUUGGUCGAGGUUCUUGCAUCUCUUGAUUGCAACUGGGUUAUUGUCUGAAUCAAUAUUAUACGCUUUAAAAACUGUCCCCUGACCUCCUUCACCUAUGACUCCUCGGUCAUCAAAGUUGUUUGUUGCCAAUUCAAUCUGUUCUCUGUCAUACAACUUAAAUGAACUGUUCUCUAUUUUCAUCAUAUCAAUUAACAGUUGACCUCAGUGCUGAGGAAAAUAAGCAUCCCUCUUACUGAUGAGAUCCUGUUUCGGGAUCCUCUACUUAUGCCUGAUCCACUCUAUCGCAAGAAAAAUAAUCAGGCCCAAAAACACAGCGGUGCAAAUUCCUGUUAAACGGAAAACAAAAAUCUUGUAAGACAAAUACAAGUCAAUGAGAGCUUGCUGAAAUACAUUUUGUAGUCGAAUUUUGUGAAGUCUGAGAGAUGAAGUUCAUCAGAAAUAUCCAUUGACUACCAAAAGGAGAAAGAGUUACUACAAACUUGUAACACCCCGUCCUCCAAAGCCGCACUGUCCAGCCCUUCUGAUGGGGCAGGCACGCGUAUACAUAGUACCCUGCUUACACUUUUGUCCUCGCUUCGUGUAAAAUGAUUAACCUAAGGUUGCAAUUAUGGUUGAAAACGGUUGGGAUAUACCUCGUUCCGUUUUGCCCCGAUUUCUACAUUUAACCCAAUCGUAUUCAUAUUUUUGGACAAAAACAGAAUCGGUACGAAAAACGAAACAUGAAAUUCGAAAUCGGACGAAAUCGGUUUAGGCUCUUUCUCGAUCGUUUUUGCAUAUCCCGUUUUCAUUUCGGGAUAAACCGUAUACAUUCCGAAUUUUGCAGCUUGCAGAACAGCAAAAGUGUGGAGCAGCCUAAGCAAGCCCAGGCCUAGCAGGCCAACAACUCGAGCAGCCAGCGGCCUAGCCCAACAAAGAUAGGGUUUACACCCAGCGGCUGCCCUCCGCCUAGCCUUGCCGGCCGCCUCCCCCCCUCUUGAUGCUGCGAGAUGCGACGCGACGCAACCCCGCCCAGCCGCCCCCGCCUCUGCUCGCCUCCGCUUGGCCUGGCCGGCCGGCUCCCCCCUCUCGACGGUGCGAGACGCGACCCCGCCCCUGCCCCUGCCCACCUCCGCCUGGCCUGGCCGGCCGGCUCUCCCCCUCGACAGCACAAGACGCGACCCCGCCCCCAGCUGGCCGGCUCCCUCGAAAACAAUGGCACCCACCGGAGAAACUCCUUCUAGAUCGAGAGGCGGCAGGACCAAGACCAAGAGUGUGCGUAGGCUUAUGGAGCCGCCGUCAGGCACGCCACCACUUCUUCCUUGUCCAGCAACUGACGAAUUCGUAGCUAGCAAAUUAGUAGCUUGUAGAUUCUUAGUGUUGUACAUCUAGAUGCAGCCAUGCAGGUUGAUGAUUUAGCAAUAUUUUCCUUUUUUCUUAUCAGAAUCUAGAAGUAAAAGACUUGCAUCUCAAGAACCUAGUGCUACUCCUAGUUCUAGUCGAACUCCAGCACCACCAUCUGUAAGGGGUUCUUCAACACCAAGUGAAGCUACCACUCCAAUUACAAAUCUAGAUGUCCAGAUACAAGGUGAUGAAGCAACUCCAAUUACAAAUCUAGAUGUCCAGAUACAGGGUGAUGAAGCUGCAACUCCAAUUACAAUUCCAGAUGACCUAGAGGAAGAUGAAGAGGAUGACGAAGACCAAGAGCAAGCUCAACUGACUGGCAAGAGGAGGAAGAGGUGCACAUCAGCAGUCUGGAAGUACUUUACAAAGAAACUUGAGGUUGUAGAGGUGAAUGGACAGAAGUAUGAGCAGUUGUGGGGAUACUGUAACUUCCCAAAGUGCAAGCAAAGGUACAGAGCUGAAGGAAACCAUGGGACAACUUGGGUUAGGAACCAUUUGAAGUCGCAACACAAUAUUGUAAGAGGACAGCAACAGCUCAAAGUUGGUAAGGACCCUGGUACUGAGAUUACUCAUGUUCAGCCCUACAAAUAUGACCAAGAAGUUAGUUUGCAGAAAUUAAAUUUGGCAAUAAUCAUGCAUGAAUAUCCUUUCAACAUAGUUGAGCAUGAGUAUCUUGUUGAUUUCAUAAAGUCUCUUCGUCCUAAUUUUCCGAUUAAGUCACGUAUCACUAUUCGGAAAGAAAUAAUGGAUAAAUAUUUGGAAGAGAAGGAAGCAUUGUAUGCGUACUUGAAAACUAUGUAGUGCUGCUUUAGUGCAACCAUGGAUAUGUGGACCUCAUGCCAAAACAAAGGAUACAUGUGUGUCACAAUUCACUGGGUAGAUGAUGAGUGGCAUAUGCAGAAGAGAAUUAUUGGUUUUCUCAAUGUGAAAGGAAGGCAUACCAGUGCAAACCUGUCAGAAAUAUUUACUAAAGUUAUGGUUAAUUGGUACAUUGAGAAGAGAUUGUUUGCCUUGACUUUAGAUAAUGCUAGUUCUAAUGAAGUGGCUGUUCAUGAUAUAAUUUUAGAUCUUAAAGAUAAUGGUAAUGGCUCUCUAGUUUGUGAUGGGAUCUUUUUUCAUGUUAGAUGUGCCUGUCAUAUCCUCAAUUUGGUUGCUAGAGAUGGGUUGAAAGCAAUUUCAGGAACAAUUACCAAAAUCAAAUCACUUGUGUUAGCUGUGAAAGGAUCUCCAUUACAAUGGGAAAUGCUUUUGAAGUGUGCCACUAAAUCUAGAUUGGACACAAAGAGGGGUAUCUCAAUGGAUGUGUCGACUAGGUGAAAUUCUACCUAUCUCAUGCUGAGAGAUGCUUUGUACUAUGAGGAUGCUUUUGUGAGGCUGAAGUCUGCAAAUCGUCGUAGGUAUGCCAAAAUGUCUCCAUCACCUGCUGAAUGGGGCAAGGCAUUUACACUUUAUCAAUGCUUGAAGAAAUUUUAUGACCUCACUGAAAUUCUGUCCCGUACUUCAUAUCCUACUGCAAACUUGUUUUAUAAAGGUUUCUGUGAUAUAAAACUCAUGUUUGAUGAAUGGUGCUUUAGUGAUGAUGCCACAAUUAGUGCAAUGGCAAUUGUAAUGAAUGAAAAGUUUGAGAAACAUUGGCAGCAGUCCAACAUUGCUCUUGCUGUAGCUUAUUUUCUUGAUCCUAGAUAUAAGAAAAAUCUUAUUGAAUACUACAUGAGGAAGUUCUAUGGUGAUGAAUAUCAAGUUAAACUUGAUGAGUUUGUUAGUGUGAUAAAGAAGUUGUAUCAGUUUUAUGCUAGUUCGGCUAAUGCAACAUCAAAUAAGAAAAGUAGCAGAACUGAACCUAGUAAUGCAACAGAUAUAUUAAUGGGCAAUGUAGAUCAAGACCUUGAAAACUUCUUAUAUUCUGCAAGUGAACCUGGUAUGGUUGAGUCAAAUGAGUUGGAGAAGUAGAUGGCCGAACGUCUUCAGAAAAUUGCUGGUGAGUUUGACAUCUUAGCUUGGUGGAAGAACAAGAGGGAGGACUAUCCUAUCCUUACACAAAUUGUUCGUGAUGUGAUGGGCAUACAAGUAUCGACUGUUGCAUCCGAGUCUGCUUUUAGUGCUGCUGGUCGUGUUGUUGAUCCCUACUGUAAUCGUCUUGACCUUGAGAUUGUAGAGGCAUUGAUUUGCACCAAAGAUUGGGUAGCUACAACAAGAAAAGGUGAUGAUCUGUAGUUCUGUACAUACUUUUCAGUUACAAACUUAUAUUUGCACUUGAAAAAUGGACUGAUUUCAUAUCUUUCUUUUUUAUUCAGAUUCUAAAAAUGUUGGAUCAAUUGUGAGUGACCUUGAAGUGGAGGCAUUGUCUACUGCAAUGGUUAACAAGCUUAAGUUUGAGGUAUAUUUUCAUUUGGUCAUUUUAGAUUAUCAAUAUCUUUACUGCUUGUUACUUGUAACUCCUUUCAUUGAUCCUUAUUAACUGUUAUACUGCUUUUCUUCACAAUGGCAACUUGCCAACUUGCAGCAGGAAGAAAUCAAUGAGGGGAAUGAAUGGGACACUAAGAAACUAGAAGACAUGGGAAGUGAUCCAGAUGCCAUGGAAAGUGCUGCUGAAAUAUAACCUAUUGGCUAGCCCAAAUGGCUCUAAAUAAUUAUGUUUUAGUUGUAGUCAAAACUAGUGCUUUGCUGCUUUUUUGCUAUGCUCUUCGGCUGGGAGCCUGGAUUGGAGCUAUGGACUAUGGACUAUGGUGGUGUUCUGUCAGUCUGUGUGACUCUGACAAUAUAUUAUACCCUUAUGCUAUUUAGAUCUAUUGCCCAUUUAUCAAUUGUCAUGGUGAAUUGGUGAUUUGUGUAUCAAUGUAUGUGUACAAGUGAAUUGGGCAUGACCAUGUGUGGUUGUGUCAGUACCGGACUGUUGGCAUGUUGUCAACUUGUCAUGCUCAACUAGGUUUUACGAGCUGGUGUUUCUGUUUUGCUUUUUGUAUUCCGACCGUGUUCGACAUGUUCCCGAUCGAAUUAGUUCGUUUUCGAUAUCCCGUUAGUUCGUUUUCAUGUUCGUUUCCGACCUUCCCGAAUUCCAUUUCGUUUUCGUAUUGAAAUGUAAAAGUGAAAACGGUAUUAGGGUUAUCUCGACUGAGUUCGACCGCUUUCAACCCUAGUUGCACUGCCUCCUAGAGUUGGCUAUUUACGUUAGCUCAUCACACUCUCAACUUUCCAUUUGGAACUAAAGUCCUAGAGCUACCAUGCCACAUGCAUGGCACUCCAAAUUGUCCUAGCCCAACUGGCCCAUGGAAAGUUCUAGAGGUCUUUCCACGAGCUCCAAGUAUUUUAUCUAUGUUCCUCGUAUCCCGAACCAUCUCCAGGAAUUUUCAUGAAUUUUUGAGAGUUAUGGGAGUAUUUUUCGUGAUUUAGAAAUGAUUUUAGAAUUUUCUAGAAUUGUUUUCGAUUUCAAAAUUAAUUACCAAAAACAAAAGUUAUAAAAAGGAGGAAAAUAUAACCAACUCCAACCCGGUCCAUAAAUAUUUUCCGGUGAUCUCCGUAACAUCCUUUUUCCAACCCCGCUAGUUCCACCUUAUUUCGACAACCUAGCUCCCGCGUAUCGAUGUCGAACGUGUGCAUCAGCUAAACUACGGCAAGCUUUUGCAGUGAGAAAUUCGAUGAGCAAAUCCGGUGAAACCGUAAAUCUUUAUCGAAGUUGAGCGCACCAUGGCGUUGGUGUCGUCGUCGACGUUCCGUUUUACCGCUUCGGUGCGAGUUUGGUGGCCGUUCCCCGCCGAUUCCUUGUUUUCCUCUUUCUUUCUGUUUCUAGUUGCCGGCCAUGGCCAUGGCUUUUCCUCCCGAGCUUCCCCGCAGCACUCGCGCGGCCCCUGGGCGCCCGCACCCUCGCUUGCCGCCGCCGCCUGCUCGCCGAGCCUCUGCGCCGCUUCGCCCCUGCGCCGCGCUGCUUCCCAUGCUCCGCCCCCUAGCAGGCCGCGCCGCGCCCCUACCUGUGCGACGCCAGCCCUCGCGCCUCGCGCUCGCCCAACCGCGCCCCGCGCAGCCGCCCUGCGUAGGGCUGCAGCCGCCACCCAGAUGCGCCGCCGCCUACCGCAGCUCCCCGCGUGCCCCUCCCCUGGCUGGCCGCCCGCCGGCAAGGCCCAUCCACCGGCUACACAGAUCGGGUUGACCGACCCAAGGUUGAAGAUGAAGGCAGUUUUUCGUUUCGGCCCCCGAAGAAAGUCCUAAUAUUAUAACCAGUACAAGUUUAAGUUUUUAACGCAUUUAUGCCCUCGGUAAGGUAGUUUUUCAUUUCGGCCCCCGAAGAAAGUCCUAAUCUUAUAACCAGUACAAGUUUAAGUUUUUAACAUAUUUAUGCCCUCGGUUUUCGCAGUUAAGCUCCUAGAAGUUUUUAAAUCUCCUCAGCAAGUUCCUAGAGAUUUCUUAAGCCAUAUCUUUCGCAUUUUAGCUCUGUUUUGAGUGAUUCUUUUGCUCACGUGUUCGUAUUAACAUAUAGAUUAGUUUUGUAUCGCUGAUGUUUGGUGUACUGUUUCUUUUUUUAUUGUAUUGUUUUCUUUGCAUAUGUUUGUGUGAUGCGUAGAGAACGUGCCGUUCGAGGUUUUUCUUGAAGAUCAAGGCUUUGAAGACUCUGAGCAGCAGCAGGGCUUAAAGGAAGGCAAGUGUGUCCUUGUACUUUUGUCCUAAUGAUCUUAUUCAAUCACUAUUGCAUUUGCUUGUAUUUAAUUUGACGGGUCCUAUUAAGGUUUGUCUUGUUUUUAUGAUCAUUCCUUGUCAACCUGGGUUUAUCUUUCCGUUGGGUAGCUAUGCUUAGUUGCAAUAGCUUGGGUUAUGGUGGUUUAGUGAACAUGAAUAUAAACUUAUUUUAUUUAUGCUAUAGCUCUAGUUAAUUACAAGAAUACCAUGCAUUAAUUGGAACAUGGAGCAACCACCUAGGAAAACAGUGCAACCAAGAACUAAUGGGCUCUGAUCUUGGCUAAUUAAGUAGAGACUCUAGUCUAAGAUAACCUUACCGAAAUGGAAAAAGGGAAGGUGUUGAUGGGGUAUAACCCGACCCUUAGGCUGAUCUGCUCUAUGGUAGCUUCGCAGUCUUGAGAGAGGUUUAUGCUCUGCUUCGACCUGAAACUUUAGCGGGUUACCACUUACUAGGGAAUCUUUGUAAAGGCCUCAAAGCAUCCCUAUGCAAUCACACCUCGGUAGUGUGAUAAGUGCCUGGCCCGCAUAGUAUGGUUGGGUCUAAAGUUUUUCUAAAUUUUUACAUGACUUGUGGGUAAAGAUGUACAACCUCUGUCUAAAACUGAUCGAUCAGUCGUGCUCACGGUCAAGAGCGGCCUGAACUCUCAUAUGAUAAUUGAACUUGAAGAUGGACUUAAAUUAUGGUUAUGGUUAUGCUUUCACCAUAUGCUUAUGGCUCAUAUUUAUGUUAAUGUGGGUUGGUAUGUACUUAUACCUUAGUAUUCAGGUGCUAAUAAAAUUGACCAACUAAAAUUGCUUAUUGUAGUAAACCAGUAAGUCUCUCCUUGUUUAAGCCUUGCAUUCAUACGUUCCCCACACUUGCUGAGUAUGACAUGUGCUCACCCUUGCUAUAACCAACGUUGCUCAGAAGAAGAGGCUCCUAUGAAGUUGUUGUGAAGAUGGUGCUGAGAUCUAGGCGUACGCAACUUUCGGUCCAUUUCCUAUGAAGUUUGGAGCCUCCGUUUUGAGGAUUACACUGUAAAUCUCUUACAGACUCUCUUUCUUUUCGUGAUACCAUUGCUAUUAUUCACUUAUGAUGUCACUAUAUGAAUGAAAUUUGUAUGAAAUUAGAUCCUGACAUACAUAUAGGUAGCACUUGAUUUUGUUUCAAAACUGUGUGUGAUGGAAGCUAUGCGCAACGCAAGAGGUCGUAGGUUCGAAUCGCACACACCGCACACAAGCAUAUUUCGCGUGAAAAAUUGCGUGACUUGUGCGCAUGUGUGAGCAUCCCCGAAUUCGUAAUCCUCGUUGGGAAAUCGAGGUUAGUUGUUCGUGUACUGCACGUCAAAAUGUGCCGCGCGUGAGAAACACGCUCAUUUGUCAGUUUACGCGGGAUGAUUGAUAGAAGUAGGCGAAACUGAUGCUAGGUUGGCAACUUUUGCCGGGUCAUCGCGCUCACCCGCGCCCUCCUCCAGUCUUCCCAUCGAGUAGACCGACCAAAAAGGUGUGGGUAGGUGCUUCACGAAGUAUCACCAUCAAGCCAACACGCGUUUACUCAGUCAACCAACGCACGAGGGUUUGGAGUUUUCUUUUCAUUCUAUCAUGAAAGCAGUACAUAUCUCGCGACUUGGACGCGUUUACUCAGUCAACCAUUCUACCGAAGAGGAUGAUGGUGAUGAUGGCGGCAGCAUCAUGUUCUCUGCAUAUCUGGACAAAGGGGAAGAAAGAGGGGUAGGGUGAGGAUCGGGUGGAGGAGAGUGUGUGCCAGGUACGGUGGUUUUUUUUUUCAUGGGUGCGAAAGUAUCUUCUACAGUUUAUGCUAACAUUCAACCCUCUUUGAUAGAAAGGUUAAAGGGCUUUAAUCUUAAGUAAUGUUAUGCGAAGUUAUUCAAAAUGAUGCAUUGCUAAAUGUGUUAGGCAUCUUGCUGGCUCCUGUUAUAGUGUUAUUACAACGAAACUUGAGUUGCUAUAUAAAGUAUGUACAAAUUUUCUAUAAAAAACCUUCAUUGCAUCUUUACAAGAGAAGCAUAAGUGGCAACCUUAUCAAAACCAUAUACAGACUAUUAAAAAUGUUACUAGAAUCCUCACUACCAUAUACAGACUAUUAAAAAUGUUACUAGAAUUCUCACUACCAGAAUCUAGAAGUUUACCAUGUGUCUAUAGCACACGGCGAAGAACAAAAAAUACUCAGCAAAACCUUUACCGAGUGUUACACUCGGCAAACAGUACACAGCAUAAACAGUGCCGGCAAAGUUUCUUUGCCGAGUGUUUUUAUCGGGCACUCCGCAAAUAUUUUGCCGACUGCUAAAACCGACGCUCGGCAAAAAAAAAAGUAACGUAACGGCACGAAGACGGUCACGGCGCGUUUGCCGAGUGUCUAACGGCAAGGGCACUUGGCAAAUAAGGCAUGUUUGCCGAGUGUUUCUUCCGUGGACACUCGGCAAACAUGGCCUCUUUGCCGAGUGUCACAGCCCAGACACUCGGCAAAGAUGUAUCUGCCCAAAGCAUUAUUGUAUUUCUCCAAGCUAUAUAUUCAAUUCUAUCAUGAUCACCUAGACAUAAAUUCAUUAUGAUAACAUUGAUAAUCAACAUAUAGAAGCUCCCACAAACAGUACUGCCACAUUGUUCACAUGACAAUGGCAUCCUCAUGUACCAUCUCCUGACCAAAAGUAUUAUUACCUACAAAUUCUCUAUUUCUAGCAAUGAACCAGAUACUAGUCUAACUAUGCUUCUGAUCAAUUUAGCUUUCCAUCCCUGCAAAAAAGAAAAUUUUGAUUAAGCUAAAGGGUAACAGAAAAUGCAUAAAUGACUUACACAUACAUUCUGGUAGCCAUAUCUAAAGGGUAACAAAAAUCUAACUAAGCAUACUACAUGAUGCUGCCUCAUACAGUAGAGUAGCCUGGAGUAGCAUGUAAUAGAUUAAGCAGAGUGAUGUGCAUGUAAAGUGUAAGCGUUGAAUUGUGUGUGCUUGUAAUGAAACUAUAAAAAAACAGUACAUACAAGUGGCAACUAGAUAAUCUGGCAAUAAAGCACACAAAUUAAAGGUUCUGAACUAACAUGGAAAAUUCAAACUAAUCUGCAGUUCUGCACUCAAAGCACCCUUUUAACAGCGACUCUAUGCUUAGUGCGGCAACACAUACACAAUGUAGUAAAUCAGAAACAUUACCAGUGCCUUGCGGAACUCUUUCUUUCCUCACAAAGCAUCACCAUGACCUGCAACACCCCAACUUGCACAUCAGCUCCCCAAAAAAUAAACCCGGCCAUGUAGCCAUGUAGGUAACAUAAUUGGCAUUGCAAAAUGCUUUCCAUGCAGGAAUACCCAAACAUUUUAUCAUACAUCAACUAUCCUAAAAUCAAUCGAUGCGUUUUAUUUUUAGCAAUAUGGCCUCAGAUAUCAGGAGCUCACAGCAGCCUAGCAUAAAAGUGAGAACAAAUCAGGCAGCACUUGCCGAGCUGCUGCUUAAAGGAAGCUUACCAGGGAAGCCUUGUGAACAUAUAUGCUUGAAUCCUUGAGAUAGCACUGAUGUGUGUAGUUCUGCACAAAAAAACGAUGAGAAGAUAUCACAACUUAUAGAUCUCCUUUGCAUAGCUGUUAAGCUUCAGUAUAUAUAGAAGUGUAGAUUAAAUAGUUCUAGAUGACACAGAGCUCGUUCGUUUCGGCUGGAACGGCCUGGAACGUGGCAUGUUCCACUUGGAUCGAAUAGGUCAAAACCAGGCUGGACCAAAAAUGAUUGUUCGUUUAGAUACGGCCCGGAAUGAAAACGGACCUGGAUUGAAAUUCUCCUCCACUAUGCAGUCCGGAUCGGAUCCGUAUGUCCUCACCUCUGGAUCGGAACCAGCGGACGGCACUGGCGGCGCGAGGCUCUACGAGGUGACGCUAGGUGCGGCUCCGCUGGUGGCGAGCGAAGCGACGCGGGGGUGGCGCGAGGUGGCGGCGUGGCGGUGUGAGGUGACAGCGUGGGACAUCUUCGACGGCCACCACCGCGACAACGGCCACCGCCUUCUCGCCGGUAAGCCACUACCUUCGCCGGCGCUUGAUCUGGGCACUCAUUACUUAACCUGUCGAUGGCUCGUUUCUUGGUAACCUGUCGAUGGAUCCGGAGAAGCAGAUCGAUGGUAACCUGUCUCUGCCGCCUCUGAAUCUUGGGUUACAUAUUUCUUUCAUUCGCUUUUGUUUUGGAGGAGAUGAAACUGCAUCGCGUUUGGUCGAUGCUUUCUCCUCGAUGCUCCUAGCUCCCUUUUCGAUUUGUGUUCAUCAAAUCCAGAGAGGCGGUAGAGGGGCUCUUGUUGUACGCUGCUGGUGUAUGUAAGUACAGUAUAUUCUUAUACUUGUUUAAACCUUUGAAGAAAUCAAUCAUGCGAAUUGAAAAUGAAACCCAAAUUCUUUAGAGCAACAGGCAUUGCCGCCUGCAUCCACUAGCUAUUAUGAUGAACUGAACUGUUAUCCCGAUCGUGUCUAGGAUAGGCUCACCGAUCGAUCAAAACGCCAUCUUGUGUUCCUUGCUGGAACUCUUCCUGUCGUUGCCUGUUGGGAUUGGCAUUUGCAUUUUGGGAGGAUGCGGGAACAUUCGAUGGCCGGGGGCGUGGUUGGUGUGAGCUGUGACUUUGACUUGGUGAAGCAAGAGGUUGAGGACUCUUGGUGUGAAAUUUGAGGUGAAUAUGCUCCCGGUCAUGCUUGCUGGCAGUGGCAGGUACUCCCUCCGUCCCGAUUUAACUGUCGCUCGGGAAUCAGGAUUGUGAGGGGAAUACGGUUCCCGAGCGACAGUUAAUAGGGGACAGAGGGAUCGGAGUAGAUAAUUGCAAAAAGGGAAAGCAAGAGCCCCAAUCAAGACCACAGGAUUGGUGAAGCUAAUGGGUGAAUAUUUUAGUUUCGAAUUUUUCAGAAUCGAAGAAAGAUGGUGCUUGGUCGAGCAAGAUUCUUUAGUACAAGUUAUUCUGAAAGAAUUGAGAUAUUGAGUUGACCUAGUGAAGUACUGAAAAUAGCUAUUAGUUCUAGUUCAUCUAUUUAAUAUAUCCAGAAUUGUUUAAUCGAUCUGACUAUCUAGAAUUGUAAUGUUAAAUUUUCAACAUGGUUCUAUGUGAUCAUAAUGUAUUUUUCUUUUAAGUGGACAAGUAAACUUAAACUUGUUGCUGUAAAUUUGCUGGUUUAAGAACAGGACAAUCUAUUCCUAUCCAGCUGAAUAACACACAUUUGGAAAGCUGGAAUAGUUCCUGGACCGGAAUAGAACCAGAUCAGGAUUGAGUGAAGGAGCCGGAUUCACUUAAUCAGGCCCUGGAAUGGUUCCUGGACAGGAAACAUUCCAGAGGAACCGAACAAGCCCUAAAUGAUCUGUUUCUACACCCAUAAUCCAAACAUCUUACAGUCGAUUCAUGAAUCUUGUGCAAAAACACUAUGCAUCACUAUGCAUCAUGCUUGUUCUAUGAUUUGGCAUUGCUGUCGAAUUUUGAAUCUUAAUGUCUUCUGCAAUCUAUUCUUUUCAGUAUAUUUCGUUCAUAGCUUACAUAGUGUAUAUGUGGGUGCUACUAAUUACUAUACAUAGUGUAUAUGUGGGUGCUACUAAUUACUACUCCCGAGGAGUUAAGUUGUGUUAGAACUGUGCUGGUCUGCGCGUACUUACACACUAGUAGAGAAUUGGCCUUUAGUCCCGGUUGGUAGGGUGCAUAUCUCCCGAAAAUCCAUUCGGGAUAAACCAACCGGGACAAAAGGGGGGUCUUUAGUCCCGGCUGGAUUCCAACCGGGACUAAAUGGCGCCCUGCAUGGCACUGCCUGGCGCCUGAAUUUUUCAUGCAUGCAUCACAUACGUAGUACCGCGGCCCUUUUGUUAACCUUUAGUAGUUGAGAUUUUUUUAGAACGAAAUCAACUAGUAUUUAAACGAAUGGGAUUUGUAAUUAUACAAUUACUAUAUAUAUACACAAUUCUUAUACACAAUUCAACUAGUACAAAUCGAUCAUAAUUAGCGCGUAUUAUAUAUACAAAUAAAUCAAAGUAUCUAUCUACAAUCUUCCCGUCGUGGUGUUGCUGAUCGGAGUGUCUAAUUGUCGUCCAUCGUAAUAAAAUUCUCCUUUUGGAUCUACCACAUCGUCCAUUAGGAAUCCAAUGAGACCUUCACAUAUUGCCGCUACUCUUUCUUCCUUCAAGAGUCCUUGUUGAAUAUUUAACAUCUAUAAUUUGGAAAUUUGUGAAUGUUACAUGAACAAAUACAUAUAAGGAGCUAGAAAAUAAUUAACUAGUAAUAGUUUUAUUUUAUGUACUUUAAAGUUGUGCGGCGUCAUCUUCAGUCCCUUGGGUCCCAUAAAACUGUGCAUGUGCUCACAGAUGUAGUAGCCAUAUAGAUUAUUCCCGGAUUCCUGUCUUAAGCACUUCAGUGCGGAAAAUAAUAAGUUACGAAAUAUUCUUGUUAUACAAUGUAAUAAAUGUGCAGACUUCAUACGUACCGGGAAGUCUGUGUUCCAUGUAAGUUUUUCUUUGAAUGGACCUUUGUGUGUCCUUAUGAAUUGUUUUCAUGCAUUGCGGAUUAGAAUAAUGAAUGAUAUAGUGUAACAGGGAUAAAAUUUAGGAAACAAACUUUUGCAUAGAGAUAAAGGUCCAGAAUUAUUACAAGCCUAGCAUGUCUUGCACUUCUUGGUACUCCACCGGAUCUUUCCUCAACGAAUCGAAGACAGUGACGUGGCUUCUUUCAGGCUCAAUUAUAAUAAGGAUCCAGUGGAAGCUGCGUGCGUAAAAUGUUCAUGCAUAUUAGAGCUAACUAACAUGUAGAGAUAAGGAAAAAGACAUCGAAAGUAGACGGUAUACACACACUUACUUGAAGUUGUAUGGAAGUAGUAUGAAAUCCUUGAAUGUUUGUUUGUCUAGGAAAUUGUAUACUUCCACCAAGGUUUUUUCCGGCGCUAAUUGUAUCUGUUGUUGGUUAACUACAGAUGGAUCCAUGAAGCCUAUAUGUAGGUACGCCUCUCGGCGGCAUGUCUGAAUUAGCAUCCUACAUGAAAUGGAAGACGAAGUUAGUACAGUGACGCACGCCAAAAUUUACAUGUAGAGAUAAACGGACACUUACAGAACCCAAGCGCUGAUCAGAGAGACGUCCAGGGCAUCAUGAUGGUACACUUCGUAUAUAUCCUUGAAGUCUAGCCACAGCACUUUCUCGCCUUCGACAUGAAAAUCUAUCGGUUUUACCUUCAGGCCGAGCAUCUCCCUCGAGUCGGCGGAUGCCAUCAUGUACCAUUGAUGGAAUGCAUACAUCUUUGUUGAUAGCUUCCGUACCAAUGAAGGCUUUACUAUAGGUUUGCCUAGCUCAUAAGGCCAUCUCGACUCAGGGGGCGGUGCAGUUGGCGUCUCAACUUGCCCUAUGCAUUCAUCAAGUCCCAGACCUGUUUCUUCCAUGAACUUCAAUACAUUUGCUUGUUGAUCCAAGGGCAUUGCUUUUACCCGUUGAGCAUCUUUUUUUGAUAAAUGGCUGAGGUCGGGGACAGGACCGAUCUCGAGGCGUGGACCAAUUGACAAGAUUGCAUAAAUAUUAUGUAUAAGUAUACCUUAAUAGUGAGGUUGCCGACCGGUGCAUGCAGCUCACAUGAGGUCCGUUGCGUGAUGGCAUCCACGGGGAACCGUUGCUCCUCCAUGGGUAACCUGGGCGUCUGCGCAUCGGGGACCCCUGUAGAAGCACAACUGCUCAAGAGGCGUUGAGAAGGGCUGGCGGGGUUAGGAUUCGGCAAUGCUCCAGAUUGGGCCAACUCCACAACUGCGUGGGCCACUCGACGAUUGAUUUCCUCCAUCAUGCUUUGUUCUUGUGCCUGCACUUUAGAUUCUAGCAUCUGCCGCCAGCUCUCCUCGAUCUGUUCCUUUCUUCGCUUCCAGCUUCUGUACGAGGCGCUGUCGCCUCAGAAAGGAAACUUCCACGGAACCACCCCGAACCCUCGGCAACGUCCUGGGUGCUCCAGAUUACCGAGGGCCAAUGUGAGCUCAUCAUUUGAUCGGUCCACCUUCAACCUCCCAGCCUUAGAAUCUUCAAUGUUCUUCACAAGAUGUUCGGCCUUCUCACGUAUUGUGUCAUUAAAAAUCAACGUCCCAUCCUCUUGGCUCAGGGAGCCUCCAUGAGCGUAGUACCAAUUUUUUGAUCGUUCGAGCCAUUCAAUAGUUGCAGGUACGAUUCCCCGUUCAAUCAGAUCUUGUUCCAUCUUCCUCCACUUGGGAAUUGCUGAGCCAUACCCACCUCGCCCCAGAUGAUGAUGGUAGCCCUUCUGACUAGCAUUUGUUGUGUUGGUCAUGAUCUUUUUCACACCGUCGUCACUCCUCUUAUAUUCAACAAAUGCAUCCCAGUGGUCCCUCAACUUUGGCCACGCAUUGAAGUCUAGAGUUCGGCCCUUCUUAAUGUAGUGGGUAUCCAGCAUCUUCUUGAAUGUCUGAAAUUGUGUAGCCAUCUUCUUAAGCGUCCACGCUUUCACAUCCUUCUCAAUAUAUCCUUCGGGGAAUGUGAAAUGUCUCUUGACAUCUUCCCACAGCAUAUUCUUUUCUGUCUCCGGGAGGGCGUACGGAUUAGUGCUUCUGCCCUUCCAUUCUCUGAUGCUGAUAGGCACGUUGUCCCGGACGAUUACCCCGAUCUGACUCACGUACUUCUUUGCUACUUUCUCGGGAGCAACCGGCCUGCCCUCUUCUGUCACUUCCGUGAUGACAAGCCUCCCUUCCAUCACCUUUGUACGACCUCGGGUCUUCUACCCUUGCGUUGAUCCGGAGGGCUAACAGUUCAAGAUUCGUUAAUUAGUACGUAGUAGUAACGGUGGCGUGAAACAAUACAAGAAUCGUUAUAUAUACCUCGCCGGAACCUUCCACCACGGCAAGGUGUUGCUGGGGCUGUUGCUCUUCAUUUCCAUCGGCGGACAUGUUGAGGAACAUGUCCGCCUGGGUGCCCUCUUCAUCCGUGUACGAUAGUGGAAGGUUGUCACCACUACCAUCACCAGCGAUUAUCUGCUCCAUGAUAUACCUUGCGGUCUCAUCGUCUGCCAUUUCAACUAUUGAUUGAAACAUACAUGGAAUCAUACAUGACAGUCAUAGAAAUCGUCUUACUUAUAUGUAUAUAAUGAAAUCAUAAAAUAACAUGAAUCCUACAAAGUCCGGAAUAUUUAUACAAAUUUCUACAAAUUAGUAGUACUUUAUGAUGAAUUUCUAGCAAUAACAUGAAUUUUUACGAAUUUCUAGCAAUAACAUGAAUUUUUACGAAUUUCUAGCAAUAACAUGAAUUUGCGAAGGCCGGGGCGGCGGGCAGAGGCGGGGACGGAACCACAGGCGGUGCCUAGGUUGUGACGGCGGCGGUCAGGGUGGCGGGACGGCGGAGGCGGGGACGGAACCACGAUGAAACACGAUUCAUUUCUAACCUAGGCAAAGCGACGAACCUAAUUACUACUAAUUUACACUAAUUUGAUUUUUAAACACAUAUACAAAAAUCUAUUGAAUUUGUACCUAAUUACUACCUAUUUAUUUUCUAACUUAAAAAAAGGCCCUUGCUGAUGCAAGCCGGUGGGCUUGCGUCAGCAAGGCGGUACUCCCGGCGCCAGUGCCGGCCGACGCGGCAGACCUCUCGCGCGCGGUCGUCGACGGUGGCCGGGGUGACGAGGUGGCCGGGGUGGCGGGAUGGCGGCGGCCGGGGCGGCGGGACGGCGGCGGCCAGGGCGGCAAGGACGGCGGCCGAGGCGAUGACGGAGCGAAGGCGCGCGGGACAGCGGGACGGGGGAGGCGGGACGGCGACGAGGGGCGACGAGGCGGCGACGAGGAUGGAGGCAGCGAUGAGGCCCGCGAUGGAGCUCUAGUGGCCGGCGGCGACGAGGUAGGGGCCGGGCGCGACGGACGAGGAGGAUCGAGGCGGGCCGGCCGGGGCGAUGGAGGAGGAGGAUGUCUAGGCGCGGUCGGCGGCGGGACGACGACAGCCAGGGCAAUGGGGGACGAUGACGGCGGCGGCUGGCGAGGGAGGCGGACGGGCGGCAACGGAGCAGAACGCGCGCGGGACUUGGUGAAAAUUUUUCUAAGUGUAACUGGCGUGGGGGUAGAAGGGGCUACAGUGCCUUUUAACCCCCCCCUUAUCCCGGUUCGUAAUGGCACCCGGGACUAUCCCGGUUGGUGACGGGACCUGGGACAAAAGGAUGCAUCCGCCAGGUGGGGCUGGGAGCCUACCCUUUUAUCCCGGGUGCCAGCACCAACCGGGAUAAAAGGGGGGGGGGGCUUUUAUCCCGGUUGCAGUUGGCAACCAGGGUAAAAGGGUACGUCCAGGCGGGAGACAAAAAGUACCCUUUUAUCCCGGUUGCAGUUUGCAGCCGGGAUAAAACGGGGGCCUUUUGUCCCGGUUUCAAUUGGCACCCGAGAUAAAAGGUCUUUUUCCUAGUUUUCUUCUCCCGCUUGUUUUUUGGAAAUGGAUUUUAUUUAUCUUUUCACUGCAUUUCAGGAUGAAAAACAAAAACCUUCACAUAUUUUGUACAUGCAAAAAUAUAUUUAAUUAGCGAGUAAAUUGACAAUAAGUAUGAUUUAGUCAUUAAUUCUAUACCAGUUCAUUUAGCCUCUAAAAUAUUUAUUUUACUGCAGCGCUGUGAUCAAGAAAAUAUUCAAUUAAAUAAUUUCAAUGCGCAGAAAAAUCCAUGUUUGUAUGUGGUUAACAUUGUUCAUGUUUAUCUAAAAAAUCUUCACCUAACAAAUUUAAGAACACAUGACAUCAUACAUAGGGUAAAUUAAAAAUUGUAUCAAUUAAUACAUAAAGGUCAUGUAAAUUUAGCGCAUUACAAUACAACGUUGUAAAAUUUCUUCUUCACGAAAGUUCCUUGAUCAUGAUCGCGGCGUAAGUACGGAGCCUCUUCUUUGGAUAGCAGGAUGCUUGGAUCAACUUCAACGGCGAAUGGAGGCAUGCCAUCAAACUGAUCAUAAUCAUCUGAUUGGUCUGUUUUAUCCUCGACUCCCAUGAUUUUUCUUUUACCUGGAAGAACUAUGUGGCACUUUGGCUCCCAUGUCUCUUCUGGAUUCCUCUUGGGUUUGCUACACAUGUCCUUCACAUAGAACACCUGAUGCACAUCAUUGGCAAGUACGAAUAGGUCAUCACUGUAUCCAGUCUUGCUCAGAUCUACUAUUGUCAUUCCGUACUGAUCUUUGGUUACGGCAGUUAGCUUCACCCAAUUGCAAAGAAAUAGAGGGAUGUACAGCGGUCCGUAUUCGAGUUCCCAUAUCUCCUGUAUGAAACCAUAAUACGACUCCUUGCUAUUAUUUCUGUCCAUGGCAUCUAUGCGGACACCACUAUUCUGGUUCGUGCUUUUCUGGUCCUGGGCUCUCGUGUAAAAUGUAUAACCAUUUAUCUCAUAGCCUUGGAAUUUGAUGAUUGUGCUAGCAGGUCCCCUGGCUAACCAGGCAAGCUGUGGGUGAAUCUCAGAGUUACCCAUAUGUUGUUGGCGCAACCAGGAGGGAAAAGUUUCCAUGUGAUGACGGGUAAGCCAAGCAUCGGAUUUGGUCAGGUUUUUGGAAGCUACCAUCUGUCUGUGCUGCUCGAUAUACGGAGACACAAAGGAUGACUAUUGUAGAACAGUGUAGUGUGCCUUGUCGAACAAAUCAGUAUCAUUGCUCAAACUUGAUUUCCUUCCAAGGGUGCCCAUUCCUCGGAGCCUCCCCUCGUGGCGUGAAGUUGGAAUCCCAAUCGAGUCAAUUGAAUCAAUAAAAUCAACACAAAACUCGAUCACCUCCUCUGUUCCAUAUCCCUUGGCGAUGCUUCCUUCUGGACGGGCAUGAUUAAGAAUAUAGUUUUUUAGGACUGCCAUGAACCUCUCGAAAGGCCACACAUUGUACAGGUAUACAGGUCCGAGAAUACCAAUCUCUUUUACUAGGUGAACCAGUAAGUGCGUCAUAAUAUUGAAGAAGGAUGGUGGAAAUAACAACUCAAAACUGACAAGACAUUGCACCACAUCUAUCUGUAGCUUUGAUAGCUUGGAUGGAUCGAUUGUCUUUUGCGAAAUUGCAUUGAGAAACGCGCAUAGCUUUACGAGCGGCAACCGGACAUUUUCUGGUAGAACACCUCUCAGUGCAACCGGAAGCAACUGGGUCAUCAACAUGUGGCAGUCACGAGCCUUGAGAUUUGUAAACUUCUUUUGUUUCAUAUUUAUUAUUCCCUUUAUAUUCGAGGAGUACCCAGACGGGACCUUCAUACUAUUCAAGCAUUCAAACAUGCUAUCCUUCUCUUCCUUGCUGAGAGUGUAACUGGCAGGACGUAAGUAGUGCUGUCCAUUAUCUCUCUUUUCCGGAUGUAGGUCAUCUCGUUGCCCCAUGGCUUUCAGGUCCUGUCUGUCGGUGUUUUAGACCGGCAACCCACCUAGGGGGUACCCUAGGUGGUCUUUUAUGCGGUAAGGGUCGUUGAGAAUCAAUGAAUCAAUGGUGAUGCAAGGAACACGAUUUAGACAGGUUCAGGCCGCUAGAUCGUGUAAUACCCUACGUCCUGUGUGUUGGUUUGUAUGGCGAUAUGUUGAGAUGUCUUGAGGAUCUGUUUGAGGGGGGUCCCUGCCCGGCCUUAUAUACUCGGGAGGGCAGGGUUACAAGUCUGAGUCCUAGUCGGGUACUAUUACAGAGUUCUACUCGGUACCGGCCCGAGUAGUUUUCCAUAAACAUACAAGACUAGUCCGAGAAGGAUACACCCAUCCUUGUUCUGAUCAUGUCCGAGUACGUCCCUUAGUGGGCCGUCCAAGGCCUUCUCGUGGGUCUUGGGAGUAUGCCCGACAAGCCCCCGAGUACUUUGUAGUCGUGCGCCAUAGUCUUGGGCACUGCAGGCACUACCCGAGUAGUUUUGCAAACUGAAGUGCUCGAGUACUGUUGCGUGGCUGGAAGGUACUCUUUCUGUAGCUUCGAGUUGUCUUUGUCCCGAGUAAUUUUUAUAUGGUAGUGCGAUGUCAAUCGCACUCCAUAUGGAGUAUCCCCCGAGCCUUAGGUUGAGUCGAAGAAUCAGGCUUAGGGUCAAACCAGCUUUUGCCCAUUUUACCCUCGGAGAUCUUGAAAAAGAAAAACCUGACCAACGGGUACGGUACCCGCAGCCCCCGAGCACUUAGGCGAUUCCUGUCGUUGAAGUGGUCAUCAAUCCGUUGAAUGCAGUAGCCGUUGGGUGUUUAUUGCAAUUAAUACGCGAUUAAUCUGUCCGUUGCGUAACUGACGCGUCGAAACCGGAAGCUGGCGGAGAUAAAUCUGGACAGACCCGUUUCGGUUGCUGUGACGCCGCACGGGUAUUAGAUCUGCUCUUCCUCCUCCUCUGCGCCUUCGCUCGCUGUUUCACCGCCGCCAGUGCCGCAGCCUCCGCCAUUGCCGCUCGGGUCCGAGUAGAAGCUUCUUCCUUGACUUGAGGUUGAGUCCAUCAGAUGCGCUCCAAGAAGAUGGGCAAGAAACCCGAGAAGAUCCAAGGCAAGGCUCCGGCAAUGGGCAAGGUCAGAUCCAAGAAGAGGAAGGAGUUGGUGCUGCCGGCACCGAAGGUGGGGCCGACGAACCAGAUUGCUCCGCCGCCACCUGGGGUAACUUGGCAACACUCGGUGAUGAAGGAGGAAGCAGUCCAGGCACUGGUUGAUGCCAAGCUCUUGCAGGCGAAGGAAAUCGUGCAGUGGCGCCCCACAUUUCCCAAUGCGUGGCAGUUUGAGGAACAUCCUGCCGAGAUGGUUAUGCUUGCUCACUUCGUGGAAAGGGGACUGGCCGUACCCACCUCCGACUUCUUCAGAGGUAUUCUUGAGUACUACAAUCUUCAGCUUGUCCACCUGAAUCCCAAUGGAGUACUGCACAUGUCUAUAUUUGUACAUCUGUGCGAAGUUUAUCUGGGAGUACCUCCAAGUCUCGAGUUAUUUAGGAAACUGUUCCGUUGCAAGCCUCAGCCGAGUGCCCAGUGGACCGAAGUCUUUGCAGGCACCGGGUUCCAACUCAGGAACUCAAAUGCAUAUAUUGAGUAUAAUCUGACCGACUCCCAUGGGGAUUGGAAGAAAAGGUGGUUCUACAUCGGGAACCAUGAUCCUCGCUUGCCAGUGGUGACUGGUCACGCGCCCAAGCAUGCGGAAAAUUGGAUAAGCGAGCCAGAGGACACCCCCGAGCUUGAUCUCCUGAUGCAGCAGAUCGCCGAGUUGAAGGUACUCAGUUUGACUGGGAUCAAUGUGGCAGCCAGCUUCCUUAAGAGAAGGGUUCAGCCACUUCAAAAACGUGCUCACUCGAGAAGUGAGUACUCAGGUCUGAAGGAUCCAUCGCGUAUGUCUAAAGAGGACAUAUCUGAUGAUGACGUGGAGGCACUGCUGACUAAAUUUUUCAGGAAUUAUCAGGGAGUACCAGUAAUCCCUGCAGCCCUUCGUCAGUAUGACGCCUGGUACGAGCCAGAAGUGGUAAGUAUUUUCCCCCUGACUUGUUCUUCUUUGACUUGUGAUUCUUGUUGCUGACAUCAAUUUGUUGUUUGAAGUCCCGAGUUCUUGCCGGCUAUGUGGCACAGUCGGAAGGAGAGUCGGAAGCUGUUGUCGAGGAGUCGGAGGAUGAGCCUUCACCUCAUGUCAAGAGACGUAGAGUAGUCCGCAAGAUGUCUGCGGCUAAGUCUGCUUCAACCCCUGAGAAGUCUCGGGGUACCAAGGUGUGUAGUCGGUAACUUGUGUAUUACUGAUGAACUUGAAAUGCGUUAUUGAUGUGGCGAAUCUUGUCUUUGUUCGCAAAGGCUGUAGAUGAGGCUGUUUCUGAAGAAAUAGCCAUGUCCGACCCUGAAGUCGGUGAUGCGGCCGUUGACACAUUGCCAGAGAAAGUGUCGUCAACAGCUGUGGUAGCCCCCGGGUUAACCGCGCCAACUCCGUCGGCUGCCAUGCCUCCCAUUGCUGACCAGGCGGUUCUGGGGCUGCCUGCUGGAGUAACAAAGGAGGUGUCACCAGUACUUGCUACUGGCACCCUGCUGUCCAAUGUGAUUGCCAGUGGUAAGCGUUAUCCUUUCUGAUUGUAGUCAUUUGAGUAGUACUGUAGUCUUGACUUCGGUUUUGUAGGUCUUGGUGAGAAGACGGUGCCGGCGGCUGUUCCCACGGCUCCGAGUACUCGGCCGCCUGUCGCCGAGAAGAAACGUGUGCGACUGCCGCCAUGUUCAACCCGGUGAGCUUCCUUGUCCGUUUGAAUGACGUUGAAUUGUCUUGAAAUCGUGUAGUAACACUUUUGUGGUACAGAGAUGCAGAGGAAACUAUCCCUGAAGAAACAGGGGUAGUGCCGGAUCCCUCGACUACAAUAUCUGUUCCUCUGGAGGACUUGAUUGUUGAAGAGGUACCCGAGGUUGACGCCGGCCGUCUUGGAGCUACUAUGUCGAUGCUCCAAGACGUGAUUCGCUCAGCGGAGGUACCUGAUGCUGCAGUAGGCUCAGGGAGUGCCGGCCUACCAUCAUCUUCCGGCGGAGUGCUGGCUGUUGUUGAGAAAUCCAAACAAACGACUGCUCCAGGUAAAUGCCUGUAAUUUGUUAUGGUAGCCGUAGUCGGUAGCUGAUAUGGUAAAUGUUGUAGGUGCUUCUCUAGGUACGAGUCCGCAUCUUGUGGAGAGUACCCAAAGGCCAGUACUCAGCCUGCCUUCUGACUUGGAGUUCCAGAGGACCAUCAACGUUUUACGGGGCUUCCAGGUAGAUAUUGUUGAUGUUAUAGCAUGACCCGAGUAGUCGGGAGGCUUCUAAACUGCUUACACCAUACUUGGAUUUUUCAGGAAAGAAGCCGCCAGUUGGAGCAAGAAUGUGCCCAACUGACAGAAGCUCUUCGGGUGCAUGAAGUCGGGGUGAAGUCCUUUGCCGUGGAACACGCGGAUCAUGCCGUUCUGCAGGAAAAACUGGAGAGCCGCUACAAAUCCUUGAAUAAGAAGUAUCAAGGUAAGUAAUGUGACUACUUUGGGUGUGUCCAACUGUAGUUGGCUGUGGCCUAAGUUCUGUUGCUUUGUAGAGCUCAGGAAGCAGGAGGCGGCUGCAAAGAGCCAAGUUAUCAACUGGAGAAAUGCUCAUGACCGGGUGGCAGAUGAAGCCGAGCACCUUCGCGCCGCGCUCACGGAAGCACAGGCUUUUUGCGAGCAUCAGCAGGACUAAAAGUUUCAGAAUGGCGUGAUGCUUGCCAUGGCUAUGGUGGCAUGCAGAGAUCAUGCCCAGACCUUGGGAAGACUUCGGGGUGAACUCCAAGAGCUGUCUGGAGCGGCCGAAGAUUUGGUGAAUGCCAUAGCCCCCGUGGAGGAAGGCGCAGAACCGCAAUCGCUAGUAGAGCGACUAAGAGCUGCCCCGAGUAGAGUGGCGGGACUUUACAAGACUGUUUGUAAACAGGUUCUUGCAAUUGUGAAGUCCUACUACCCGAGGGCAGACUUGGCGGCAGCUGGCGAUGGCGUGGCUCGCAACUGCACAGAGGAGGCCUAUGCACAGUACCUUGAGGAGGCAGAGCCCAUUGCAGCCAAGAUGUCGGAGUUUGUCUCCUUAGAAGAGCUUUGAACUAUUUGUGUACUCUUAUAUUGAUAUUUUGAAAUGUCGAGCUUUUUGGAUUUGUUGUCGUUGUCUUGCAAAGAGUAGUAGUUGUUUACUUCAUUUUGUCGAAACUCGAAGUAUUGCAACUCUGCUGUGCCCGACCCCCUGGGGAGGGGAUUCAUCUCGCUUGACUUUGAGGUUUGGGGUCGGCUUCGCCCGACCCUGAGUCCUGGGGUCGGCCGAGCCUGACCCUGUGGAAGGGCAGCUCCGCUUCGCCCGACCCCGAGUGAGACUCCGCUUCGCCCGACCCUGAGUCCUGGGGUCAGCGGAGCCCGACCGUUUGAGAAGGCCGCUCCGCCUCGCCCGACCUUUGGUCCCGAGGUUGGAGUAGUCGAGGCCCCCGACAUGUAGGCUAAGCUUGGCUUGUAGUCCCGAGUAUCGAGUAGUCGUAAUGCUGUUUGAGUAGUCUUCUGAGGGGCACAGGUGUACUGUGCUCUUUUAUCCAUUGCGGAGGCACGGGUGUACUGUGCUCCUUUGUCUGUUGUAGCAUGAGUGCAGUCACAUGGGCAGAGUCAGGAGUUGUUUGACUCAUUGAUCACGGGUGCAUAGUAACUCUUGGGCCGGUGGUAGUUGUGGCUUUCGGCUAUAAAUAGGGCCAUCUGUUGGUCGAAACAACUCAAACUCUUGAGUAGCGAUGGAUUGCCUGCGGUUGCUUCUAUUUGAGUGUAGAGAGCCAUCAAAGAGUGCACCGGUGCUAGAAGAUUCCUUGUAGAUUAAGGCCACCUUCGCUCCACAGACUCCUGCGCUAGUCGGGAUAGCCGCGAUGCUAGAAGAAUCCUCGUAGGAGGGUUCGUCGCGUGCCUCAUCUUGCAGCUAUUGAUCCAGUGGAGUACGCGCUGGAACUCACAGCGAGUGAUGGGUGACGAGUGCCACGGUCUUCAUCCCGCUCUGAAAGAGGUGGAGGUGCGGCCGUAGAGUAGAUGGGCUGCGCAAGGCUAGCGAAAGAGCAGCCUUGGUUCCCUCUAGGCGCGUCUUGCCGGAUUUGGCGUUGCCGCUAUCCAGGCGAUGGCGGUGAUGGAGUACCUGGCAUUGCCUUGGGUAGGGUACUUGGGCAUGGCUGUGUUUUGCGCAGCUUCCUUGCGUGUGGGCUCUUCCUGCGGUCGGCAGACCUGAGUGGCCUUGUGAUAUAGUAAAAGCCUGAGGCUUAAAUGCAGCCCGCCAGUAGGCAGUUGCUUGUAGUCUUCGUGUAAGCCGAGUCCUUGUACUCCUAUGUAACUUGAUGUAUUCUUGUUUCAGUAAAGAUAUGAAGACUUUGAAUCAGGGCAAGGACCCUUGUUGUAUUGAUGGUGCGUCGAAGCGAACACCCCUUGAAGUCGGUAGUCGUUCCGAGUAGUUGCCUUGAAAUGAGUACUCGAGUGCUGCUAUGGGUAAUAGCGACAGAGGUGUUCUAUAUUCCAGGAGUUUGGCACCUGUUCUCCUGAGAGCUCUUGCAAUCUGUAAGAUCCGGGUCCUGUAACCUUUGAUACGAUGUAAGGACCUUCCCAUGGUGAAUUGAGUUUAUGUAAUCCUGACGUGUCUUGAAUACGUUUAAGGACCAUAUCGCCCGAGUUAAAAGAUCUUUCCUUGACGUUGCGGUCGUGAUAACGCCUUAAACCGUCAAGGUAUCUGGCAGAUUGCACUAGUGUUGCGCAUCUUGUUUCUUCCAAACUGUCUAUAUCCGUUCGCCGCGUUUCUAUUGCAAGCUCUUCGUCGUAUUGUUCAACAGAUGGUGAUUGCCACAUGAUGUCAGCGGGUAGUAUGGCUUCUGAGCCAUAUACCAGAAAAUAAGGUGAUAGCCCCGUAGUCUUGCAUGGUUGGGUACGUAGGCCCCACAAGGCAUUGGGUAACUCUUUGAGCCAUCGGCCUCCUUUGGUGUUACCGACGUCAUGCAGGCGUUUCUUCAGAGCAUCGAGUAUCAUGCCAUUGGCACGCUCGACUUGACCGUUGGCUCGCGGAUGAGCAACCGAGACAUAGCGGACGUCGAUGCCGCUGUUCUCGCAAUAUUCCCAAAAGUCGUGAUUAUUGAAGUUUGACCCGCGAUCUGUGAUAAUCCUGUUGGGAAAACCGUAGCAGUGUACGAUUUCAUCCAAGAAGUCGAGGACUCGGUCUGCCUUGGGGCAAGUGACUGGUUUGACCUCGAUCCAUUUGGUGAAUUUGUCGAUUGCCACGAGUACUCUGAUGAAUCCUCCUGGCGUAGUUGGUAACGGGCCAAUCAUGUCGAGCCCCCAGCAGGCAAAAGGCCAUGUUGGAGGUAUUGUGACUAGCUUGUAAGCCAGCACAUGUUGCUGUUUUGUGAAGAACUGACAACCUUUGCAUUUCUGGACUAGUAGCUUGGCAUCGGCCAGAGCCAUUGGCCAGUAGAACCCUACUCUGAAAGCCUUGCCCACUAGUGUCCUCGAAGAGGCGUGGUUGCCGCAGAUUCCUCGGUGAAUCUCGUCUAGGAUUUCUUGGCCAUCUUCUCUGGUGACGCACUUCAUGAGCACUCCAGACUAUGCACCUUUCCUGUAGAGCUUGUCUCCGACUAGAACAUAAUUCUUUACUCGUCAGGAGAUUUGUUCAGCUUUAUUUUUGUGGGAUGGUAGCUGGUGAUCCUUGAUGUAGUCGAUGAAGGGUGUCCUCCAGUCGACUUCUAUCAUCAUGAUCUCUCGGGAGGCGUCAGUAGUCGGGACUAUUGGCGGUGUGACCUGUUCAGGUAUGGAUGGCUUGCGUAGUUCGUGUACGAAAAUUCCUGCUGGAACUUCUGCACGAGUUGAGCCCAUUUUGGAUAAGACGUCGGCGGCAACGUUGUUGUCGCGGACGAUGUGAUGAAACUCCAAGCCAGAGAAUUUAUUUUCCAGUUUACGGACUUCUUUGCAAUAAGCGUCCAUGUUGUCCUUGUUUCGGUCCCACUCGUCAUUGACCUGGUUUAUGACGACUAGGGAGUCGCCGUACACCAGUAGUCAUUUGAUGCCGAGGGAGAUUGCGAGGCGAAGGCCGUGUAGCAGUGCUUCGUACUUGGCUUCGUUGUUAGAUGCUUCCCAGAAUAUCUGCAGCACGUACUUGAGUUGGUCUCCCUUGGGGGAGAUGAGUAAGACACCUGCGCUGGCUCCUUCAAGUUUGAGGGAUCCGUCGAAGUACGUUACCCAAUGUUCUGGUCGUUCGACUGGAGUUGGAACCUGAUUUUCGGUCCACUCGGCUAUGAAGUCGACCAAAGCCUGAGACUUGAUGGCUGUCCUUGGCUUGAAGCUCAAAGUAAGAGCUCCGAGUUCGAUUGCCCAUUUGGAGAUUCUACCUGUGGCGUCUCUGUUAUGGAGAAUCUCGCCGAGCGGGAAAUCGGAGAUGACUGUGAUGUUGUGCUCUUGGAAGUAAUGGUGCAGCUUCCGGGAGGUGAGCAGUAUAGCAUAUAGGAGUUUUUGUAUCGGUGGAUACCGAGUUUUGGAGUCCGAGAGUACUUCGCUGACGAAGUAGAUAGGUCGUUGGACCUUGUAAGCGUGGCCCGGUUCAGACCGUUCGACUACUAUUGCCGUACUGACGACAUGAGUAGUAGCGGAGAUGUAUAGGAGCAAGUCUUCGUUCGGCGAGGGAGCGGUGAGUACAGGAGGCUUUGACAGAAAGUCUUUGAGUUGUGUCAAAGCCUUAUCUGCCUCUUCCGUUCAUUUGAACUUGUCCUGUCGUUUGAGAAGCUUGAAGAAGGGUAGUCCCCGUUCUCCAAGUCUCGAGAUGAACCGGUUAAGAGCGGCCAUGCAGCCGGUGAGUUUCUGCACAUCCUUAAUGCUGGCUGGUGCCUGCAAGUUUGUGAUGGCAGAUAUCUUCUCAGGGUUGGCCUCAAUGCCGUGAUGGCUAAUGAUGAACCUGAGUAGUUUGCCGGAAGGUACUCCAAAGAUGCACUUAGUGGGGUUGAGUUUCCAACGGAAAGCGCGGAGACUAGAGAAAGUUUCCUCCAAGUCGGCAAUAAGUUCCUCCCGGUGUCUUGUUUUGACGACGACGUUGUCAACAUAAGCUUCGACAUUGCGAUGAAGCUGUUUUUCGAAGCAUAUCUAUAUAGCCCUUUGGUAAGUUGCUCCUGCAUUCUUGAGUCCGAAGGACAUUGUUUUGUAGCAGAAGGCUCCAAAGGGCGUGAUGAACGCUGUCUUGGCUUGAUCUUCCUCUUUGAGGCUUCUCUGAUGAUAGCCGGAGUAGCAAUCGAGGAAGCAUAGCAAGGUGCACCCAGCGGUGGAUUCGACCACUUGAUCGAUCCUGGGUAACCCAAAAGGAUCUUUCGGGCAGUGUUUGUUGAGGUUGGUGUAGUCGACACACAUUCGCCAUUCGUUGUUUUUCUUACGAACAAGCACAAGAUUGGCGAGCCAGUCAGGAUGGAAGACUUCCUUGAUGAAUCCUGCCGCGAGUAGCUUGGCUAACUCUUUUUUGAUGGCUUCGCGUCUGUCCUGAGCGAACCAGCGUAGUCGCUGCCAUUUUGGAGUAGCUUUGGGAUUGACGUUGAGGGAAUGCUCGAUCAGUUCCUUGGGCACACCCGGCAUGUCGGCCGGCUUCCAAGCGAAGAUAUCGUGGUUAGCCCGAAGGAAACUAACGAGCGCAAAUUCCUAUUUAGGAUCCAGCCCUGUCCCAAUCAGGGCUGUCUUGGAAGGAUCACCGGUCUAGAGGUCGAUCGAUUUGAAGUCUUGCUCACUGGCGGGUUUCACCUUUGUGGAUCCCGACUUAUUUUCCGGGAUCUCCAGUUCGGUGGGAUGUAGUUUCUUUGAAGCUGUGAAGACUUGCUGCAUGGGACUAGGAGAUUGAGUAGUCGCAGCAAUUUCCACGGCUUCGGUGUCGGACUCGUAGGAUCUCCGGAGAUCUCCUCGUAGCGUGAGCUCUCCUUUGGGACCUGGCAUGUUGAGUACCAGGUAGACAUAAUGUGGUAUGGCCAUAAACUUGGCUAGUGCUGGCCGUCCGAGUAUGGCGUCAUAAGAAGUCUCGAAGUUGGCAACCUCGAAUCUGAUGUACUCGGUGCGGUAAUGUUCCUUAGUUCCAAAGGUGACUGGGAGGACAACUUGUCCCAGUGGUAUGCCUGCGUUGCCAGGCACAAUGUCGUAGAAAGGUGAAGCAUCUCAGUGACGUCGAGGCACAUUUUCCUUAAUGUUUUGGCGAAGAUAACGUUGAGGCCGCUCCCGCCGUCGAUGAGUACUUUGGUUAACUUUGAACCUGCCACAACUGGAUCCAGGACUAGUGGAAAACGGCCCGGUUCUGAAAAUUUUGUCCAUUGAUCUUUUCUGCUGAAAGAAAUUGGAACUUCCGACCACUUUAGCGGUGUGGGGUCCGUUGGUUCGAUGGCCAUGAUCUCCCUGAGCACGAGUUUGUUAGAAUGCUUGGAUGCAGUGCCGGGAAUGCCGCCAAAAAUGACGUUGACGGUUUUUGAGGCUGGUUGGAAGUCGCCGUCCUCAUCUUCGUCGUUGCGGGCUUUAUUUUUACCCUUGUCUCUAUUUUUGGCGUACUCUUUAGGAGUUGGUGGUGCGGGCAAGUCUUGCAUGACUCGGCGCAUGCUGUAACAGUCCAGUGCAGAGUGCUUGCUAGUUGGGUGCCAUGGGCAUUGCUUUUUGAGUAGCUCCGUGAAGGUUGGUCCAUCGUCGUUUCUGCGUGGUCUCUUUUUCCCGGAGCUGGUCAUGGCAGCAACAGUGUUGUUGGGCUUCCUUUUGCGAUUAUGGUUACCUAGAUAGGAAUUCCGAGCAUCGUUAUGCCAAUUUUUAUCUGUGUCAUUGUUGUGGAUGUUGUCGCGUCCGCGGUUACAGUGGGAACUGAACCGUUCUCGCUCUUUGUCUUCUUCGUCGGCCCACUGUUGCACCAUGAGUUUGAGUUCUUUGACAUCGGCUGGUCGUCGGCGACCGAAGUCUUGGUAUGUUCGUUGAUCAUAGAGUCCGUUUUGGAAGCACUCGAUGAUGUCUGCUUCGGAGAUGUCCACUAUGGUAGCCUUCUUUUCAAAGAAUCAUCGCAAAUAGUCGCGCAGGGUCUCGCCUUCUUUCUGCUUGAUUUGUCGUAAGUCGAUCUUGUUGCCUGGUCUAGCCAUAAAGCCGGCGAAGUUGUUGGUAAAAGCCUUUGUCAAGUCUGCCCAAGAGUCAAUGGACUUGGGUUUGAGUGACUCAAGCCAAGUCAGUGGAGCGGGUUCCAUGCAUAUGGGGAAAUGAAUGACUUUGGUGUCGUUGUUACCCCCGGCUGCUUGGACGGCUAGCGAGUAACAACGCAACCAUUGAACUGGGUCUUGCUUGCCGUCGUACUUGGUGAUGCCGGUUGGCUUAAACUUUUUGGGUAAUUUUGUUUUCAUUACCCGGUUUGUGAAAGCAAAAAAAUGGUUGUAGCUGUCGACUUCACGUUCGCGCUGACUGUUGAGAAUUUCUCGUAGAUCGCUGAUGUUGGACAUCUCGCGGAUCUUCCGAGUAGGGCGAAUAUUUUUGACCGAGUUGGUGCUGCUGGCUUCACCCACAUCCUUCUGUUCAGUAGGAGCUUUAUGCUUGCUUGGACCUUGGCUGUGUUGCCGGGGUUGGUUGACUGCAUCAUCGUUUCGUGGGGCAACAUUUUUAUCUGCAGCCCCCCUGCUUCCGUCUGUAAUGCGAGGAACGGACGGAAUUGGUGAUUCUUUGUCGAGUAGCUUGUAAGCUUGCUCCGCGAGUUGUGCGAUUAGUCCGUUGCCACGCUGCACAAGUUGGGUUGUGGCUGCGUUAUCCUUAUCUUGAGGCAUCAAUGUCAUUAAAAGGUUGAUUGAGGCGAUAGCCGCGAGUGGAGUAUUGUGCUCCUGAGCCUAGACUGCGUUAAAAGCCCGCUCAAGAUUUGUAAUAGGAAUAUUUGUGGCCAUCGACUGUCGUCGCUCAGCUCGAGUGGCAUUGCGCGUCCUUCGUUGGUUGCGCUGUUCGGGAGUUUCAUUGUCGGCUGUAGACUCAUCUUCAGAGAUGUUGUCGAUUUGUGCUAAUCACCUGGGGGUUCUAUUCUGGCUAGUACCUGGAUUGUUAUUUUGAGUAAUAACAAGUAUCUCCCUGUCCAGGUAGUAGCUUCCGGAACUUGAUGUAGCAAUCUCUGUAUAGCUUUCGCCGUGGUUGGACGUAAGUGGAACGCCUUCUUGAUAUGGCAGGUUGUCUAUAUGGGCGAUGAGGCGCAAGUCGUAGUCGCGGUCGAGAAAAGAUGGUCGCAACCCCGGCCAGUGGACGAAUCUGCCUUGUGGUGUCGAAGUUAUUACCAACCCUUGAGCUGGGCCAGAUAAUGGUGUCUCUGGUGAGUAGGAUGAGUCGAAGUCAACGUCCUCGCCCUGCCCGAGUUCAACUCGGGUUUGAGCAAGAAGAUCUUGGUAGACUUUUGUCGCGUUGCGAAGUCCGUGCGGGAACCGCUUGGAAGUCGAGACUGAUUUGGAUGCUGACUAGGACCGUCGAAUCCGAAGCGAGUCCGACCCUGAGUCCAGGGGUCGGCGGAGCCCGACCCUUUGAGGGAGUAGCUCCGCCUCGCCCGACCCCGAGUCCUGGGGUUGGGAGCGCCGGACCCUUCGGAGUAAUUCCGCCUCGCCCGGCCCCGAGUCCUAGGGUCGGGAGAGCCUGACCCCUGAGCGAGACUCCGCCUCGCCCGACCCCGAGGCCUGGGGUCGGGAGAGCCUGACCCUGUGGAAAGGUAGCUUCGCCUCGCCCGACCCCGUGGGAGGAUCCGCCUCGCCCAACCCUGAGUGUUGGGGUCGGCGGAGCCCGACUCUUGAGCGAGACGUUGGAGUAGUCCAAGGCGAAGUCGAAUCCGACGCGUAGUCGAACUCGAGCUUGUUGACUUUGAAAUCUUGGUUUUUUCUGGUCAAUUCUUCUAGUUUCUUUUCCUGAGUGUCGACGAUCUGGCACCGGAACGAUCCCGAGCAUUCGGCGACGCAGAGCCAGGAUCCGAAAACGAAGGUGGCGCCGGCUUCGAUGAAGAAGACGGGCCUCAUGAUGACUUUUGCCAUUGAGUACGCGCUGAGAAAAUCGACGAGAGCCCCUACCUGGUGCGCCAACUGUCGGUGUUUUAGACCGGCAACCCGCCUAGGGGGUACCCUAGGUGGUCUUUUAUGCGGUAAGGGUCGUCGGGAAUAAAGGAAUCAAUGGUGACGCAAGGAACACGAUUUAGACAGGUUCGGGCUGCUAGAUCGUGUAAUACCCUACGUCCUGUGUGUUGGUUUGUAUUGCGAUAUGUUGAGAUGUCCUGAGGAUCUGUUUGAGGGGGGUCCCUGCCCGGCCUUAUAUACUCGGGAGGGCAGGGUUACAAGUCUGAGUCCUAGUUGGGUACUAUUACAGAGUUAUACUCGGUACCGGCCCGAGUAGUUUUCCAUAAACAUACAAGACUAGUCCGAGAAGGAUACACCCAUCCUUGUUCUGAUCAUGUCCGAGUACGUCCCUUAGUGGGCCGUCCAAGGCCUUCUCGUGGGUCUGAGGAGUAUGCCCGACACUAUCGUGCUUCCAAUGUAUCUUUUGAGGUCCCAUAAACACCCAUGAAGCCUAGCACGUUCACGCAAAGAUUCUUCGUCAGGUGCAUCACGUCUAUUGCGUUGCGAACCUCUAGGAUUUCCCAAUAAGGUAGCUCCCAAAAUAUUGACUUUUUCUUCCACAUGGGUGCAUGUCCGUUAUCGUCGUUCGGAACAGGUUGGCUACCAAGACCCUUUCCAAAGACUACAUUUACAUCCUUCAUCAUCUCGAAGACACGCUUUCCAUUACAGUGUGCAGGUUUUUUACGAUGGUCUGGCGCCCCUUUGAAAUGCAUCCCGCUCUUUCUCAGCUGGUGGUGAGCAGGGCGAAAUCGACGAUGACCCAUAUAGAUGACCUUCUUACAAUGCUUCAAGUACAUGCUGUCUGUGUCGUCUAAACAGUGGGUGCAUGCCCGAUAUCCCUUAUUUGUCUGUCCUGAAAGGUUACUCAAUGCAGGCCAAUCAUUGAUGGUUACGAACAACAAUGCUCAUAGAUUAAAGAUCUCUUGUAUAUCCUCAUCCCACACACGUACACCUUCUUCCUUCCAGAGCUGUAAAAGGUCAUCAACCAACGGCCUUAGGUACACGUCAAUGUCGUUGCCGGGUUGUUUUGGGCCUUGGAUAAGCGCUGGCAUCAUAAUGAACUUCCGCUUCAUGCACAGCCAAGGAGGAAGGUUGAACAUACAAAGGGUCACAGGCCAAGUACUAUGGCCACUACUCAACUCACCGAAUGGAUUGAAUCCAUCAGUACUUAAACCAAACCUUAUGUUCCUUGCUUCACUUUCAAAGUCCGGGAAUGUUCUAUCAAUUGAUCUCCACUGUGCCCCAUCUGCGGGGUGUCUCAGCAUCUCAUCUUCCUUACGGUCUUCUUUGUGCCAUCGCAUCAACUUAGCAUUCACCUUGUUCCUGAACAAGCGCUUCAAGCGUGGUAUUAUAGGGAAAUACCACAUCACCUUCGCGGGAACUCUCUUCUUGGGAGACUGCCCCUCGAGAUCACUAGGAUCAUCUCGCCUGAUCUUAUACUGCAGGGCUUCGCAGACGGGACAAGCAUCCAAUUUCUCGUAUUCAUCACCACGAUAGAGGAUACAGUCAUUAGGGCAUGCGUGUAUCUUCUGAACAUCCAAUCCGAGAGGGCAAAUAAUCUGUUUAGCUUCAUAUGUUCUGGACGGUAAUUCAUUAUUCUUGGGGAGAAUCUUCUUGACAAUGUUCAACAUCCCCUGAAAUGCCUUAUCGGACACACCAUUUUUUUCCUUCCAUUGCACAAAUUCUAGUGUCGUACCUAGUUUUUUAUGGUCCUGCUGGCAACCUGGGUACAACAAUUUUUGGUGAUCAUCUAUCAUGCGCUGCAACUUUGCUGCUUCCUUCUCAGUUUCGCAAUCUCUGUAUGCAUCUCGUAUCACCUGACCAAGGUCAUCAGUAGGGCCAUUUUCUGCAAACUCAUCUUCAUCAGCCUCGCCGAUUGUAGUACCUACAAAAGCUUGGCCUGCAACCCAGUCCGGAAUGGUGUCAUCUUCCUCCUCCUCCUCGCCAUCUUCCAUUAUGACCCCUAGUUCACCGUGCUUGGUCCAAAUCAAAUAGUUAGGCAUGAAACCGUAUUUAAACAAGUGGCUGUGAAUAGUCCCCCAGAAAUUCUUUGAAUACUCCUUCUUGUUAUUACAUUGGAAGCAUGGACAACAUACGAACCCAUUCUCUGGCUUGUUUGCUUUGGCCACUUCGAGAAAAUAAUGCAAGCCAUCAAUAAACGCCUUGCUCCGUCUGUCUGCAUUAUACAUCCAUUGCCGGUCCAUCUGCAUCAUAUUACGCAUGAAAAUGGAUUACACUUGACAAUGGAUUACGCGUGAAAAUUGAUUAAAGAUCCAAACAACAUGGUACAAUACAACAACAUGAAGAUCCAAAUACACAUAUUUAAAUUAAAGUUCCAAACAACAUGAUACAAUACAACAAGCCAUCCACUGGUUAUUAUCUAGGAGGACUUUAAGCAUCCUUGGACGGUGAAGACGAAGGUUCCGCUGACCCAGCCUCAUCCUUAGGUUUAUUUGUGCCGCCUGAAACGGUAGUACUAAGUGGACGUGAAACACCCGGGACUGAGGGUGGAGCAUAACAACCACCAAAAGGAGGUUCCGGACCUGCGGCAACAGCUUCUUCAUGACGUUGCUGCAAAUAACAAAGCAUUGCUUUUUCCAGCGCACUCUUUUUCUUCGGCUUAUGCUGAGGGCCAACUAUAAUUUUCCCCUUGCCAAAAUAGGAACCAUGAUCGCCCCCACCAUCACCACUUCCUCCAGUAGUAGAAGCCAUCUAUGUACAAAAAUUAUUACCUUAACACUGCAUAAGUUGUUGAACUUGAAGACCGUGAUCAUCUCGCGAGCAUGUCCUCAACUAGGCAGCACCGCACUUCGUCAUGAAAGAGGUUAGAUGCUACGGAAAAGGGGACACGGUCACGAUGUCCGUAUCCACUCUUUCUCGUAGAAUCGAACCUCCUUCUUGACAUACGUUGCUGCUCGGCGGAGAACAUCCUAUGCGAGAUGACCACGGUAUGCAAGUUCAACAAGUAUGGAUUUGAAAAACCUUAUUGAAUUUGAUAAGUUUAACAAGUAGCAGAAGUCAUCUAUGUACAAAAAUUCUUUCCUUACCACUGCAGAAGUUGUUGAACUUGAAGACCGUGAUCAUCUCGCGAGCAUGUUCUCAACUGGGCGGCACCGCACUUCGUCAUGAAAGAGGUUAGAUGCUAUGGAAAAGGGGACACGGUCACGAUGUCCGUAUCCACUCUUUCUCGUAGAAUCGAACCUCCUUCUUGACAUACGUUGCUGCUCGGCGGAGACAUUCUCGCCGAUAUGAACACGGUAUGCAAGUUCAACAAGUAUGGAUUUGAAAAACCAUAUUGAAUUUGAUAAGAUAAACCGUCUAAACAAGGUAGCAUCAUUCUUAAACCACUGCAAGAAUACAUACUAUAUAUGACACAUCAAUCUCCCUCACAUUCUAGCUCAAAAUACCUCUCCAUUUUCUACUUCAUCACAUUUUAGCAAAUAAACUUUCCAUCUCCAAAGCAUAAAUCAAAGCGUAACACGAGGAUGAAGUAGUAAACCUUCACAACACUUGUGUUGGAUGAGUGAAAUUCCCACGAAAAUGAGGGAAAAAACUUCGGGCAGCACCUCCCUUGCUUCGGCACCACCGGAGAGUAGGUGAAGCUCAGCUCUCUCUGUCAAUGUGCUGGACUGGCUUGGGCUGGAGGAGGAAGAAAGUCCUCUGUCUUGGCAUAUAAUGGGGAUGAGUUUUUAUCCCGGUUAAAAACUCCAACCAAGACAAAAAGGAACACCUUUUGUCCCGGUUGAAGAUUUAGUCCCGGUUGGAAGCUCCAACCGGGACAAAAGGGACACCCUUUUAUCCCGGUUGGAAGCUCCAACCGGGACUAAACUUUUUAUCCCGGUUGGAACCUCCAACCGGGAUAAAAGAACCCUUUUAUCCCGGUUGGAGCCUCCAACCGGGAUAAAAUGGUGCCGCCACCGACAUCCCGCGACUAGCCGUUGCAACCGGGACUAAAGGGGGGCCUUUAGUCCCGGUUGCAAUUACCAACCGGGACUAACCCUCCCCUCCAUUUUUGCCUACCAUGGCGCACCCCCUUUUAUCCUGGGCCAACUUUAAACCGGGACAAAAGGGGGCGCAUCGAAAGCCAAUUCUCUACUAGUGACAUAUCUACUUUUAUGCCAAUGCAAGUUUUUUUAUUAUACAAAGUGGCUCAGGUAACUGCAAGAAUGAUCUCUUUCCUAGGAACAGAUAAUUUAUCCCAAAUCUCUCAACUAUUAUGCAGAGGAACAAUGGACAUAUUUAACAUUAACAGUUCAUAAUAGCAUUUCAGAACAAUUCCAAAGCAUGUUUUAUAAAAUCUACAUGAUUUCUAAAGCAACUGUAGUCACUAGUGAUAUUGUGCAGAUCACCCCAACUCCUCAUCAUUUAAUUAUGUGAAAUCUAGUGAUAUUCUAAAUCAUGUUUUUUAAAAUCUACAUUUGAGUGUAAAUGUAAAUAUAUAAUUCAAACAUAUCCUCAAGAAAAAUCGUGAACUAUACAUGAUGGUCAAAGAUCAUUCAAGUGUAAGGAUAAUGUUACUUUGAGGAUUCUAUCUUGCUACCAACACAGCNNNNNNNNNNNNNNNNNNNNNNNNNNNNNNNNNNNNNNNNNNNNNNNNNNNNNNNNNNNNNNNNNNNNNNNNNNNNNNNNNNNNNNNNNNNNNNNNNNNNGGAUAUUGCAGCGCAAGAAAACUCCCUUCUUACUUCUAAUGUCAGAUCAUGGCACUUGGCAAACGCAUCUUUGCCGAGUGCCUCAAACCCUACACUCGACAAAUAUAUUAAUUAUUUUUUCAUUUCCCUUUUUUCAUAACGUGUUUUUCUUUUUUCCGAUGUACUUUGAAAAUACCUUAUCAAAUUGACUCAACAAUAUAUAUAUAUAUAUAUAUGAUUUUUCUACGAAUAUUAUUCCAUUAUUUUAUGCAGCUCAAAUUUAAUUUAUAUCAAUUAAAAUUCUAUAAUUGCACCUAAUAAAUUAAAAUUAUCAAACGGAUCCAAAAAAUUACUAAAAUUUCACAUGAAACAAUCUAUGUUCUCUAUUGCUGAUACAAAAAGUUUUGAAGUCAAACCCCAAUUUGAUCGUCACUUUGACUCCAAAUCUUACCGAUUCCUUCCCAACACUACGAUUCUUCUUCUAAGAUGCUUCGGUUUGUAAACAUCGUACGUGAGAAAUUGUGCGAAACCUUCUCAAUUGUUUACCACAGCCUCCAUGUAUGAUAUCAUCACAUCAUGACAAAUCUUAUGAUUUAUAGAGUUCGUUUGCUUUUUUUAGAAUUUAAAAACCAAUCGGCCACACGUUCGUGGUCAUGUUUUCUGAACAAGAUGUUCAAAAUUUCUUUUCAUUUCCUGGGUAGGGCCUAACACUGGACUCAAUAACAUGAAUAUUAUUUUUCUACUCAUUUAUUCUAUUAUUUCAAUCACUUACAAUUCAAAUUUGACUUAUACCAAACAAUUCCUAGAAAUGCAAUAAAUUAAUUAAAUAUAGCAAACAGAUUCAGAAAUAUACCAAAUUUUAACAUGGAAUACCACAUAUUGUAUGUUGAGAGUAGAAAAAGUUUCAAGGUCAGCAGAGAAAAAAAAUGAAAUUAUUUUGCCGAGUGCCAUAGAUUUACACUCGGCAAACAUAUUAACGGAUGGACACGUGGCACGUUCUUUGCCGAGUGCCUUCCUUUGCCGAGUGUUUUUUCUCUUUUGCCAAGUGGUUAUGUGCGUUUUUACCGAGUGUAAAUAUUUGCUGAGUGUUUUUUAAUCUGUUUGCCAUGUGUCAUAUUUUUUGCCGAGUGUUUUUGUGGUAGCACUCAGCAAAUAGUUUCUUUGCCAAGUGCACGAUGGAAUACACUCAGCAAAGAGCUUGGCACACGGCAAGCCCACAGUUUCCGGUAGAGCCUGUGCAUUAAUUGAAACAAAUAUCAAGCUGCAUGUGUUAUGAAACUUGUGCUUCCUUCAUUUUUUAUCACAACUUUUAGCACCGGAAGACCAAGGCAUUAUUAUACUAGUUAUCACGUGCAUCAACAAAUUCAGUUAUCUGUCCAUGUUGAUUUCAUCUUGCAAACUCUGUGCUCAUCGAGGCUUUCUUCUGGAGGAUGUAAUAAUCUGUGCUUUCUUCACUAGUAUAGUCACCGGAUGAAUUGUCAGACGACCGUCCCUGCAUCAUGAGUGCACUAACACCAUGAAACCCUUGAGUGCGAGGUGAUACUGGACGUGCCAAUCGCUGGAGUUCCUCUGCUACCUCUCUCAUCAUUGGCCUCUGUUGACCGGUCAUGGCCAAGCACCGACUUGCUACCGCAGCCACUUGAAGUAUUAACUCCAUGUUUUCUUGAUUGUCUAUCUCCCUAUCUAUGAGUUCUGUAAGUUUGCCCUCCUUCACACCUUCCAUGAAGACAGACACGAGGCUUACCUUUGUUUUGGACAGUGCCCUCCUUCGUGUUAAGAGCUCCAGAAGAACAACACCAAAGCUGUAAACAUCGCUCUUAUCAGUAAGCUCAAAGUUCAAAAGGUACUCUGGAUCUAAGUAGCCCAUUGUCCCCUUCACUACUUGAACAUUUUCAUCAGCUGACCUAAUCAUGGAGCACCCAAAAUCAGAAACUUUUGCAGAGAGAUCGUGGCCUAGAAGAAUAUUAACGGACUUGACAUCUCCAUGAAAGACAGGGUGGCUAAGAGAAUGUAGGUAUGCAAGUGCUGCAGCAAUCUCAGAGGCAAUUUUAAGACGGACCUCUAGAGUUCUUUUGGACGGAUCAACUUGUGUAUGAAUAAGAUGUUGUAGAGUUUGAUUUGGCACAUAUUCAUACACCAGAACUGGAGCUUCAAACUGCAAGCUGCAACCUAGAAGCUGGACAAUGUUUUCAUGUUUGACUCGAGAAAGUAUAAGAAGCUCCUUACCAAAUUCCAUUCUCCUAUUCUCAUCAAAUCCCUUGCAGAUCUUGAUAGCAAUAGAAUUAUUUUCUAAAUCAAGAUUUUUCCCUAUAUAAACAGUCCCCUGACCACCUUCACCAAUGAUUGAGCUUUUGUCAAAGUUGUUGGUGGCCAACUCAAUUUCUUCUCGGUUAUACAACUUAAAUGUUUUGUUGCUCUCUACUUUCAUCAUAUCCAUUAGCAAUUUCCCUCCAUUCUGCUGAAAGCAUUCAUCAGUCUUCCUCAUGUAUUCUUGCCUUAUUAUUUGUCGUUUGUGCUUGAUCCAUUCUUUACCAAGAUAAAGUAAUAGACCAAGCAAAACACAGGCAAAAAUUCCUGCAGGUCAGACAUGUAUCUAACUCGUAAGUUGGUACAAGGAAAAAAUAAAGAAGUAUGGUUAGACCUAUCCACUGAAACAACUACUGGUGUACUGGUUGGUUUAUAUAUACUUGUGUCACUUAAAUACAAUAUUCAGUCACUUCACAAAUGUGACACCAUGAGGACAGAUUUGUUUCAGUCAUGCUUUCACAGAUCUAAUCGAACAGUGCGGAAAGAUACGAGCAGUACCUAUUGGGAUUGUGACUUUUAGAGGAAUUGAGUGGUCCUUCUCACAUGUCCCAGUGUAUGCGUUGCCUUUGGGGUAACGCGGAGGACAAAUGCAUUGAAAUCCUCCUUGAGUAUUCUUGCAAGUUCCCUUCACAGAGCAAGGGUAUUUCUCCAGAUUGUUAUUACAUUCAUCAACAUCUGCAAUGUUAGCAGUGGUAUAUAAAAUAUCGAGUAAAGAUUUCCAGUGGCAGUAGAUUAUCUCAUGACCUAAUCAAAGGCUAAAACAUUACCUCUCUUAUUUAUACAAACAUAUCACGCAAAAGGAAUUGCACCUAUAGAUUUCAUUACCUUUGCAUCCGUCAACAAGGUACGGAUUGCCUUGGAACCCUUUGGUGCAGUUGCAGAUGUAGCCUUGUCCAUUGUCCGAAUUAAAGCACUCACUGCUACUGCUGACACAUGCAUAUGACUCAGGCUUGUUCCGGGCUUCAUCGCAAGUUCCAUUCCCAAUAGCCCAGUCCACGAUCAACGGCGGCUGCCCAGAAUAAGCAUCGUAGAACGCCGAUGAUGUAGCGUAGCUUUUGGAGAAUGUGAAUUCGGAUGCCUCGACCAGCGCCGCGUAGCUGCAGCGGCUGGUGUUGUAGAUCCUCGACGUGUUGAAGCCUUCACCGAACCACACCUCGUAGUACUGCAGGCCCUUGGGGAUGGCCGUCUGGCAGCAGCCAAUUCCGGAGCAUGAGCCAUCAGUAAGUGUUCUUACAUCGCCUCGCCGGCACAUGGAGACACAACCGCUCAUGUACCUGCCCACGUUAUCCUCAUCUCCAAUGUAUGCCAGUGUUCUGCACCCAACGACCGUAAACAAGUUAGCAGUCUCUGAGAAUCUAUAGGGCGUACCUGUCAGGUUCAGCCGCCAGUUUAGGUAAUCCAUUUCCUUAGUGGAGGUGUUGUAGCAAUAAGUCGACAUGUCCAUCCUCAUCCGGGCAAGACCUUGCUGCAGCGAGAUAUUCAGAACCUCUACAUCUAUAUAAAAUGGCCUGAAUGAUCCAUGGCCGACUUCCUUGCAGCUCAGGUUGAAGCCGGGCAAAGAGCAGUGAUCAGGCGAGUCGUCAGGCCCAAUGCCAAAUGGAUAUGGGAUAUCGACUUCGCCGCAUUUUCUCUGACAGUUGUUGCUAGGCGGCGGCAAUGCUUCAACAGAAGAGAGUAUUACCGCAAGCACGAGCACUACUCCAAGACAUAGCAGUGCAUCUAAUCUAUGCGGCAGCAUGGUGUG
This 184252-nucleotide long non-coding RNA is filed under the name Setaria italica (foxtail millet). RNAcentral's name for it is "long non-coding RNA (SITA_LNC005137)". The stretch from base 94313 to 94451 matches the Rfam family "Small nucleolar RNA Z247". Lineage: Eukaryota; Viridiplantae; Streptophyta; Magnoliopsida; Poales; Poaceae. The record is from RNAcentral.